RNAcentral lists this long non-coding RNA (192821 nucleotides) under Olea europaea (common olive). Its description in RNAcentral is "long non-coding RNA (OEUR_LNC014839)". Lineage: Eukaryota; Viridiplantae; Streptophyta; Magnoliopsida; Lamiales; Oleaceae. The record is from RNAcentral.
AUCGCAGCCAUCAUAACUAGUCCCAGGAAAAAAUACAACUAAGUUUGUAGUGUGGAAAGGCUUUGCUGUUCUGCUUCCCAUGGGAAUAAGUUUGACACCUAGAGGAUACUCCUGCAUAAUAAGAAGGAUACCACUUCCUUGAAGAACAGUGAUUUUAUUUAAGCAAUAUAAACAAAACAUCAACAUCAACAUCAACAAAGUGAAAUUGCAUGUACAUAUUUAAGUCUGACUAAAAUUUCAGCCAUUAAAGAAAAUUGAAUCGCUCCAGACGCUUUUGAGUUUAUAGUUGAACGACAGAAAAUGUCAAGAGACAAGAUUUGGACUUAUCUCGAGCAAGAUUUUUACAAAUAUCUGAACUUUUCUAAGUUAAUGACAUGUAAUUUAGGAUAAGCAUAAUUGAGUGAAGCAUGAUGUGUAUAACAUAGAACUCUGUAGAGUCCAUAUCCCACAUAGACACUAAGCCAGUGCAAAUGCUUCUACUAUUCUAGUUGUUCAUGUAACCCAUUAAAACCUUAAGCGACAGUUGAAAGUAAGGGCUUUGGUUCAGGCCUGCAUUAGUUUCUAAAAAAUAAAGUUCCAACACUAGGAUUGGAAACAAUGAAAUUCUCCGGCUGCAAUCAGUUUUCCAAUGCCUAUGCCACCAUCAAUAAUUGUGUCACAUAUAAGAUAAUUAUUGACUAUUUAUCCCAGAUCACGACCACUGCAUCAAAAAAGAUAAUUAAUAAGAAGAGAAAGGGAAAAGAUGCUGAGGACCUGAUGGCAAAAUAUUCCAAUCUUGACAUUUUCCACAUUGCAGAGAUUGGAGUGAUAACUGAAACUUGCUUUCCAUUAUCUCUUAUUUGCAAAGUCCAAGUUCCCACAGCAAACAACAUGACAGGGGAUUUUAAUCCAAUAGUAGGAUGAUUGAACUAUGAAAACAAAUAUUAUAGGACUUGAAUUAUUGAAAAAUCAGUUUUCUUAAAGAUCGGGUUGGUUUUCAAUCCAACAUUAUCAUUACCCAAGCUCAUAAAGGUCCAUACUGGAAAUUGGGGGGGGGGGGGUAUUAUGAUACGGAGAUUGAUUUAGCUCACAGAACCCAAUCAAUACCGCAAAAAACAAACCUGACAUCUCAAAGUGGAAGAGAUUUGCAAUUUUACAGAUUUCAUUGAAUCAUUCAGAUAACCAAUAAAAAUUAGUGGUCCUAUACGAUCAUUAUGAGGCUUCACUUCAAUAAGCAUAUCAUUGCAGCCUUUGGAGCUCAUCCACUUACAGAUAUCUGCAUGUACGUACAACAUAAAUUAUUUAAGCCUCAAAGAAAUGACUAACUAUCAAUGAAAGCAUUUAUAGAUAAUUCUCUUUUCUAUUCAGAAGAAAGUCUCUUUUUAUGAAACUAAAAGAUGUGUUAUAAAAAUGUUAAAAAAAUACUUUAUAGAGGCAAUAUUGCAAAUCCAACAUGCCCUAUACAUGAUAGCCAGCAAUUAUUUACUUUAUAAGAUGAAAGCAAUAAAAUCACAUUUUAUUGUUGCCUAAGCCGGUUGUCGCAAGCACUUAGUAAAGUUGUGUUUAUGAGUCUAAAUGAAAUUGAAGUGAUAUAUUGUCAUUAAAUGAAGAAUUAGCUCCAUCAAAAGAAGGUUUAAAUAUUUUUUUUCCGAUAAAUGUAGAAUAAAAAGGAGUUUAUCUUUAUAAACCCCAGCAAAAUGGUGCAUGGAAUCGUACAAAUUUACGCUCUUAAAAUCCCUGAUAUCGGGAAAUUGCUGUCAAAUGUAUCUACAAUAACAUGAUCAGACCUUUUAAUUUCCCAUCAUGGGGUCCCAAUUUUCCAACAAGAUACAUAAUCUUAAAUGGGAUUCCAGGACCAAAUUCAGGCUCUUCUACAUACUUCAAAAACUUCCACUUUACCUCACUGGCUGUCCCAAGUACCACUUGAUUCAGCACCUAUACCAAAGUCAUUAAAAAUAAAUAUAACAGACCAACACUAUCUACAUAUGAUUUUCAGGACUUGUAAUGUAUUCUCAAUAACUACUAGUGGUACUAACUCCAACAUAUACAAACAAGAAAAAUAAGUAUGAAAAUCCAGAAUUUUUUUAACAUACUCAGAAAAAAAUAUUCAGCAAUAGCAAACAAAAUUUUCUAAGAGGAACGGACCAUGAUAUAUAAUCAAAGCCAUCCAAUUACUAUGAGGACAAAACUUUUUUUGAUAUGACAAGGGAAAGGAAAUGAAAAACACGGUGGACUCAGACCAAUACAGGGAGCUAAUAAAUUGUUCUUUUAUCAUCAUUCAUCAGCAGUCUGUUUCAGAUGAGAAAAUACAGGUUGCAAAUAAUCAGUUUAAACAUGAUCAGUCUUAUAUGAGAUUAAAAAUGAGCACAUUCUUUCCCUUUAUAUAAGGAAAAGGAAAAUACAUGAUAACCUAAUUGAAUUAAGUCUCAGUAAAUUCAACAUAACCAUUUGAAAUUUCAGUAAAGAAAUACCAGAUUUUUUGAAUAAAUUACAUAUGGAACCUCCCUAAAAUGGGGACCUAGAUGUACUUUUAAAAGUGUUCCAUAUCGGGCUCAUCUCAGCCUCUUCUCGUACUCGUUUGUUUUCAUGAACUAGCCAAAUUAUUUUAUUACUUUGACAGCUAAUGUGUUCAAAAUUUUAACUUGUCUAGGAUGGAGCACUGUGCAUAUUCGGCUCAAAUGAACUAGAAUGAUCCAAGCUUGUGUUGAAGAUUUGUCGUUCAAAAUCAACAAUUAAUGUGUAUGGAACGAAAAUGGGGAGUUAGGCUAAAAAUUGGGCCCAAGAUACUACCAUACGACCGCAUGGUUAUCUUGUCCAUGCGGUCGCAUGGCCAUUUACCGAGGCCAAAGGGCCUCGGUUGGUUUGAACCACGUGACCGCAUGGUACAAUCUUUUGGCCGUUGGAGGCCGUUUUCUCCCGUUGAAAAUUUAAAUUUGGUGACUUUUGGCUUAUAGUUUGGUAUCAUUUCGUGAAUGGGGUGUAGGCCUAUAUAUAUUGGAUCAAGGUUGAAGGCAAAUACAUCAUCAAAAAAUCAAGGUUCCAUAUUACUUCCAAAAUCAAAGAUAAAGUCUUUUAAAUCCAUAUUCAAUAUUCAUCCCUUAUGUUCUUCAAGUUUUCUAAGAUUUGCACUUGUGCUUUGGUGCUUAAAUCCUUGCAAGACUUGUUAUAAUCUUGUAAAUCAUUUGCCAACAACCUUCGAAGCAUCUCAAAUUCAUAGGAGAAGGGACAAAAAUCAUUUGAGGACAACGAUAUCGUGUUCAAGCUAUUCAUUGAUACAAGUUCGUGAUUGUUUUGUUAUUAGUGUUGUCGGUUUGUGUUUCGUGAUUUCUACUCUAACCCAGUAAAAUUUCUACAAGAGCUUGCUUAGUAAGUAUGUUGACAAUCAUUUUGAACCUAAUAUAGGGGGCAAUUUCCCCUCCCCAACCACUCUUUUAAGGCUCAAACUAAAAGGUAGAGUUGAACCUCAACAAUUAGGUUGCGUUUGCUUGACACAUUAUAUUAUUGUCAUAUUUCAGCGUAGCAUAUAAUUAGAGUUAAUUUCGAAAUGACGUUCAAUAAUAAACAGGACCUCUGCAAAUCCUAAGCCAAAGUAAAGGAUGAAUGUGUUGUGCUAGGAAUCAAAUUUUAUUUUAUGGGAAAUGGGAAAGACAGACCAUUAGUAACGAUUGUGUUACACCCCUCACCAACUACCUCCGCGCAUCAAGUCCACUAACCUCGGCGCGUCAGAUCCACUCUCCAACGAGGUGCCACGUGUCAAUUCGAGACGUCACCAAAGUGAUAUACACCUCACCCGAACCUCAAGCUGACGUGCUGUGAGGCACAGACACUACCUAAGUGAUAUUUUUCGAGGCGUCCUUUGAUACCGAAGUGUGAGGAGACGAGGCUCCUUCGCCGCCAGUUUUAGAGAUGUAUCAGUGUCAGGAUCUCCUUAUCUUUAUGAAUUGAUUAAUGCGACAUCUCAGCCUUAUGUCAACUCACAUAUCUAAAGAAUAUAUUAUCUGCCCCUAGGAUGCCACUGAUUGACGCCUACGAGCAGAUGCCUCACGCCGUCAGAUGCAUACUGGUGUCCACAUCCAGCGGUGCCCUUUGCCUAUAAUUACCAAAGGCUUCGCAAGAGACAAAGGUAAUCUCUCUAAUUCUAGGCACGAUAUAUCUACUAAAAAAUAAAAAAUCCCCUCACACGAAGCUUAGUGUGUUCAGUUGAUGCUCCGUCUGGCACGAAGCAGCAGCCAUGGUGACCCAAAAAUGGUUUUUUAUCAUUUUCACUAAAUUUUUUCCUUCCGUAACCGUGUAAAUACUUUUUUGGCUCAACAUAUAUAUAUAUAUAUAUAUAUAUAUAUAUAUACCUUCUCUCCACUCUCUUGCACAAUUUUGCUACCACCCUAUCACCGUCCACUGACUUGACUAUCGGAGUGUACGUGGCCGCCACUACCUCCACUGGCGUCAGCCGUGUACGUCUGACUGUUUGCUCUUGUGUGCAGGGAGGAACACAUGGAGUGUCUCUCAGUUGGCCACGUGGAAAGUCUAAUUCAUGAGGUCAACAUAUUAGCACUGUUUGUGGGAACUUCUAUUCUAAAGCUUCCUGUUAACCACCGAAAAAAGCCGCUGAAGAAUUGGCAACCUUCCCCUUGAAAAAGGAACAUUCUUGAAAAAGAACCAAAGUGAAAAGUUAGCAAUCUAGUCCUGAACACCCUUGGAAAAGAAGCUACAAAAUAAGUUCCAGCAAUGAGGACGCAACUCCUGAAAGACCAAGGGACACCUUUGAAGAAGAGGUGCAUCUCUGUACAAAUAUCACCCAUCGCAGACCUCACCACCGACACCGUCGAGGUGGUGGGACGACAGCAACGCUCACUGCAUGAAUGGCUCAAAUAGCUGCAGGUAUGAGGGACAUUGUAGCCCAGCAUAAGGCGAUGCAUGAAUUCUUCAUACAGGCUCAAGGCCAGCAAGGCGACCAAAUGCCACAAAGGUCCCACCCAGUUCAAGGGAAACUUCCUACGUCUCUUGGUCGAAGCCAUUUGAGUCAUCAAAAAGAGCCCCGUAUUGAAAGAGAAGUGGGGUAGAUAUCACUUCACAAGACGCCCAGACAGCAAAAACCCAGCUAGGGAACAUUUCACCAGAAUAUGAGCCACAGAGGUCAAUCAGUGUUUUUGACCGAAUAGGGCAAAACCCUAGUAGCAGGAUUCGCUCCGUACAACAACCAGCUCAACAAGAUCAACAACAAGAUCAAGCACCCCCUUCACUUAGGAAUAGGUGUAAGAGGAAAAACUUUGUAGAUUGGGGAAGUCAAGGAGGGGUAUCUCCACUUCCCUAAAAUAUGUCAGGUGAGGAUGACUCUGAAGGGCCAUGUUGAUCCUAUGAGAUAGACGAUGACGAUGAUGACCUUCCAUUUUCCAAAAAAUUCGGAGCUUCCUAAUGCCUGCGAAUUUCAUGUUCCCUAAAAUUUCCAAGUAUGAAGGAAAAGGAGACCCUGAAAAGCACCUUACCAAAUACAUGACUCAAAUGAGUCUGAGAGGAGCCUCGCCAACAUUAAAGUACAGGGCCUUUCAUCUAACACUUGCUAGAGCUGCCGAACUGUGGUACAAUUAGCUACAACCUUUGAGCAUUAGAAGUUGGCCCAACCUAAAGAAGGACUUUCUGAACCAGUACUUCUCACGAAGGGAAGGAGAGGCCCCAGUGCAAUGCUUGCAAGAUAUUAGACAAGCUCCUGGAGAGAUACUCAAAAGCUACCUCACCAAAUUCACUGACAAAAUAACCUAUUGUGAGAAAGUUACAGAUGAGAAGCUCUUUCAGCCCUAAAAGGAGGCCUCAAUAUGAACAUUUUGUUUGGUGAGAAGUGUAAAGCAAGAAUCAGGCUAUUCACAACGAGCUAGUAGAGAUGAUGAGAGUGGAGAUCGUCAUUGAAGAGAUGAUUGACCACCAAAAUCGUACAGCCCAGGGACUUCCAUCUCCUCAAAGGUAGGUAGGUUGAGGACCGAUAGCGCACCUCGUUACCCAGCAAUAGACCCAACCCGGACAUACAGUAGCUUCUACGUUCAGACAAUCUUUAGCCUUCGGCACACUUAAUCCAAUACCAGUGUUGACAUAUGAAGAUACAAAUCAAGAAGCGGGAUCAUCCGGAGGGAGGGCAUAGGAAUCGGGGUAAGAAAAAAUAGGCAAACCAACCCUUAGAAGGAGCAAAGUACUGUACCUUCUAUCGUUUCUACGAUUAUGACACCAACGAAUGUAGAGACGCUCCUCGAUCCUCAUAGAGUAGUAACCCCCAUUUUUGUAGAGGGGACCAAUAUCAUGAAUAUCACCGGUGGUCCACCUCGCCCAAUAGAGAUGCAAGGUGAUAGAGGGAUCGUGCACCUCAGAGCAGGGAAAUAGAAAAUAAGACUCGAUGGGAAUCUAGGCAGAGAAAUUAGGCUUCCUAAGUACCAAUCAUAGGAUGUCCUCAUGUCAGAGGAUGCCCUCAUGUCAAAGGAAACACUCGAAAUACGCAGAGAAACUGUGCUAGGGAGGCGAAGAACACUCCAAUGACUAGCUAAGUUGUCAACCAGUCCCAAGAAGCAAAUAGGAUGGCACUAAUUACUUUCUCCCUAGACGAGCACCAGGUGUACAUCACCUUUAUUGUGAUGUAUUGGUGGUAAGAGCCAUAGUAGCCCGGAAUGGACUGAAGUGCAUGUUUGUUGACAAUGAAAUUUCGAUGAACCUACUAUUUGGCUCAACAUUUAAUAAAAUGCAAAUUGAGCAUGGCUUGAUCCACAUUAUCGUCCCACUAUACAGAUUCACUGAUGAUGGCAUUGUCCCACGAGGACGGAUAACUUUAGUUGUUGGGAUGGAGUAAGCCUUUUUAGUGGCCCACCACUUCAUGGAAUUCUUGGUGGUAGACCAUAGAUCAGCUUACCAUGGAAUACUAGGCCGACUUGCCCUAAAGGAGCUUUAGGCUAUCACCUCAAUUCACCACUUUUGUACGAAGUUCCCAACUGAGCAUGGGAUUACCAUAGUUUGAGGCGACCAAAUCGGCUCAAGAGAAUGCUACUUCAACUCAUUGCGAAAGUUUGAGCCACGUACUGUAAAUGUCAUCAUAACUAAUAUUGCAGACAAAGUCAGAGUGGAUAUAGAAAUGCUCGACGUCCCUUAACAAGGGCAUAACCUCAAGCAGGAGAAAGACAUCGACAUGGUUGAGGCCUUUGAAGAAGGGCAUCCUCUAGAUGAAUUGGAUCCUUGGAUCAUUGAAUCCGAGUCGAACGCAACCCCAAUGGAGGAAUUGGAAACCUUUCCUGCAAACCUUCAAGACCUCACUUAGGUCUUCUGGAUAGGGAAAACACUGCCUCAAGAGAUCAAAGAGAAAUUAAUGGACUUCAUGCAAAAGAACUUAGAUGUCUUGCAUGGAAAUAUAAGGAUAUGGUGGGAAUAGACCCAAGGGUUACCUGUCAUCACUUGAACAUCAACCUCAUCUAUGCACCACACCGACAAAAGAGACGAGCCCUCAACCCGAAAAGAUAUAAGGUGCUCAAAGAGAAAGUUGACAAAUUGAGCGACAAAUACUUCAUCAGAGAUGUCAUCUACCCGAAGUGGAUAUAUAACCCAUCUUGGUAAAGAAACCUAAUAGGAAGAGGAGGAUAUGCAUUGACUUUACCAACUUAAAUAGAGCCUGUCCCCUUUCAAGGAUAUACCAACUUUUGGACUCCACAGUCAGACAUGAACUCCUUAGUUUCAUGGAUGCAUACUUGGGAUAUUACCAAAUCUCCAUGUUCUGAGUUGAUGAAGAGGCCACCUCAUUCAUCACGGAUAGAGGACUGUACUACUAUAAGGUAAUGCCCUUUGGAUUAAAGAACGCAGGCGCCACCUACUAGAGGCUAGUCGACAUGAUGUUUGUUGACCUCAUUGGCAAAACCAUGAAAGUCUUCGUAGACGACAUGUUGGUAAAAAUCCUCCAAGCAAGAGAUCAUGUAAGUCACCUCAACAACAUAUUUCAAAUUUUAGGAAAAUAUAAAAUGAAGUUGAACCCAUUGAAGUGUACCUUUGGGUAGCAUCAUGUCAAUUUUUGGGUUACAUUAUCAACCAAAGAGAAAUCGAAGAAAACCCUGAGAAGAUAUAAGCCUUGUUAGAGAUGAGAUCACCUUAGAAAUCGAAGGAGGUGCAAAGCCUCAAUGGGCGAAUCACGACAGUCAUCCGCUUCAUCUCCAAAGCCACAGGCAAAAGCUUACCCUUCUUCAAAAUUCUAAAGCAAGGAAAGUUCCAGUGGAUAGAAGAAUACAAAGCAGCCUCCCGGGCGCUGAAAAAGCACUUGGAAAAGGUACCUCUGCUAUCAAAACCAAAACCAAGCGAGCCUUUUCUAUUGUAUUUAACGAUCUCAGAAGAGACAGUCAACACAAUCCUUGUUAAGGAAGAAGAGGUAUGUCAACUAUCAGUAUAUUACAUUAGCAAGGCCUUACUGCCAGUUGAAGCCCACUACCCAGACAUGAAGAAGCUCGCUCUUUCCCUUAUGACUGUAUCAAGGAAAUUAAGGCCAUAUUUUCAGGUUCACUUCAUUGAGGUUCUAACCACCUUUCCACUCAAACAGGUGCUACAGAAGACAGACACUUCGAAUCGCCUAUUAAAAUGGGUAGUCGUGCUCAGCGAGUUUGACCUACUUUUCAAGCUCCGAAGUGCCAUCAAGGUACAAGCCUUCACAGAUUUUGUAGCGAAGUUCGCCAAAGCCCUAAAAAUUGAGGCGACCAUGGAACCAGCAGAACCCCUUAUGUGGAGCCUCCUUAUGGAUUUUUCAUCCUGAGAGGCUAGUUCAGGGACAAGUGUCUUUCUAGAAAGCUCAGAGGCCAUAAACUAAACAAUACAAUCAGGUUUGGCUUCAAAGCCUCGAACAAUGCUGUCGAAUAUGAAGUCCCUCUUAGCAGGCCUUAGGCUGGCCAAAGAAAUGGAAGUCAAAAGACUCCUAUCCAGCAGUGCUUCGUAACUUGUAGUAAGUCAGGUUAAUGGAAAAUUCGUAGCUAAGAAUAGUGGCAUGGCCUCUUAUUUGAAAUUAGUUCUAAGCCUCAUUUCCCACUUUGAGAAGUUCAAACUGGUACAGGUCCCACGCCAUGAGAAUAUUCAUCAGAUGCCUUGUCCAAGCUGGCCAGCAGCAAGGACUCCGAGCUAUAAAAAAUUGUUCCAAUUGAGCACCUUCUGAAGCCCUCCAUUGAUGGAAACGAAGAGGUGAUGUGGAUUAAAGGUACCUCACCCUUUAUAGCCUACCUGAAAGACCAAUCAAUGCCAAGCUUGAAGAACGAGGCCAAAAGGUUGAGGAGAUGGGCUGCUCAUUUCAUCUUCCACGAUGAUAUGUUGUAAAAAAGAGGUUUCACGUCGCCUCUUCUCCAAUGCAUUGGAGGAGAAGUAGCUACAUACAUAUUAAGAAAAAUCCAUGAUGGAGUAUGUGGAAAAUAUUCUAGAGGAACAGCUCUAGCUCAUAAAUUUCUUCGACAAGGCUACUUCUAGUCGACCUUGAAAAAUGAUGUGUGCUAGUUUGUUAAAAAAUGUGAUGACAAGUACCAGCGAUUUUCCAAUGUUCAAAGACAGGCCUCCCAAAGCCUUUUUGUGGGCACUAGCCCUUCGCCAUUUGCCAAGUGGGGAAUAGACUUCAUUGGCCCCCUCCCGAAAGGGAGAGGAAGCGUAACCUUUGCCAUCAUCAUUAUUGACUACUUUACCAAGUAGGUCGAAGCUAAACCUCUAGCCAAAAUAACCGAGGCAAAUACUAUAAAGUUCAUCUGGAAAAGAAUCAUUUACAGGUUCAGCAUUCCCUAUUCUCUUGUGUUCGACAAUGGUCGAUAGUUCGAUAAUAAGAAGAUGUGAGACCUGUGUAACGAACCAGAUGUAAGAAAGGAUUUUUCAAUACCUCAUCACCCAGGCAAAUGAGCAGAUUGAGACAGUAAGUAAGACAAUCAAGCACACCCUAAAAAGGAAGCUUGACGCCUCGAAAGGAGCAUGGGCUAAUGAGCUUUCCUAUGUCCUUUGGUCCAUUUGCACCACGAGCCGAACUGCAACAGGGAAAACCCCAUUCUUCACUCCUACAGGGCCAAAGCCAUGAGCCCAGUUGAAGUGGAAAUCCCCUCGCAUCUUCGUAUACACUUAAAAGAGAUUAGCAACGACGAAGUGAGAGUGCAUAACCUCCAUCUCCUGGAAGAAAAGAGAGAUUCCUCUUAAGUCAAACUGGCCACGUAUCAGAGAAAGAUGACUUGCUACUACAACACCAAGGUCAAGAACCAAACUCUACAUUUGGGAGACCUGGUACUUAGGAGGGUCUUCCCAGCAUCUAAACCAAAAGAUCCAGAAUGCUAGGGCUAAAAUGGAAAGGGCCUUAUCGUACCAUCAAGGAAUUCGAACCUAGAACUUAUCAAAUUGAAGACAUGGCAAGAAAAAUAAUGCCUCAUCAGUGGAACAUCGAGCACUUGAGGAAGUACUACCAAUAAAUGUAUGUUUUACUCUAAACUGAAGAUGACCUAAAACAGUGCCUAGAAACAUUAGGGCAACUCAUUCCUAUCCAACUAAGUGCUGACACUGCCUUAGUUUAAGAUAAUGUUAAGUUCGAAUUAUUAAUGGAAGUUUGUCUCAUCAGUGUUCUACUCGUUGGAUAGUCCUUAUGCUACAAUUUGUUAAAAAAUGUGAUGAUAAGUGCCAACGAUUUUUCAAUGUUCAAGGACAGGCCUCCCAAAGCCUUUCCGUGGUCACUAGGCCUUGGCUAUUUGCCAAGUGGGGAACAAACUUCAUUAGCCCCCUUCAGAAAGAAAGAUGAAAUGCAACCUUUGUCAUCAUCUCUAUUGACUACUUUACCAAGUGGGUCAAAGCUAAAUCUCUGGCCAAAAUCACAGAGGCAAAUACUACAAAGUUCAUCUAGAAAAAAUCAUUUGCAGGUUCAACAUUCCCCAUUCUCUUGUGUCCAAGAAUGGUUGAUAGUUUGACAAUAAGAGGAUGCGAGACCUGUGCAAUGAACUGGAUGUAAGAAAAGAUUUCUCAACACCUCAUCAUCCCAGGAAAACGAGCAGGUUGAGGUAGUGAACAAAACGAUCAAGCAUACCUAAAAAAGAAGCUUGACAUCUCAAAAUGAGCGUAGGUUGAUGAGUUUUCCCAUGUCCUCUGGGCCAUUCGCACCAUGAGCCGAACUGCAACAGGAAAAACUUCCUUCUUCAUGACCUAUAGAGCCGAAGCCAUGAGCCCAAUUGAGGUAAGAAUCCUCUCGUAUCGUCACAUACAAUUUAAUGAGAUCAACAACAACAAAGUGCGAGUGUAUAACCUCCAUCUCCUAGAAGAAAAGAGAGAUUCCUCCUAAGUCAAACUAGCCACUUUUCAGAGAAAGAUGACCCGCUACUACAACUUGAAGGUCAGGAAUCGAACUCUGUGUUUGGGAGACUUGGUACUUAGGAAGGUCUUCCCAACAUCUAAACCAACAGAGUCUGGAGUACUAGGACUGAGUUGGGAAGGGCCUUAUCGCAUCAUCAAGGAAUCUCGACCUAGACCUUAUCAAAUUGAAGACAUGGCAGGAAAAAUAAUGCCUCAUCAGUGGAACAUUGAGCACUUGAGGAAGUGCUACCAAUAAAUGUAUGUUUUACUUCGAACUGAAGAUGUCCUAUAACAGUGAUGUGAUCCAGGAGACACAAGCGACAAAGUCAAGUCCAACAUCAAGCUCGAGGAAAGAUCCAUUGAUAGUCGAUUGGGAACCGAUGACGCGAUUGAGGGUGAAGCGAGUGAAAGAGGCGUUGAGAUUGCUCGUCAAGGCAACCAUUGAUGAAACCAUGUUCAAGAUUCAAAAUGGAGCAAGUUUCAUGUCGAGAUCGAAGGUCGAAGAAGUUUGGAUCAAUGUAUUAAAAGUGGACAAAAACGGAGCGGAAGUAAAGAACCAUGCAACCGCAUAGUUCUCCACCUCUUGGGGUCACACAGAUAGGGGCAGGGCAUCAACCAGCUGAACUUGGAUGUUCCAUGCGGCUACAUGGAAUUAAACCAUGCGACCGCAUGGGUCUAUUUCAGGAAGGAUUUUUCCAAAUUUUGCGAAUUUUCCUUUUUUGAUAGAAUUUGUUUCUUUCCAUAAUUUUAGCAUAUUUUGGAUAUUAUGCACAUUUUUACCAUAUCUUAGGGUUUUAGUAUAAAUACUCAUUAUUAUUCAUUAUAUUAGAACUUUUGACAUUAUUAUUAUUAUUGAGAGGCUUUUAUUGCUUUCUUCCCGUGUUGUUCAAUUGGACAAUCUACGAACUUAUCAAGAUUAAAUCUUGAGGCGUUCCAAUCAAUGGGGUAAGAUUCACAUAUUUUUGCGUAAUCAAGAGGUCCGUACAUUGCCGACGAUUCGGGUUGCUUGGCUCCAAAUUUAUUGAAUUUAAUCCAAAAUCUUGCUUUAGCUUUUCUGGGGACGAUUUCAAUCUUGAUUGUAGGUUUAGUAGUGAUUGAUUAUGCAGGUUCAUAUCAAUUGGUAUCAGAGUUUAGGCUCUAAUCCAAGGUUAUAUCCCUUUUAAAUUCUUAUUGAGUCGGUUAUCUUUUCAUUUCCUUUGUUUUUGUUCUUGGUGUUAUUUGAGCCAGUCAUUAAUUUUGAGUUGUUGAUCCAAAAAAAUUCCUAAAAAAAUUUCAAAUGUUGUUUUUGGAUUCAAUUUGCAUACAAAUCAACUUUCGUUUAUUGCGUUAGCAUCGUUGUUGAUUUUUCUAUCCCAGGAGUAAAAAAAAUUAUUGUUCAUCGUAUGACACUCUUCAUCCGUACAGUAUAAAAAAUCCAAAAAAAAAUUUGAACUUAAAAAAAAUUGUUAUAAUUGUUAUUGAACUUGGGAAUUUACCAGUUUUAUUAGCUCGUUUUAUUAUUUGUGUCUAGUUUUAUUCUCCAGCCAAUUUAUUCUUCUAUUUUGUGUUCUUGAGUCAAUUUCUUUGUUUUGUCUAGUAACCAAGUUAUUCUAAAUUCCUUGGGCUUACUGAUUAAAAUUUUGAUUGAGUUCCAAAUUGUUCUUUUGGGGCACUUGAUGAAAGCAACGAGUGGUAAAAGGCAGAGUGGUGAGAAAAAUCAAGGGAAAAAGCCAUAUUGAGUGAAUUUCGAACGAAAUUUGUGAGGCAAAAAAUAAAUUAAAUUUAGGAUGUGGUACAGGGAAGAAUCAAAUCCGGGUAGGAUUGAUGAUCAAAUUACAAAGCUGGAGGACUCGGCAUGGAGGAUUGAGAGGAUAUUUGGAGACAUGAGGGAUGAUUGGAUAGGCAGGACACACGGUUGGAAAGGCUAAAUCCAAUUCCUGCUAAUGUGCGAAGGGGAGGUCCUAAUGCAUGGAGAUAAUGUAGACGAAAACUUAGGAUGGAGGAACAUAGUGAUCUUGAAGUUGAUAGUGGGAUACGAAGAUGUGAUUGUGGAUGCGGAGAUUGGAAGGUGAAUAAAUAGAAGAGUUAGGCAAGAAAUGAGAGGUAGCAAUUUUAAUAGAGAUGAGGUGGAUGGAAAUUUGGGAAACAUUAAAAUGACCAUUCUUUCAUUCAAAGGGAGGAGUGAUCCAGAGGCAUAUUUGGAGUGGGAGAAGAAAAUUGAAUUGAUCCUCGAUUGUCACAAUUUCUCGGGGGAGAAAAAUGUGAAAAUUGCAGUCCUUGAGUUCACCAAUUAUGCUAUUACUUGGUGGGAUCAAGUGGUGACUACGAGGCGGAGAAGUGGGGAACACCCUAUCAACACAUGGAAGGAAUUGAAAAAUAUAAUGCGAAAGAGAUUUGUACCUAAUCACUACUAAGGGGAACUUCAUAAAAAAUUGCAAAAUUUAUAUCAAAGCUCUAGGAAUGUGGAAGAUUACCAUAAGAAGAUGGAAAUGCUAAUGAUUAGGGCAAAUGUGGAGGAAGAUUGGGAAGCCACUAUGGCUUAAUUUUUGAGUGGGUUGAACAGGGACAUCGCAAAUGUAAUGGAAUUAUAGCACUAUGUGGAAAUUGAAGAUCUGCUACAUGUGGCCAUGAAGGUAGAGAGGCAGUUGAAGUGAAGACGGAUAGCAAUGUACCAAUCUGGAUCUUCGGGUUCUAAUCCUUCUUGAAAAUCGAAGUGGGAAAAUAACAAAGGAGAUGGAACUGUUACAAGAGAGAAAGUUGAGGUACCAAGAGGCAAAGAAGAGGGUGCUAGCAAGGCCAUACCAAAGAGGGAGUCACAGCCAUCAAGAAAUAAGGAUAUUAAAUGUUUUCGUUGCUUGGGAAAUGGGCACAUUGCUUCUCAAUGCCCAAACAAGAAAAUAAUGAUUUCGCGAAACAGAGGGGAAGUGGAAACUGAAAGUGAUUAUACAGAUAUGCCAGAAUUGGAGGAUGCUGAUGAAGAAGACACCACGGAGUAUGAGGUUGGUGGUAAGCUGUUGGUCACGAGGCGAGCUCUCAGCGCUCAAAUCAAGGCGGGUGACUUGGAGCAACAGCAAGAAAAUGUAUUCCACACAUGGUCUCACAUCAAUGGCAAGGUAUGUAGUGUAAUAAUUGAUGGUGGAAGUUGUACUAACAUGGCCAAUACUAAUAUGGUGGAAAAAUUGGGUUUAACAUUAUUAAAGCAUCCUCAGCCCUAUAGAUUACAAUGGUUGAAUGAAUGUGGGAAAAUCAAGGUGACAAAAAGUGUGUUAAUUAAUUUUCCAUUGAUAAAUAUCAAGAUAAGGUGAUGUGUGAUGUUGUACCUAUGCAUGCGGGGCAUAUCAAGUUAGGAAGGCCAUAACAAUACGAUAGGAAAGCAAUGCAUGAUGGGUAUAAAAAUAAGAAUAGUUUCGUGAAAGAUAGGAGGCCUAUCACUCUUGCGCCAUUAAAAUUAGCACAAGUAUAUGAGGACCAAGUUCAACUGAAAAAUGAAGAAGAAUCGAGAGAAAAUAAUGAGGUGGCUAAUAGAGAGGAAAAGUGAGUGGGGUCACAUGGGAGAAAAGAAAGAGAGUCUUCCAUGAGGAGAGAAAAGCCGAAACAAAAUUUCUUUGUGAGAGGGAUUGAAUUGAAAAAGGCAAUAAUGGAGAGACAACAAAUGAUACUAUUAGUUUACAACUCCUCAACUUUGAGGAGCCUAACACAUCCCUCCCUAGUUUGGCUAUUUCUUUGUUGCAAGAAUUUGAAGAUGUAUUUUCGGAGGACGUGCCUAGUGGGUUACCACCCAUUAGGAGAAUUGAGCACUAAAUUGACUUCAUACUUGGAGCUAUCAUUCUUAACCGACCAGCUUAUUGGAGUAAUCCAGAGGAGACAAAGGAGCUUCAGAGACAAGUUGAAGAAUUGAUGAGCAAGGGUUAUGUGAGGGAAAGCAUGAGUCCAUGUGAUGUACCUAUACUGCUGGUGCCAAAGAAAGAUGGAACUUGGAGAAUGUGCGUAGAUUGCAGAGCCAUCAACAACAUCACGAUAAAAUAUCGUCACCCAAUUCCUAGACUAGAUGACAUGUUAGAUGAGCUACAUGGUGUAUACAUAUUUACCAAAAUUGAUCUUAGGAGUGGGCAUCAUCAAAUUUGCAUGAGGGAGGAUGAUGAAUGGAAGACGACUUUUAAAACUAAAUACAUGUUGUAUGAAUGGUUAGUCAUACCAUUUGGGCUCACAAAUGCACCAAGCACUUUUAUGCGACUAAUGAAACCUGUUUUCCGUGUUUUCAUUGAAAAAUUUGUUGUAGUUUAUUUUGAUGACAUUUUGAUCUAUAGGAAGAAUCUUGAUGAGCAUGUAGGACAUUUGAGGUGUGUGCUUGUGGUUUUGAGGAAAGAACAACUUUAUGCCAAUUUUAAAAAGUGCACAUUUUGCAUGGAUAGGGUUGAAUUUCUAGGCUUUGUAGUGAGUGCUAAUGAUGUAGAGGUAGAUGAAGAGAAAAUAAAGGCUAUUAAGGAUUGGCCAACACCUAAAAACAUAACUGCAGUUAGAAAUUUUCAUGGAUUGGCUAGUUUUUAUAGGCGUUUUGUUAGAGAUUUUAGCACGAUUACCAUGCCACUAACUGAAAUUGUCAAGAAAAAAGUGGGGUUUCAAAGGUUGUGUAAAGCACCGAUUUUAGCACUUCCUAACUUUGACAGAACUUUUGAGAUUGAGUGUGAUGCAUCAAGAAUAGGUAUUGGAGCAUUCUUAAUGCUGGAUAAGAGACCGAUCGCCUACUUUAGUGAAAACUUAAGUGGUGUAGCUCUCAACUAUCCUAUAUAUGAUAAGGAGCUCUAUUCACUUGUUUGAGAUUUGGAGACAUAGCAACAUUACCUAUGGCCAAAAGAGUUCGUAAUUUACACCGACCAUGAAUCGUUGAAGCAUUUGCGUGGUUAAAGUGAGUUGAACAAAUGACAUGCACACUGGAUGAAAUUCAUAGAAACUUUUUCAUAUGUCUUCCAUUACGAAUAAGGAAAGGAAAAUGUGGUAGCAGAUGUAUUGUCGCGAAGGUAUAUGAUUCUAACUACUUUUAGUGCGAAAUUACUUGGUUUUGAGUACAUCAAGGGCAUGUAUAUAAUGAUCUUGAUUUUUCCAACAUUUACAAUUCAUGUCAUAAAGAGGUUGUAGAUAAGUACUUUAAGCAUGAGGUGUACUUUUAAGGGAAAACAAAUUAUGUGUUCCUAAUUGCUUUAUGUGUGAGUUGUUUGUUAGAUAAGCACAUAGUGGGGGACUAAUGGGUUACUUUGGGGUAGCAAAGACUUUAGAAAUAUUAACUGACCAUUUUUAUUGGCCUAAAAUGAAAGUUGAUAUGGAACGGAUUUGCAGUCGAUGCAUAACUUGUAAAAAGGCUAAAUCUAGGGUCUUACCUCAUGGACUUUACACACCUUUACCAGUGCCUAGUGAACCUUGGGUAAACUUUUUAUGGAUUUUGUGUUAGGUUUAACUAGGACUAAAAAGGGACGGGAUUCGAUGUUUAACUAGGACUAAAAAGGCUAAAUCUAGGGUCUACCUCAUGGACUUUACACACCUUUACCAGUGCCUAGUGAACCUUGGGUAAACUUUUUAUGGAUUUUGUGUUAGGUUUAACUAGGACUAAAAAGGGACGGGAUUCGAUUUUUGUAGUGGUGGAUAUGUUUAGUAAAAUGGCACAUUUCAUUCCAUGUCAUAAAACUGAUGAUGCCACUAACAUUGCAGACUUGUUCUUUAAAGAAAUUAUGCACUUGCAUGGAGUACCUAAGAGUAUUGUGUCAGAUAGGGAUGUCAAAUUUCUUAGUCACUUUUGGAGGGUCUUGUGGAAUAAGUUAGGCACGAAAUUAUUAUUUUCUACAACUUGUCACCCACAAACCGAUGAUCAAACCAAAGUAGUGAAUAGGACCAUGAUUGGAAGAGGAAGGCCGAGUUGGUGAAGUCACUCCAUGGAAAGGUACAGGAGCAAAUCGAGAAGAAGAGCAAGCAUUAUGCCGAGCAAGAAAAUAAGGGCAGGAAGAUUGUUACCUUCAAACCAAGAGAUUGGGUUUGGGUGCAAUUCACGAAAGACCGAUUCCUAGAACAGAGAAAAUCAAAGUUGCAGCCAUGGGGAGUUGGACCGUUUCAAGUACUUGAGAAGAUCAAUGACAACGUAUACACAUUAGAUCUUCCAAGUGAGUAUAGCGUUUCAUCAACUUUUAAUGUGUAUGAUCUUUUUCUCUUUGAUGCAGGUUCAGAUUUGAGGAUGAAUCCUUUCAAAGAGGAAGGGGAUGAUGUGAUCAAGAAGACACAAACGACAAAGUCAAUUCCAAUAUCAAGCCCGGGGAAAGAUCCAUUGAUAGUCGACUGGGAAAAGAUGACGCAAUCGAGGGCGAAGCAAGUGAAAGAGGCAUUGGGAUUGCUCGUUAAGGUAACCAUUGAUGAACCAUGUUUGGGAUUCAAAACAGAGCAAGUUUCAUGUUAGGAUUGAAGGCAGAAGAAGCUUGGAUCAAUGUAUUAAAAAUGGACAAAAAUGGAGCCGAAGUGAAGAACCAUGAGACUGCAUAGUUCUCCACCUCCUACGGUCGCAUAGAUAGGAACAGGGUCUCAACUGGCUGAACUUGGUUGUUCUAUACGGCUGCAUGGAAUUGAACCAUGGGACCACAUGGGUGUAUUUCAAGGAGGAUUUUUCCAAAUUUUGCGAUUUUUUCUUUUUUUGAUAGAAUUUAUUUAUUUCCAUAAUUUUAGCAUAUUUUGGAGAUUAUGCACGUUUUUACCAUGUCUUAUGGUUUUAGUAUGGAUACUCAUUAUUGUUCAUUGUAUUAGAACUUUUGACAUUAUUAUUAUUGAGAGACUUUUAUUGCUUUCUUCCUGUGUUCUUCAAUUGGACAAUCUACGAACUUAUCAAGAUUUAAAUCUUCUGGCGUUCCAAUUAAUGGGUGAGAUUCACAUAUUUUGGCAUAAUCAAGAGGUCCGCACAUCGUCGACGAUUCGGGUUGCUUGGUUCCAAAUUUAUUGAAUUUGAUCUAAAACCUUGCUUUGGCUUUCUUGGGGAUGAUUUUAAUCUUAAUUGUCGGUUUGGUAGCGAAUGUCACAUUAAACAGUGCCUGGAAACAUUAGGGCAACUCAUUCCUAUCUAACUAAGUGCUGAUAGUGACACUUCCUUAGUUUAUGAUAAUGUUAAGUUUAAAUUAUUAAUGGAAGCUCAUCUCAUUAGUAUUCUACUCGUUGGAUAGUGCUCAUGCUACUGAUUGGUGAUUAGUAGCGUUUAUGAACUUGCAAUAUCUACACAAUAAUGCAGUAGAUAGUUCAAUCAUGAAUGGAAGAAGUUAUAACACUUGAAAAAAUAUUUCAUUUCAUUAUUAGGAGGAUUACAAGAAGUGGGCCGAAGCCAUUACAAUAUAUAGUCCUACUCUACUGGUACUAUGGCCCCCUCCCAUUUCUCUAUUUCAUCGGGAGCCGCUGUAGCCCCUUCGGCAGCCGCAAUGUCAAGAUGACCUCCAAUAGGCCCACCAAACUCUUCCUCUAGAGUUGAAAUGUCCAGGUUCCCUGAGGCACUGCAAUAUAGCUUGGGCAUUCCAUGAGGUCCAAUAGUUAGCAAAAGUGUCGUACAACUCGUGCUCUUCAAAGUGGUCAAUGACAUGUUGCACGGCUGAAUCCCCAACAUCUUUCACCUUUUCUUUAAGGGAUUCGAUCUGUUCAACAUGGGCCUUCACCCACUGCCUCAGCUCAGCCUUUUCCUUGUUGGAGGCAUCUAAAGCCUCCAUGACGAGGUGAUCUCACCUUUUCCUUGUUAAUUGCUCCGACGCGGUCUCAGUUUUCACCACAUGUGUCUAUGCUCCACUUUAUUCUUCUUGACCUCUUCUGCUUUGGCCCGAGCUACCCUCACCUCAUCCCCGUAGUAUAAGGCCUUCUCUAAUCUUUGUGCCAAGUCAACGUUUUAGCCCUCAAAUCCUUCACUAGGCCUUCCAGUUGGACACUGUGCUCAAGACUCGGGCAAUGGAGGCUUUAACAUAUACACUAUGGUGUACACUUUAGUUUACACUUUAUCACGUGACAUUACCCUUUUGGAUAGUUUAAAUUUCAAACAAUUUUCCCAUCCAAUUUACACUUGACAACAAUGCAAAUCCAAACAACGUGUCAAAAAUCAGUGUAGAAAUAGUAAACUUCAAUCGGUUAGAAACUUGCCACCUGUACACUAUGGUGUACACUUUACUUUACACUUUGCCACGUGACAUUACCCUGUUGGACAGUUUAAAUUUCAAUCAAUUUUCCCACCUAAUUAACAUUCGACAACAAUGUAAGUGUCAAAGGAUGUGUCAAAAAUCAGUGUACAAAUAGCAAAGUUCAAUCGAUAAGGACCUUGCUACACGUACACUAUGGUGUAUAAUUUAGUUUACACUUUACCACGUGACAUUACCCUGUUAGACAAUUUAAAUUUCAAAUAGUUUUACCUUCCAAUUGACACUUGACAACAAUGCAAGUGUCUAACAACGUGUCAAAAAUCAGUGUACAAAUAGCAAAGUUCAAUUGGUAAGAACCAUGCUACACAUACACUAUGGUGUACAAUUUAGUUUACACUUUGCCACGUGACAUUACCCUGUUGGACUGUUUAAUUUCAAAUAGUCUACCUAUCCAAUUGAGACUUGUCAACAAUGUAAGUGUCAAACAACAUGUCAAAAAUCAGUGUACAAAUAGCAAAGUUCAAUCAGUAAGAAACUUGCUACAUGUACACUAUGGUGUAUAGUUUAGUUUACACUUUGCCACGUGACAUUACUCUGUUGUACAGUUUAAAUUUCAAAUAGUUUUCCCAUCCAAUUGACACUUGACAACAAUGUAAGUGUCAAACAACGUGUCAAAACUCAGUGUACAAAUAGCAAAGUUUAAUCGGUAAGAACCUUGUGACUUGCACACUAUGGUGUACACUUUACCACGUGAUAGUACCCUAUUGGACAGUUUAAAUUUCAAACAAUUUUUCAUCCAAUUGACACUUGACAACAAUGCAAAUGUCAAAUAACGUGUCAAAAAUCAGUGUACAAAUAGCAAAGUUCAAUCGGUAUGAACCUUGCUACAUGUACACAUUAGUUUACACUUUAUCAUAUAACAUUACCUUGUUGGACAGUUUAAAUUUUAACCAAUUUUUUUCAUCCAAUUGACACUUGAAAACAAUGCAAGUGUCAAACAACGUGUCAAAAAUUAGUGUACAAUUAGCAAAGUUCAAUUGGUAUGAACUUUGCUACAAGUACACUUUCGUUUACACUUUACCAUGUGACAUUACGCUGUUGGACAGUUUAAAUUUCAAACAUUUUUUCCAUCCAAUUGACACUUGACAACAAUUCAAAUGUCAAAUAACGUGUCAAAAAUCAGUGUUCAAAUAGCAAAGUUCAAUCGGUAAGAAUCAUGCUACAUGUACACUAUGGUGUAAAUCAUAGUGUACACAUUGCCAAGUGACAUUCCCUUGUUCGACAGUUUAAAUUUCAAACAGUUUUUCCAUCCAAUUAACACUUCACAACAAUGCAAGUGUCAAACAACGUGUCAAAAAUCAGUGCACUAAUAGCAAAGUUCAAUCGGUAAGGACCUUGCUAUAUGUAGACUAUGGUGUACACUUUUCCACAUGAUAUUACCCUAUUGGACAGUUUAAAUUUCAAAUAGUUUUCCCAUCCAGUUGACACUUGACAACAAUGCAAGUGUCAAACAACGUGUCAAAAAUUAGUGUAGAAAUAGCAAAGUUCAAUCGGUUAGAAACUUGCUUUAUGUACACUAUGUUUUACACUUUAGUUUACACUUUACCACGUGACAUUACCCUAUUGGACAGUUUAAAUUUCAAACAAUUUUCCCAUCCAAUUGACACUUGAUAACAUUACAAGUGUCAACCAACGUGUCAAAAAUCAGUGUACAAAUAGCAAAGUUCAAUUGAUAAGAAAAAUGCUACAUGUACACUACGGUGUACACUUUAGUUUACACUUUGCCAUGUGACAUUACCCUUUUGGAUAGUUUAAAUUUCAAACAGUUUUCUCAUCCAAUUGACACUUGACAACAAUGCAAGUAUCAAACAACGUGUCAAAAACCAGUGUACAAAUAGUAAAGUUCAAUCGAUAAGGACCUUGAUACAUGUACACUAUGGUGUUCACUUUAGUUUACACUUUUUCAUGUGGCAUUACCCUGUUGGAUAAUUUAAAUUUCAAACAAUUUUCCUAUCCAAUUGACAAUUGACAACAAUGCAUGUGUCAAACAACGUGUCAAAAAUCAUUGUACAAAUAGCAAAGUUCAAUUGGUAAGGACCUUAUGACAUGUACACUACGGUGUACACUUUAGUUUACACUUUGCCAAGUGACAUUACCCUGUUGGACAGUUUAAAUUUCAAACAGUUUUUCCAUCAAACAACUUGUCAAAAAUCAGCGUACGAAUAGCAAAGUUCAAUCGGUAAGGUCCCUACGACAUGUACACUAUGGUGUACACUUUAGUUUAAAAUUUGCCACAUGACAUUACCCUACUGGACAGUUUAAAUUUCAAACAGUUUUCCCAUCCGAUUGACACUUAACAAUAAUGCAAGUACUUGACAACAAUGCAAGUGUCAAGCAACGUGUCAAAAAUUAGUGUACAAAUAGCAUAGUUCAAUCGAUAUGAACCCCGCGACAUGUACAGUAUGGUUUACAGUUUAGUUUACACUUCGCCACAUGACAUUGCACUACUGGACAUUUCAAAUUUCAAAUAGGUUUUCCAUCCAAUUGACACCUGACAUCAAUGCAAGUGUCAAACAACGUGUCAAAAAUCAGUGUACAAAUAGCAAAGUUCAAUCAGUAAGAAACAUGCUACAUGUACACUAUGGUGUACACUUUAGUUUACACUUUGCCAAGUAACAUUACCCUACUGCACAGUUUAAAUUUCAAACAGCUUUCCCAUCCAAUUAACACUUGAUAACAUUGCAAGUGUCAAACAACGUGUCAAAAAUUAGUGUAGAAAUAGCAAAGUUCAAUCGGUUAGAAACUUGCUACAUGUACACUAUGGUGUACACUUUACUUUACACUUUGCCACGUGACAUUAGCCUGUUGGACAAUUUCAAUUUCAAUCAGUUUUCCUGUCCAAUUGACACUUGACAACAAUGCAAGUAUCAAACGACAUGUCAAAAAUUAGUGUACAAAUAGAAAAGUUCAAUCGAUAAGGACCUUGCUACACGUACACUAUGGUGUACAAUUUAGUUUACACUUUACCAUGUGAUAUCACCCUGUUUGAUUGUUUACAUUUCAAACAGUUUUACCAUUCAAUUGACACUUGACAAUAAUGCAAGCAUAUAACAACGUGUCAAAAAUCAGUGUACAAAUAGCAAAGUUCAUUUGUUAAGAACCGUGCUACACGUACACUAUGGUGUACAAUUUAGUUUACACUUUUCCACAUGACAUUACUCUGUUAGAUUUUUUAAAUUUUAAGCCGUUUUCCCAUCCAAUUGACACUUGACAAAAAUGCAAGUGUCAAACAGCAUGUCAAAAAUCAGCGUACAACUAGUAAAGUUCAAUCGGUAAGAACCUUGCUACAUAUAUACUAUGGUGUACAGUUUAGUUUACACUUUGCUACGUGACAUUACCCUGUUGGACAGUUUAAAUUUCAAACAAUUUUCCUAACCAGUUGACCCUUGACAGCAAUGCAAGUGUCAAACAACGUGUCAAAAAUCAGUAUACAAAUAGCAAAGUUCAAUCGGUAAGAAUCUUGUGACAUAUACACUAUGGUGUACAAUUUUCCAUGUGACAUUACCCUGUUGGAGAGUUUAAAUUUCAAACAAUUUUCCCGUCUAAUUGACACUUGACAAUAAUGCAAGUGUUAAACAACAUGUUAAAAAUCAGUGUACAAAUAACAAAGUUCAAUCGGUAUGAACCUUGCUACAUGUACACUUUAGUUUACACUUUACCACGUAACAUUACCAUGUUGGACAAUUUAAAUUUCAAAUAGUUUUCCCAUCCAAUUGGCACUUGACAACAAUGCAAGUGUCAAACAACGUGUCAAAAAUCAGUGUACAAAUAGCGAAGUUGAAUCGGUAAGGACCUUGCUGCUUGUACACUAUGGUGUACAAACUUUAGUUUAAGCUUUACCACGUGACAUUACCCUGCUUGAUAGUUUAAAUUUCAAAUAAUUUUCCUAUCCAAUUGACACUUGAAAAUAAUGCAAGUGUCGAACAAUGUGUCAAAAAUCAGUGUACAAAUAGCAAAGUUCAAUCGGUAAGAACCUUGCGGCAUGUACACUAUAGUGUACAAUUUGCCAUGUGACAUUACUUUGUUGGAGAGUUUAAAUUUCAAAUAGUUUUUCCAUCAAAUUGACACUUGACAGCAAUGCAAAUAUCAAACAACGUGUCAAAAAUUAGAGUACAAAUAGCAAAGUUCAAUCGAUAAGAACCUUGAAACAUGUACACUGUGUUGUACACUUUAGUUUACACUUUGCCACGUGACAUUCCCUUGUUCGACAGUUUAAAUUUCAAAAUUUUUUCCAUCCAAUUGACACUUGACAACAAUGCAAAUGUCAAACAACGUGUCAAAAAUCAGUGCACAAAUAGAAAAGUUCAAUCGGUAAGGACCUUGCUACUUGUAGACAAUGGUGUACACUUUAGUUUACACUUUGCCACGUGACAUUACCCUAUUGGACAGUUUAAAUUUCAAACAGUUUUUCCAUCCAGUUGACACUUGACAACAAUGCAAGUGUCAAACAACGUGUCAAAAAUCAGUGUAGAAAUAGCAAAGUUCAAUCGAUUAGAAACUUGCUUUAUGUACACUAUAGUAUAUACUUUAGUUUACACUUUGCUACUUGACAUUACCCUGUUGGACAAUUUAAAUUUUAAAUAGUUUUCCCAUCCAAUUGAUACUUGACAACAAUGCAAGUGUCAAACAACAUGUCAAAAAUCAGCAUACAAGUAGCAAAGUUCAAUCGGUGAGAAACAUGCUACAUGUAAACUACGGUGUACACUUUAGUUUACACUUUGCCACAUGACAUUACUCUUUUGGAUAGUUUAAAUUUCAAACAGUUUUCCCAUCCAAUUGACACUUCACAACAAUGCAAGUAUCAAACAACGUGUCAAAACUUAAUGUACAAAUAGCAAAGUUCAAUUGAUAAGGACCUUGAUACAUGUACACUAUGGUGUUUACUUUAGUUUACACUUUGCUACGUGGCAUUACCCUAUUGGACAGUUUAAAUUUCUAAAAGUUUUCCCAUCCAACUGACACUUGACAACAAUGCAAGUGUCAAACAACGUGUCAAAAAUCAUUGUACAAAUAGCAAAGCUCAAACGGUAAGGACCUUGCGAUGUGUACACUAUGGUGUACACUUUAGUUUACACUUUACCAAGUGACAUUACCCAUUUCUAACAGUUUUCCCAUCCAAUUGACACUGGAUAACAAUGCAAGUGUCAAACAAUGUGUCAGAAAUCGGCAUACAAAUAGCGAAGUUCAAUCGGUAAGGACCUUGCGACAUGUACACUAUGGUGUACAUUUCAGUUUGUACCUUGCCACGUUACAAUACCCUGCUGGACAGUUUAAGUUUCAAACAAUUUUCCCAUAUGAUUGACACUUCACAAAAUUGCAAGUGUCAAACAACAUUUCAAAAAUCAGUGUACAAAUAGCAAAGUUCAAUCGGUAAGAACCCUACGACAUGUACACUAUGGUGUACAGUUUAGUUUACACUUUGCCACGUGACAUUACACUACUGGACAAUUUAAAUUUCAAACAGGUUUCCCAUCCAAUUGACACUUGACGGCAAUGCAAGUGUCAAACAACGUGUCAAAAAUCAGUGUACAAAUAGCAAAGGUCAAUCGGUAUCAACCUUGCUACAUGUAUACUAUGGUGUGCACUUUAGUUUACACUUUGCCAUAUGAUAUUACCUCGUUGGGCAGUUUAAAUUUCAAACAGUUUUUCCAUCCAAUUGACACAUGACAAGAAUGUAAGUGUCAAACAAUGUGUCAAAAAUCAGAGCACAAAUAGCAAAGUUUAAUCGUUAAGGACCUUGCUACAUGUAGACUAUGGUGUACACUUUAGUUUACACUUUGCCACAUGACAUUAACCUGUUGGACAGUUUAAAUUUCAAAUAGUUUUCCCAUCUAGUCAACACUUGAAAUCAAUGCAAGUGUCAAACAACGUGUCAAAAAUCAGUGUACAAAUAGCAAAGUUCAAGCGGUAAGAACCUUGCUACAUGUAGACACUUUGCCACGUGACAUUACCCUGUUGGAUAGUUUAAAUUUCAAACAGUUGUUCCAUCCAAUUGACACUUGACAACAAUGCAAGUGUCAAGUGUGUCAAAAACCAGUGUACAAAUAGCAAAGUUCAAUCGGUCAGAACUUUGCUACAUAUACACUAUGGUGAACACUUUAGUUUACACUAUGCCACGUGACAUUACCCUGUUGGACAGUUUAAAUUUCAAACAGUUUUUCCAUCCAAUUGACACUUGACAACAAUGCAAGUGUCAAACAACAUGUCAAAAAUCAGUGUACAAAUAGCAAAGUUGAAUCGGUGAGGACCAUGCUACAUGUACACAAUGGUGUACGUACUUCAGUUUACACUUUGCCACUUGACAAUUCCCUGCUGGACAGUUUAAAUUUCAAACAAUUUUUCCAUCCAAUUGACAUUUAACAACAAUGCAAGUAUCAAACAACGUGUCAAAAAUCAGUGUACAAAUAGCAAAGAUCAAUCGGUAAGAACCUUGCGAGAUGUACACUAUGGUGUACAUACUUUAGUUUACACUUUGCCACGUGACAAUACCCUGCUGGACAGUUUAAAUUUCAAACAAUUUUUCCAUCCAAUUGACACUUGACGACAAUGUAAGUGUCAAACAAUGUGUCCAAAAUCAGUGUUGCCAUCCAAUUGACACUUGACAACGACGAAAGUGUCAAACAACGUGUCAAAAAUCAGUGCACAACUGCAAAGUUCAAUCGGUAAGAACCUUGCGACAUGUACACUAUGGUGCACACUUUGUCACGUGACAUUACCCCGUUGGACAGUUUAAAUUUCAAACAAUUUUUCCAUCCAAUUGACACUUGACAACAAUGCAAGUGUCGAACAACGUAUCAAAAAUCAGUGCACAAAUAGCAAAGUUCAAUCGGUAAGAACCUUGCUACAUGUACACUUUAGUUUACACUUUAUCACGUGACAUUACCUUAUUGGACAGUUUAAAUUUCAAACAGUUUUCCCAUCCAUUUGACACUUGGCAACAAUACAAGUGUCAAACAAUGUUUCAAAAAUCAGUAUACAAAUAGCAAAGUUCAAUCGGUAUGAACCUUGCUACAUGUACACUUUAGUUUGCCCUUUACCAUGUGACAUUACCUUGUUGAACAGUUUUACCAUCCAAUUGACACUUGACAAUAGUACAAAUGUCGAACAACGUGUCAAAAAUCAGUGUACAAAUAGCAAAGUUCAGUCGGUAAGAACCUUGCUACAUGUACACUAUGGUGUACACUUUAAUUUACACUUUGCCACGUGACAUUAACCAGAUGGACAAUUUAAAUUUCAAAUAGCUUUCCCAUCCAAUUAACACUUGAAAACAAUGCAAGUGUCAAACAAUGCGUCAAAAAUCAGUGAACAAAUAGCAAAGUUCAAUAGGUAAGAACCUUGCUAUAUGCACACACUUUGCCACAUGACAUUACCCUGUUGGACAGUUUAAAUUUCAAGCAGUUUUCCUAUCUAAUUGACACUUGACAACAAUACAAGUGCAAAACGUGUCAAAAAUCAGUGUACAAACAGCAAUGUUCAAUCGGCAAGAACCUUGCUACAUGUAAACUAUGGUGUACACUUUAGUUUACACUUUUCCACGUGACAUUACCCUGUUGGGCAAUUUAAAUUUCAAACAAUUUUUCCAUACAAUUGACCCUUGACAACAAUGCAAGUGUCAAAAAACGUGUCAAAAAUCAGUGUAUAAGUAGCAAAGUUCAAUCGGUAAGAACCUUGCUACAUGUACACUAUAGUGUACGCACUUUAGUUUACACUUUGCCACGUGACUUUACCCUGCAGGACAUUUUAAAUUUCAAUCAAUUUUCCCAUCCAAUUGAUACUUGACAACAAUGCAAGUGCCAAACGUGUUAAAAAUCAAUGUACAAAUAGCAAAGUUUAAUCGGUAAGAACCUUGCUACAUGUAAACUAUGGUGUACACUUUAGUUUACACUUUUCCAAGUGACAUUACCCUGUUGGACAAUUUAAAUUUCAAACAGUUUCCCCAUCCAAUUGACACUUGACAACAAUGCAAGUGUCAAACAACGUGUCAAAAAUCAGUGUACAAAUAGCAAAGUUCAAUCGGUAAGAACCUAGCUUCAUGUACACUAUGGUGUACACACUUUAGUUUACACUUUGCCACGUGACAUUACCUUGCUGGACAUUUUAAAUUUCAAUCAAUUUUCCCAUCCAAUUGAUACUUGACAACAAUGCAAGUGUCAAACAACAUAUCAAAAAUUAGUAUACAAAUAGCAUAGUUCAAUCGGUAAGAACCUUGCUACAUGUAUACUAUGGCGUGCACUUUCAUUUACACUUUGCCACAUGACAUUACCUUGUUGGACAGUUUAAAUUUCAAACAGUUUUCCCAUCCAAUUGAAACAUGACAACAAUGCAAGUGUCAAACAACGUGUCAAAAAUCAGAGCACAAAUAGCAAAGUUCAAUCGGUAAGGACCUUGCUAUAUGUACACUAUGGUGUACACUUUAGUUUACACUUUACAACAUGUCAUUACCCGGUUGGACAGUUUAAAUUCCAAAUAGUUUUUCCAUCCAAUUGACACUUGAUGACAAUGUAAGUGUAAAACAACGUGUCAAAAAUAAGUGUACAAAUAGCAAAGUUUAAUCGGUAAGAACCUUGCUAAAUGUAUACUAUGGUGUGCACUUUAGUUUACACUUUGUCACGUGACAUUACCUUGUUGGAUAGUUUAAAUUUCAAAUAAUUUUCCCAUCCAAUUGACACAUGACAACAAUGCAAGUGUGAAACAACGUGUUAACAAUCAGAGCACAGAUAGUAAAGUUCAAUCGGUAAGGACCUUGCUACAUGUACACUUUAGUUUACAUUUUACCACAUGACAUUACUCUAUUGGAUAGUUUAAAUUACAAACAGUUUUUCCAUCCAAUUGACACUUGACAACAAUGCAACUGUCAAACAAUGUGUCAAAAAUUAGUUUACAAAUAGUAAAGUUCAAUCGGUAAGGAACUUGCAACAUGUACACUACUGUGUACACUUUAGUUUACACUUUACCACGUGACAUUAUCCUGUUAGACAGUUUAAAUUUCAAAUAGUUUUCCCAUCCAAUUGACGCUAGACAACAAUGCAAGUGUCAAAUAACGUGUCAAAAAUCAGUUUACAAACAGCAAAGUUCAAUUGGUAUCAACCUUGCUACAUGUAUACUAUGUUGUGCACUUUAGUUUACACUUUGCUAUGUGACAUUACCUAGUUGGAUAGUUUAAAUUUCAAACAGUUUUCCCAUCCAAUUGACACAUGACAAGAAUGCAAGUGUUAAACAAUGUGUCAAAAAUUAGAGCACAAAUAGCAAAGUUCAAUCGGUAAGGAUCUUGCUACAUGUAGACUAUGGUGUACACUUUACCACGUGACAUUAUCCGGUUGGACAGUUUAAAUUUCAAACAGUUUUCCCGUCAAAAUGACACUUGACAACAAUACAAGUGUCAAACAACGUGUCAAAAUCAGUCUACAAAUAGCAAAGUUGAAUCGGUAAGAACCUUGCUACAUGUACACUAUGGUCUACACUUUAGUUUACACUUUGCCACGUGACAUUACCCUGUUGGAAAUUUUAAAUUUCAAAUAAGUUUCCCAUCCAAUUGACACUUGACAAUAAUGCAAGUGUCAAAAAACGUGUUGAAAAUUAGUGUACAAAUAGCAAAGUUGAAUCAGUAAGAACCUUGCGACUUGUACACUGUGGUGUACACUUUAGUUUACACUUUGCCACAUGACAUUACCUCGUUGGACAGUUUAAAUUUCAAACCGUUUUCCCAUCCAAUUGUCAGUUGAAAAACAAUACAAGUGUCAAACAACGGGUCCAAGAUCAAUGAACAAAUAUCAAAGUUUAAUCGGUAAGAACCUUGCGACAUGUACACUAAGGUAGACACUUUAGUUUACACUUUGCCAUGUUACAUUACCCCAUUGGACAUUUUAAAUUUCAAACAGUCAUCCCAUCCAUUUGACACUUGAAAACAAUGCAAGUGUCAAACAAAGUGUUGAAAAUGAGUGUACAAAUAGCAAAAUUGAAUCAAUAAGGACCUUGCGACAUGUACACUAUGGUGUAUACUUUAGUUUACACUUUGACGCGUGACAUUACCCAGUAGGACAGUUUAAAUUUCAAACAGUUUUCCCAUCCAAUUGAAACUUGACAACAAUGCAAGUGUCAAACAAUGUGUCAAAAAUCAGUGUACAAAUAGUAAAGUUCAAUCGGUAAGAACCUUGCGACAUGUACACCAUGGUGUACACUUUAGUUUACACUUUGCCACGUGACAUUGUCCUGUUGGACAGUUUAAAUUUCAAACAGUUUUCCCAUCCAACUGAAACUCGACAACAAUGCCAGUGUCAAACAACAGUUCAAAAAUCAGUGUAGAAAUAGCAAAGUUCAAUCGGUUAGAAACUUGCUUUAUGUACACUAUGGUAUACACUUUAGUAUACACUUUGCCAUGUGACAUUACCCUGUUGGACAUUUUAAACUUCAAACAAUUUUCCCAUCCAAUUGACACUUGACAGCAAUGCAAGUGUCAAACAAUGUGUCAAAAAUCGGUGUACAAAUAGCAAAGAACAAUCGGUAAGAAACUUGCUACAUAUGCACUAUGGUGUACACUUUAGUUACACUUUGCCACGUGAUAUUACCCUUUUGGAUAGUUUAGAUUUCAAACAGUUUUUCCAUCCGAUUGACACUUGACAACAAUGCAAGAGUCAAACAACGUGUCAAAAAUCAGUGUACGAAUAUCAAAAUUCAAUCGUUAAGGACCUUGAUACAUGUACACUAUGGUGUACACUUUAGGUUACACUUUGCCACAUGGCAUUUCCCUAUUAAACAGUUUAAAUUUCAAAUAGUUUUCCCAUCCAAUUGACACUUGACAACGAUGCAAGUGUCAAACAACGUGUCAAAAAUCAGUGUACAAAUAAUAAAGUUCAAUCGGUAAGGACCUUGCUACAUGUAAACUAUGGUGUACACUUUAGGUUACACUUUGCCAUGUGACAUUACCCUAUUGGACAGUUUAAAUUUCAAACAGUUUUCCCAUCCAAUUGACACUUGAUAACAAUGCAAGUGUCAAACGACGUGUUGAAAAUCAUUGUACAAAUAGCAAAGUUCAAUCGGUAUGGACUUUGCGACAUGUACACUAUGGUGUACACUUUACUUUAUACUUUGCCACGUGACAUUACCCUAUUGGACAAUUUAAAUUUCAAAUAGUUUUUCGAUUCAAUUGACAGUUGACAACAAUGCAAAUGUCAAACAACGUGUCAAAAAUCAGCGUACAAAUAACAAAGUUCAAUCAGUAAGGACCUUGCGACAUGUACACUAUGGUGUACACUUUAGUUUACACUUUGCCACGUAACAUUACCCUACUGGACAGUUUAAAUUUUAAAUAGUUUCCCCAUUCGAUUGACACUUGACAGUAAUGCAAGUGUCAAACAACGUGUCAAUCAGUGUACAAACAGGAAAGUUCAAUCGAUAAGGACCUUGAUACAUGUACACUAUGGUGAACAGUUUAGUUUACACUUUGCCACGUGGCAUUACCCUGUUGGACAGUUUAAAAUUCAAACAUUUUUCUCAUCCAAUUGACGCUUGACAAUAAUGCAAGUGUCAAACAACGUGUCAAAAAUCAUUGUACAAAUAGCAAAGUUCAAUCUGUAAGGACCUUGCGACAUGUACACUAUGGUGUACACUUUAGAUUACACUUUGACACGUGACAUUACCCUCCUGGACGUUUAAAUUUGAAAUAGUUUUCCCAUCCAAUUGACACUUGAUAACGUUACAAGUGUUAAACAACGUGUCAGAAAUCAGUGAUCAAAUAGCAAAGUUCAAUUACUAAGGACCUUACGACAUGUACACUAUGGAAUACACUUUAGUUUACACUUUGCCACGUGAUAUUACCCUGUUGGACAGCUUUCCCAUCCAAUUUACAGUUGACAACAAUGCAAGUCCAAACAACGUGUCAAAAAUCAAUGUAGAAAUAGCAAAGUUCAAUCAGUUAGAAACUUGCUACAUGUACACUAUGGUGUACACUUUAGUUUACCCUUUAUCACGUGACAUUAUCCUAUUAGACAGUUUACAUUUUAAAAAGUUUUCCGAUCCAUUUGACACUUGACAACAAUGCAAGUGUCAAACAACGUGUAAAAAAUCUGUGUACAAAUAACAAAGUUCAAUCGGUAAGAACCUUGCUACAUGUAUACUAUGAUGUACACUUUAGUUUACACUUUGCCACGUGACAUUACCUUGUUGAACAGUUUAAAUUUCAGACAGUUUUCCCAUCCGAUUGACACAUGACAACAAUGCAAGUGUCAAACAACAUAUCAAAAGUCAGAGCACAAAUAGCAAAAUUCGAUCGGUAAAGACCUUGCCAAAUGUACACUAUGGUAUACAGUUUAAUUUACACUUUACCACAUGACAUUACCCUAUUGGACAGUUUAAAUUUCAAACAAUUUUUCCAUUCAAUUGACGCUUGACAAGAAUGCAACUGUCAAACAACGUGUCAAAAAAGAGUUUACAAAUGGCAAAGUUCAAUCGGUAAUGACCUUGCUACGUGUACACUAUGGUGUACACUUUAGUUUACACUUUACCACAUUACAUUACCCUGUUGGACAGUUUAAAAUAGCAAAGUUCAAUCGGUAAGGACCUUGCUACAUGUACACUAUGGUGUACACUUUAGGUUACACUUUGCCUCGUGGCAUUACCCUUUUGGACAGUUUAAAUUUCAAAUAGUUUUCCCAUCCAAUUGAUACUUAACAACAAUGCAAGUGUCAAAUGACGUGUCAAAAAUCAUUGUACAAAUAGCAAAGUACAAUCGGUCAGGACCUUGCGACAUGUACACUCUGGUGUACACUUUAGUUUAAAAUUUACCACGUGACAUUACCCGGUUGGGCAGUUUAAAUUUCAAACUAUUUUUCCAUUUAAUUGACACUUGACAACACUGCAAGUGUCAAACAACGUGUCAAAAAUCAUUGUACAAAUGGCGAAGUUCAAUUGGUAAGGACCUUGCGACAUGUACACUAUAGUGUACACUUUAGUUUACACUUUGCCACGUGAAAUUACCUUGCUGGACCGUUUAAAUUUCAAACAGUUUUCCCAUCUGAUUGACACUUGACGACAAUGCAAGUGUCAAACGACGUGUCGAAAAUCAUUGUACAAAUAGCAAAGUACAAUCGGUAAGGACCUUGCGACAUGUACACUAUGGUGUACGCUUUAGUUUACACUUUGUCACGAGACAUUAGCCGGUUGGACAGUUUAAAUUUCAAACAGUUUUCACAUCCAAUUGACACUUGACAACAAUGCAAGUGUCACACAACGUGUCAAAAAUCAGCGUACAAAUAGCAAAGUUCAAUCGGUAAGGACCUUGUGACAUGUACACUAUAGUGUACACUUUAGUUUACACUUUGCCACGUGAAAUUACCCUACUGGACCAUUUAAAUUUCAAACAAUUUCCCCAUCCGAUUGACACUUGAGGACAAUGCAAGUGUCAAACAACGUGUCAAAAAUCAGUGUACAAAUAGAAAAGUUCAAUCGAUAAGGACCUUGAUACAUGUACACUAUGGUGUACUUUAGUUUACACUUUGCCACGUGGCAUUACCCUGUUGGACAUUUAAAAUUUCAAUCAAUUUUUCCAUCCAAUUGACACUUGAAGAUAAUGUAAGUGUCAAAUAACGUGUCAAAAAUCAUUGUACAAAUAACAAAAUUCAAUCGGUAAGGACCUUGCGACAUGUACACUAUGGUGUACACUUUAGUUUACAAUUUGCCACGUGAUAUUACGCUGCUGGACAGUUUCAAUUUGAAAUAGUUUUUCCAUCCAAUUGACACUUGAUAACUUUGCAAGUGUCAAACAACGUGUCAAAAAUCAGUGUACAAAUAGCAAAGUUCAAUUGCUAAGGACCUUGCGACAUGUACACUAUGGUAUACACUUUAGUUUACACUUUGCCACUUGACAUUAUCCGGUUGGACAUUUUAAAUCUCAAACAGCUUUCCCAUCCAAUUUACAGUUGACAACAAUGUAAGUCCAAACAACGUGUCAAGAAUCAGUGUAGAAAUAGCAAAGUUCAAUCGGUUAGAAACUAGCUACAUGUACACUAUGGUGUACACUUUAGUUUACACUUUACCACAUGACAUUACCCUGCUGGACAGUUUAAAUGUGAAACACUUUUCCUAUCCAAUUGACACAUGACAACAAUGCAAGUGUCAAACAACGUUUCGAAAAUCAGUGUACAAAUAACAAAGUUCAAUCGGUAAGAACCUUGCCACAUGUAUACUAUGGUGUACACUUUAGUUUACACUUUGCCACGUGAUAUUACCUUGUUGGACAGUUUAAAUUUCAAACAGUUUUCCCAUUCAAUUGACACUUGACAACAAUGCAACUGUCAAACAACGUGUCAAAAAUCAGUUUACAAAUAGCAAAGUUUAAUCGGUAAGGACCUUGCUACAUGUACACUAUGGUGUACACUUUACCACGUGACAUUACCUUGUUGGACAGUUUAAAUUUCAAACAGUUUUCCCAUCCAAUUGAUACUUGACAACAAUGCAAGUGUCAAACAACUCGUCAAAAAUCAGUGUACAGAUAGCAAAAUUCAGUCGGUAAGAACCUUGCUACAUGUAUACUAUGGUGUGCACUUUGGUUUACACUUUGCCACGUGACAUUACCUUAUUGGACAGUUUAAAUUUGAAACAGUUUUCCCAUUGAAUUGACACAUGACAUCAAUGCGAGUGUCAAACAACGUGUCAAAACUCAGAGCACAAAUAGCAAAGUUCAAUCGGUAUGGACCUUGCUACAUGUACACUAUGGUGUACACUUUAGUUUACACGUUGCCACGUGACAUUACCCUAUUGGACAGUUUAAACUUUAAAUAGUUUUCCCAUCCAAUUAACACUUAACAACAAUAUAAGUAUCAAACAACAUGUCAAAAAUCAGUGUACAAAUAGCAAAGUUCCAUUGGUAAGGACCUUGUUACAUGUACACUAUGGUGUACACUUUAGUUUACACUUUGCCAUGUGACAUUAUCCCGUUGGACAGUUUAAAUUUCAAACAGUUUUCCCAUUCAAUUGUCACUUGACAACAAUGGAAGUGCCAAACAACGUGUAAAAAAUCAGUGUACAAAUAGUAAAGUUCAAUCAAUAAAUAUCUUGCUACAUGUACACUGUGGUGUACACUUUAAUUUACACUUUUCCAUGUGACAUUGCCCUGUUGGACAGUUUAAAGUUCAAACAGUCUUCCCAUCCACUUCACACUUGACUACAAUGCAAUUGUCAAACAACGUGCCAAAAAUUAGUGUACAAAUAGCAAAUUUCAAUCGGUAAGGACCUUGUAACAUGUACACUAUGGCAUACACGUUAGUUUACACUUUGCCACGUGAUAUUACCCUGUUGUAAAGUUUAAAUUUCAACCAGUUUAUCAAUCCAAUUGACAUUUGACAACAAUGUAAGUGCCAAACAACGUGUCAAAAAUUAAUGCACAAAUAGCAAUGUUCAAUCAGUAAAAACCUCGCUACAUGUACAAUAUGGGGUACACUUUAGUUUACACUUUGCCACAUGACAUUAUCCUGUUGGACAGUUUAAAUUUCAAACAGUUUUCUCAUCCAAUUGACACUUGACAAUAAUGCAAGUGUCAAACUACGUGUAAAAAAUCAGUGUACAAAUAGCAAUUUUCCCAUCCAAUUGACACUUGACAACAAUACAAGUCUCAAACAUCGUGUCAAAAAUCAGUGUACAAAUAGCAAAGUUCAAUUGGUAAGGACCUUGCUACAUGUACACUAUCGUGUACACUUUAGUUUAUACUUUGCCACGUGACAUUACCAUUCUGGAUAGUUUAAAUUUCAAAUAAUUUUGCCAUCCAAUUCACACUUGACAGCAAUGCAAGUGUCUAACACCGUGUCAAAAAUCAUUGCAAAAAUAGAAAUGUUCAAUCGGUAAGAAUCUCGCUACAUGUACACUAUGGUAUACACCUUAGUUUACACUUUCCCACGUGACAUUACCCUGUUGGACUGUUUAAUAUUCGAACAGUUUUCCUAUUAAAUUGACACUUGACAUCAAUGCAAGUGUCAAACAACGUGUCAAAAACAUGGGUACAAAUAGCAGUUUUCCCAUCCAACUGACACUUGACAACAAUGCAAGUCUCAAACAACGUGUCAAAAAUUAGUGUACAAAUAGCAAAGUUCAAUCGGUAAGAACCUUGCUACAUGUACACUAUGGUGUACACUUUAGUUUACACUUCACCACGUGACAUUACCCUGUUCGACAGUUUAAAUUUCAAACAGCUUUCACAUCCAAUUGACACUUGACAACAAUGCAAGUCUCAAACAACGUGUCAAAAAUUAGUGUACAAAUAGCAAAGUUCAAUCGGUAAGAACCUUGCUACAUGUACACUAUGGUGUACACUUUAGUUUAUAAUUUGCCACGUGACAUUACGCUGUUGGACCGUUUAAAUUUCAAAUAGUUUUCCCACCCAAUUGACACUUGAUAAAAUUGUAAGUGUCGAACAACGUGUCAAAAAUCAGUGUACGAAUAGCAAAGUUCAAUCGGUAAGAACCUUGCUACAUGUAUACUAUGGUAUACACACUUUAGUUUAUACUUUGCCAUGUGACAUUACCCUGUUGGACAUUUUAAAAUUCAAAAAGUUUUCCAAUCCAAUUGACACUUGACAAUAAUGCAAGUGUCAAACUACGUGUCAAAAAUCAGUGCACAAAUAGCUAAGUUCAAUCGGUAAGGACCUUGCUACAUGUAAACUAUGGUGUACACUUUACAAAGUGACAUUACCCUGUUGGACAGUUUAAAUUUCAAAUAAUUUUUCCAUCCAAUUGACACUUGACAAUAAUGUAAGUGUCAAACAACGUGUCAAAAAUUAGUGUACAAAUAGCAAAGUUCAAUCGGUAAGAACCUUACGACAUGUACACUAUGGUGUACACUUUAGGUUACACUUUGCCACGUGACAAUACCCUGUUGGACAAUUUAAAUUUCAAACAGUUUUUCCUUCCAAUUGUCACUUGACAACAAUGCAAGUGUCAAACAACGUGUUAAAAAUCAAUAUACAAAUAGCAAAAUUAAAACGGUAAGAAACUUGCUACAUGUACACUAUGGUGUACACUUUAGUUUACACUUCACCACGUGACAUUACCCUAUUGGACAGUUUAAAUUUCAGACAAUUUUUCCAUCCAAUUGACACUUGACAACAAUUCAAGUGUCAAACAACGUGUCAAAAAUCAGUGUACAAAUAACAAAGUUCAAUCGGUAAGAACCAUACGACAUGUACACUAUGGUGUGCACUUUAGUUUACACUUUGCCACGUGACACGUGACACUACACUAUUGGAUAGUAUAAAUUUCAAACUAUUUUUCCAUCCAAUUGACACUUGACAAUAAUGCAAGUGUCAAACAACGUGUCAAAAAUCACUGUGCAAAUAGCAAAGUUCAAUCGGUAUGAAACUUGCUACAAAUACGAUUUCGUUUACAUUUUACGACGUGACAUUACCCUGUUGGACAGUUUAAAUUUCAAAUAGUUUUCCCAUCCAAUUGUCACUUGACGACAAUGCAAGUGUAAAAAAAAUUGUCAAAAAUCAGUGUACAAAUAGCAGAGUUCAAUCGGUAAGAACCUUGCAACAUGUGCACUAUGGUGUACACUUUAGUUUACACUUUGCCACGUGAUAUUAUGCUGUUGGAUAGUUUAAAUUUCAAAUAGUUUUUCCAUCCAAUUGACACUUGAAAAUAAUGCAAGUGUCAAACAACGUGUCAAAAAUCAGUGUACAAAUAGCAAAGUUCAAUCGGUAAGAACCUUGGUACAUGUAUACUAUGGUGUACACUUUAGUUUACACUUUACUACGUGAUAUUACCCUAUUGGAUAGUUUAAAUUUUAAACAGUUUACCCAUCUAAUUGACACUUGACAACAAUGCAAGUGUCAAACAACGUGUCAAAAAUCAGUGUACAAAUAGUAAAGUUCAAUCGGUAAGAACCCUGCGACAUGUACACUAUGGUGUACACUUUAGUUUACACUUUGCCACGUGAUGUUACCCUGUUGGACAUUUUAAAUUUCAAAUAGUUUUCCCAUCCAAUUGUCACUUGACAACAAUGUAGGUGUAAAACAACGUGUCAAAAAUCAAUGUACAAAUAACAAAGUUCAAUCGAUAAGGACCUUACUACAUGUACACUAUGGUGUACACUUUAAUUUACACUUUGCAACGUGACGUUACGUUGUUGGAAAGUUUGAAUUUCAAAUAAUUUUCCCAUCCAAUUGACACUUGACAACAAUGCACGUGUCAAACAACGUGUCAAAAAUCAGUGUCCAAAUAGCAAAGUUUAAUCGGUAUGAACCUUGCAACAUGUACACUAUGGUGUACACACUUUAGUUUACACUUUGCAAUGUGACAUUACCCUGCUAGAUUGUUUAAAUUUCAAAUAAUUUUCCCAUCCAAUUGACACUUGACAACAAUACAAGUGUCAAACAACGUGUCAAAAAUCAGUGUAUAAAUAGCAAAGUUCAAUCGGUAAGAACCUUGCGACAUCUACACUUUAGUUUACACUUUACCUCGUGACAUUACCCUGUUGGAUAGUAUAAAUUUCUAAUAGUUUUCCCAUCUAAUUAACACUUGACAACUAUGCAAGUGCCAAGCAAAGUUUCAAAAAUUAGCGUGCAAAUAGCAAAGUUCAAUCGGUAUGAACCUUGCUACAAGUACACUUUAGUUUACACUUUACCACGUGAAAUUACCCAGUUGGAUAGAUUAACGUUCAAAUAGUUUUCCCAUCCAAUUCACACUUGACAACAAUUCAUGUGUCAAACAAUGUGUCAAAAAUCAGUAUACAAAUAACAAAGUUCAAUGGGUAAGAAACUUGCUACAUCUACACUGUGGUGCACACUUUAGUUUACAAUUUAUCACAUGACAUUACCGUGUUGGACAGUCUAAAUUUUAAAUAGUUUUCCCAUCCAAUUGACACUUGACAACAAUGCAACUAUCAAACAACAUGCCCAAAAUCAGUGUAUAAAUAAUAAAAUUCAAUCGGUAAGAACCAUGCUACAAGUACACUAUGGUGUACACUUUAGUUUACACUUUGCCACGUGAUACUAUCUUGUUGGGCAGUUUAAAUUUCAAACAGUUUUUCCAUCCAAUUGACACUUGACAACAAUGCAAUUGUCAAACAACGUGUCAAAAAUUAGUGUACAAAUAGCAAAACUCAACCGGUAAGAACCUUCAUAUUUGUACACUAUGGUGUACACUUUAGUUUACACUUUACCACGUGACAUUAGCCUAUUGGACAGUUUAAGUUUCAAGCAGUUUUCCCAUCCAAUUGACACUUGACCACAUUGCAAGUGUCAAACAACGUGUCAAAAAUCAGUAUUCAAAUAGCAAAUUCAAUCAGUAUGAACCUGGCUAUAUUUACACUAUGGCGUAUACACUUUAGUUUACACAUUACCACGUGACAUUACCCUGUUGGGCAGUUUAAAUUUCAAAUAGUUUUCCCAUCCAAUUGACACUCGACAAUAAUGCAAGUGUCAAACAAUGUGUCUAAAAUCUGUGGACAAAUAGCAAAGUUCAAUCAGUAUGGACGUGACAACAUGUACACUAUGUUGUACACUUUAGUUUACACUUUGCCACGUGACAUUACCCUGCUAGACAGUUUAAAUUUCCAACUAUUUUCUUGUCCAAUUGACACUUAACAACAAUGCAAGUGUGAAACAAUAAGUCCAAAAAUCAGUGUACAAAUAGCAAAGUUGAAUCGAUAAGGACCUUGCUACAUGUACACUAUGGUGCAUAGUGUACACUUUAGUUUACACUUUGCUUCGUAACAUUACGCUAUUGGACAACUUUAAUUUCAAACAAUUUUCCAAUCCUAUUGAGACCUGACAACAAUUCAAGUGUCAAACAACGUGUCAAAAAUCAGUGUACAAAUAGCAAAGUUCAAUCGACAAGAAUCUUGCUACACGUACACUAUGGUGUACACAUUAGUUUACACGUUACCACGUGACAUUACCCUGCUGGACAGUUUAAAUUUCAAACAGUUUUCCCAUCCAAAUGACAUAGGACAAUGAUGCAUGUGUCAGACAACAUGUCCAAAAAUCAAUGUACAAAUAGCAAAAGUUAAAUUGGUAAGGACCUUGCUACAUGUACACUAUGGUGUACACUUUAGUUUACACUUUGCAACGUGACAUUACGCUGUUGGACAGUUUAAAUUUCAAAUAGUUUUCCCAUCCAUUUGACACUUGACGACAAUGCAAGUGUCAAACAACAUGUCAAAAAUCAGUGUACAAAUAGCAAAGAUCAAUCGGUAUGAACCAUGCUACAUGUAUACUAUGGUGUAUACUUUAGUUUACAUUCUACCACGUGACAUUACCUUGUUGGAUAGUUUAAAUUUCAAACAGUUUUCCCAUCCAAUUGACACUUGACAACAGUGCAUGUGUCAAACAACGUGUACAAAAAUUAAUGUACAAAUAGCAAAGUUGAAUCGGUAAGGACCUUGCCACAUGUACACUAUGAUGUAUACUUUAGUUUACACUUUCCAACGUGACAUUACAAUGUUGGACAGUUUAAAUUUCAAAUAGUUUUCCCAUCCAAUUGACAGUUGACAAUAAUGCUGUGUCAAACAACGUGUCAAAAAUUAGUGCACAAAUAGAAAAGUUCAAUCGGUAAGAAACAUGCUAUAUGUACACUAUGGUAUACACAUUGGUAUACACUUUUCCACGUGACAUUACCCUGCUAGAUAGUUUAAAUUUCAAAUAGUUUUCCCAUCUAAUUGACACUUGAAAACAAUGCAAGUGUCAAACAACGUGUCCAAAAAUCAAUGUACAAAUAGCAAAGUUGAAUCGGUGAGGUCCUUGCUACAUUUACAGUAUGGUGUACACUUUAGUUUACACUUUGCAAUGUGACAUUAUGCUUUUGGACAGUUUAAAUUUCAAACAAUUUUCCCAUCCAAUUGAGACUUGACAAAAAUGCAUGUGUCAAACAACGUGUCAAAAAUCACUGUACAAAUAAAAAAGUUCAAUCACUAAGAAACAUGCUGCGUGUGCACUAUGUAGAACCCCAAAAAAUUCUAGACACCUUAGUGGCACUAAGACAUGAAUAUUGGAUGACUAAAGUAUACUUCAAAUUUUCAGUCUCGUUUGAGACCCAUUUUCGACAUAGGAAACAUUCGAUUUGGAAAAUGAUAUCUAAAUAAAAGUUGUAUCUCUUUGAGUUACCUUUCCAACGCACUUUGAAUUACCUCAAUUGGAUAGCUAGAGAAAAAGUUAUAAUAGAAACACUGAAAGCUAUGCAGUGUCAACCGGACUACAACCGGUCGACCGAAACUGCCUGAAAUGAAAAUUGUCAUUUUUUUCUAGAAUUUAAAUAUUUAUUUUCAUCAAUUAUUUUCUCAAAGGUCCACCCACAUUUUUGGUAAUAAAAACCCCACUAAAUUGAAGCAUUUAACCUCAAACUUAAAUGACACCCAUGUUUUCUCUCUUAAAUGAAAUUUGACCCUUUAUUUGCUUUAAGUUAUGGGAUAUUUACCUAUAAAUAGAGACCUUAUUUCACUCAUUUUUUCUCACUCCAAAAGCAAGAUACUUUACAUACCAAAGAAAGAGUUUCCAAAAGAGAAAAAGAGAGGGAGGAAAACUAUUUUUCCUAGAAGUUUAAGAAGUGUUUUCAAUCAUUUUUCAUAGAAGUUUUGGGUGCUAUCAAGGAGUGUCUUCAAACACCAAUUCUCAACGGUUUUCAAACAUCCAAGGAGUGCAUUUCUUUCAACGUCCAAGUUUCAUCGAAGUUUUCAGUCCAACUUUUUGAAGUUUCAAAAACAUCAAUCAAGGUAGGUAAAGGUGCAAUGUGUUUAAUCGUGUUAAGUUAUAAGUUUCGAUUCAUGUUAAUGUUUGUAUGUCAAAUGGUACUCCGGUACGGUAUAUCCCUCUAUGUUAAUGGUUGUAUGUCAAAUGGUACUCCGGUACGGCAUACCCCUCUAUGUUGAAGAAAUGUUCGUAUGUCAAAUGUUGCCCUCGGGUACGGCAUACCCCUUCAUGUCAAAUGGUGCUUCCGGAUACGGCAUGUAUGAAAAGUUAUAAAGUUAAUGUUUUGAAAUGUAUAGCUUGAUCACGAAUGCACCCAUGGCACCUAUUGAGUUUUUCAACUCACGAGUUUAAUCCCAUCUCUACAGAUUGAAGGAAUCCUACCUCGGGCAUGGAUGGAGGAGAAGAUGGAGAGUGAUGCAAUGAGCCCAUGGAAAUCCGGUGAAUAAGUGAUUUGGAUUUAUUUUUAUGAAAUGUUUUCCAAUGUUAUUUCUUUAAAGUUUUGAAUAACGCAGAAUGCGAGAACAAGUUAUGUUUUCUUCAAAUAAAUUACAUUUUGUUGUUUUGAAAAAUGAUUCAGUGUUUUUGUUUAAAGUAUUUGAAGUAUUGUUAUUUAAAUUAUUAUCCGAAGACGUAAGCUUCCGCUAAAAUGUAUACACUUGUUACUAAACCAUCGGUUAAGCUAAGUAAAGUAAGUAGCGUUCCGGUCCACUAGGGGUCGGGGCGUUACAGCGUGGUAUUCCAUGGCAUCGUGCAUCCAUGCAUCAAUCUCAUCCUAUGGCCUAGGUAUGUUCAUGUUUAAAGUUAAUGAUUAUGUUUAUGUUAUGAUGCUUUGAUAUGAUUUAGAGAUGUUUUAUUUAAAGAUAUGUAAUGGACUUGGGCAAAAGCUAAGGACUUAAAGGGAAUUACAUGAUAUGAAAGUUUAAAUAUUUGCAUUUUUUCUUUAAGCAAAGAAAAAGUAUGAUGUAUGUGAAAAUGCAACAGAUAUGGCUCGUAGAACGGCUAGGGCGUAUAGAGAAGUAUUGAACCGUAGAAUUGCUAUUCAUUCAUAUGAACACUAUGUAACUGAUCCGACCCGACCUCUUAGCGAACAUGUGUAUGACAUCUAUGAGAGAUGCAUGACGACGGUUAAUGCUAGUAUGGAGAUCACGCAUAUUGAGGCCAUAAAUGACCUCAUACACUCCCUCCCACCUCAAUGGGGAGAUAUGGGAGUCACGGUUAGGGAUAAAAUGUUAGAAGGCAACCCAAACCUGUUCGAGUUUGAGAGGUAUAGCCAUGCCCUGAUUGAUUUGUAGGAUGAUGUAAUCCAUGAGGAGCCUAAGGAGGAACCUUUGGCUGAGGAAGAAAAUCUCGAAGAAGAACCCAAUGAUGAUUUAGAGAAUGAUCCUGAGCCUGAGCCACAGGUUGAGAUGGACAUAGAGUCCGGACCUGAGGCGGAAGACUCCUCUGAAGAUGAAGCUCCACCAAAGAAGAUCCGUAGAACUUAUAGGGAUUAGAUUUAAAUCCUUGUAAUAGCUUCCCUUAUGUCAAGAAAUAAAAUACUAUCUUCUUUGCUUUAGUAUCCGAAGAAUGAAACUAAUAAGAACCAUAUAUUUUCUCUAAAAGAAAUGGCCCGCGCAAACCAAAACUUGAUAAGAGACCUCCUUCGAGCGGUUCAAGACCUAGGCAGGCAAAACCCGAACCAAGCUCAACCCCUACCACUAGCUCCUAAUGUUCCAAACAUGCUUCAGUGGUCGAGCAAUUUCGAAGGCACAAGCUCCCUACCUUCAACAGAGCAGCUGAUCCACUUGUAGUCGAGGAGUGGCUUCGCAAGUUGGAGCGUAUAUUCUAAUUGAGAGGGUGCAUGGACGCUUAGAAAGUCCAGUGUGCUGAGUUCAUGUUCUCCGGUGAUGGAAGUCACUGGUGGGACUCAAUGUCAAGGACAAGGACCCCUGAGCAACAAGCAGAAUUGACUUGGGAGCAAUUCAAAGGGGAAGUAAUGGACAAGUACUUUCCCCAGUCCUUGAGGGAUCACAAAGAAAGUGAAUUUCUCCAACUCAAGCAAAAGACUAUGUCCCUGACUGAGUAUGGGAGGAAGUUUGAUCAACUUUCAAGGUAUGCUCCACAUCUGGUGGAUACGGAGGAUAAGAAGGUACGAAGGUUUGGACAAGGGUUGAACUCGGAUAUAAGCAUGAUACUUAUGUCCCAUCACUUCACCACAUAUCGUGAAAUGCUGGAAAGAGCUCAUGCUAUUUGGUACCAGAAGACUAGCGCCGAACAACAUGGUCAACUGUUCAAUCAACCGGACAAUGGUAACAUGGGAAAGAGGAAAUGGAAUGGCCAGGACAAGGGAAAAGGCAAGUGGCAGAACAAGAAAGCUAAUGGUGGAGCCAAUGCCAGCAAAAGCAUUGUGCUGGUUAUUGCGCCCUGUUCUAAGUGUGGAAGGACACAUCAUGGCGAGUGCUUACAAGGGAAAAUGUCUAUUUCCGAUGUGGCAAGCCAGGACAUAUCAUUAGGGAUUGUCCCACACAUACCCAGAAGAAGGAUGAUAACAGCGACCAGAACCAGAAAGGGAAAACACGAGUUUUUGCAUUGACUUAACAGGAUGUAGAGGAAAACUCUUAUGUCAUAGCAAGUACUCUACUAAUAGCCAAUACACCUGCUUAUGUAUUGUUUGAUUCAGGAGUUACACACUCCUUUGCUUCCACAACUUUUAUGGCUAAAUCUAGUAUUACCUGUGAUAAGUCGGAAGGUACAUUAGAAGUUAGUAUUCCUUCUGGCAACCCUUUGAAUACUGAUAGAAUGCCAAGUCAGUAAGUAUCAAAGUUGAGGGAAAACCAAUGGAAGCGAACCAAUACAUGAUAGAAAUGAAGGAUUUUGAUGUAGUACUAGGCAUGGAUUGGUUAGGUUGUAAUUACGCCACCAUCCGAUGUAAGAAAAUGGAAGUAUCAUUUCAGAAACCAGGAGAGGAACCAUUUUUGUUCCUUGGAAUGAAGACGAAACCCCUUAUUCGACUAGUAUCGGCUUUACAAGUUGAGAAGAUGUUGAGAAAAGAAACAUGUCAAGGAUAUCUAGUAAGUAUCUCAGGAGGGAAACAAGAGACAAUAAGGAUUGAAGAUGUACCAGUAGUACGGGAAUUCGUAGAUGUGUUUCCAAAAAAUCUAUCUGGUAUUCCACCCGAUAGAUAAGUGGAAUUCACCAUAGACCUAAUUCCCGGGGCGGCACCACUAUCUAAGGCCUUAUACCGAAUGGCCCCAAAGGAACUACAAGAAUUAAAGAAGCAGUUGCAAGAACUCCUAGAUAUGGGCUUCAUACGACCAAGCGUAUUUCCAUGGUGUGCGUCGGUGUUGUUUGUAAAGAAGAAAGAUGGAAGCAUGAGGAUGUGCAUCGAUUAUAGGGAGAUAAAUCGAUUAACCAUCAAGAAUAAGUACCCACUCCCGAGGAUCGAGGAUCUGUUAGAUCAACUGAAAGGAGCUAAGGUAUUUUCCAAGAUCAACUUACGAUAAGGAUACCAUCAACUGAAAGUAGAGAAAAAGGAUAUACCUAAGACAACUUUUAGAACUCGAUAUGGACACUACGAGUUUACGGUGAUGCCGUUUGGGCUAACCAAUGCACCUGCAGUGUUCAUGGACAUGAUGAAUCGAGUUUUUCAUCAAUACUUGGAUAAGUUUGUCAUAGUCUUCAUCGAUGACAUUCUGAUAUAUUCCAAGAGUAAGGAGCAACAUGAAGAGCACUUGAGAAUAGCCUUAGAGGUAUUACGCAAGGAAAAGCUGUAUGCCAAAUUCAAGAAGUGCGAGUUUUGGCUUGAACGAGUUGGAUUUCUUGGACAUGUAGUUACUGCCCAAGGGAUUGAAGGAGAUCCAAGAAAAGUAGAAGCAGUAACCAACUGGAAAGCACCAACAAAUGCUGGCGAAGUACGGAGUUUUUUAGGAUUGGUUGGAUAUUAUAGGAGAUUCAUAGAAGGAUUCUCCAAAAUAGCUGGACCAAUGACGGAGCUUACAAGGAAGGGAGUAAAAUUCCAAUGGACGGAAAAAUGCGAACAAAGUUUCCAAGAACUUAAGCAGAAGUUGAUAUCAGCACCUGUAUUAACAAUACCUGAAGGUACGGAAGGGUUUGUUAUAUACAGCGACGCAUCCAAGUGAGGACUGGGAUGUGUACUAAUGCAGAAUGAAAAAGUGAUAGCCUAUGCUUCAAGACAAUUGAAGAAACAUGAGCAGAACUACCCGACGCUUGAUUUAGAACUUGUAGCGGUAGUACAUGCUUUGAAGAUAUGGCGACACUACUUGUAUGGAUGGAAGUGUGAUAUCUACACAGAUCACAAAAGUCUCAAGUAUUUCUUCACACAGAAGGAAAUGAAUAUGCGACAAAGACGAUGGUUGGAAUUGGUGAACGAUUACGACUGCACUAUUCACUACCAUCCGGGUAAGGCUAAUGUUGUGGCCGACGCUCUAAGUAGAAAAUCAAUGGGAUAAUUGACGUCACUACCCAUCUCUCAAGUGGAGUUAGUCAAGGACUUGGAAAAGUUGCAGAUCGAAGUGGUUACCACACCAGGACAAGUCAUUGCUCGUCUAGUAGCUUUAAUAAUUCGACCUACUCUUAGAGAUCGAAUUAUAGAAGUACAAAAUAAAGACUCAUUUUUGCAGAAGAUUAAGAAUGAAGUUGGUACUGAUAAGAAAAAUGACUUUGGAGUAGCUGAGGAUCAGGCACUGAUAUUUAGAAGAAGAAUUUGCGUGCCUAAGAAUGAAGCCUUGAGAAACAAGAUAUUAAAAGAAGCUCAUUCCACCCAGUAAACCGCACAUCCCGGUGGUACGAAAAUAUAUCGAGAUCUUUGAGAUACAUUUUGGUGGAGAAAUAUGAAAAGAAGUAUAGGGCUGUACGUGCAGAAGUGCAUGGUAUGUCAACAGGUUAAGGCAGAACACCAAAAACCAACUGAAUUGUUAAAUCCACUAGAUAUACCUGAAUGGAAAUGGGAAAAUAUCACGAUGGACUUUGUGGUUGGAUUCCUGAAGUCAGCAAGAGGAAAUAAUGCUAUAUGGGUAGUAGUGGAUCGACUAACAAAGUCAGCUCAUUUUCUUCCAGUGAAAAUGAUAUUCAAUUUAGACCAAUUGGCACAGUUGUACAUUAAAGAGGUUGUGAGAUUACACGGUGUACUUGUAUCCAUUGUGUCUGACAGAGACCCAAGGUUCACGUCCAAAUUUUGGAAAAGUCUAUAAGGAGCUAUGGGAAUGAAGUUGAACUUUAGUACAGCAUAUCACCCUCAGUCUGAUGGUUAGUCUGAAAGGACCAUCCAAACUUUGGAAGACAUGCUGAGAACAUGUGUUUUGGAUCUAGGAGGUAAUUGGGAGUCAUACUUGCCUCUAGUAGAGUUCGCUUAUAAUAACAGUUUCCAAGCAACUAUUGGAAUGGCACCAUACAAAGUUCUCUAUGGCCGCAGAUGUAGAUCCCCUGUUCAUUGGGAUGAAGUCGGAGAGAAGAGAGUUUUGGGACCAAAAAUGGUUGAAAGGAUGGCCGAGGCAAUCGAUAAGAUCCGUGCAAGAAUAAAGGCAGCACAGUAUCGACAAAAGAGCGAUGCAGAUACAAGGAGGAAGGAUUUAGAAUUCCAAGAUGGGGAUAAAGUGUUUCUGAAAGUAGCACUGAUGAAAGGUGUACUUAGAUUUGGAAAGAAAGGCAAGCUGUACUUAGAUUUGGAAAGAAAGGCAAGCUACGACCCCGGUAUAUCGGACCUUUCGAGAUACUAGAUAGAGUCGGAAAUGUGGCUUACCGACUAGCUUUGCCACCUGAAUUAUCGGCAGUGCACGAUGUGUUCCAUAUAUCGAUGAUAAAGAAGUAUGUACAUGAUUCUAAUCAUGUAGUGAGUUAUCAAACCUUGAAGGUACAGAAAGAUUUGUCGUACGAGGAACUACCGAUCAAGAUAUUGGAUCGAAAAGUGCAUAAACUAAGGAAUAAAGAGAUUCAGCUGGUUAAGAUACAGUGGAAUCAUUAUGGCGUAGAAGAAGCCACUUGGGAAAAAGAAGAAGAAGCCAAAGACAAGUAUCCAACACUAUUCACCCAAUCAGAGGAUAAAUUUUGAGGAUGAAAUUUUAAUUAAGGUGUGGGGGAAGUAGAACCCCAAAUAAUUCUAGACACCUUAGCGUCACAAGACAUGAAUAUUGGAUGACUAAAGUAUACUUCAGAUUUUCAGUCUCAUUUGAGGCCCAUUUUCGACAUAGGAAAAAUUCAAUUUGGAAAAUGAUAUCUAAAUAAAAGUUGUAGCUCUUUGAGUUAGCUUUUCAAUGCACUUUGAAUUACCUCAAUCGGAUAUCGGGAGAAAAAGUUAUGAUAGAAACACUGAAGGCUAUGCAGUGUCAACCGGACUACAACCGGUCGACCGAAACUGUCCGAAAUGAAAAUUCUCGUUUUUCUCUAGAAUUUAAAUAUUUAUUUUCAUCAAUUAUUUUCUCAAAGGACCACCCACAUUUUUGGCAAUAAAAACCCCACUAAAUUGAAGCAUUUAACCUCAAACUUGAAUGGCAUCCAUGUUUUCUCUCUUAAAUGAAAUUUGACCUUUCAUAUGCUUCAAGUUAUGGGAUAUUUACCUAUAAAUAGAGACUUCAUUUCACUCAUUUUUUCUCACACCAAAAGCAAGAGCUUUUACAUACUAAAGAAAGAGUUUCUAAGAGAGAAAAAAAGAGGGAGGAAAACUAUUUUUUCUAGAAGUUUAAGAAGUAUUUUCAAGCAUUUUUCAUAGAAGUUUUGGGUGCUAUCAAGGAGUGUCUUCAAGCAUCAAUUCUCAACGGUUUUCAAACAUCCAAGGAGUGCAUUUCUUUCAACGUCCAAGUUUCAUCGAAUUUUUCAGUCCAAGUUUUUGAAGUUUCAAAAGCAUCAAUCAAGUUAGGUAGAGGUGCAAUGUGUUUAAUCGUGUUAAGUUAUAAGUUUCGAUUCAUGUUAAUAUUUGUAUGUCAAAUGGUACUCUGGUACGACAUAUCCCUCUAUGUUAAUGGUUGUAUGUCAAAUGGUACUCCGGUACGGCAUACCACUCUAUGUUGAAGAAAUAUUCGUAUGUCAAAUGUUGCCCUCGAGUACGGCAUACCCUUUCAUGUCAAAUGGUGCCUCCGGGUAUAGCAUGUAUGAAAAAUUAUAAAGUUAAUGUUUUGAAAUGUAUAGUUUGAUCACAAAUGCACCUAUGACACCUAUUGAGUUUUUCAACUCACGAGUUUAAUCCCAUCUCUACAGAUUGAAGGAAUUCUACCUCGGGCAUGGAUGGAGGAGAAGAUGGAGAGUGAUGCAAUGAGCCCAUGAAAAUCCGAUGAAUAAGUGAUUUGGAUUUAUUUUUAUGAAAUGUUUUUCAAUGUUAUUGCUUCAAAGUUUUGAAUAACGCAGAAUGGGAGAACAAGUUAUGUUUUUUUCAAAUAAAUUACAUUUUGUUGUUUUGAAAAAUGAUUCAGUAUUUUUGUUUAAAGUAUUUGAAGUAUAGUCAUUUAAAUUAUUACCCAAAGAUGUAAGCUUCCGCUAAAACGUCUUGUUACUAAACCACCGGUUAAGCUAAGUAAAGUAAGAAGCGUUCCGGUCCACUAGGGGUCGGGGCGUUACACACUAUGGUAUACACUUUAGUGUACACUUUGCCACGUGACAUUACCCUGUUGGACAGUUUAAAUUUUAAACAAUUUUUCCAUCCAAUUGACACUUAACAAUAAUGCAAGUAUCAAACAACGUGUCAAAAAUUAGUGUACAAAAAGCAAAGUUCAAUCGGUGAGAACCUUGCGAGAUUUAUAAUAUCGGGUACACUUUAGUUUACACUUUACCAUGUGACAUUAACUUGUUGGACAGUAUAAAUUUCAAACAGUUCUCCCAUCCAAUUGACACUUGACAACUACGCAAGUGUCAAACAAUAUUUCAAAAAUCAGUGUACAAAUAGUAAAGUUCAAUCGGUGUGAACCUUGCUACAAGUACACUUUAGUUUACACAUUAUGACGUGACCACGUGUCAAAAAUUAGUGUACAAAUAGUAAAGUUUAGUUGGUAAGAACCUUGUUACAUGUACACUAUGGUAUACACACUUUAGUUUACGCUUGGCCACGUGACAUUACCCUGUUGGACAGUUUGAAUUUCAAACAAUUUUCCCAUCCAAUUGACACUUGACAACAAUGCAAGUGUCAAACAACGUAUCAAAAAUCAGUGUACAAAUAGAAAAGUUUAAUCGGUAAGAACCUUGCGACAUGUACACUAUGGUGUACACUUUAGUUUACACUUUGCCAUGCGACGUUAACCUGUUGGACAGUUUAAAUUUAAAAUAGUUUUCCCAUCCAAUUGAUGCUUGACAACAAUGCCAGUGUCAAACGACAUGUCGAAAAUCAGUGUACAAAUAGCAAAGUUCAAUCGAUAAGGACAAUGCUACGUCUACACUAUGGUAUACACAUGUGACAUUAUCCUGUUGGACAAUUUAAAUUUCAAACAAAUUUUCCAUCCAAUUGACACUUGACAACAAAGAAUGUGUCAAAAAUCAGUGUACAAAUAGCAAAGUUCAAUCGGUAUGAACCUUGCUACAUGUACACUUCGGUUUACACUGUACCACGUGACAUUACCCUGUUCGACAGUUUAAAUUUCAAAUAAUUUUCCCAUCCAAUUGACACUUGACAAUAAUGCAAGUGUCAAACAACAUGUAAAAAAUGAGUGUACAAUUAGGAAAUUUCAAUUGGCAAGAAACUUGCUGCAUGUAUACUAUAGCGUACAAUUUAGUUUACACAUUGCCAAGUGACAUUACCCUAUUGGAAAUUCUAAAUUGCAAAUAGUUUUCCCAUCCAAAUGACACUUGACAACAAUGCAAGUGUCAAACAACGUGCCCAAAAUCAGUGUACAAAUAGCAAAGUUCAGUCGGUAAGAACCUUGCUACAUGUACACUAUGGUGUACAUUUUUGUUUAAACUUUGCCACGUGACAUUACCCUUUUGGACAGUUUAAAUUUAAAAAAAUUACCCAUCCAAUUGACACUUGACAACAAUACAAGUGUUAAACAACGUGUCAAAAAUCAGUGUACAAAUAGCAAAGUUCAAUCGGUAAGAAACUUGCUACAUGGACACUAUAAGUACACUUUAGUUGACACUUUGCCUCGUGUCAUUACCCCGUUGGACAGUUUAAAUUUCAAAUAGUUUUCCCAUCCAAUUGACACUUGACAACAAUGUAAGUGUCAAACAACGUGUCGAAAUCAGUGUACAUAUAGCAAAGUUCAAUCGGUAAAGAUCUUGCUACAUUUACACUAUGGUGUAUACUUUUGUUUACACUUUGCCACGUGACAUUACCCUGCUGGAAAGUUUAAAUUUCAAACAGUUUUUCCAUCCAAUUAACACUUUACAAUAAUGCAAGUGUCAAACAACGUGUCCAAAAAUCAAUGUACAAAUAGCAAAGUUGAAUCGGUAAGGACCUUGCUACAUGUACAUUAUGGUGUACACUUUAGUUUACACUUUGCAACGUGACAUUACGCUGUUGGAAAGUUUAAAUUUCAAAUUUUUUUUCCAUCCAAUUGACAAUUGACAACAAUGCAUGUGUCAAACAAUGUGUCAAAAAUCAAUGUACAAAUAGAAAAGUUCAAUUGGUAAGAAACAUGCUACAUGUACACUAUGGUAUACACUUUAGUAUACACUUUGCCACGUGACAUUACCCUAUUGGAUAAUUUAAAUUUCAAACAGCUUUUCCAUCCAAUUGACACUUGACAACAAUGCAAAUUUCAAACAACGUGUCAAAAAUCAAUGUACAAAUAGUAAAGCUCAAUCAGUAAGAACCUCGCGAGAUGUACACUAUAGUGUACACUUUAGUUUACACUUUGCCACGUGACAUUAAACUGUUGGAUAGUAUAAAUUUCAAAUAGUUUUUCCAUCCAAUUGACACUUGACACUACGCAAGUGUCAAACAAUGUUUCAAAAAUCAGUGUACAAGUAGCAAAAUAUAAUCGGUAUGAACCUUGCUACAAGUACACAUUAGUUUACACUUUACGACGUGACAUUACCCUGUUGGACAGUUUAAAUUUCAAAUAGUUUUGCCAUCCAAUUAUCACUUGACAACAUUGUAGGUGUAAAACAACGUGUCAAAAAUCAUUGUACAAAUAGCAAAGUUCAAUCGGUAAGGACCUUACUAUAUGUACACUAUGGUGUACACUUUAGUUUGCACUUUGCAACGUGACAUUACGUUGUGGAUAGUUUAAAUUUCAAACAGUUUUCUCAUCAAAUUGACACUUGACAACAAUACAUGUGUCAAACCACGUGUCAAAUAUCAGUGUACAAUUAGGAAAGUUCAAUUGGUAAGAACCUUGCUAUAUGUACACUAUGAUAUAUACUUAAGUUUACACUUUGCCACGUGACACUACCUGUGGGACAGUUUAAAUUUCAAAUAGUUUUUCCAUCCAAUAGUCACUUGACAACAAUACAAGUGCCAAACAACAUGUCAAAAAUUAGUGUACAAAUAGUAAAGUUCAAUCGGUAAGAACCUGGCGACAUGUACAUUAAGGUGUACACUUUAGUUUACAUGUUGCCACGUGAUAUUACCCUACUGGACAGUUUAAAUUUCAAACAUUUUUUCCAUCCAAUUGUCACUUGACAACAAUGUAGGUGUAAAACAAUAUGUCAAAAAUCAAUGUACAAAUAGCAAAGUUCAAUCGAUAUGAACCAUGCUAUAUGUACACUAUGGUGUACACUUUAGUUUACAGUUUGCCAUGUGACAUUACCCUAUCGGACAGUUUAAAUUUCAAACAGUUUUCCCAUCCAAUUGACACUUGACAACAAUGCAAGUGUCAAACAAUGUGUCAAAAAUAAUAUACAAAUAGCAAAGUUCAAUCGGUAAGAACCUUGCGACAUGUAAACGAUGAUGUACACUUUAGUUUACACUUUUUCACAUGACAUUACCCUGCUGGACAGUUUAAAUUUCAAACAAUUUUCCCAUCUAAUUGACGCUUGACAACAAUGCAAGUGUCAAACAUCGUGUCCAAAAAUCAAUGUACAAAUAGCAAAUUUGAAUCGGUAAGGACCUUGUUAUAUGUACACUAUGGUGUACACUUUAGUUUACACUUUGCCACGUGACAUUAACCUGUUGGAUAGUAUAAAUUUCAAAUAGUUUUUCCAUCCAAUUGACACUUGACAACUACACAAGUGUCAAACAAUGUUUCAAAAAUCAGUGUACAAGUAGAAAAAUAUAAUCGGUAUGAACCUUGCUACAAGUACACAUUAGUUUACCCUUUACGACGUGACAUUACCCUGUUGGACAGUUUAAAUUUCAAACAAUUUUCCCAUCUAAUUAUCACUUGACAACAUUGUAGGUGUAAAACAACGUGUCAAAAAUCAUUGUACAAAUAGCAAAGUUCAAUCAGUAAGGACCUUACUAUAUGUACACUAUGGUGUACACUUUAGUUUGCACUUUGUAACGUGACAUUACGCUGUUGGACAGUUUAAAUUUCAAACAGUUUUUCCAUCCAAUUGACACUUGACGAUAAUGCAUGUGUCAAACUACGUGGCAAAUAUCAGUUUACAAUUUGCAAAAUUCAAUCGGUAAGAACCUUGCUAUAUGUACACUAUGGUGUACACUUUAGUUUAAACUUUGCCACGUGACACUACCUGUUGGACAGUUUAAAUUUCAAAUGCUUUUUCCAUCCAAUUGACACUUGAAAACAAUGCAAGUGUUAAACGACAUGUCAAAAAUCAGUGUACAAAUAGCAAAGUUCAAUCGGUAUGAACCAUGCUACAUACACACUAUGGUGUACACUUUUGUUUACACUUUGCCACGUGACAUUGCCCUUUUGGAUAGUUUAAAUUUCAAAUAAUUUUCUCAUCCAAUUGACACUUGACAACAAUACAAGGGUCAAACAACAUGUCAAAAAUCAGUGUACAAAUAACAAAUUUCAAUCGGUAAUAACAUUGCUACAUGUACACUAUGGUGUGCACACUUUAAUUUACACUUUGCCAAAUGACAUUACCCAGUUGGACAUUUUAAAUUUAAAAUAGUUUUCUCAUCCAAUUGACACUUGGUAGCAUUGCAAGUGUCAAACAAUGCGUCCAAAAUCUGUGUACAAAUAGCAAAGUUCAAUCGGUAAGAACCUUGCUACAUGUACACUAUGAUGUGUACACUUUAGUUUACACUUUGCCACAUGAUAUUACCCUAUUGGACAAUUUAAAUUCCAAAUAGUUUUCCCAUUCAAUUGACACUUGACAACAAUGCAAGUGUCAAACAACGUGUCAAAAAUCAGUGUACAAAUAGCAAAGUUCAAUCAGUAAGGACCUUGCUACAUAAUUGAUACUUGACAACAAUGCAAGUGUCAAACAACGUGUCAAAAAUCAGUGUACAAAUAGCAAAGUUCAAUCGGUAAGAAAUUUGCUACAUGAACACUAUGAGUAUACUUUAGUUUACACUUUUUUCCCAUCCAAUUGAUACUUGACAACAAUGCAAGUGUCAAACAACAUGUCCAAAAAUUAAUGUACAAAUAGCAAAGUUGAAUCAGUAAGGACCUUGCUACAUGUACACUAUGGUGUACACUUUAGUUUACACUUUGCAACGUGACAUUACGUUGUUGGACAGUUUAAAUUUCAAAUAGUUAUCCCAUCCAAUUAACACUUGACAACAAUGCAAGCAUCAAACAGCGUGUCCAAAUAUCAAUGUACAAAUAGCAAAGUUGAAUCGAUAAGGACCUUACUACAUGUACACUAUGGUGUACACUUUAGUUUACAAUUUGCAACGUGAUAUUACGCUGUUAGAUAGUUUAAAUUUCAAACAAUUUUUUCAUCUAAUUGACACUUGACAACAAUGCAUGUGUCAAACUACGUGUCAAAUAUCAGUGUACAAUUAGCAAAGUUUAAUCGAUAAAAACCUUGCUAUAUAUACACUAUGGUGUACACUUUAGUUUAUACUUUGCCACGUGAGAUUAUGCUGUUGGACAGUUUAAAUUACAAAUAGUUUUUCCAUCCAAUUGACACUUGAUAACAAUGCAAGUCUCAAACAAUGUGUUAAAAAUCAAUGUACAAAUAGCAAAUUUCAAUCGGUAAGAACCUUGAUACAUGUACACUAUGGCGUACAAUUUAGUUUACAUUUUGCCAAGUGACAUUGCCCUAUUGGACAUUUUAAAUUUCAAAUAGUUUUCAAAUCCAAUUGACACUUGACAACAAUGCAAGUGUCAAAUAACGUGUCCAAAAUCAGUGUACAAAUAACAAAGUUCAAUCGGUAAGAACCUUGCUACAUGUACACUAUGGUGUACACUUUUAUUUACACUUUGCCACGUUACAUUGCCCUCUUGGAUAGUUUAAAUUUCAAAUAGUUUUCCCAUCCAAAUGACACUUGACAACAAUGCAAGUGUCAAACAAUGUGUCAAAUAUCUGUUUACAAAUAGUAAAUUUCAAUUUGUAAUAAUCUUGCUACAUGUACACUAUGGUGUACACUUUAGUUUACACUUUGCAACGUGACAUUACGCUGUUGAACAGUUUAAAUUUCAAACAAUUUUUCCAUCCAAUUGACACUCGACAAUAAUGCUAGUGUCAAACAACCUUUCAAAAAUUAAGGUACAAAUAGUAAAGUUCAAUCGGUAGGAACCUUGCUACAUGUACACUAUGAUGUACAGUAUUUAGUUUAUACUUUGCAACGUGACAUUACGCUGUUGGACAGUUUAAAUUUUAAAUAAUUUUUCCAUCCAAUUGACACUUCACAACAAAGCAUGUGUCAAACAACGUAUCAAAAAUCAGUGUACAAAUAGAAAAGUUCAAUCGGUAAGAAACAUGUUACAUGUACACUAUGGUAUACACUUUAGUAUACACUUUGCCACGUGACAUUACCCUGUUUGAUAGUUUAAAUUUCAAACAAUUUUCCCAUCCAAUUGACACUUGACAACAAUGCAAGUUUCAAACAACGUGUCCAAAAUUAGUGUACAAAUAGCAAAAUUCAAUCAGUAAGAACCUCUCGAGAUGUACACUAUGGUAUACACUUUAGUUUACACUUUGCCACGUGACAUUAACCUGUUGGAUAGUACAAAUUUCAAAUAGUUUUCCCAUCCAAUUAACACUCGACAACUACGCAAGUGUCAAAGAAUGUUUCAAAAAUCAUUGUACAAAUAGCAAAAUUCAAUCGGUAUGAACCUUGCUACAAGUACACUUUAGUUUACACUUUACGAUGUGACAUUACCCUGUUGGACGGUUUAAAUUUCAAACAGUUUUUCCAUCCAAUUGUCACUUGAAAAAAAUGUAGGUGUAAAACAAUAUGUCAAAAAUUAAUGUACAAAUAGCAAAGUUUAAUUGGUAAGGACCUUGCUACAUGUACACUAUGGUGUACACUUUAGUUUACACUUUGCAAUGUGACAUUACGCUGUUGGACAGUUUAAAUUUCAAACAGUUUUUCCAUCCAAUUGACACUUGACAGCAAUGCAUGUGUCAAACUACGUGUUAAAUAUCAGUGUACAAUUAGCAAAGUUCAAUCGGUAAGAACUUUGCUAUAUGUACACUAUGCUGUACACUUUAGUUUACACUUCGCCAUGUGACAUUAACCUGUUGGAUUGUAAAAAUUUCAAAUAGUUUUUCAUCCAAUUGACACUUGACAACUACGCAAGUGUCAAACAAUGUUUCAAAAAUCAGUGUGCAAAUAGCAAAGUUCAAUCAGUAUGAACCUUACUACAAGUACACUUUAGUUUACACUUUACGACGUGACAUUACCCUAUUGGAUAGUUUAAAUUUCAAAUAAUUUUCCCAUCCAACUAUCACUUGACAACAGUGUAGGUGUAAAACAACGUGUCAAAAUCCAAUGUGCAAAUAGUAAAGUUUAAUCGGUAAGGACCUUGCUACAUGUACACUAUGGUAUACACUUUUGUUUACACUUUACAACUUGACAUUACACUGUUGGAAAAUUUAAAUUUCAAACAGUUUUCCCAUCCAAUUGACACUUGACAACAAUGCAUGUGUCAAACUAUAUGUCAAUACAAUUAGCAAAGUUCAAUCGGUAAAAACCUUGCUGUAUGUACACUAUUGUGUACACUUUAAUUUACAUUUUGCCACGUGACACUACCUGUUGGAGAGUUUAAAUUUCAAAUAGUUUUUCCAUCCAAUUGACACUUGACAGUAAUGCAAGUGCCAAACAAUAUGUCAAAAAUUAGUGUACAAAUAGCAAAGUUCAAUCAGUAAGAACCUCUCGAGAUGUAUAGUAUGGUGUACACUUUAUUUUAAAAUUUACCACGUGACAUUACCCUAUUGAACAGUUUAAAUUUCAUACAGUUUUCCCAUCCAAUUGACACUUGACAAUGAUGCAAGUGUCAAACAAUGUGUCAAAAAUCAAUAUACAAAUAACAAAGUUCAAUCGGUAAGAACUUUGUGACAUGUACACUAUGCUGUACACUUUAGUUUACACUUUGCCACGUGACAUUACCUAUUGGACAGUUUAAAUUUCAAACAGUUUUCCUAUCAAAUUGACACUUGUCACACUGCCACGUGACAUUAGCCUGUUGGACAGUUUAAAUAUCAAACAAUUUUCCCAUCCAAUUGACACUUGACAACAAUGCAAGUGUCAAACAACGUGUCAAAAAUCAGUGUACAAAUAGCAAAGUUCAAUCGGUAAGAAAUUUGUUGCAUGUACACUAUGGUGUACACUUUAUUUUAAACUUUGUCACGUGACAUUACCCUAUUGGACAGUUUAAAUUUCAAACAGUUUUUCCAUCCAAUUGACACUUGACAACAAUGCGACUAUCAAACAAUGUGUCAAAAAUCAGUGCACAAAUAGCAAAGUUCAAUUGGUAAGAACCUUUUUACAUAUACACUAUGGUGUACACAAUUUAGUUUACGCUUCACCACGUGACGAUACCCUGCUGGACUAUUUAAAUUUCAAACAAUUUUCCCAUCCAACUGACACAUGACAACAAUGCAAGUGUCAUACAACAUGUUAAAAAUCAGUGUACAAAUAGCAAAGUAUAAUCGAUAAGAACCUUGCGACAUGUACACUAUGGUGUACACUUUAGUUUACACUUUACCAUGUGAUAUUAACCUGUUGGAUAGUUUAAAUUUGAAACAGUUUUCUCAUCCAAUCGACACUUGACAACAAUGCCAGUGUCAAACAACGUGCCAAAACUCAGUGUAUAAAUAGCAAAGUUCAAUCGGUAAGAACCUUACUACAUGUACACUAUGGUGUACACUUUAGUUUACACUUUACCACGUGACAUUACCCUAUUGGACAUUUUAAAUUUCAAAUAGAUUUCACAUCCAAUUGACGCUUGGCAACGAUGCAAGUGUCAAACAACGUGUCAAAAAUCAGUGUACUAAUAAAAAAGUUCAAUUGAUAUGGACCUUGCUACAUGUACAUUUUAGUUUACACUUUACCACUUGACAUUACCCUGUUGGAUAGUUUAAAUUUCAAACAGUUUUUCCAUCCAAUUGACACUUGACAACAAUGUAAGUGUCAAACGUGUCCAAAAUCAGUGUACAAAUAGAAAAGUUUAGUUGAUAAGAACCUUGCUGCAUAUACACUAUGACGUACACUUUAGUUUACACUUUGCCAUGUAACACUACCCUAUUUGACAGUUCAAAUUUCAAACAGUUUUCCUAUCCAAUUGACACAUGACAACAAUGCAAGUGUCAAACAACGUGUAAAAAAUCGAUGUACAAAUAGCAAAGUUCAAUCGGUGAGAACUUUGCGAGAUGUAAACUUUAAUUUACACUUUGCCACGUGAUAUUAACCUGUUGGGUAGCUAAAUUUCAAACAGUUUUCCCAUCCUAUUGACACUUGACAGACGUAAGUGUCAAACAAUGUUUCAAAAAUCAGAGUACAAAAAGCAAAGUUCAAUCGGUAUGAACCUUGCUACAAGUACACUUUAGUUUACACUUUACGACAUGACAUUACCGUGUCGGACAGUUUAAAUUUCAAACAGUUUUCCCAUCUAGUUGACACUUGACAACAAUGCAUGUGUCAAACUACGUGUCAAAUAUCAGUUUACAAUUAGCAAAGUUCAAUCGGUAAGAACCUUACUAUAUGUACACUAUGGUGUACACUUUAGUUUACACUUUGCCAUGUGACACUACCUGUUGGAAAGCUUAAAUUUCAAAUAGUUUUCACUUCCAAUAGACACUUGAGAACAAUGUAAGUGCCAAACAACAUGUCAAAAAUUAGUGUACAAAUAGCAAAGUUCAAUCGUUAUGAACCAUGCUACAUGCACACUAUGGUGUACACCUUUGUUUACACUUUACCACGUGACAUUACCCUAUUGGAAAGUUUAAAUUUCAAACAGUUUUCCCAUCUAAUUGACACUUGACAACAAUGUGAGUGUCAAACAAUGUGGCAAAAAUCAAUGUACAAAUAGCAAAGUUCAAUCGGUAAAAACCUUGCGACAUGUACACUAUGGUUUACACUUUUCCACGUGACAUUACCUUGCUGGACAGUUUAAAUUUCAAACAGUUUUCCCAUCCAAUUGACAUUUGACAACAAUGCAAGUGUCAAACAACAUGUCCAAAAAUAAAUGUACAAAUAGCAAAGUUGAAUCGGUAAGGACCUUGCUACAUGUCCACUUUAGUUUACAUUUUGCAACGUGACAUUACACUGUUGGACAAUUUAAAUUUCAAACAAUUUUCUCAUCCAAUUGAGACUUGACUACUAUGCAUGUGUCAAACAACGUGUCAAAUCUGUGUACAAAUAGAAAAGUUCAAUCGGUAAGAAACAUGCUACAUGUACCCAAUGGUAUACACUUUGCCACGUGACAUUACCCUAUUGGAUAAUUUAAAUUUCAAACAGUUUUUCCUUUCAAUUGACACUUGACAACAAUGCAAGUUUCAAACAACGUGUCAAAAUCAGUGUACAAAUAGCAAAGUUCAAUCGGUAAGAACCUUGCGAGAUGUACACUAUGGUGUACACUUUAGUUUACACUUUGCGACGUGACAUUAACCUGUUGGGUAGAUAAAUUUCAAACAAUUUUUCCAUCCAAUUGACACUUGACAACUAUGCAAGUGUCAAACAAUGUUUCAAAAAUCAUUGUACAAAUAGCAAAGUUCUAUCGGUAUGAACCUUGCUACAAGUACACUUUAGUUUACACUUUACGACGUGACAUUACCCUGUUGGACAGUUUAAAUUUCAAACAGUUUUCUCAUCCAAUUGUCACCUGACAACAACGUAGGUGUAAAAGAACGUGUCAAAAAUCAAUGUAGAAAUAGUAAAAUUCAAUCAGUAAGGACCUUGCUACAUGUACACUAUGGUGUACACUUUAGUUUACACUUUGUAACGUGACAUUACGCUGUUGGACAGUUUAAAUUUCAAACAGUUUUCCCAUCCACUUGACACUUGACAUAAUGAUCAUCUACAUGGAAUUUCAUAUAGGCAACCUAGGUUCGAAUCACAAUCUAGAUGUUUUUUAUAAAACUUUCAUAUAAAUUAUCUUUAUGGCUUAGAGACUCUUCAAAUUCUUAGCUAAAGACUAAAUUUAAUAAAUUUAAUGAUAAUACAACUCUCCGGCUUAAUUUUUCAUUAAAAAGAAAGGUUAUAGAAGUGGAAGGUCACUUUUUCACUACACUCCUCUUCAAAUUCGAAUUUCAUCUCAUUUUCUCUCAAAAAAAUAUAUUUCAUAUCAAGUUAAGCUUAAGGAAUAACAAGGGUGGGAAGAAGGAAGGCUUUCUAUGCAUUUUGUUCUUUUAUCCCAGAAAAUUCAAGGUAGGUAGAGGUGCAAGUGUUCAUUCGUUUUCAAAUCUGAUUUCUAGAUGAAUGUUUAAAUGAAAUGGUACCUUUGGGUACGGUGCUUCGGCACUACAAUAGUUUGAAUGAUCAUUCUUCGGCUCUACAUGUUAUGAUAAUGCUAUAGUAAUUGGAUUUUGCCAGAAAUCCAUCUACGUGCAACGGUAUGAAUUUAUAGUUCGAAAUUUCUAAUUUGAUAACGAAUUGCACCGAUGAUAUCUAUUAAGUUUCAAACUCAUGGGUUAAUUCCCUUCCUACAAGUUGAAUAGACUUUCCUUGGGGCGUAGAUGAUGGUAAACGAUGAUACAACAUGUCAUGGAGAAGCCGGUGAUUUACAUCUUUAGUUGAUUUUGAGAUGUUUACACUUUCUUUAAAUUUGAUUCCUACGAAUAUUGUGUGAAUCUAUUUUACGAACACUCAUUAUGAAUAAUUAUGUUUGGAUGUAGAUAUGCGUCAUAGGAAUAUAUUUACAAAUCACCGUAUACAAAAAAAAAAAAGUUAGCGACUUAAAGUUUUGAUAUCUCUUCAGAAAUUUCAGUUUUUGCCUCAUCUUUAAAAAAAAUCAUAACUCUUUCGUUACUUGGUAUUUUUAUACAAAACCAAUUGGAUUGGAUAGCUUAAUAAGUUAGCUACUGAAUAAAAUUGGAAUCAUGUCAAUCCAACAUCGGUAAAAGGUUAUAUGUCACAUAAAUUAAACUAUGCUGGGUGCUAUCUCUGUUUUUCAGCUUCUACCCUUAUUUUCAAAAAAAAUCAUAACUCACUCGUUACUUUGAAUUUUUGGAUGAAACUAAUUGGAUUUGAUAAUAUCAUGGAUUAGCUACUGAAUAAAUUUUAAAUCAUGUAGUUUUGACGUUGGUGGAAUUUCAUAUCCCAUUUUAAGUGAACUGCACUGGUUUACCUUUCAACCGGGUCGCUUUGAGUUUUGAAAAAUAUUUUAAUACCCCAUAUGACAUCGACGGAAGCUAAUUUUUGACUAAAUCAUAUUAUAAGGAGUUUAAUACCUUACAUUAAAAUUUGAUGAAGUUUCAAGGUCGAUAGCUAUGAGAAAUAUUUAUUUUGACAAUUACUAUUUGAGACAAAAAAAACUGGAACAGCAACAUUACUUUUAAGUUUUGCCAAAAAUUUCACGUCAAUAGUCGUUACAUGCAUGGAACCCGUUCUAAAAAUAUUUUUUGAAAUUUUUUUCUUUUAGAAUUGAAUUAUUGUUUAAAAAAAAGAAAAUUCUUUAAAAUUCUAAAAUUUAAUAUUUAUACCUUCUACUAAAAAUAUAUGGAACUAACUUUACGGCUAAGGUACAUUGGUUGAGUGACGUUUCCGUCCAUGCGGGUCGGGGCGUUACAGCGUGGUAUCAGAGCACGAGUCUUGUCGAUUCUGUAGACUUAGUGUAUUUUAUUUAUGAAAUGAAAAAAAAUGAAACAUUUAAGGCACUCCAUGGCAUCUUGCGUCUAUCAGUUGACCUCAUCCAAAGAACCCAAGGUAUGGAAUAAAAUAUUAUGUUCCACAUUAAUUUUUUCGAGCAUGAUUUUUUUAAUCAUUUAAGCUUGAAUCUAUGAAAAAUGCUUAUGACGUUUUGAAUGAAAUAUGCUAUGUACAAUAUAUUUUGUUUAAAUAUACGUGAAGAAAUGAUGAUUGGCCAUCAUAUUGAACCUCGAGAGCAUAAUGUAUAAGUUGAUAUCACUAAUGAAGAUAACACAUAAUUGGACACUUAUGUGACAGACAUGGCUAGAACUUAUCAGACCGCUAGAAAGGCCACAAUUUGUAUAGCAGUGUUGAACCGUAGGGCCAUCAUCCAGUCCUAUGAGAACUGUGUGACUGACCGGUCUCAUCCACUUAUUGAACACGUAUAUGAUAUCUAUGAGAGAUGUAUGGCAGCUGUAGAUGCGGGACUAGAGAUCUCGCAUAUCGAGGAUGUGAAUAACCUUAUACAUUCACUUCUACCUCAGUGGGGAAACAUGGGAGUCAUUGUUAGGGAUGAGAUGCUAGAGGGUAACCAUCCAGAGCACCUAAAUACAAUUGAAUUUGGUAUAUAUUGUUAGACCUUUCUAGAUAGAUGGAGUGAGAGUUUAGAACCCCAACUGGAGAUAGCAAUUGAGCCCAAUAAUGAGGUUGAGCUUGAGCUCGAGCCAGAACCUCAGUUUGAAUCAGACCCAGAUGAAGAUCCCAAAUGGGAGCAUGAGGUUGACUUUAGGUUGGACUUAGAGAAUGAUCUUGAGCAUGAACCUGAGCCACAGGUUGAGAUGGACCUAGAGUCAGGGCCUGAGACAGGAGACUCCUCCGAAGAUGAGGCUCCACCGAAGAAGAUUCACAAGAUUCAUAGGGAUUAGAAAUUUAGAUUUCCAUUUCCUUGUGAGAUAUUAUAUCUUAUCUCUAGGAAAAUGUCUGAGCAAACCAGAACAACUUGAUAAAGGAUCUCCUGCAAGCGGUUUAAGAUCUUGGCAGGCUGAAUCAAAAUCCCGCUCCACCUACACCACCAGCUUCUAUUACUCUUCUGACUCAUACCUCGGUAGUUGAGUUAUUUCGAAGGCAUAAGCCCCCUACCUUCGAUGGAGCAUCUGGUCCACUAGUAGUUGAGGAAUGGCUUCGUAAGCUAGAAUGAAUUUUUCGGCUCAUAGACUACACUGAUGCCCAAAGGGUUCAAUGUGCGGAGUUUAUGUUUACCAGUGAUGCAAGUCACUGGUGGGAUUUGAUGUCCUGAACUAGGACUCCGGAGCAGCAAUUGGCAAUAACUUGGGAACAAUUCAAGGAGGAAGUGAUGGACAAAUAUUUUCCUCAAUCUCUAAGGGAUUUCAAAGAGAACGAAUUCCUUCAACUCAAGCAGGGUAAUAUAUCCCUAACGAAUUAUGAGCGGAAGUUUGAUCAACUCUCAAGGUAUGCUCCACAUCUGGUUGACGUGAAAAUUAAGAAAACUCGAAGGUUCGAGCAAGGGUUCAACCCAGACCUAAGUAUGAUCCUUAUGUCACAUCGCUUCACGUCGUACCGUGAGAUGUUGGAAUGAGCUCACGCUAUUUGGUAUCAAAAGGCUAAUGCAGAGCAACAUCGUCAAUUGUAUAACCAGUAGGAUAAAGGGCAAAUUGGAAAGAGAAAGUGGAAUGGUCAAGACAAAGGAAUGGGCAAAUGGCAAAAUAAGAAAGUUAAUAUCGGAUCUAUUGCCAGUAAGGCCAUGGUAGCUGCAGUAGCGCCAUACCUUAAGUGUGGUAAGCCUCAUCGUGAUGAAUGCUUGUAUGGGAAGAAUGCUUAUUUUUGGUGUGGCAAAUCAGGACAUAUUGCUAGGGAUUGUCCCACAUUUGCUCAGAGAAAGGAUGAUAACAAUGAUCAGAACAAGAAGGGAAAAGCACAAGUUUUUACAUUGACUCAAAAAGAUGUAGAGGGGAACUCAAACGUAAUAACAGGUAUUUUACUGGUAGCCAAUACACCUGCUUAUAUACUGUUUGAUUCAGGAGCUACUCACUCUUUUGUAUCAACGUCUUUUAUUGAUAAAUCUAGUAUUACUUGUAAUAAGUCAAAGAGUACACUAGAAGUUAGCCUCCCCUCAGGCAGGACAUUGAACACAGACAAGUUAGCCAAGUCAGUAAAAUUCGAUAUUGAGGAAAAAACCUUAGAAGCUAAUUUGUAUAUGAUAGAUAUGAAGGACUCUGAUGUGAUUUUGGGCAUAGAUUGGUUAGGAUGUAAUUAUGCGACCAUUCGUUGUAGAGAAAGGGAAGUGUCUUUUCAAAAACCAGGAGAAGAACAAUUUUCUUUCCUCGGAAUAAAGACCAAACCCCAUCUCUUGCUGGUUUUAGCCUUACAAGCCGAGAAAAUAUUGAGAAAAGAAACAUUUCAGGGGUUUCUAUUUAAUAUCUUUGGAGAAAAAUGGGCAACGACAAAGAUUGAUGUACCAAUGGUACAAGAAUUUAUAGAUGUGUUUUCAGAAGAUCUACUGGGUAUUUCACCAGAUAGAUAAGUGGAAUUCACAAUAGAUCUAGUUCUCGGAGCGGCUCCAGUAUCUAAAGCCCCAUACAGAAUGGCCCCAAAGGAACUUCAGGAGUUGAAAAUCCAGUUACAAAAAUUGUUAGACCUUGGUUUUAUUCGACCAAGUGUAUCACCAUGGGGUGCACCAGUAUUGUUUGUAAAGAAGAAAGAUGGAAGUAUGAGGAUGUGUAUCGACUAUCGGGGUUGGACCGUUUGACCAUCAAGAAUAGGUAUCCUCUCCCUAGAAUUGAGGAUUUGUUUGAUCAAUUGAAAGGGACUAAGGCAUUUUCUAAGAUCGAUUUACGAUCUGGAUAUCAUCAAUUGAAGGUUAAGGUAGAUGAUAUACCUAAGACAGCUUUCAGAACUCGUUAUGGACAUUACGAGUUCACAGUUAUGGCAUUCGGAUUGACAAAUGCUCUGACAGUGUUCAUGGAUCUGAUGAAUCGAGUAUUUCAUCAGUAUUUGGAUCAAUUUGUUAUAGUCUUCAUUGAUGACAUUUUGAUAUACUCCAAGAGUAAAGAUCAACAUGAGGAACAUCUUAGAAUAGCGUUAGAGAUACUACGCAAGGAAAAGUUAUACGCCAAAUUUAAAAAGUGCGAAUUUUGGCUUGAACGAGUUGGAUUUCUCGAUCAUGUAGUUAUUGCCCAAGGAAUUGAAGUGGACCUAGUAAAGGUGAAAGCAGUAACUAAUUGGAAGACACCGAUUAAUGCUGGUAAAGUUUAAAGUUUUCUAGGAUUGGCUGGGUACUAUCGAAGAUUUAUAGAGGAAUUUUCCAAAAUAGCUGGACCAAUGACACAAUUGACAAGGAAAGGAGUAAAGUUGCAAUGGACAGAUAAGUGUGAGCAAAGCUUUCAGGAGCUAAAACAACGAUUGAUCACAGCACCUAUAUUAACCAUACCUAAAGGUUCAGAAGGGUUUGUUAUAUAUAGUGAUGCAUCCAAGCAAGCUUUGGGAUGUGUACUGAUGCAGCAUGGAAAAGUAAUUACCUAUGCUUUAACGCCAUUGAAGCAACAUGAGCAGAACUACCCGACGCAUGAUCUAGAACUUGCGGCAGUGGUAUGGCGCCAUUACUUAUAUGGAGGAAAGUGAAAUAUUUAUACGGAUCAUAAGAGUCUCAAAUAUUUCUUCACAUAGAAGGAAAUGAAUAUGAGACAGAGAUGAUGGUUGGAGCUAGUGAAAGAUUAUGAUUGCACUAUUCAUUAUCAUCUGGGUAAGGCUAAUGUUGUUGCUGAUGCUCUAAGCAGAAAGUAGACGGGACAGUUGGCAUCAUUACAUACUAUUUCGAUGGAGUUGAUCAAAAACUUAGAAAAGUUACAAAUUGAAGUGAUUACCACACCAGAACAAGUCACUGCUCAAUUUGCAACUUUGGUGGUUCGACCUAUUCUUAGAGACCGGAUCAUAGAAGCACGGGAUAAAGACCCUUUCUUGCAGAAGAUCAAGAACGAGAUUGGUACUGAUAAGAGAAAGGAUUUUGGAAUAGCUUCGGAUCAGGCACUAAUGUUUAAAGGAAGAAUUUGUGUGCCAAAUGAUGAAGUUUUGAGGAAGGAGAUAUUGGAGGAGGCUCAUUCCACCCCGUAUGCCGCACAUCCUGGUGGUACAAAAAUGUAUCGAGACCUUCAAAAUACAUUUUGGUGGAGGAAUAUGAAAAGAAGUAUAGGUUCAUUUCUGGCAAAAUGUAUAGUAUGCCAAUAAGUUAAAGCGGAACAUCAAAAAUUGGCAGGGUUAUUAAAUCCAUUAGACAUACCUCAAUGGAAGUGGGAGAAUAUCGUAAUGAACUUUAUGGUAGGAUUUCCAAGGUCAGCAAGAGGAUAGAAUGCUAUAUGGGUAAUAGUGGAUCAUCUAACAAAGUCCGCCAUUUUCUUCCAGUAAAAAUGACAUUCAGUCUAGAUCAGCUGGCGCAGUUGUACAUUAGAGAGACUGUAAGAUUGCGUGGUGUCCCCGUGUCCAUUGUAUCUGAUAGAGAUCCGAGAUUUACGUCAAAGUUUUGGAAGAGCUUACAAGGAGCUAUGGGAAUGAAAUUGAAUUUCAGUACAGCAUAUCACCCUCAAUUUGAUGGUCAGUCUAAAAGGACCAUUCAAACUUUGGAAGAUAUGCUAAGGGCUUGUGUUCUGGAUCUAGGAGGUAGUUGGGAAUCAUAUAUACCUCUGGUAGAAUUUGCACAUAAUAAUAGUUUCCAAGCAACUAUUGGAAUGGCACCGUAUGAAGCUCUUUAUGGUAGAAAAUGCAGAUCACCUGUUCAUUGGGACGAAGUUGGAGAAAAGAGAGUUUUGAGACCAGAGAUCAUUGAAAGAAUAGUUGAAGCCAUUGAUAAGAUCCGUACCAAGAUAAAGGCCGCGCAAGAUAGACAAAAGAGCUAUGCAGAUACCGAGAGAAAAGACUUAGAAUUUGAAAUUGGAGAGAAAGUCUUUCUAAAGGUGGCACCAAUAAAGGGUGUACUUAGGUUUGGCAAGAAAGGUAAACUACGACCUCGUUAUAUCGGACCUUUUGAAAUACUUGAUAGAGUUGGAAAUGUGGGUUUUCGAUUGGCGUUGCCACCUGAACUAUCGACAGUUCACAAUGUGUUUCAUGUAUCGAUGAUCAAAAAGUAUAUGCACGAUCCUGAUCAUGUGGUCAACUACCAAUCCUUGGAAGUACAAAAUGACUUAUCUUAUGAGGAAUUACCGAUCAAGAUACUGGAUCGAAAGGUACAUAAAUUACGGAACAAGGAGAUUCAACUAGUCAAGGUACAAUGGAAUAAUCAUGGAAUAGAAGAAGCUACUUGGGAAAGAGAAGAAGAAGUUAAAGACAAAUACCCAACACUCGUUGUCCAACCAUAAGGUAAAUUUCAAGGACGAAGUUAUAUUUAAGAUGUAAGGGUUGUAGUAGCCGAGAAAAAUAAAAUGAAAUUUUGCUAAUAUUUUGUGAUGAUCUAGCACCACGAGCCUAACCCAUUUUAGAAACGACCUUUGGAAGCUCAACCCAUGUAAGAUUACGAAAGCCCAAGUCAUAAGUUAAUUAAAAGCCCAAUAAUUUAAGAGAUUAAGUUUAAGUAAAUUUGAUUACAACGAUUUAAUGAAUAACUUGGUUGCCACAAUGGUCAUCUACAUGGAAUUUCAUAUAGGCAACCCAGGUUCGAAUAACCAUGUAGAUGUUUUUUAUAAAACUUUCAUAUGAAUUAUUUUUAUGGCUUAGAGACUCUUCAAAUUCUUAGUUAAUGACUAAAUUUAAUAAAUUUAAUGAUAAUACAACUCCCCCACUUAAUUUUUCAUUAAAAAGAAAGGUUAUAGAAGUGGAAAGUCACUUUUUCACUACACUCCUCUUCAAAUCCGAAUUUCAUCUCAUUUUCUCUAAAAAAUAUAUAUUUCAUAUCAAGUUAAGCUUAAGAAAUAACAAGGGUGAGAAGAAGGAAGGCUUUCUAUACAUUUUGUUAUUUUAUCCAAGAAAAUUCAAGGUAGGUAGAGGUGCAAGUGUUCAUUCGUUUUCAAAUAUGAUUUUUUCGAUAAAUGUUUAAAUGAAAUGGUAUCUUCAGGUAAGGUGCUUCGGCACUACAAUAGCUUGAAUGAUCAUUCUCCGGCUCUACGUGUUAUGAUAAUACUAUAGUAAUUGAAUUUUGCCGGAAAUCCAUCUAGGUGCGACAUUAUGAAUCUAUAGUUCGGAAUUUCUAAUUUGAUAAAGAAUUGCACUGAUAUCUAUUGAAUUUCAAACUCAUAGAUUAAUUCCCUUCCUACAGGUUGAAUGGAUUUUCCUUGGGACGUAGAUGAUGGUAAAGGAUGAUGCAACAUGUCAUGGAGAAGUCGGUGAUUUACAUCGUUAGUUGAUUUUGAGAUGUUUACACUUCCUUUAAAUUUGAUUCCUAUGAAUAUUGUGUGGAUCUAUUUUACGAACACUCAUUAUGAAUAAACUAUGUUUGAAAGUAGAUAUGCGUCAUAGGAAUGAAUUUACAAAUCACCGUAUACAUAAAAUAAAUAAAUAAAUAAAUAAAAAUUUGCGACUUAAAGUUUUGAUGUCUCUGUAGAAAUUUUAGUUUCUUCCUCAUCUUUAAAAAAAUCAUAACUCUUUCAUUUCUUGGUAUUUUAUAUGAAACCAAUUAGAUUGGAUAGCCUAAUAAGUUAGAUACUGAAUAAAAUUGGAUUCAUGUCAAUCCAAUAUCGGUAAAAGGUUAUAUGUCACAUAAAGUAAAUUGUGUUGGGUGCUGUUUCUGUUUUUCAGCUUCUACCCUUGUUUUCAAAAAUUCAUGACUCACUCGUUACUUGGAAUUUUUGGAUGAAACCAAUUGGAUUUGAUAGUCUCAUAGAUUAUCUACUGAAUAAAUUUAAAAUCAUGUGGUUUUAACAUCGGUGGAAUUUAUAUGCCAUUUUAAGUGAACUGCACCGGUUUAACUUUCAACCGGGUCGCUGCUAAGUUUUGAAAAAUUAUUUUAAUACCCUGUAUGAUGUCGACGGAAGCUAAUUUUUGACUAUGUCAUAUUAUAAGGAGUUUACUACCUUACAUUAAAAUUUGAUGAAAUUUCAAGGUCGAUAACUAAGAUGCCCCUCAUGUUGAUCUUUACUCUUGGAGUAUAUCAAAAUGUCAUCAAUGAAGACUAUGAUAAAUUGAUCCAAAUACUGAUGAAAUACUCGAUUCAUCAGAUCCAUGAACACUGCCGGAGCAUUUGUCAAUUCUAAUGGCAUAACUGUGAACUCGUAAUGUCUAUAACGAGUUCUGAAAGCUGUCUUAGGUAUAUCAUCUGCCUUAACCUUCAAUUGAUGAUAUCCAGAUCGUAAAUCGAUCUUAGAAAAUGCCUUAGCCCCUUUCAAUUGAUCAAACAAAUCCUCAAUUCUAGGGAGAGGAUAUAUAUUCUUGAUGGUCAAACGGUUCAACUCCUGAUAGUCGAUACACAUCAUCAUACUUCCAUCUUUCUUCUUUACAAACGAUACUGGUGCGCCCCAUGGUGAUACACUUGGUCAAAUAAAACCAAGGUCUAACAAUUCUUGUAACUGGAUUUCAACUCCUGAAGUUCCUUUGGGGCCAUUCUAUAUGGGCCUUUAGAUACUGGCGCCUCUUCGGGAACCAGAUCUAUUGUGAAUUCCACUUGUCUAUCUGGUGGAAUACUCGGUAGAUCUUCUGGAAACACAUCUAUAAAUUCUUGUACCACUGGUACAUCCUCAAUCUUUGUCGUUGCCAUUUUUUCUUCAAAGAUAUUAACUAGAAACCCUUGAGAUGUUUCUUUUCUCAAUAUUUUCUCGGCUUGUAAGGCCGAAACCAGUUGGAGAUGGGGUUUGGUCUUUAUUUCGAGGAAAGAAAAUUGUUCUUCUCCUAGUUUUUGAAAAGAUACUUCCCUUUCUCUACAACGAAUGGUCGCAUAAUUAUAUCCUAACCAAUCCAUGCCCAAAAUCACAUCAAAGUCCUUCAUAUCUAUCAUAUACAAAUUAGCUUCUAAGGUUUUUCCCUCAAUAUCAAAUUUCACUGACUUAGCUAACUUGUCUGUGUUCAAUGUCCUACCUGAGGGGAGGCUAACUUCUAGUGUACUCUUUGACUGAUUACAAGUAAUACUAGAUUUAGCAAUGAAAGAUGUUAAUACAAAAGAGUGAGUAGCUCCUAAAUCAAGCAGUAUAUAAGCAGGUGUAUUAGGUAUGAGCGAAAUACCUGUUAUUACGUUUGAGUUCCCCUCUGCAUCUUUUUGAGUCAAUGUAAAAACUCGUGCUUUCCCUUUCUUAUUCUGAUCAUUGUUAUCAUCCUUCCUCUGAGUAAAUGUGGGACAAUCCCUAGCAAUAUGUCCUGAUUUACCACACCAAAAAUAGGCGUUAUUCCCAUACAAGCAUUCACCACGAUGAGGCUUACUACACUUAGGGCAUGGCGCUACUGCAGCUACCAUGGCCUUACUGGCGCUAGAUCCGAUAUUAACUUUCUUAUUUUGCCAUUUGCCCUUUCCUUUGUCUUGACCAUUCCACUUUAUCUUUCCAAUUUGCCCUUUAUCAUGUUGGUUGUGUAAUUGACAAUGUUGCUCUGCAUUAGCCUUUUGAUACCAGAUAGCGUGAGCUCGUUCUAGCAUCUCACGGUACGACGUGAAGCGAUGUGACAUAAGGAUCAUACUUGUUCUGAUUACCACACCAGAACAAGUCACUGCUCAUUUAGCAACUUUGGUGGUUCAACUUACUCUUAGAGAUCGGAUCAUAAAAGCACAGGAUAAAGACCCAUUCUUGCAGAAGAUUAAGAACGAGAUUGGUACUGAUAAGAGAAAGGAUUUUGGAAUAGCUUCGGAUCAGGCACUAAUGUUCAAAGGAAGAAUUUGUGUACCAAAUAAUGAAGUUUUGAGGAAGGAAAUAUUGGAGGAGGCUCAUUCUACCCCGUACGCCGCACAUCAUGGUGGUACAAAAAUGUAUCGAGACCUUCGAAAUACAUUUUGGUGGAGGAAUAUGAAAAGAAGUAUAGGUUCAUUUGUGGCAAAAUGCAUAGUAUGCCAAUAAGUUAAAGCGAACAUCAACGACUAGCAGGGUUAUUAAAUCCAUUAGACAUACCUCAAUGGAAGUAGGAGAAUAUCACAAUGGACUUUGUGAUAGGAUUUCCAAGGUCAGCAAGAGGACAGAAUGCUAUAUGGGUAAUAGUGGAUCGUCUAACAAAGUCCGCUCAUUUUCUUCCUGUAAAAAUGACAUUCAGUCUAGAUCAGCUGGCGCAGUUGUACAUUAGAGAGAUUGUAAGAUUGCAUGGUGUCCCCGUGUCCAUUGUAUCUGAUAGAGAUCCGAGAUUUACGUCAAAUUUUUGGAAGAGCUUACAAGGAGCUAUGGGAAUGAAAUUGAAUUUCAGUACAACAUAUCACCCACAAUCUGAUGGUCAGCCUAGAAGGACCAUUCAAACUUUGGAAGAUAUGCUAAGGGCUUGUGUCCUGGAUCUAGGAGGCAGUUGGGAAUCGUAUAUACCUCUGGUAGAAUUUGCAUUUAAUAAUAGUUUCCAGCAACUAUUGAAAUGGCACUGUAUGACGCUCUCUAUGGUAGAAAAUGCAGAUCACCUGUUCAUUGGGACGAAGUUGGAGAAAAGAGAGUUUUGAGACCAGAGAUCAUUGAGAGAACAGUUGAAGCCGUUGAUAAGAUCCGUAUCAGGAUAAAGGCCGUGCAAGAUAGACAAAAGAGCUAUGCAGAUACCAGGAGAAAAGAUUUGGAAUUUUAAGUUGGAGAGAAAGUCUUUCUAAAGGUGGCACCAAUAAAGGGUGUACUUUGGUUCGACAAGAAAGUCAAACUACGACCUUGUUAUAUCAGACCUUUUGAAAUACUUGACAGGGUUGGAAAUGUGGCUUAUCGAUUGGCAUUGCCACCUGAACUAUCAGCAGUUCACAAUGUGUUUCAUGUAUUGAUGAUCAAAAAGUAUAUGCAUGAUCCUGAUCAUGUGGUCAACUACCAAUCCUUGGAAGUACAAAAAGACUUAUCUUAUGAGGAAUUACCGAUCAAGGUAUUGGAUCGAAAGGUAUAUAAAUUACGAAACAAGGAGAUUCAACUAGUCAAGGUGCAAUGGAAUAAUCAUGGAGUAGAAAAAGCUACUUAGGAAAGAGAAGAAGAAGUUAAAGACAAAUACCCAACACUCUUUGUCCAACCAUAUGGUAAAUUUCGAGGACGAAAUUUUAUUUUAGGUGUAAGGGUUGUAGUAGCCGAGAAAAAUAAAAUGGAAUUAUGCUAAUAUUUUGUGAUGAUCUAUCACCAUGAGCCUAACCCAUUUUAGAAACGACCUUUGGAAGCUCAACCCAUGUAAGAUUACGAAAGCCCAAGUCAUAAGUUAAUUAAAAGCCCAAUAAUUUAAGAGAUUAAGUUUAAGUAAAUUUGAUUACAACGAUUUAAUGAAUAACUUGGUUGCCACAAUGGUCAUCUACAUGGAAUUUCAUAUAGGCAACCCAGGUUCGAAUAACCAUGUAGAUGUUUUUUAUAAAACUUUCAUAUGAAUUAUUUUUAUGGCUUAGAGACUCUUCAAAUUCUUAGUUAAUGACUAAAUUUAAUAAAUUUAAUGAUAAUACAACUCCCCCACUUAAUUUUUCAUUAAAAAGAAAGGUUAUAGAAGUGGAAAGUCACUUUUUCACUACACUCCUCUUCAAAUCCGAAUUUCAUCUCAUUUUCUCUCAAAAAAAAAUAUUUCAUAUCAAGUUAAACUUAAGGAAUAACAAGAGUGAGAAGAAGGAAGGCUUUCUAUACAUUUUGUUCUUUUAUCCAAGAAAAUUUAAGGUAGGUAGAUGUGCAAGUGUUCAUCAGUUUUCAAAUAUGAUUUUUCGAUCAAUAUUUGAAUGAAAUGGUACCUUCGAGUACAGCGCUUUGGCACUAAAACAGUUUGAAUGAUCAUUCUUUGGCUCUACGUGUUAUAAUAAUGCUAUAGUAAUUGGAUUUUGCCGGAAAUCCAUCUACGUGCGACGGUAUGAAUCUAUUGUUCGAAAUUUCUAAUUUGAUAACGAAUUGCACCGAUGAUAUCUAUUGAGUUUCAAACUCAUGGGUUAAUUCCCUUCCUAUAGGUUGAAUGAAUUUUUCUUAGGGCGUAGAUGAUGGUAAAGGAUGAUGCAACAUGUCAUGGAGAAACCGGUGAUUUACAUCUUUAGUUGAUUUUGAGAUGUUUACACUUUCUUUAAAUUUGAUUCCUAUGAAUAUUGUGUGGAUCUAUUUUACGAACACUCAUUAUGAAUAAAUUAUGUUUGAAAGUAGAUAUGCAUCAUAGGAAUAAAUUUACAAAUCACCAUAUAAAAAAAAAUUAGCGACUUAAAGUUUUAAUGUCUCUUCAGAAAUUUUAAUUUUUGUCUCAUCUUUAAAAAACUUAUAACUCUUUCGUUAUUUGGUAUUUUUAUACGAAAUCAAUUGGAUUGGAUAGCCUAAUAAGUUAGCUACUGAAUGAAAUUGGAAUCAUGUCAAUCCAAUAUCGGUAAAAGCUAAUAUGUCACAUAAAGUAAACUGUGCUGGGUGCUGUCUCUGUUUUUCAGCUUCUACCCUUGUUUUCAAAAAUUCAUAACUCACUCGUUACUUGGAAUUUUUGAAUGAAACCAAUUUUAUUUGAUAUUCUCAUCGAUUAGCUACUGAAUAAAUUUGAAAUCAUGUGGUUUUCACAUUGGUGGAAUUUUAUAUGCCAUUUUAAGUGAACUACACCGGUUUACCUUUCAACUGGGUCGCUGCAGAGUUUUGAAAAAUAUUUUAAUACCCCAUAUGAUGUCGACGGAAGCUAGUUUUUGACUAUGUCAUAUUAUAAGUAGUUUAAUACCUUACAUUAAAAUUUGAUGAAGUUUAAAGGUUGAUAGCUAUGAAAACAAAUUUAUUUUGACAAUUAUUGUUUGAGAAAAAAAAACUGGAACAGCAAUAUUACUUUUUAAGUUUUGCCAAAAUUUCAUGUCAAUAGUCGUUACAUGCAUGGAGCCCAUUCUAAAAAUAUUUUUGAAAUUUUUUUCUUUUAGAAUUGGAUUAUUUUUUAAAUAAAAAAAAAGAAAAUUCUUUAAUUAAAUUCUAAAAUUUAAUCAUUAUACGUUCUACUAAAAAUAUAUUGAACUAACUUUACGGCUAAGGUACAAUGGUUGAGUGACGUUUCCGUCCACGCGGGUCGGGGCGUUACCGCUGUAAGGGCCUUGCUACAUGUACACUAUGGUAUACACUUUAGUUUACACUUUGUCAUGUGACAUUACCUUGCUGGACAGUUUAAUUUCAAACAGUUUUCCAUCCCAUUGACACUUGACAACAAUGCAAGUGUCAAACAUUUGUCAAAAAUCAGUGUACAAAUAGCAAAGUUCAAUCCAUAAGAACCUUGCUACAUGUACAUUAUGUUGUACACUUUAGUUUACACCUUGCCACGUGACAUUACGCCGUUGGACAAUUUGAAUUUCAAACAGUUAUCCCAUCCAAUUAACACUUGACAACAAUGCAAAUGUCAAAAACCAACAUACAAAUAGCAAUUUUCCCAUCUAAUUGACACUUGACAACAAUGCAAGUGUCAAACAAUAUGUCAAAUAUUAGUGUACAUAUAGCAAAAUUCAAUCGGUAAGAACCUUGCUACAUGUACACUAUAGUGUACACUUUAGUUUACACUUAACCACAUGACAUUACCCUGUUGGACAUUUUAAAUUUCAAACAGUUUUUCCAUCUAAUUAACACUUGACAACAAUGUAAGUGUCAAACAACGUGUCAAAAAUCAGUGUACAAAUAGUAGUUUUCCCAUCCAAUUGACACUUGAAAACAAUGCAAGUGUCAAAAAAUAUGUCAAAAAUCAGUGUAAAAAGUGUAAAGUUCAAUCGGUAAGAACCUUGCUACAUGUACACUAUGGUGUGCACUUUAGUUUACACUUUGCCACGUGACACUACCCUGUUGGACACUUUAAAUUUUAAACUAUUUUUCCAUCCAAUUGACACUUGUCAACAAUUCAAGUGUCAAACAACAUGUCAAAAAUAAGUGUACAAAUAGUAAAGUUCAAUCGGUAAGAACCUUGUGACAUGUACACUAUGGUGUACACUUUAGUUCGCACUUUGCCACGUGACACUACCCUGUUGGACAGUUUAAAUUUCAAACAGUUUUUCCAUCCAAUUGACACUUGACAACAAUGAAAGUGUUAAACAACGUGUCAAAAAUCAGUGUACAAAUUGCAAUGUUCAAUCGGUAAGGACCUUGCUACAUGUACACAAUGGUGUACACUUUAGUUUAAACUUUGCCACGUGACAUUAGCUUGUUGGACAGUUUAAAUUUCAAAUAGUUUUCCCAUCCAAUUGACACUUGACAACAAUGCAAGUGUCAAACAACGUGUCAAAAAUUAGUGUACAAAUAGCAAAGUUCAAUCGGUAAGGACCUUGCUACAUGUACACUAUGGUGUACACUUUAGUUUACACUUUGCUACAUGACAUUACCGUGUUAGAAUAUUUAAAUUUCAAAUAAUUUUCCCAUCCAAUUGACACUUGACAACAAUGUAAGUGUCAAACAACAUGUCAAAAUUUAGUGUACAAAUAACAGUUUUCCCAUUCUAUUGACACUUGACAUUAAUGCAAGUGUCAAACAACCUGUUAAAAAUUACUGUACAAAUAGCAAAGUUCAAGUGGUAAGAACCUUGCUACAUGUACACUAUGAUGUACAUUUUAGUUUACACAUUUCCACGUGACAUUACCCUGUUGGAGAGUUUAAAUUUCAAACAGUUUUCCCUUCAAAUUGACACUUGACAACAAUGCAAGGGUCAAACAACGUGUCAAAAAUCAGUGUACAAAUUGCAGUGUUUAAUCGGUAAGGAUCUUGCUAUAUGUACACUAUGGUGUACACUAUAGUUUAAAGUUUGCCACGUGACAUUAGCCUGUUGGACAAUUUAAAUUUCAAAUAGUUUUCCCAUCCAAUUGAAACUUGAUAACAAUGCUAGUGUCAAACAACGUGUCAAAAAUCAAUGUACAAAUAGUAGUUUUCCAAUCCAAUUGACACUUGACAACAAUGCAAGUGUCAAACAGCGUGUCAAAAAUUAGUAUACAAAUAGCAAAGUUCUUUCAGUAAGAACCUUGUUACAUGUACGCUAUGGUGUACACUUCAGUUUACACUUUGCCACGUGACGUUACCCUGUUGGACUAUUUAAAUUUCAAACAGUUUUCCCAUCCAAUUGACACUUGACAACAAUGCAAAUGCCGAGCAACGUGUCGAAAAUCUGUAUACAAAUAGCAAAGUUCAAUCGAUAAGGAUCUUGCUACAUGUACACAAUGGUAUACACUUUAGUUUACACUUUGCCACGUGACAUUGCCCUGUUAGACAGUAUAAAUUUCUAACAAUUUUCCCUUCGAAUUAACACUUGACAACAAUGCAAGUGUCAAAUAAUGUGACAAAAAUCAAUGUACAAAUAGCAAAGUUCAAUCGAUAAGAACCUUGCUAUAUGUACACUAUGGUGUACACUUUAGUUUACACGCUGUCACGUGACAUUACCCUGUUGGACAGUUUAAAUCUCAAGCAGUUUUCCCAUCCAAUUGACACUUGACAACAAUGUAUGUGUCAAACAACAUGUUAAAAGUCAGUGUACAAAUAGCAGUUUUCCCUUCCAAUUGACACUUGACACUUGACAUUAAUGCAAGUGUCAAACAACGAGUCAAAAAUCAGUGUAAAAAUUGCAAAGUUCAAUCGGUAAGAACUUUGCUACAUAUACACUUUAGUUUACACAUUGCCACGUCACACUACCCUGUUGGAGAGUUUAAAUUUUAAACAGUUUUCUCAUCCAAUUGACACUUGACAACAAUUCAAGUGUCAAACAACGUGUCAAAAAUCAAUGUACAAAUUGCAAUGUUCAAUCAGUAAGGACCUUGCUACAUGUACACUAUGGUGUACACUUUAGUUUAAACUUUGUCACGUAACAUUAGCCUGUUGGACAGUUUAAAUUUCAAAUAGUUUUCUCAUCCAAUUGACACUUGACAACAAUGUAAGUGUAAAACAACGUGUCAAAAAUAAGUGUACAAAUAGCAAUGUUCAAUCGGUAAGGACCUUGCUACAUGUACACUGUGGUGUACACUUUAGUUUACACUUUGCCACGUGACAUUCCCCUACUGGACGGUUUAAAUUUCAAACAGUUUUCACAUCCAAUUGACACUUGACCACAAUGCAAGUGUCGAAAAUCUGUGUACAAAUAGCAAAGUUCAAUCGGUAAAAACUUUGCUAUAUGUACACUAUGGUGUACACUUUUGUUUACACUUUUCCACGUGACAUUACCCUAUUGGACAGUUUAAAUUUCAAACAGUCUUUCCAUCCAAUUGAAACUUGACAACAAUGCAAGUGUCAAACAAUGUGUCAAAAAUCAAUGUAUAAAUAGUACUUUUCCCAUCCAGUUGACACUUGAAGACAAUACAAGUGUCAAACAACGUGUCAAAAAUCAGUGUACAACUAGCAAAGUUCGAUCGGUAAGAACCUUAUUAUAUGUACGCUAUGUGUACAUUUUAGUUUACAAUUUACCACGUGACAUUACUCUGUUGGACAGUUUAAAUUUCAAAUAAUUUUACCAUCCAAUUGAUAAUUGACAUUAAUGCAAGUGUCAAACAACGAGUCAAAAAUCAGUGUAAAAAUUGCAAAGUUCAAUCGGUAAGAACUUUGCUACAUGUACACUUUAGUUUACACAUUGCCACGUCACACUACCCUGUUGGAGAGUUUAAAUUUUAAACAGUUUUCUUAUCCAAUUGACACUUGAAAACAAUGCAAGUGUCAAACAAUGUGUUAAAAAUCAGUGUGCAAAUAGCAAAAUUCACUCGGUAAGAACCUAGCUACAUGUGCACUGUUGUGUACACUUUAGUUUCCACUUUGCCACGUGACAUUACCCCUUUGGACAGUUUAAACUUGAAAUAGUUUUCCCAUCCAAUUGACACUUGAUAACAAUGCAAGUGUCAAACGACGUGUCGAAAAUCAGUGUACAAGUAGUAAAGUUCCAUCGGUAAGAACUUUAUGACAUGUACACUAUAGUGUACACUUUAGUUUAGACUUUGCCACAUGACACUACCCUGUUGGACAGUUCAAAUUUCAAACAGUUUUUCCCAUCCAAUUGAGACUUAACAACGUGUCAAAAUUCAGUGUACAAAUCACAAUGUUCAAUCUGUAAGGACCUUGCUACAUGUACACUAUGGUGUACACAUUAGUUUCCACUUUGCCACGUGACAUUACCCUGUUGGACAGCUUGAAUUUCUAACAGUUUUCGCAUCCAAUUGACACUUGACGAAAAUGUAAGUGUUAAACGACGUGUCAAAAAUCAGUGCACAAAUAGAAAAGUUCAGUUGGCAAGCUACAUGUGCACCAUGGUGUACACACUUGAGUUUACACUUUGCCACGUGCAAUUACCCUGUUGGAUAGUUUAAAAUUCAAAUAGUUUUCCAAUCCAAUUGAUGCUUGGUAACAAUGCAACUGUCAAACAACGUGUAGAAAAUAUGUGUACAAAUAACAAAGUUCAUCGGUAAGGACCUUGCUACAUGUACACUAUGGUGUAUACAUUAGUUUACACUUUGUCACAUGACAUUACCCUAUUGGACAAUUUAAAUUUCAAACAAUUUUCUGAUCAAAUUGAAACUUGACAACAAUGCAAGUGUCAAACAACAUGUCAAAAAUUAGUGUACAAAUAGCAAAAUUCAAUCGGUAAGAACCUUGCUACAUGUACACUAUGGUGUACACUUUAGUUUACACGUUGCCACAUGACAUUACCCUGUUAGAUAGUUUAAUUUUCAAAUAAAUUUCCCAUCCAAUCGACACUUGACAACAAUACAAGUGUCAAACAAUGUGUUGAAAAUUAGUGUACAAAUAACAAAGUUCAAUCGGUAAGAACAUUGCUACAUAUACACUAUGGUGUACACUUUAGUUUACACUUUGCCACGUGACAUUAUCCUAUUGGACAGUUUAAAUUUAAAACAAUUUUCAAAUACAAUUGACACUUGACAACAAUGCAAGCAUCAAACAACGUGUCAAAAAUCAGUGUACAAAUAGGAAAGUUCAAUCCUUAAGAACCUUCCUACAUGUACACUGUGGUGUACACUUUAGUUUACACUUAGCCACGUGACAUUACCCUGUUGGACAGUUUAAUUUCAAACAGUUUUCCCAUCAACUUCACACUUGACAACAAUGCAAGUGUCAAACAACGUGUCAAAAUUAGUGUACAAAUAGCAAUGUUCAAUCGGUAAGGACCAUGCUACAUUUACACUAUGUUGUACACUUUAGUUUACACUUUGUCACGUGACAUUACCCUGUUGGACAGUUUAAAUUUUAAAUAGCUUUCCCUUCCAAAUGGCACUUGACAACAAUGCAAGUGUCAAAAAAUGUGUCAAAAAUCAUUGUACAAAUAGCAAAGUUCAUCGGUAAGGACCUUGCUACAUGUACACUAUGGUGUAUACAUUAGUUUACACUUUGUCACAUGACAUUACCCUAUUGGACAAUUUAAAUUUCAAACAAUUUUCUGAUCAAAUUGAAACUUGACAACAAUGCAAGUGUCAAACAACAUGUCAAAAAUUAGUGUACAAAUAGCAAAAUUCAAUCGGUAAGAACCUUGCUACAUGUACACUAUGGUGUACACUUUAGUUUACACGUUGCCACAUGACAUUACCCUGUUAGAUAGUUUAAUUUUCAAAUAAAUUUCCCAUCCAAUCGACACUUGACAACAAUACAAGUGUCAAACAAUGUGUUGAAAAUUAGUGUACAAAUAACAAAGUUCAAUCGGUAAGAACAUUGCUACAUAUACACUAUGGUGUACACUUUAGUUUACACUUUGCCACGUGACAUUAUCCUAUUGGACAGUUUAAAUUUAAAACAAUUUUCAAAUACAAUUGACACUUGACAACAAUGCAAGCAUCAAACAACGUGUCAAAAAUCAGUGUACAAAUAGGAAAGUUCAAUCCUUAAGAACCUUCCUACAUGUACACUGUGGUGUACACUUUAGUUUACACUUAGCCACGUGACAUUACCCUGUUGGACAGUUUAAUUUCAAACAGUUUUCCCAUCAACUUCACACUUGACAACAAUGCAAGUGUCAAACAACGUGUCAAAAUUAGUGUACAAAUAGCAAUGUUCAAUCGGUAAGGACCAUGCUACAUUUACACUAUGUUGUACACUUUAGUUUACACUUUGUCACGUGACAUUACCCUGUUGGACAGUUUAAAUUUUAAAUAGCUUUCCCUUCCAAAUGGCACUUGACAACAAUGCAAGUGUCAAAAAAUGUGUCAAAAAUCAUUGUACAAAUAGCAAAGUUCAUCGGUAAGGACCUUGCUACAUGUACACUAUGGUGUACACUUUAGUUUACACUUUGUCACGUGACAUUACCCUGUUGGACAGUUUAAAUUUUAAAUAGCUUUCCCUUCCAAAUGGCACUUGACAACAAUGCAAGUGUCAAACAACGUGUCAAAAUUAGUGUACAAAUAGCAAUGUUCAAUCGGUAGGACCUUGCUACAUUUACACUAUGUUGUACACUUUAGUUUACACUUUGUCACGUGACAUUACCCUGUUGGACAGUUUAAAUUUUAAAUAGCUUUCCCUUCCAAAUGGCACUUGACAACAAUGCAAGUGUCAAAAAAUGUGUCAAAAAUCAUUGUACAAAUAGCAAAGUUCAAUCAGUAAGGACCUUGCAACAUGUACACUAUGUUGUACACUUAAUUUACACUUUUCCACGUGACAUUAUCCUGUUAGACAGUAUAAAUUUCUAAUAAUUUUCCCAUCAAAUUAACACUUGACAACAAUGCAAGUGUCAAAUAAUGUGUCAAAAAUCAGUGUACAAAUAGCAAAGUUCAAUCGAUUAGAACCUUGCUAUAUGUACACUCUGGUGUACACUUUAGUUUACACUUUGCCACAUGACACUAACCUGUUGGACAGUUUAAAUUUGAAACAGCUUUCCCAUCCAAUUGAGAAUUGAUAACAAUGUAAGUGUCAAACAACGUGUCGAAAAUCUGUGUACAAAUAGCAAAGUUCAAUCGGUAAGGACCUCGCUACAAGUACACCAUGGUGUACACUUUAGUUUACACUUUGUCACGUGACAUUACCCUAUCGGACAGUUUGAAUUUCAAAUAGUUUUCCCUUCCAAUUGACACUUGACAACAAUGCAAGUGUCAAAAAAUGUGUCAAAAAUCUACAUACAAAUAGCAAUGUUCAAACGGUAAGGACCUUACAACACGUACACUAUGGUGUACACUUUAGUUUACACUUUGCCACGUGACAUUACCCUGUUAGACGGUGCAAAUUUCUAACAAUUUUCCCAUCGAAUUGACACUUGACAACAAUGCAAAUGUCAAACAACAUGUCGAAAAUCAGUGAACAAAUAGCAAAAUUCAAUCGGAAAGAACCUUGCUACAUGUACACUAUGGUGUACACUUUAAUUUACACCUUGCCACGUGACAUUACCCUCUUGGAAAUUUUAAAUUUCAAAUAGUUUUCCCAUCCAAUUGACACUUGACAACAAUGUAAGUGUCAAACAACGUGUCAAAAAUCAGUGUACAAAUAGCAAAGUUCAAUCAUUAAGGACCUUGCUACACGUAUACUUUAGUUUACACUUUGUCACGUGACAUUACACUGUUUAACAGUUUUAAUUUCAAACAGUUUCCCCAUACAAUUGACACUUGACAACAAUGCAAGUGUUAAACAACGUGUCAAAAAUCAAUGUACAAACAGCAAAGUUCAAUCGGUAAGAACCUUGCUACAUGUACACUGUGGUAUACACUUUAGUUUACACUUUGCCACGUGACAUUACCCUGUUGGAUAGUUUUAAUUUCAAACAGUUUUCCCAUCCCAUUCACCUUGACAACAAUGCAAGUGUCAAACAACGUGUCAAAAAUUAAUGUACAAAUAGCAAAGUUCAAUUGUUAAGCACCGUGCUACAUGUACACUAUGGGAUACACUUUGGUUUACAAUUUUCCCUGUGACAUUACACCGUUAGACAGUUUAAAUUUCAAAUAGCUUUCCCAUCCAUUUCACACUUGACAACAAUGCAAGUGUCGAAAACCAGCGUACAAAUAGCAAUGUUCAAUCGAAAAGAACCUUUUUAUAUGUACACUAUAGUGUACACUUUAGUUUACACUUUACCACAUGACAUUACCCUGUUUGACAGUUUAAAUUUCAAAUAGUUUUCCCAUCCAAUUGACCCUUAACAACAAUGCAAGUGUCAAACAACGUGUCAAAAAUCAGUGUACAAAUAGCAAAGUUCAAUCGUUAAGGAUCUUGCUACGUGUACACUAUGGUGUACACUUUAGUUUUCACCUUGCCACGUGAUAUUACCCUGUUGGGCAAUUUAAUUUUUUAACAAUUUUCCCAUCAAUUGACACUUGACAACAAUGCAAGUGACAAACAACGUGACAAAAAUUUGUGUACAAAAAGCAAAGUUCAGUCGGUAAGGACCUUGCUACAUUACACUAUAGUGUACACUUUAGUUUACAAUUUGCCACAUGACAUUACCCUGUUGGACAGUUUAAAGUUCAAAUAUUUUUCCCAUCCAAUUGACACUAGACAACAAUGCAAGUAUCAAACAACGUGCCAAAAAUCAGUGUACAAAAAGCAAAGUUCAAUUGGUAAGAAUUUUGCUACAUGUACACUAUGGUGUACGCUUUAGUUUAUACUUUGCCUCGUGAUAUUACCCUAUUGGACAUUUUAUAUUUCAAAUAUUUUUCCCAUCCAAUUGACACUUGACAACAAUGCAAGUGUCAAAAACGUGUCAAAAAUCAGUGUACAAAUAACAAAGUUCAAUCGGUAAGAACCUUGCUAUAUGUACACUUUGGUGUAAACUUUAGUUUAACCUUUGCCACGUGACAUUGCCCUAUUGGACAGUUUAAAUUUCAAACAGUUUUCCCAUCCACUUCACACUGGACAACAAUGUAAGUGUCAAACAACGUGUCAAAAAUCAGUGUACAGAUAGCAAAGUUCUAUCGAUGAGGACCUUGCUACAUGUACACUAUAGUUUACACUUUGCCACAUGACAUUGACCUGUUGGACAGUUUAAAUUUCAAACACUUUUCCCUUCCAAUUGACACUUGACAACAAUGUAAGUGUCAAACAACGUGUCAAAAAUUAGUGUACAAAUAGCAAAGUUCAAUCGCUAAGGACCCUGCUACGUGUACACUAUGGUGUACACUUUAGUUUUCACUUUGCCACGUGACAUUACCCUCUUGGACAGUUUAAAUUUCAAACAGUUUCCCCAUCCAAUUGACACUUGACAACAAUGUAAGUGUCAAACAACGUGUUAAAAAUUAGUGUACAAGUAGCAAGGUACAAUCGGAAAGGACCAUGCUAUAUGUACACUAUGGUGUACACUUUAGUUUUCACUUUGCCACCUGACAUUACCCUCUUGGACAGUUUUAAUUUCAAACAGUUUUCCCAUCCCAUUGACACUUGACAACAAUGUAAGUGUCAAACAACGUGUCAAAAAUCAGUGUACAAUUAGCAAAGUUCAAUUGGUACGAACCUUGCUACUUGUACACUAUGGUAUACACUUUAGUUUAUACUUCGCCACGUCAAAUUACCCUGUUGGACAGUUUAAAUUUCAAAAAAAUUUCCCAUCCACUUCACACUUGACAACAAUGCUAGUAUCAAACAACAUGUCAAAAAUUAUUAUACGAAUAGCAAAGUUCAAUCUGUAAGAACCUUGCUACAUGUACACUGUGGGGUACACCUUAGUUUACACUUUCCCACGUGACAUUACCCUAUUGGACAGUUUAAAUUUCAAACACUUUUCCCUUCCAAUUGACACUUGACAACAAUGCAAGUGUCAAACAACAUGUCAAAAAUUAGAGUACAAAUAGCAAAGUUCAAUCGUUAAGAACCUUGCUACAUGUACAAUAAGUUGUACACUGUAGUUUUCAAUUUGCCAUGUGACAUUACCUGUUGGACCGUUUAAAUAUCAAAUAGUUUUCCCAUCCACUUCACACUUGACAACAACGCAGGUGUCAAAUAACGUGUCAAAAAUCAUUGUACAAAUAGCAAAUUACAAUCGGUAAGGACCAUGCUACAUGUACACUAUGGUGUACACUUUAGUUUACGCUUUGCCACGUAACAUUACCCUGUUAGACAGUUUAAAUUUCAAACAGUUUUUCCAUCCAAUUGACACUUAACGACAAUGCAAGUGUCAAAUAAUGUGUCAAAAAUUAGUGUACAAAUAGCAAAGUUCAAUCGUCAAGGACCCUGCUACGUGUACACUAUGGUGUACACUUUAGUUUACACUUUGCCACGUGACAUUACCCUGUUGAACAGUUAAAAUUUCAAACAGUUUUCACAUCCACUUCACACUUGACAACAAUGCAAGUGUCAAACAACGUUUCAAAAAUCAGUUUACAAAUAGCAAAGUUCAAUCGAUAAGGACCUUGCUAUAUGUACACUAUGGUAUACAAUUUUGUUUGACUUUGCCACGUGACAUUACCCUAUUGGACAGUUUAAAUUUCAAACAGUUUUCCCACCCAAUUGAAACUUGACAAUAAUGCAAGUGUCAGCAACGUGUCAAAAAUUAGUGUACAAAUAGCAUUUUUCCCAUCUAAAUGACACCUGACAACAAUGCAAGUCUCAAACAACGUGUUAAAAAGCAGUGCACAAAUUGCAAAGUUCAAUCGGUAAGGACCUUGCUACAUGUACACUAUGGUGUACACUUUAGUCUAUACUUUGCCACGUGACAUUACCUUGUUGGACAGUUUAAAUUUCAAACAGUUUUCCCAUCCAAUUCACAAAUGACAACUAUGCAAGUGUCAAACAACGUCUCAAAAAUUAGUGCAGAAAUAGCAAUGUUCAAUCGGUAAGAACCUCGGUACAUGUACACUAUGGUGUACACUUUAGUUUACACUUUGCCACGUGAUAUUAUCCUGUUGGACAGUCUAAAUUUCAAACUAUUUUCCCAUCCAAUUCACACUUGACAACAAUUCAAGAGUCAAACAACGUGUCAAAAAUUAGUGUACAAAUAGUAAAGUUCAAUCGGUAAGAACCAUGCUACAAGUACACUACGGUGUACACUUUAGUUUACACUUUGCCACAUGACGUUACCCAAUUGGACAGUAUAAAUUUCAAAUAAUUUUUCCUUCCAAUUGGCAUUUGACAACAAUACAAGUGUCAAACAACGUGUCAAGAAAUAGUGUACAAAUAGUAGUGCUCAAUCGGUAAGGACCUUGCAACAUGUACUCUAUGGUGUACACUUUAGUUUACAAUUUGCCAUGUGACAUUACCCUGUUGGACAUUUUGAAUUUCAAAUAGUUUUUCCAUCCAAUUGAUACUUGACAACAAUGCAAAUGUCAAAUAACGUGUCAAUAAUCAGUGUACAAAUAGCAAAGUUUAAUCAGUAAGGACCUUGCUUCAUGUACACAAAGGUGUACACUUUAGUUUAUACUUUGCCACGUGACAAUACCAUGGUGGAAACUAUAAAUUUCAAACAGUUUUCCCAUCCAAUUGUUACUUGAUCACAAUGCAAGUGUCAAACAACGUGGCAAAAAUCAGUGUACAAAUAGCAAAAUUCAAUCGGUAUGAACUUUGCAAUACGUACACUGUGGUGUACACUUUAGUUUACACUUUGUCACGUGACAUUACCCUUUUGGAUAGUUUACAUUUCAAAUAGUUUUUCCAUCCAAUUCACACUUGACAACAAUGCAAGUGUCAAAAAUCAGUGCGCAAAUAGCAAAGUUCAAUCGGUAAGAACUUUGCUACAUGUAUAAUGUGGUGUGCACUUUAGUUUAUACUUUGCCACGUGACAUUACCCUGUUGGACAGUUUCAAUAUCAAACAAUUUUCCCAUCCACUUCAUGCUUGACAACAAUGCAAGUGUCAAACAACGUGUCAAAAAUCAAUGUACAAAUAACACUGUUCAAUCAGUAAGGACCUUGCAUCAUGUAUACUAUGAUGUACACUUUAGUUUUUACUUUGUCAUGUGACAUUACCCUAUUACACGGUAUAAAGUUCAAACUGUUUUACCAUCCAAUUGACCCUUGAUAGCAAUGCAAGUGUCAAACGUGUCAAAAAUCAGUGUACAAAUAGCAAAGUUCAAUCGGUAAGAACCCUGCUAUAUGUAUAAUAUGGUGUACACUUUAGUUUACACAUUGUCGCGUUACAUAACCCAAUUGGACAGUUUAAAUUUCAAAUAGUUUUCCCAUCCAAUUGACACUAAACAACAAUGCAAGUGUUAAACAACGUGCCAAAAAUUCGUGCACAAAUAGCAAAGUUUAAUUGAUAAGAACCUUGCGACAGGCACACUAUGGUGUAUACUUUAGUUUACACUUUACCACGUGACAUUGCCCCGUUGGACAGUUUAAAUUUCAAACAAUUUUUCCAUCCAAUUAACACUUAACAUCAAUGCAAGUGUCAAACAACGUGUUAAAAAUCAGUGUACAAAUCGCCCAGUUCAAUCGGUAAGGACCUUGCUACAUGUACACUAUGGUGUAAACUAUAGUUUACACUUUGCCACAUGACAUUACCCAAUUGGACAGUUCAAAUUUCAAACAAUUUUCACAUCCAAUUGACACUUGACAACAAUGGAAGUCUCAAACCUCGUGUCAAAAAUCAGUAUACAAAUAGCAAAGUUUAAUCGGUAAGAACCUUGCGAUAGAUACACUAUGGUGUACACUUUAGUUUACACUUUACAACGUGACAUAACCCUGUUGGACAGUUUAAAUUUUAAAAAGUUUUCCCAUUCAAUUGACACUUGACAACAAUGCAAGAGUCAAACAACGUGUCGAAAAUUAGUGUACAAAUAGCCAAGAUCAAUCGGUAAGGACCUUGCUACUUGUACACUGUGGUGUACAGUUUAGUUUACACUUUGCCACGUGACAUUACCCUAUUGGACUGUUUAAAUUUUAAACAAAUUUCCCUUCCAAUUGACAUUUGACAACAAUGCAAGUGUCAAACAACGUGUCAAAAAUCAGUGCACAAAUAGCAGUAUUAGAUCGGUAAGGACCUUACAACAUAUACACUACGGUGUACACUUUAGUUCACACUUUGCCACGUGACAUUACCCUAUUGGACAAUUUAAAUUUCAAAUCAUUUUCCAACCCAAUUCGCACAUGAAUACAAUCCUAGUGUCAAAAAACGUGUCAAAAAUCAGUGUACAAUUACCAAUGUUCGAUCGGUAAGAACCUUGGUACAUGUACACUAUGGUGUACACUUUAGUUUACACUUUGUCAUGUGACAUUACCCUACUGGAUAGUUAAUAUUUCAAAUCGUUUUCCCAUCCAAUUGACCCUUAAAGACAAUGCAAGUGUCAAACAACGUGUCAAAAAUCAGGUUCCUACGGACCUUGCUACACGUACACUAUGGUGUACACUUUAAUUUUCACUUUGCCACGUGACAUUACCCUUAUUGGACAGUUUAAAUUUCAAGCAGUUUUCCCAUCCUAUUGACACUUGGCAACAAUACAAGUAUCAAACAACGUGUCAAAAAUCAAUAUACAAAUAGCAAAGUUCAAUCGGCAAGAACCUUGCUACAUGUACACUAUGGUGUACACCUUAGUUUCCAUUUUACCACGUGACAUUACCCUCUUGGAUAGUUUAAAUUUCAAACAGUUUUCCCAUCCAAUUGAAACUUGACAACAAUGCAAGUGCAAAACAACGUGUCAAAAAUCAGUGUACAAAUAGCAAAGUUCAAUCGGUAAAGGCCUUGCUACAUGUAGAGUAUGGUGUGCACUUUAGUUUACACAUUGCCACGUGACAUUACCCUGUUGGACAGUUUAAAUUUCAAAAAAAUUUCCCAUCCAAUUCACACUUGACAACAACGCAAGUGUCAAACAACGUUUCAAAAAUCAGUGUACAAAUAGAAAUGUUCAAUCGAUUAGAACCUUGGUACAUGUACAAAAUGUGUACAGUUUAGUUUAUACUUUGCCACGUAACAUUACGUUGUUGGACAGUUUAAAAUUCAAACAAUUUUCCCAUCCACUUCAUACUUGACAACAAUGCAAGUGUCAAACAACGUGUCAAAAAUCAUUGCAAAAAUAGCAAUGUUCAAUCAGUAAGAAUCUCGCCACACGUACACUAUGGUGUACACUUUAGAUUACAACUUGCCACGUAAAAUUACCCUGUUGGACUAUUUAAUAUUCAAACUGUUUUCCCAUCCAAUUGACACUUGACAACAAUGCAAGUGUCAAACAACGUGUCAAAAAUUAGUACACAAAUAGCAGUUUUCCCAUCAAAUUGACACUUGACAACAUUGCAAGUCUCAAACAACGUGUUAAAAAUCAGUGUGCAAAUAAUAAAGUUCAGUUUGUAAGAACAUUGCUACAUGUACACUAUGGUGUAGACUUUAGUUUACAGUUUGCCACGUGACAUUAGGCUAUGAGACAGUUUAAAUUUCAAACAGUUUUCCAAUCGAAUUGACACUUGGCAACAAUGCAAGUGUCAAACAACGUGUCAAAAAUCAGUGUACAAAUAGCAAUUUUCCCAUCUAAUUGGCACUUGACAACAGUGCAAGUGUCAAACAACGUGUCAAAUUUCAGUGCACAAAUAGCAAUGUUCAAUCAGUAAAAACCUCGCCACAUGUACACUAUGCGGUACACAUUAGUUUACACUUUGCCACGUGACAUUACCAUGUUGGACAGUUUAAAUUUCAAACAGUUUUCCCAUCCAAUUGACACUUGACAAUAAUGCAAGUGUCAAACAACGUGUAAAAAAUCAGUAUACAAAUAGUAGUUUUCCCAUUCAAUUGAAACUUGACAACAAUGCAAGUCUCAAAGAUCGUGUCAAAAAUCAUUUUACAAAUAGCAAAGUUCAAUCGGUAAGGACCGUGCAACAUGUACACUAUGGUGUACACUUUAGUUUACACAUUGUCACGUGACAUUACCCUAUUGGACAGUUUAAAUUUCAAACAGUUUUCCCAUCCAAUUCACACUUGACAACAAUGCAGGUGUCAAACAACGUGUUAAAAAUCAUUGCAAAAAUAGCAAUGUUCAAUCAGCAAGAACCUCGCUACACGUACACUAUGGUGUACACUUUAGUUUACAAUUUGCCACGUGACAUUACCCUAUUAGACUGUUUAAUAUUCAAACAGUUUUCCCAUCCAAUUGACACUUGACAACAAUGUAAGUCUCAAACAACGUAUCAAAAAUCGGUGUACAAAUAGCAAAGUUUAGUCAGUAAGAACCUUGCUACAUGGACACUAUGGUGUACACUUUAGUUUACAAUUUGCCACAUGACAUUAUGCUAUUGGACAGUUUAAAUUUCAAAUAGUUUUCCCACCGAAUAGACGCUUGACAAAAAUGUAAGUGUUGAACAACGUGUUAAAAUCAGUGUACAAAUAGCAAAAUUCAAUCGGUAAGAACCUUGCUACAUGUGCAUAUGGUGUACACACUUUAGUUUACAAUUUGCCACGUGACAUUACCCUGUUGGAUAGUUUAAAAUUCAAACAGUUUUCCAAUCCAAUUGACACUUGACAACUAUGCAAGUGUCAAACAACAUGUCAAAAAUUAACGUACAAAUGCAAAGUUCAAUCGGUAAGAACCAUGUUACAUGUACACUAUGGUGUACACUUUAGUUUACCGUUUACCUAUUGGAUAGUUUAAAUUUUAAACAAUUUUUCCAUCCAAUUGACGCUGUACAACAAUGCAAGUGUCAAACAUGUCGAGAAUUAUUGUAAAAAUAGUAAAGUUCAAUCGGUAAGGACCUUGCUACAUGUAAACUAUGGUGUACACUUUAGUUUAUACUUUGCCACAAGACAUUACCCUGUUGGGCAGUUUAAAUUUCAAACAAUUUUCCCAUCCAAUUGACACUUAACAACAAUGCAAGUGUAAAAUAACUUGUCAAAAAUCAGUGUACAAAUAGCAAAUUUCAAUCAGUAAGGACCUAGCUACAUGUACACUAUGGUGUACACUUUAGUUUAAACUUUGCCACGUGACAUUACCUUGUUGUACAGUUAAAAUUUCAAACAGUUUUUCCAUCCAAUUGACAUUUGACAACAAACAACGUGUCAAAAAUCAGUGUACAAAUACCUAUUUUCCCAUCCAAUUGACACUGGACAACAAUGCAAGUGUCAAGCAACGUUUCAAAAAUCAGUGUACAAAUAGCAAAGUCCAAUCGGUAAGAACCUUGCUACAUGUACACUAUGAUGUACACUUUAGUUUACACUUUGCCAUGUGACAUUAUGCUGUUGGACAGUUUGAAUUCCAAACAGUUUUUCCAUCCAAUUGACACUUGACAACAAUGCAAGUGUCAUACAACGUGUCCAAAAUUAGGGUACAAAUUGCAAAGUUCAAUCGGUAAGAACCUUGCUACAUGUACACUAUGGUGUACACUUUAGUUUACACAUUUCCACAAGACAUUACCCUCUUGGACAGUUUAAAUUUCAAAUAGUUUUCUCAUCCAAUUGACACUUGACAACAAUGCAAGUGUUAAACAACGUGUCAAAAAUCAGUGUACGAAUAGUAAUGUUCAAUCAGUAAGAACCUUGGUACAUGUAUACUAUGUAUACACUUUAGUUUACACUUUGCCACGUGACAUUACCCUGUUGGACAGUUUAAAUUUCAAAUAGUUUGCCCAUUCGAUUCACACUUGACAACAAUGCAAGUGUUAAACAACGUGUCAAAAAUCAGUCUACGAAUAGCAAUGCUCAAUCGGUAAGAAGCUUGGUACAUGUACACUAUGGUGUACACUUCAGUUUACACUUUACCACGUGACAUUACCCUGUUGGAUAGUUUAAAUUUCAAAUGGUUUUCCCUUCCAAUUGACCUUAAUAACAAUGUAAGGGUCAAACAACGAGUUAAAAAUCAGUGCCCAAAUUGCAAAGUUCAAUCGGUGAGGACCUUGCUACAUGUGCACUAUGGUGUACACUUUAGUUUCACUUUACCACAUGACGUUACCUUGUUGGACAGUCUAAAUUUCAAAUAGUUUUUCCAUCCAAUAAACACUUGACAACAAUGCAAGCGUCAAACAACGUAUCAAAAAUCAGUGUACAAAUAGGAAAGUUCAAUCCGUAAGAACCUUGCUAUCUGUACACUAUGGUGUACAAACUUUAGUUUACAGUUAGCUACGUGACAUUACCUUGCUGGACAGUGUAAAUUUCUAACAGUUUUGCCAUCCAAUUGACACUUGACAACAAUGCAAAUGUCAAACAACGUGUCGAGAAUUAGUGUACAAAUAGCAAAGUUAGAUCGAUAAGGACCUUGCUACAUGUACCCUAUGGUGUACACUUUAGUUUACACGUUGCCACGUGACAUUACCCUAUUAGGCAGUUUAAAUUUCAAAAAGAUUUCCCAUCCAAUUGAUACUUAACAACGAUUCAAGUGCCAAACAACGUGUCAAAAAUCAAUGUACAAAUAGCAAACUUCAAUCGGUAAGGACCUAGCAACAUGUACACUAUGGUGUACACUUUUGUUUACACUUUUCCACGUGACAUUACCCUAUUGGACAGUUUAAAUUUCAAACAGUUUUUCCUUCCAAUUGAUACUUGACAACAUUGCAAGUGUCAAACAACGUGUCAAAAAUCAGUGUACAAAUUGCUGUUUUCCCGUCCAAUUGACACUGGACAACAAUGCAAGUGUCAAACAACGUGUCAAAAAUUGGUGUACAAAUAGUAAAGUUCAAUCGGUAAGAACCUUGCUACAUGUACACUCUGGUGUACACUUUAGUUUACACUUCGCCACGUGACAUUAGCCCAUUGGACAGUAUGAAUUUCAAAUAGUUUUCCCAUCCAAUUGACACUUGACAUCAAUGUAAGUGUCAAACAACGUGUCUAAAAUCAGGGUACAAGUUGCAAAGUUCAAUCGAUAAGAACCUUGCUACAUGUAUACUAUGGUGUACACUUCAGUUUAUACUUUGCCUGUUUGUCACGUGACAUUACCUUCUUCGACAGUUUAAAUUUCAAACAGUUCCCCUAUCCAAUUGACACUUGACAACAAUGCAAGUGCAAAACAACUUGUCAAAAAUCAGUAUAGAAAUAGCAAAGUUCAAUCGGUAAGGAUCUUGCUUCAUGUACACUAUGUUGUACACUUUAGUUUACACUUUACCACGUGACAUUACCCUGUUGGACAGUUUAAAUUUCAAAUAGUUUGCCCAUCCAAGUAUCACUUGACAACAAAGCAAGUGUUAAAUAACAAAUCAGUGUACAAAUAGCAAUGUUAAAUCGGUAUGAACCUUAGUACAUGUACACUUGGUGUACACUUUAGUUUACACUUUGCCACGUGACAUUACCCUGUUGGAUAGUUUCAAUUUCAAACAGUUUUCCCAUCCAAUUGACCCUUAACAACAAUGUAAGAGUCAAACAACGUGUCAAAAAUCAGUGUCCAAAUAGCAAAUUCAAUUGGUAAGGACCUUGCUAUAUGUACACUAUGGUGUACACUUUACCACGUGAUAUUACCCCGUCGGACAAUUUAAAUUUCAAACAGUUUUCCCAUCCAAUUGAUACUUAACUACAAUACUAGUGCCAAACAACGUGUCAAAAAUCAGUGUACAAAUAGCAAAGUUCAAUCGGCCAAGACCUUGUUACAUGCACACUUUGGUGUACACUUUAGUUUACACUUUGGCACAUGACAUUACCCUGUUGGACAGUUUAAAUUUCAAAUAGUUUUCCAAUCCAAUUGACACUUGACAACGAUGGACGUGUCAAAAAUGAGUGUACAAAUAGCAAAGUUCAAUCGGUGAUAACCUUGCUACUCUACACAGUGGUGUACACUUUAGAUUUCACUUUGCCACAUGACAUUACCCUGUUGGACAGUUUAAAGUUUAAACAGUUUUCCCAUCCACUACACACUUGAAGAGAAUGUAUGUGUCAAACAACAUGUCAAAAAUCAUUGUACAAAUAGCAAAUUUCAAUCGGUAAGGACCUUGCUACAUAUACACUAUGGUGUACACUUUAGUUUACACAUUGCCGUGUGACAAUACCCUAUUGGACAGUUUAAAUUUCAAAUAGUUUUCUCAUCCAAUUCACACUUAACAACAAUGCAAGUGUCAAACAAUGUGUCAAAAAUCAGUUUACAAACAAAAAUGUACAAUCGGUAAGGUCCUUGUGACAUGUACACUAAGGUGUACACUUUAGAUUAUACUUUGCCACGUGAUAUUACCCUGUUGGACAGUUUAAAUUUCAAACGGUCUUUCCAUCCAAUUCACACUUGACAACAAUGCAAGUGUCAAACAAUGUGUCAAAAAUCAGUGUACAAAUAGCAAUGUUCAAUUGGUAUGAACCUCGUUACAUGUACACUAUAGUGUACCCUUUAGUUUACCAUUUGCCACGUGACAUUACCCUGUUGGACAGUUUAAAUUUCAAAUAGUUUUCCCAUCCAGUUGACACUUGACAACAAUACAAGUGUCAAACAACGUGUCAAAAAUCAGUGUACAAAUAACAGUUUUCCCAUCCAAUUGAGACUUGACAACAAUCCAAGUCUCAAACAAUGUGUCAAAAAUCAGUGUACAAAUAGCAAAGUUCAAUCGGUAAGAACCUUGCCAUAUGUACACUAUAGUGUACACUUUGCCACGUGACACUACCCUGUUGGACACUUCAAAUUUCAAAUAGUUUUCCCACUCAAUUGACACUUGACAACAAUGCAAGUAUCAGACAACAUGUUUAUAAUCAGUGUACAAAUAGUAAAGUUCAAUCGAUAAGAACCUUGCUACAUGUACACUAUGGUGCACACACUUUAGUUUACACUUUGCCACGUGACAAUACCCUAUUGAACAGCUUAAAUUUCAAACAUUUUUUCCAUCCAAUUGACACUUGACAACAAUGUAAGUGUCAAACAACGUGUCAAAAAUCAGUGUAAAAAUAGCAAUGUUCAAUCGGUAAGAACCAUGCUACAUGUACACUAUGGUGUACACUUUAGUUUACACUUUACCAUGUGACAUUGCACCAUUGGACAGCUUAAAUUUCAAACAGUUUUUCAUCCAACUGACAUUUGAUAACAAUGCAAGUGUCAAACAACGUGUCAAAAAUUAGUGUACAAAUAGCGAAGUUCAAAUGGUAAGGACCUUGCUACAUGUACACUAUGGUGCACACUUUAAUUUACGCUUUGCCACGUGACAUUACCCUGUUGGCCAUUUUAAAUUUCGCAUAGUUUUCCCAUCCAAUAGACACUUAAUAACAAUGAAAGUGUCAAACAAUGUGUCAAAAAUCGGUGUAUAAAUUGCAAAGUUCAAUUGGUAAGGACCUAGCUACAUGUACACUAUGGUAUACACUUUAGUUUACACUUUGCCACAUCACAUUACCCUGUUGGAAAGUUUAAAUUUCAAACAGUUUUUCCAUCCAAUUGACACUUGACAACAUUGCAAGUGUUGAACAACGUGUCAAAAAUCAGUGUAAAAAUUGAUGUUUUCCCGUAGAAUUGACACUGGACAACAAUGCAAGUGUCAAAUAACGUGUCAAAAACUAGUGUACAAAUAGCAAAGUUCAAUCGUUAAGAACCCUGCUACAUGUACACUAUGGUGUACACUUUAGUUUACACUUUGUCACGUGACAUUACCCUCUUGGACAGUUUAAAUUUCAAAUAGUUUCUCCAUCCAAUUGACACUUAACAACAAUGCAAGUCCCAGACAACGUGUCAAAUAUCAGUGUAUAAAUAGCAAAGUUCAAUUGGCAAGGACCUUGCUACAUAUACACUAUGGUGUACACUUUAGUUUACACUUUGCCACGUGACAUUGCUCUGUUGGACAAUUUAAAUUUCAAACAAUUUUCCCAUCCAAUUCACACUAGACAACAAUGCAAGUGUCUAACAACGUGACAAAAAUCAGUGUACAAAUAGUACUAUUCAAUCGGUAAGGACCUUGGUACAUGUACACUAUGGUAUACACUUUAGUUUACACUUUGCCACAUGACAUUACCCUAUUGGAGAGCUUAAAUUUCAAAUAGUUUUCCCAUCCAAUUGACCUUUAACAACAAUACAAGAGUCAAACAAUGUGUCAAAUAUCAGUGUCCAAAUAGCAAACUUCAAUCGGUAAAGACCUUGCUACAUGUACACUAUGGUGUACACUUUAGUUUUCACUUUGCCACGUGACAUUACCUUGUUGGACAGUUUAAAUUUCAAACAAUUUUCUCAUCCAAUUGACACUUGACAACAAUGCAAGUGUCAAGCAACGUGUCAAAAAUCAGUGCACAAAUAGUAAAGUUCAAUCGGUAAAAACCUUUCUACAUGUACACUUUAGUUUACACUUUGCCACGGGACACUACCAUGUUGGACAGUUUAAAUUUCAAACAGUUUUUCCAUCCAGUUCACACUAGACAACAAUGCAAGUGUCUAACAACGUGACAAAAAUUAGUGUACAAGUAGCAGUAUUCAAUCGGUACGAACCUUGGUACAUGUACACUAUGGUGUACACUUUAGUUUACACUUUACCACAUGACAUUACCCUGUUGUACAGUUUAAAUUUCAAAUAGUUUUCCCAUCCAAUUGACCCUUAACAACAAUGCAAGAGUCAAACAAUGUGUCAAAAAUCAGUGUCCAAAUAGCAAAGUUCAAUCGGUAAAGACCUUGCUACAUGUACACUAUGGUAUACACUUUAGUUUUUACUUUGCCACGUGACAUUACCUUGUUUAACAGUUUAAAUUUCAAACAAUUUUCCCAUCCAAUUGACACUUGAAAACAAUGCAAGUGUCAAAAAUCAGUGCACAAAUAGCAAAGUUCAAUCGGUAAGAACCUUGCUACAUGUACACUAUGGUGUAAACUUUAGUUUACACUUUGCCACGGGACAUUACCCUGUUGGACCGUUUAAAUUUCAAACAAUUUUCCUAUCCAAAUUGACACUUAACAACGAUUCAAGUGUCAAACAACGUAUCAAAAAUCAUUGUAAAAAUAGCAAAGUUCAAUCGGUAAGGACUUUGCUACAAGUACAUUAUGGUGUAUACUUUAGUAUACACUUUGCCAUGUGACAUUACCCUGUUGAAAAAUUUAAAUUUCAAAUAGUUUUCCCAUCCAAUUGACACUUGACAACAAUGGAAGUGUCAAACAACGUGUCAAAAAUCAGUGUACAAAUGGCAAAGUUCAAUCGGUCAAGACCUUGCUACGUGUACACUGUGGUGUACACUUUAGUUUACACUUGCCAAAUGACAUUAGCUUGUUGGACAGAUUAAAGUUCAAACAUUUUUCCCAUCCACUUCACACUUGAUAACAAUACAAGUGUUAAACAACGUGUCAAAAAUCAGUGUACAAAUAGCAAAUUUUAAUUGGUAAGGACAUUGAUACAUGUACACUAUGGUGUACACUUUUGUUCGUACUUUCUGACGUGACAUUACCCAGUUGGACAGGUUAAAUUUCAAACAGUUUUCCCUUCCAAUUGACACUGGACAUCAAUGCAAGUGUCAAACAACGUGUCAAAAAUCAGCAUCCAUAUAGCAAUGUACAAUCGGUAAGGACCAUGUAACAUGUACACUAUGGUGUACACCUUAGUUUACACUUUUCCACGUGACAUUACCCUGUUAGACAGUUUAAAUGUCAAACAGUUUUCCCAUCCAAUUCACACGUGACAAUAACACAAGAGCCGAACAACGUGUCAAAAAUUAAUGUUCAAAUGGCAUUGUUCAAUCGGUAAGAACCUCGCUACAUGUACACUAUGGUGUACACUUUAGUUUACACUAUGCUACGUUAGAUUACCCUAUUGGACAGUUUAAAUUUCAAAUAGUUUUUCCAUCCAAUUAACACUUCACAACAAUGCAUGUGUAAAACAACGUGCCAAAAAUUAGAGUACAAAUAGUAGUUUUCCCAUCCAAUUGACACUUGACAACAAUGCAAGUCUAAAACAACGUAUCCAAAAUCAGUGUACAAAUAACAAAGGUCAAUUGGUAAGGACCUUCCUACAUGUACACCAUAGUGUAUACUUUAGUUUACACUUUGCCAAGUGACAUUACCCUAUUGGACAGUUUAAAUUUCAAAUAGUUUUCCCAUCCAAUUCACACUUGACAACAAUGCAGGUGUAAACCAACGUGUCAAAAAUUAGUGUACAAAUAGCAACGUUCAAUCGAUAAGAACCUCGCAACAUGUACACUAUUCUGUACACUUUAGUUUACACUUUGCCACGUGACAUUAUCCUGUUGGACAAUUUAAAUUCCAACCAGUUUUCCCAUCCAUUUGACACUUGACAACAAUGCAAGUGUCAAACAACGUGUCAAAAAUCGAUACAACAAUGCAAGUCUCAAACAACGUGUCAAAAAUCAUUAUACAAAUAGCAAAAGUUCAAUCGGUAAAAAUCUUACUACAUGUACACUAUAGUGUACACUUUAGCUUACACUUUGCCAUGAGACAUUACCCUGUUGGACAGUUUAAAUUUCAACUAGUUUUCCCACCCAAUUGACACUUGACAACAAGAGAAAUGUCAAACAACGUGUCAAAAAUCAGUGUGUAAAUAGCAAAGUUCAAACGGUAAGAACCUUGCUACAUGUACACUAUGGUGUACACACUUUAGUUUAAACUUUGACACGUGACAUUACCCUGUUGGACAAUUUAAAUUUCCAUCAAUUUUCCCAUCCAAUUGACACUUGACAACAAUGCAUGUGUCAAACAACGUGUCAAAAAUUGGUGUACUAAUAGCAAAGUUCAAUCGGUAAAAACCAUACUAGAAGUACACUAAGGUGUACACUUUAGUUCAUACUUUACCACGUGACAUUACUCCAUUGGAAAGUUUAAAUUUCAAACAGUUUUUUAAUCCAAUUGACACUUGGCAAUAAUACAAGUGUCAAACAACGUGUCGAAAAUUAAUGUGCAAAUAGUAAAGUUCAUUCGGUAAGGGCCUUGCUACAUGCACACUAUGGUAUACACUUUAAUUUACACUUUGCCACGUAACAUUACCCUAUUGGACAGUUAAAAUUUCAAACAGUUUUCCCAUCCAAUUAACACUUGACAACUACGCAAGUGUCAAACAACAUGUCAAAAAUUAGUGUAGAAGUAGUAAAUUUCAAACGGUAAGAACCUUGCUAAAUGUAGAUUAUGUUGUACACACUUUAGUUUACACUUUGACAUGUGACAUUACCCUGUUGGAUAAUUUAAAUUUCAAAACAUUUUUCCAUCCAAUUGACACAUGACAACAUUGCAAGAGUCAAACAACAUGUUAAAAAUCAGUGUACAAAUAGCUGUUUUCCCAUCCCAUUGACACUGGACAACAAUACAAGUGUCAAACAGCGUGUCAGAAAUUAGUGUACAAAUAGCGAAGUUCAAUCGGUAAAAACAUUGCUACAUGUACACUAUGGUGUACACUAUAGUUUACACUUUGCUACGUGACAUUACCCUGUCGGAUAGUUACCACAAAAAUGCAAGUCUGAAACAGUGUGUCAAAAAUUAGUGUACAAAUAGGAAAGUUCAAUUGGUAAGGACCUUGCUACAUGUACACUAUGGUGUACACUUUAGUUUACACUUUGCCAUGUGAUAUUACCCUAUUGGACAGUUUAAAUUUCCAUCAAUAUUCCCAUCCAAUUGACACUUGAUAACAAUGCAAGUGUCAAACAACGUGUCAAAAAUCUGUGUACAAAUAGCAAAGUUCAAUCGAUAAGAACCAUACUACAAGUACACUAAGGUGUACACUUUAGUUUAUACUUUACCACGUGACAUUACUCCAAUGAAUAGUUUAAAUUUCAAACAGUUUUUCCAUCCAAUUGAAACUUGACAACAAUGCAAGUGUCAAACAACGUGUUGAAAAUUAAUGUGCAAAUAGUAAAGUUCAAUCGGUAAGGAUCUUGCUACAUGUACACUAUGGUGUACACUUUAAUUUACACUUUGCCACGUGACAUUAUCCUGUUGGACAAUUUGAAUUUCAAAAAAUUUUCCCAUCCGAUUGACACUUGACAACUAUGCAAGCGUCAAACAACGUGUCAAAAAUCAGUGUAGAAAUAGUAAAUUUCAAACGGUAAGAACCUUGCUACAUGCACACUAUGGUGUACACACUUUAGUUUACACUUCGCCACGUGACAUUACCCUGUUGGACAGUUUAAAUUUCAAAACGUUUUUUCAUCCAAUUGACACUUGACAACAUUGUAAGAGUCAAACAACGUAUUAAAAAUUAGUGUACAAAUAGCUAUUUUCCCAUCCCAUUGACACUGGACAAUAAUGCAAGUGUCAAACAACGUGUCAAAAAUCAGUGUACAAAUAGCGAAGUUCAAUCGGUAAGAACCUUGCUACAUGUACACUAUGGUGUACACUUUAGUCUACACUUUGCUACGUGACAUUACCCUAUCGGACAGUUACCACAAAAAUGCAACUCUGAAACAGCGUGUCAAAAAUUAGUGUACAGAUAGCAAAGUUCAAUCGGUAAGGACCUUGCUACAUGUACACAAUGGUGUACACUUUAAUUUACACCUUGCCACGUGACAUUACCCUGUUGGACAAUUUAAAUUUCAAAUUGUUUUCCCAUCCAAUUGACACUUGAAAACAAUGCAAUUAUCAAACGACGUGUCAAAAAUCAGUGUGCAAAUAGCAAAGUUUAAUAAAUAAGGGCUUUGCUACAUGUACACUUUAGUUAACACUUUGCGACGUGACAUUACCCGGUUGGACAGUUUAAAUUUCAUACUAUUUUCCCAUCCAAUUGACACUUAACAUCAAUGCAAAUGUCAAACAAUGUGUCAAAAAUUAGUGUACAAAUAGCAAAGUUCAAUCGGCAUGAACCGUGCAACAUGUACACUAUGGAGUACACUUAAGAUUACACUUUGCCACUUGACUUUACCCUGUUGGACAGUUUAAGUUUCAAAUAGUUUUCCCAUCCAAUUGACACUUGACAAUGAUGCAAUUGUCAAACCACGUAUCAAAAAUCAGUGUAAAAAUAGCAAAGUUCAAUCGGUAAGAACCAUGCUGGAAGUACACUAUGGUGUACACUUUAGUUUACACUUUACCACGUGACAUUACUCCAUUAGACAGUUUAAAUUUCAAGCAGUUUUUCCAUCCAAUAGACACUUGACAACAAUGCAAGUGUCAAACAACGUGUCGAAAAUUAAUGUGCAAAUAGCAAAGUUUAAUCGGUAAGGACCUUGCUACAUGUAUACUCUUGGGUACACAUUAGUUUACACUUUGCCACGCGACAUAUCUUGUUGGACAGUUUAAAUUUCAAAUUGUUUUCUUACCCAAUUGACACUUGACAACAAUUCAAUUGUCAAACAACGUGUCAAAAAUCAGUGUACAAAUAGCAAAGUUCAUCAGUAAGAACCUUGCUACAUGUACACUUUACCACGUGACAUUACUCUGCUGGACAGAUUAAAUUUCUAACAGUUUUCCCAUCAAAUUGACACUAGACAACAAUGCAAGUCUCAAACAACGUGUCAAAAAUUAUCGUACAAAUAGGAAAGUUCAAUCGGUAAGGACCUUGCUACAUGUAGACAAUGGUGUACACUUUAGUUUACACUUUGCGACAUGACAUUACCCUGUUGGACAGUUUAAAUUUCAUAUAGUUUUCCCAUCCAAUUGACACUUAACAACAAUGCAAGUGUGAAACAACGUGUCAAAAAUCAAUGUACAAAUACCAAAUUUCAAUCGGUAAGAACCUUGUUACAUGUACAUUAUGGUGUACACUUUAGUUUACACUUUGCGACAUGAUAUUACCCUGUUGGAUAGUUUAAAUUUCUAAUUGUUAUCCCACCCAAUAGACAUUUGACAACAAUGUAAUUGUCAAACAUCAUGUCAAAAAUCAGUAUACAAAUAGCAAAGUUUAAUCAGUAAGAACCUUACUACAUGUACACUAUGGUAUACACACUUUAGUCUACACUUUGCCACGUGACCUUACCCUAUUCGACAGUUUAAAUUUCUAACAGUUUUCCCAUCAAAUUAACACUUGACAACAAUGCAAGUCUCAAACAGUGUGUUAAAAAUUAGUGUACAAAUAGCAAAGUUCAAUCGGUAAGGACCUUACUACAUGUACACUAUGGUGUACACUUUAGUUUACACUUUGCCACAUGACAUUACCCAAUUGGACAGCUUAAAUUUUAAACUAUUUUCCCACCCAAUAGACACUUGACAACAAUGCAAUUGUUAAACAACGUGUCAAAAAUCAGUGUGUAAAUAGCAAAGUUCAAUCGGAAAGAACCAUACUACAUGUACACACUUUAGUUUACACUUUGCCACGUGACAUUACCCUGCUGACAGUUUAAAUUUCUAACAGUUUUCCCAUCAAAUUGACACUUGACAACAAUGCAAGUCUCAAACAACUUGUCAAAAAUUAGUGUACAAAUAGCAAAGUUCAAUCGGUAAGGACCUUGCUACAUAUACACUAUGGUGUACACUUUAGUUUACACUUUGCCACGUGACAUUGCCCUGUUGGAGAAUUUAAAUUUCAAAUUGUUGUCCCACUAAACUAACACUUGACAACAAUGCAAUUGUCAAACAACGUGUUAAAAAUCAGUAUACAAAUAGCAAAGUUCAAUCGGCAUGAACAUUGCUACAUAUACACUAUGGUGUACACACUUUAGUUUACACUUUGCCACGUGACCUUACCCUACUGGGCAGUUUAAAUUUCUAAUAGUUUUCCCAUCAAAUUGACACUUGACAACAAUGCAAGUCUCAAAUAACGUGUCAAAAAUUAGUGUACAAAUAGCAAAGUUCAAUCGGUAAGGACCUUGCUAUAUGUACACUAUGGUGUAUACUUUAGUUUACACUUUGCCACGUGACAUUACGCUGUUGGACAGUUUAAAUUUUAAAUUGUUUUCUCACCCAAUUAACACUUGACAACAAUGCAAUUGUCAAACAACAUGUCAAAAAUCAGUGUGCAAAUAGCAAAGUUCAAUCGGUAAGAACCUUGUUACAUGUACACUAUGGUAUACACAGUUCAGUUUACACUUCGCCACGUGACAUUACCCUACUGGACAGUUUAAAUUUCUAAUAGUUUUUCCAUCAAAUAGACACUUGACACAAUGCAAGUCUCAAACAACGUGUUAAAAAUUAGUGUACAAAUACCAAAGUUCAAUCGCUAAGGAUCUUGUAAUAUUUACACUAUGGUGUACAAUUUAGUUUACACUUUGCGACGUGACAUUACCCUGUCGGACAGUUUAAAUUUCAUACAAUUUUCCCAUCCAAUUGACACUUAACAACAAUGCAAGUGUCAAACAACAUGUCAAAAAUCAGUGUACAAAUUGCAAUGUUCAAUCGGUAUGAACCAUGCAAUAUGUACACUAUGGAGUACACUUAACUUUACACUUUGCCACAUGACUUUACCCUGUUGGACAGUUUAAGUUUCAAAUAGUUUUCCCAUUCAAUUGACACUUGACAACAACGCAAUUGUCAAACAACGUGUCAAAAGUCAAUGUACAAAUAGCAAAGUUGAAUCGGUAAGAACUAUGCUACAAGUACACUAUGGAGUACACUUUAAUUUACACUUUACCAUGUGACAAUACUCAAUCGGACAGUUUAACUUUCAAAUAGUUUUUCUAUCCAAUUGACACUUGACAACAAUGCAAGCGUCAAAAAUUAGUGUACAAAUAGCAUAGUUCAAUCGGUAAGAACCUUGCUACAUGUACACUAUGGUGUACACUUUAGUUUACACUUUACCACGUAACAUUACCCAUUUGGACAGUUUAAAUUUCAAAUUGGUAUCCCUCCCAAUUGACAAUUGAAAACAAUGCAAUUGUCAAACAACGUGUCAAAAAUCAGUGUACAAAUAGCAAAGUUUAAUCGGUAAGGACCUUACUACAUGUACAGUAUGGUGUACGCUUUAGUUUACACUUUGCCACGUGAUAUUACUCUGUUGGACAGUUUAAAUUUCAAAUUUUUACCCCACCCAAUUGACACUUGACAACAAAGCAAUUGUCAAAUAAAGUGUCAAAAAUUAGUAUACAAAUAGCAAAGUUCAAUCGGUAAGAACCUUGCUACAUGUACACUAUGGUGUACACUCUUCAGUUUACACUUUGCUACGUGACCUUACCCUAUAGGACUGCUUAAAUUUCUAAUAGUUUUCCCAUCCAAUUGACGCUUGACAAUAAUGCAAGUCUCAAAUAACGUGUUAAAAAUUAGUAUACAAAUAGCAUAGUUCAAUCCGUAAGGACCUUGCUAUAUGUACACUAUGAUGUACACUUUAGUUUACACUUUGCCACAUGACAUUAAACUGUUAGACGGUUUAAAUUUCAAAUUAUUUUCCCACCCAAUUGACACUUGACAACAAUGCAAUUGUCAAACAACGUGUCAAAAAUCAGUGUACAAAUAGAAAAGUUCAAUCAGUAAGAACCUUGUCACAUGUACACUUUUCCACGUGACACUACCCUGCUGGACGGUUUAAAUUUCUAACAGAUUUCCCAUCAAAUUGACACUUGACAACAAUGCAAGUCUCAAAUAACGUGUCAAAAAUUAGUGUACAAAUAGCAUAGUUCAAUCGGUAAGGACCUUCCUACAUGUACAGUAUGGUGUAUACUUUAGUUUACACUUUGCAACGUGACGUUAACCUGUUGUACAGUUUAAAUUUCAUAUAGUUUUUCCAUCCAAUUGACACUUAACAACAAUGCAAGUGUCAAACAACGUGUCGAAAAUCAGUGUACAAAUAGCAAAUUUCAAUCGGUAAGAACCUUGCUACAUGUAUACUAUGGUGUACACUUUAGUUUACACUUUGCCACAUGACAUUAUCCUGUUGGAUAGUUUAAAUUUCAAAUUGUUAUCCACCAAUUUGACACUUGACAACAAUGGAAUUGUCAAAUAACGUGUCAAAAAUCAGUAUACAAAUAGCAAAGUUCAAUCGGUAAGAACCUUGCCACAUGUACACUAUGGUGUACACGCUUUAGUUUACACUUUUCCAUGUGACCUUACCCUGCUGGACAGUUUAAAUUUCUAACAGUUUUCCCAUCAAAUUGACAAUUGACAACAAUGUAAGUCUCAAACGACGUGUCAAAAAUUAGUGUACAAAUAGCAAAGUUCAAUCGAUAAGGACAUUGCUACAUGUACACUAUGGUGUACACUUUAGUUUACACUUUACCACGUGACAUUACCCUGUUGGACAGUUUAAAUUUCAAAUUAUUUUCCCACCCAAUUUGAACAGUUCAAUCGGUAAGAACCUUGCUACAUGUAAUCUUUUCCAUGUGACAUUACCCUGCUAGAUAGUUUAAAUUUCUAACAGUUUUCCCAUCAAAUUGACACUUGAAAACAAUGUAAGUCUCAAACAACGUGUCAAAAAUUAGUAUACAAAGAGCAUAGUUCAAUUAGUAAGGACCUUGCUACAUGUACACUAUGGUGUACACUUUAGUUUACACUUUGCCACAUGACAUUACCCUGUUGGACAGUUUAAAUUUCAUAUAGUUUUCCCAUCCAAUUGACACUUAACAACAAUGCAAGUGUCAAACAACGUGUCAAAAAUCAGUGUACGAAUAGCAAAGUUCAAUUUGUAAGAACCUUGCUACAUGUACAUGAUAGUGUACACUUUAGUUUACACUUUGACACGUGACGUUACCAUGUUGGACUGUUUAAAUUUCAAAUUGUUAUCCCACUCAAUUGACAUUUGACAAUAGUGCAAUUGUCAAACAACGUGUCAAAAAUUAGUAUAUAAAUAGUAAAGUUAAUCGGUACAAACCUUGCUACAUGUACACUAUGAUGUAUAUACUUUAGUUUACACUUUGCCACGUGACAGUUUAAAUUUCUAACAGUUUUCCCAUCAAAUUGACACUUGACAACAAUGCAAGUCUCAAACAACGUGUCAAAAAUUAAUGUACAAAUAGCAAAGUUCAAUCGAUUAGGACUUUGCUAUAUGUACACUAUGUUGUACACUUUAGUUUACACUUUACCACGUAACAUAACCCUAUUGGACAGUUUAAAUUUCAAAUUGUUAUCCCACCAAAUUGACAUUUGACAACAAUGUAAUUGUCAAACAACGUAUCAAAAAUCAAUAUACGAAUAGCAAAUUUCAAUCGGUAAGAACCUUGCUACAUGUACACUAUGGUGUACACACUUUAGUUUACACAUUGCCACGUGUCCUUACCUGCUGGACAAUUUAAAUUUCUAACAGUUUUCCCGUCCAAUUGACACUGGACAACAUUGCAAGUGUCAAACAACGUGUCAAGAAUUAGUGUAGAAAUAGAAAAUUUCAAUCGGUAAGAACCUUGCUGCAUGUACACUGUGGAGUGCACUUUAAUUUACACUUUGCGACGUGACAUUACCCUGUUGGACAGUUUAAAUUUCAUACAGUUUUCCCAUCCAAUUGACACUUAACAAUAAUGCAAGUGUCAAACAACAUGUCAAAAAUCAAUGUACAAAUUACAGUGUUCAACCGGUAUGAACCAUGCAACAUGUACACUAUGGAGUCUACUUAACUUUACACUUUGCCACAUGACUUUACCCUGUUGGCGAGUUUAAGUUCCAAAAAGUUUUCUCAUCCAAUUAACACUUGACAACAAUGCAAUUGUUAAACAACGUGUCAAAAAUCAGUGUACAAAUAACAAAGUUGAAUCGAUAAGAACCAUGCUGCAAGUACACUAUGGUGUACACUUUAGUUUACACUUUACUACGUGACACUACUCUAUUAGACAAUUUAACUUUCAAACAGUUUUUCCAUCCAAUUGACACUUGACAACAAUACAAGUGUCAAACAAAGUGUCAAAAAUUAGUGUACAAAUAGCAAAGUUCAAUCGGUAAGAACCUUGCUACGUGUACACUAUGUUGUGCAGUUUAGUUUACACUUUGCCACGUGACAUUACCCAUUUGGACAGUUUAAAUUUCAAAUUGUUAUCCCUCCCAAUUGACACUUGACAACAAUGCAAUUGUCAAACAACGUGUCAAAAAUCAGAGUACAAAUAGCAAAGUUCAAUCGGUAAGGACCUUGCUACAUAUACACUAUGGUGUACACUUUAGUUUACACUUUGCAACGUGAUAUUACUCUGUUGGACAGUUUAAGUUUCAAAUUGUUAUCCCACCCAAUUGACACUUGACAACAAAGCAAUUGUGAAACAAAGUGUCAAAAAUUAGUAUGCAAAUAGCAAAGUUCAAUCGGUAAGAACCUUGCUACAUGUACACUAUGGUGUACACUUCAAUCCGUAAGGACCUUGCUACAUGUACACUAUGGUGUACACUUUAAUUUACACUUUGCGACAUGACAUCACCCUAUUGGACAGUUUAAAUUUCAAAUUAUUUUCCCACCCAUUUGACACUUGACAACAAUGCAAUUGUCAAACAACGUGUCAAAAAUCAGUGUACAAAUAGAAAAGUUCAAUCGGUAAGAGCCUUGCUACAUGUACACUUUUCCACGUGACAUUACCCUGCUGGACAGUUUAAAUUUCUAACAGUUUUCCCAUCAAAUUGACACUUGACAACAAUGUAAAUCUCAAACAACGUGUCAAGAAUUGGUGUAUAAAUAGCAUAGUUCAAUCGGUAAGGACAUUCCUACAUGUACACUAUGGUGUAAACUUUGGUUUACACUUUAUGACGUGACAUUAUCCUGUUGGACAGUUUAAAUUUCAUAUAGCUUUUUUGUCCAAUUGACACUUAACAGCAAUGCCAAGUGUCAAACAACGUGUCGAAAAUCAAUGUACAAAUAGCAAAUUUCAAUCGGUAAGGACCUUGCUACAUAUACACUAUGGUGUACACUUUAGUUUACACUUUGCCACGUGACAUUACCCUAUUGGACAAUUUAAAUUUCAAAUUUUUAUCCCACCCAAUUGACACUUGACAACAUUGCAAUUGUCAAACAACUUGUCAAAAAUCAGUAUACAAAUAGCAAAGUUCAAUCGGUAAGAACCUUGUUACAUGUACACUAUGGUGUACACGCUUUAGUUUACACUUUGCCAAAUGACCUUACCCUGCUGGACAGUUUAAAUUUCUAACAGUUUUCCCAUCAAAUUGACACUUGACAACAAUGCAAGUCUCAAACAAUGUGUCAAAAAUUAGUGUACAAAUAGCAAAGUUCAAUCGGUAAGGACCUUGUUACAUGUACACUACGAUGUACUCUUUAGUUUACACUUUGCCACGUGACAUUACCCCGUUGGACAGUUUAAAUUUCAAAUUAUUUUUCCACCCAAUUGACACUUGACAACAAUGCAAUUGUUAAACAACGUGCCAAAAAGUAGUGUGCAAAUAGCAAAGUUCAAUCGGUAAGAACCUUGCUACAUGUACACUAUGGUGUACACAGUUCAGUUUACACUUUGCCACGUGACAUUACCCUAAUGGACAGUUUAGAUUUCUAACAGUUUUCCCAUCAAAUUGACACUUUACAACAAUGCAAGUCUCAAACAACGUGUCAAAAAUUAGUGUACAGAUCGCAAAGUUCAAUCGGUAAGGACCUUGCUACAUGUACACUAUGGUAUACAAUUUAGUUUACACUUUGCGACGUGACAUAACCCUGUUGGACAGUUUAAAUUUCAUACAAUUUUCCCACCCAAUUGACACUUAACAACAAUGCAAGUGUCAAACAACAUGACAAAAAUCAGUGUACAAAUUACAAAGUUCAAUCGGUAUGAACCAUGCAGUAUGUACACUAUGGAGAACACUUAAGUUUACACUUUGCCACGUGACUUUACCCUGUUGGACAGUUUAAAUUUCAAACACUUUUCCCAUCCAAUUGAACUUGACAACAAUGCAAUUGUCAAACAACAUGUCAAAAAUCAGUGAACAAAUAACAAAGUUGAAUCGGUAAGAACCAUUCUACAUGCACACUAUGGUGUAUACUUUAGUUUACACUUUCCCACGUGACAUUACUGCAUUGGACAAUUUAAAUUUCAAACAGUUUUUCCAUCCAAUUGACAAUUGACAACAAUGCAAAUGUCAAACAACAUGUCAAACAUUAGUAUACAAAUAGUAAAGUUCAAUCGGUAAGAACAUUGCUACAUGUACACUAUGGUGUACAGUUUAGUUUACACUUUGCCACGUAACAUUAUCCAUUUGGACAAUUUAAAUUUCAAAUUGUUAUCCCUCCCAAUUGACACUUAACAACAAUGCAAUUGUCAAACAACGUGUCAAAAAUCAGUGUACAAAUAGUAAAGUUCAAUCGGUAAGGACCUUGCUACAUGUACACUAUGGUGUACACUUUAGUUUACACCUUGCAAUGUGAUAUUACUCUAUUGGAUAGUUUAAAUUUCAAAUUGUUAUCCCACCCAAUUGACGCUUGACAACAAAGCAAUUGUGAAACAAAGUGUCAAAAAUUAGUAUGCAAAUAGCAAAGUUCAAUCGGUAAGAACCUUGCUACACGUACACUAUGGUGUCCACACUUUAGUUUACACUUUGCCACGUGACCUUACCCUACUGGACAGUUUAAAUUUCUAAUAGUUUUCUCAUCCAAUUGACACUUGACAACAAUGCAAGUCUCAAACAACGUAUCAAAAAUUAGUGUACAAAUAGAAAAGUUCAAUCGGUAAGGACCUUGCUACAUGUACACUAUGAUGUACACUUUAGUUUACACUUUACCACGUAACAUAAACCUAUUGGACAGUUUAAAUUUCAAAUUCUUAUCCCACCCAAUUGACACUUGACAACAAUGUAAUUGUCAAACAUCGUGUCAAAAAUCAAUAUACAAAUAGCAAAUUUCAAUCGGUAAGAACCUUGCCACAUGUACACUUUGGUGUACACUUUGGUGUACACACUUUAGUUUACACUUUGCCACGUGACAUUACCCUGCUGGAUAGUUUAAAUUUCAAAUUGUUAUCCCACCCAAUUGACACUUGACAACAAUGCAAUUGUCAAACAACGUGUCAAAAAUCAGUGUACAAAUAGCAAAGUUAAUCAGUACGAACCUUGCUACAUGUACACUAUGAUGUAUACACUUUAGUUUACACUUUGCCACGUGACCUUACCCUUCCGGACAGUUUAAAUUUCUAACAGUUUUCCCAUCAAAUUGACACUUGACAACAAUGCAAGUCUCAAACAACGUGUCAAAAAUUAGUGUACAAAUAGCAAAGUUCAAUCGGUAAGGACCUUGCUACAUGUACACAAUAGUGUACACUUUAGUUUACACUUUGCCACGUAACAUAAACCUGUUGGACAGUUUAAAUUUCAAAUUGUUAUCCCACCCAAUUGACACUUGACAACAAUGUAAUUGUCAAACAACGUGUCAAAAAUCAAUAUACAGAUAGCAAAUUUCAAUCGGUAAGAACCUUUCCACUUGUACACUAUGGUGUACACACUUUAGUUUACACUUUGCCACAUGACAUUACCCUGCUGAAUAGUUUAAAUUUCAAAUUUUUAUCCCACCCAAUUGACACUUGACAACAAUGAAAUUGUCAAACAACGUGUCAAAAAUCAGUAUACAAAUAGCAAAGUUAAUCGGUACGAACCUUGCUACAUGUACACUAUGAUGUACACACUUUAGUUUACACUAUGCCACGUGACCUUACCCUACUGGACAAUUUAAAUUUCUAAUAGUUUUUCCAUCAAAUUGGCACUUGACAACAAUGCAAGUCUCAAACAACGUGUCAAAAAUUAAUGUACAAAUAGAAAAGUUCAACCGGUAAGGACCAUACUACGUGUAGACGAUGGUGUACACUUUAGUUUACACCUUGCCAUGUGACAUUACCCUAUUGGGCAGUUUAAAUUUUAAAUAAUUUUCCCACCCAAUUGACACUUGACAACAAUGCAAGUGUUAAACAACGUGUUGAAAAUCAGUGUACAAAUAGCAAAGUUCAAUCGGUAAGAACCUUGCUACAUGUACGCGAUGGUGUACACACUUUAGUUUACACUUUGCAACGUGACCUUACCCUGCUGGUCAGUUUAAAUUUCUAACAGUUUUCCCAUCCUAUUGACACUUGGCCACAUUGCAAGUGUCAAACAACGUGUCAAAAAUCAGUGUACAUUGAAUAGCAAAGUUCAAUCGGUAUGAACCAUGCUACAUGUACCCUAUGGUGUACAUUUAAGUUUACACUUUUCCACGUGACAUCACCCUGUUGGACAGUUUAAAUUUCAAACAGUUUUCCCAUCCAAUUGGCACUUGACCACAAUGCAAGUGUCAAACAACGUGUCAAAAAUUAUUGUAUAGCAAAGUUAAAUCGGUAAGAACGAUGUUAGAAGUACACUAUGGUUUGCACUUUAGUUUACACUUUAUCACAUGUCAUUACUCUAUUAGACAGUUUAAAUUUCAAACAGUUUUUCCAUCCAAUCAACACUUGACAACAAUGCAACUGUCAAAUAACGUGUCGAAAAUAAGUGUACAAAUAACAAAAUUCAAUCAGUAAGGACCUUGCUACAUGUACACUAUGGUGUACACUUCAGUUUACACUUUGCCACGUGACAUUACCUUGUUGGAUAGUUUAAAUUUCAAACAGUUUUCCCAUCUAAUUGACACUUGACAACAAUGCAAGUGUCAAACAACAUGUCAAAAAUCAGUGUAUAAAUAGAAAAGUUCAAUCGGUAAGGACCUUGCUACAUGCACACUAUGGUGUACACUUUAGUUUACACUUUGCCACGUGACAUUACCCUGUUGGACAGUUUAAAUUUCAAAAAGUUUUCUCACCCAAUUGAUACUUGACAACAAUGCAAGUGACAAACAACGUGUCAAAAAUCAGUGUACCAAUAGCAAAGUUCAAUCGAUAAGAACCUUGCUAAAUGUAUACUAUGGUGUACACACUUUAGUUUACACUUUGCCACGCAACAUUAUCCUGCUGAAUAGUUUAAAUUUCAAAUUGUUAUCCCACCCAAUUGACACUUGACAACAAUACAAUUAUCAAACAAUGUGUCAAAAAUCAGUAUACAAAUAGCAAAGUUAAUCGGUGCGAACCUUGCUACAUGUACACUAUGAUGUAUACACUUUAGUUUACACUUUGCCACAUGACCUUACCCUUCUAGACAGUUUAAAUUUCUAACAGUUUUCCUAUCAAAUUGACACUUGACAACAAUGCAAGUCUAAAACAAUGUGUCAUAAAUUAGUGUACAAAUAGUAAAGUUCAAUCGGUAAGGACCUUGCUACAUGUACACUAUGGUGUACACUUUUAUUUACACUUUGCCACGUAACAUAACCCUAUUGGACAGUUUAGAUUUCAAAUUGUUAUCCCACCUAAUUGACACUUGACAACAAUGUAAUUUUCAAACAACGUGUCAAAAAUCAAUAUACAAAUAGCAAAUUUCAAUCGGUAAGAACCUUGCUACAUGUACACUAUGGUGUACACACUUAGUUUACACAUUGCCACGUGACCUUACCCUGCUGGACAAUUUAAAUUUCUAAGAGUUUUCCCAUCCAAUUGACACUAGAAAACAAUGCAAGUAUCAAACAACGUGUCAAGAAUCAGUGUACAAAUAGAAAAUUUCAAUCGGUAAGAACCUUGCUACAUGUACACUGUGGUGUACACUUUAAUUUACACUUUGCAACGUGACAUUAUCCUGCUGGACAAUUUAAAUUCCAAAUUGUUAUCCCACCCAAUUAACACUUGACAAUAAUGCAAUUUUCAAACAACCCGUAAAAAAUCAGUAUACAAAUAGCAAAGUUCAAUCGGUAAGAACCUUGCUACAUGUACACUAUGGUGGACACACUUUAGUUUACACUUUACCACAUGAACUUACCUUGCUGAACAAUUUAAAUUUCUAACAGUUUUCCCAUCAAAUUGACACUUGAUAACAAUGUAAGUCUCAAACAACGUGUCAAAAAUUAGUGUUCAAAUAGAAAAGUUCAAUCGGUAAGGACCAUGCUACGUGUAGACGAUGGUGUACACUUUAGUUUACACUUUGCCUGUGACAUUACCCUAUUGGGCAGUUUAAAUUUUAAAUAAUUUUCCCAUCCAAUUGACACUUGACAACAAUGCAAGUGUUAAACAACGUGUUGAAAAUCAGUGUACAAAUAGCAAAGUUCAAUCGGUAAGAACCUUGCUACAUGUACGCUAUGGUGUACAAACUUUAGUUUACACUUUGCAACGUGACCUUACCCUACUGGACAGUUUAAAUUUCUAAUAGUUUUCCCAUCCUAUUGACACUUGACCACAUUACAAAUGUCAAACAAUGUGUCAAAAAUCAGUGUACAUUGAAUAGCAAAGUUCAAUCGGUAUGAACCAUGUUACAUGUACCCUAUGGUGUACAUUUAAGUUUACACUUUGCCACGUGACAUCACAUUGUUGGACAGUUUAAAUUUCAAACAAUUUUCCCAUCCAAUUGAGACUUGACCACAAUGCAAGUGUCAAACAACGUGUCAAAAUCAGUGUAUAACAAAGUUCAAUUGGUAAGAACCAUGUUAGAAGUACACUAUGGUGUGCACUUUAGUUUACACUUUACCAUAUGUCAUUAUUCUAUUGGAUAGUUUAAAUUUCAAACAGUUUUUCCAUCCAAUUAACACUUGAAAACAAUGCAAGUGUCAAAUAACGUGUCGAAAAUAAGUGUACAAAUAGCAAAAUUCAAUCGGUAAGGACCUUGCUACAUGUACACUAUGGUGUACACUUUAGUUUACACUUUGCCACGUGACAUUAUCAUGUUGGAUAGUUUAAAUUUUGAAUAGUUUUCCUAUCUAAUUGACACUUGACAAUAAUGCAAGUGUCAAACAACGUGUCAAAAAUCAGUUUACAAAUAGCAAAGUUCAAUCGGUAAGGACCUUGCUACAUGCACACUAUGGUGUACACUUUAGUUUACACUUUUCCACGUGACAUUACCCUGUUGAACAGUUUAAAUUUCAAAAAUUUUUCCCACCCAAUUGAUACUUGACAACAAUGCAAGUGUCAAACAACGUGUCAAAAAUCAGUGUAGAAAUAGCAAAGUUCAAUCGGUAAGAACCUUGCUAAAUGUACACUAUGGUCAACACACUUUAGUUUACACUUUGCCACAUGACAUUACCCUGCUGGAUAGUUUAAAUUUCUAACAGUUUUCCCAUUCAAUUGACACUUGACAAUAAUGUAAGUGUUAAACAACGUGUCAAAAAUCAGUGUACAAAUAGCAAAGUUCAAUCGGUAAGAACCUUGCUACAUGAACACAAUGGUGUACACUUUAGUUUACACUUUGCCACGUGACAUUAUCCUGUUGGACAGUUUAAAUUUCAAACUAUUUUCCCAUCCAAUUGACACUUGACAACAAUGCAAGUGUCAAACAACGUGUCAAAAAUUAGUGUACAAAUAGUAAAGUUCAAUCGGUAUGAACCAUGCUACAUGUACACUAUGGUGUACACUUUAGUUUACACUUUGCUAGGUUACAUUACCCUAUUGGACAGUUUAAUUUUCAAACAGUUUUUUCAUUCAAUUGACAUUUGACAACAACGCAAGUGUCAAACAACCUAUCAAAAAUUAGUGUAGAAAUAGUAAAUUGCAAACGGUAAGAACCUUGCUAUAUGUAGACUAUGUUGUACACACUUUAGUUUACACUUUGACAUGUGACAUUACCCUGUUGGAUAGUUUAAAUUUCAAAACAUUUUUCCAUCCAAUUGACACUUGACAACAUUGCAAGAGUCAAACAACGUGUCAAAAAUCAGUGUACAAAUAGCAAAGUUUAAUCGGUAUGAACCAUGCUACAUGUACACUAUGGUGUACACUUUAGUUUACACUUUACCACGUGACAUUAACCUGUUGGACAGUUUAAAUUUCAAAUAAUUUUUCCAUCCAAUUGACACUUCACAACAAUGUAAGUGUUAAACAACAUGUCAAAAAUCAGUGUACAAAUUGCAAAGUUCAAUCGAUAAGAACCUUGCUACAUGCACACUAAGGUGUACACUUUACCACGUGACAUUACCCAGUUAGACAGUUUAAAUUUCAAAAUGUUUUCCCAUCCUAUUGACACUUGACAACAUUGCAAGUGUCAAACAAUGUGUCAAAAAUCAGUAUACAAAUAGCAAAGUUCAAUCGGUAAGAACCUUGCUAUAUGUAGACUUUGGUGUAGACUUUGGUGUACACUUUAGUUUAUACUAUGUCAGUGACAUUACACUGUUGGACAGUUUAAAUAUCAAACAAUUUUUCCUUCCAAUUGACAAUUGACAACAAUGCAAGUGUCAAACAAUGUGUCAAAAAUUAAUGUACAAAUAGUAAAGUUCAAUCGGUAAGAACUAUGCUACAAGUACACUAUGGUGUACACUUUAGUUUUCACUUUGCCACGUGAAAUUACUCUAUUGGACAGUUUAAAUUUCAAACAAUUUUUCCAUCCAACUGACACUUGACAACAAUGCAAGUGUCAAACAACGUGUCGAAAAUUAGUGUACAAAUAGUAAAGUUCAAUCGGUAAGGACCUUGCUACAUGUACACUGUAGUGUCUACUUUAGUUUACACUUUGCCACGUGACAUUACCUGUUGGACAUUUUAAAUUUCAAAUAGUUUUCCCAUCCAAUUGACACUUGUCACAUUGUCACGUGACAUUAGAUUGUUGGACAGUUUAAAUUUCAAAAAGCUUUCCCAUCCAAUUGACACUUGACAACAAUGCAAGUGUCAAACAAUGUGUCAAAAAUCAGUGUACAGUUAGCAAUGUUCAAUCGGUAAGGAUCUUGCUACAUGUAUUCUAUGGUUUAUACUUUGCCACAUGACAUUACCCUGUUUGACAGUUUAAAUUUCAAACAGUUUUCCCUUCCGAUUGACAUUUGACAACAAUUCAUAUGUCAAACAACGUGUCAAAAACCAGUGUAGAAAUUGCAAAGUUCAAUCGGUAAAAACCUUGCUACAUGUACACUAUGGUGUACACACUAUAGUUUACACUUAGCCACGUGACAUUACCAUGUUGGACAGUUUAACUUUCAAAUAGAUUUUCCAUCCAAUUGACACUUGACAACAAUGCAAGUGUUAAAGAACGUGUCCAAAAUCAGUGUACAAAUAGCAAAGUUCAAUUAGUAUGAACCAUGCUACAUGUACACCAUGUUGUACACUUUAGUUUUCACUUUACCACGUGACAUUACCUUGUUGGACAGUUUAAAUUUCAAACAGUUUUCCCAUCCAACUACACUUGACAAUAAUGUAAGUGUUAAAUACCAUGUCAAGAAUCAGUGUACAAAUUGCAAAGUUCAAUCGGUAAGAACCUUGUUACAUGUACAUUAUGGUGUACACUUUAGUUUACACUUUGGCACGUGACAUUACACAAUUGGACAGUUUAAAUUUCAAAAAGUUUUCCCAUCCAGUUGACACUUGACAAAAUUGCAAGUGUCACUCAAGUGUCAAACAACGUGUCAAAAAUCAGUGUACAAAUAGCAAAGUUCAAUGGUAAGAACCUUUCUACAUGUACACUUUGGUGGUGCACACUUUAGUUUACACUUUACCACAUGACAUUACCUGGUUGGACAGUUUAAAUGUCAAACAGUUUUCCCUUCCAAUUGACACUAGACAACAAUGCAAGUGUCAAACAACGUGUCAAAAAUCAGUGUAUAAAUAGCAAAGUUCAAUCGGUAAGAACCAUGUUACAAGUACACUAUUGUGUACACUUUAGUUUUCACUUUGCCACGUGAAAUUACUCGAUUGGACGGUUUAAAUUUCAAACAUUUUUUCCAUCUAAUUGACACUUGACAAUAAUGCAAGUGUCAAACAAAGUGUCGAAAAUUAGUGUACAAAUAGUAAAGUUCAAUCGGUUAGGACCUUGCUAAAUUACACUAUGGUGUACACUUUAGUUUAUACAUUACCAUGUGACAUUACCCUAUUGGACAGUUUAAAUUUCAAACAAUUUUCCCAUUCAAUUGAUACAUGACAAUAUUGCAAGUGUCAAACAACGUGUCAAAAAUCAGUGUACAAGUAGCGACGUUCAAUUGGCAAGAACCUUGCUAUAUGUACAUUAUGGUGUACACUUUAGUUUACACUAUGCAACAUGACAUUAUCCUGUUGGACUGUUUAAAUUUCAAACAGUUUUUCCGUCCAAUUGACACUUAACAGCAAUUCAAAUGUCAAACAAUGGGUCAAAAAUUAAUUUACAAAUAAUAGUUUUUCCAUCCAAUUGACACUUGACAACAAUGUAAGUGUUAAACAACGUGUCAAAAAUCAGUGUACAAAUAGCAAAGUUCAAAUGGUAAGAAUCUUCCUACAUGUACACUAUGGUGUACCCACUUUAGUUUACACUUUUCUACGUGACAUUACCCAGUUGGAUGGUUUAAAUUUCAAAUAGUUUUUCCAUCCAAUUGCACUUGACAACAAUGUAAGUGUUAAACAGCGUGUCAAGAAUCAGUGUACAAAUUAUAAAGUUUAAUCGGUAAAAACCUUACUGCAUAUACAUUAUAGUGUAUACUUUAGUUUACACUUUGGUAUGUGACGUUACCCAGUUGGACAGUUUAAAUUUCGAACAGUUUUCUCAUCCAAUUGACACUUGACAAAAUUGCAAGUGUCAAACAAUGUGUCAAAAAUCAGUGUACAAAUAGUAAAAUUAAAUAGGUAAGAACCUUUCUACAUGUACACUCUAGUGGUGCACACUUUAGUUUACACUUUACCACGUGACAUUACCCGGUUGGACAGUUUAAAUGUCAAACAGUUUUCCCUUCCAAUUGACACUAGACAACAAUGCAAGUAUCAAACAACGUGUCAAAAAUCAGUGUACAAAUGGCAAAGUUCAAUCGGUAAGAAUCAUGCUACAAGUAUACUAUCAUGUACACUUUAGUUUUCACUUUGCCACGUGAAAUUACUCUAUUGGACAGUUUAAAUUUCAAACAAUUUUUCCGUCCAAUUGACACUUGACAACAAUGCAAGUGUCUAACAAAGUGUCAAAAAUUAGUGUACAAAUAGCAAAGUUCAAUUGGUUAGGACCUUGCUAAAUUACAUUAUGGUGUACACUUUAGUUUACACGUUGCCACGUGACAUUACCUGUUGGACAGUUUCAAUUUCAAAUAGUUUUCCCAUCCAAUUGACACUUGUCACUGUGCCAUGUGACAUUAGUCUGUUGGACAGUUUAAAUUUAAAAAGUUUUCCCAUCCAAUUGACACUUGAAAACAAUGCAAGUGUCAAAAAUCAGUGUACACUUAGCAAAGUUCAAUUGGUAAGUACCUUGCUACAUUAAUACUAUGGUUUACACUUUGCCACGUAACAUUACCCUGUUGGACAAUUUAAAUUUCAAACAAUUUUCCCACCCAAUUGACACUUGACAACAAUGCAAGUGUCAAAUAACGUGUUAAAAAUCAGUGUACAAAUAGCAAAGUUCAAUCGGUAAGAACCUUGUUACAUGUACACUAUGGUGUACACACUAUAAUUUACACUUAGCCACGUGACAUUAAUCCUGUUGGACAGUUUAAAUUUCAAAUAGUUUUCCCAUCCAAUUGACACUUGACAAUAAUGCAAGUGUCAAACAACGUGUCAAAAAUCAGUGUACAAAUAGCUAAGUUCAAUCAGUAUGAACCAUACUACACGUACACCAUGUUGUACACUUUAGUUUUCACUUUACCCCGUGACAUUACCUCAUUGGACAGUUUAAGUUUCAAACAAUUUUUCCACCCAAUUGCACUUGACACCAAUGUAAGUGUUAAACACCGUGUCAAGAACCAGUGUACAAAUUGUAAAGUUCAAUCGGUAAGAACCUUGCUACAUGUACAUUAUGGUGUACACUUUAGUUUACACUUUGGUACAUGACGUUACCCAGUUGGACAGUUUAAAUUUCAAAAAGUUUUCCUAUCCAAUUGACACUUGACAAAAUUACAAGUGUCAAACAAUGUGUCAAAAAUCAGUGUACAAAUAGCAAAGUUCAAUAGGUAAGAACCUUUCUACAUGUACACUUUGGUAGUGCACACUUUAGUUUACACUUUGCCACUUGAGAUUACCCGGUUGGACAGUUUAAAUGUUAAACAAUUUUUCCUUCCAAUUGACACUAGACAACAAUGCAAGUAUCAAACGACGUGUCAAAAAUCAGUGUACAAAUAGCAAAGUUCAAUCGGUAAGAACCAUGCUACAAGUACACUAUUGUGUAAACUUCAGUUUUCACUUGGCCACGUGAAAUUACUCUAUUGGACGGUUUAAAUUUCAAACAGUUUUUCUUCCAAUUGACACUUGACAAUAAUGCAAGUGUCAAACAAAGUGUCAAAAAUUAGUGUACAAAUAGUAAAGUUCAAUCGGUUAGGACCUUGCUAAAUUACACUAUGGUGUACAAUUUAGUUUACACGUUGUCACGUGACAUUACCCUGCUGGACAGUUUAAAUUUCAAACAGUUUUUCCAUCCAAUUGACACAUGACAAUAUUGCAAGUAUCUAACAAUGUGUCAAAAAUCAGUGUACAAGUAGCAAAGUUCAAUUGGUAAGAACCUUGCUACAUGUACAUUAUGGUGUACACUUUAGUUUACACUAUACCACGUGACAUUAUCCUGUUGAACAGUUUAAAUUUCAAACAGUUUUCCCAUCUAAUUGACACUUGACAACAAUGCAAGUGUCAAACAACGUGUCAAAAAUCAAUUUACAAAUAGCAGUUUUCCAUCCAAUUGACACUUGAAAAUAAUGUAAGUGUCAAACAACGUGUCAAAAAUCAUUGUACAAAUAGUAAAGUUCAAACGGUAAGAACCUUGCUACAUGUACACGAUGGUGUACCCACUUUAGUUUACACUUUGCCACGUGACAUUAACUUGUUGGACAGUUUAAAUUUCAAACAGUUUUUCCAUUCAAUUGACAAUUGACAGCAGUACAGGUGUUAAACAGCCUGUCAAAAAUCAGUGUACAAAUAGCAAAGUUCAAUCAGUAAGCAUCUUGCCACAUGUACACUAUGGUGUACACUUUAGUUUGCACUUUGCCACGUGAUAUUACCUUGUUGGACAGUUUAAAUUUCAAACAGUUUUCCCAUCCAAUUGACACUUGACAACAAUGCAAGUGUCAAACAACGUAUCAAAAGUCUAUGAACAAAUAGCAAAGUUCAAUCAAUAAGGACCUUGCUACAUUACACUAUGGUGUACACUUUUGUUUACAUUUUGCCACAUGAUGUUACCUUGUUGGACAGUUUAAAUUUAAAAUAGUUUUCCCAUCUAAUUGACCCUUGAAAACAAUGCAAGUGUCAAACAACGCGUCAAAAACUAGUGUACAAAUAGCAAAGUUCAAUCGGUAAGAACCUUGCUACAUGUACACUAUGGUGUACACUUCAGUUUACACUUUAUCUCGUGAUGUUACCUUGUUGGUCAGUUUAAAUUUCAAAUAGUUUUCCCAUCCAAUUGACAGUUGACAACAAUGCAAGUGUCAACAACGUGUCAAAAAUCAGUAUACAAAUAGCAAAGUUUAAUAGGUAAGAACCUUACGACAUGUACACUAUGGCGUGCCAUUUAGUUUACACUUUGCCACGUGUCAUUACCCUGUUGGAUAGUUUAGAUUUCAAAUAAUUUUCUCAUCCAAUUGACACUUGCCAUACACUUGACAACAAUGCAAGUGUCAAACAACGUGUCAAAAAUCAGAGUACAAAUAGUAAAGUUCAAUCGAUAAGAACCUUGCUACAUGUACACUAUGGUGUACACUUUAGUUUACACUUUGUCAUGUGACAUUACUCUAUUGGACAAUUUAAAUUUCAAACAAUUUUCAUAUCCAAUUGACACUUGACAACAAUGCAAGUGUCAAACAAAAGGUCGAAAAUUAGUAUACAAAUAGCAAUGUUCAAUCGGUAAGGACCUUGUUACAUGUACACUAUGGUGUACACUUUAGUUUAUACUUUGCCACAUGACAUUACCCUGUUGGACAACUUAAAUUUCAAAUAGUUUUCCCAUCGAAUUGAUACUUGACAACAAUGCAAGUGUCAAACAACAUGUCAAAAGUCAGUGUACAAACAGCAAAGUUCAAUUCGUAAGAACCUUGCUACAUGUACACUAUGGUGUACACUUUAGUUUACACUUUGCCACGUGACGUUACCCUGUUGGGCAGUUUAAAUUUCAAAUAGUUUUGCCAUCCAAUUGACACUUGACAGCAUUGUAAGUGUCAAACAACGUGUCAAAAAUCAAUGUACAAAUAGCAAAGUUUAAACGGUAAGAACCUUACUACAUGUACACUAUGGUGUACCUACUUUAGUUUACACUUUUCCACGUGACAUUACCUUGUUGGGCAGUUUAAAUUUCGAACAGUUUUUCCAUCUGAUUGACAAUUGACAACAAUGUAAGUGUCAAACAACCUGUCAAAAAUCAGUGUACAAAUAACAAAGUUCAAUCGGUAAGCAUCUUGCUACAUGUACACUAUGGUGCACACUUUAAUUUACACUUUGCCACGUGACAUUACCCUAUUGUACUGUUUAAAUUUUAAACAGUUUUCCCAUCCAAUUGACACUUGAUAACAAUGCAAAUGUCAAACAACAUGUCAAAAAUCUAUGUACAAAUAGUAAAGUUCAAUCGAUAAGGACCUUGCUACAUUACACUAUGGUGUACACUUUUGUUUAUACUUUGCCACGUGACGUUACCAUGUUGGAAAGUUUAAAUUUAAAACAUUUUUGCCAUCUAAUUGACACUCAAAUACAAUGCAAGUGUCAAAUAACGCAUCAAAAAUCAGUGUACAAAUAGCAAAGUUUAAUCGGUAAGAACCUUACUAUAUGUAUACUAUGGUGUACACUUUAAUUUACAAUUUACCACGUGCGGUGGAUGUGGUGGGUAGUGGAGACACUGGUCGGUGGCUGUGCUGUACAGCGACGCUGGUUGGCAAUAAGUGUAACAGUAUUGCCACACGCACAAGAUGUGUGCUGAUUUGUGUGAGUGCAGUGUGUGUGGAAGUGUAUUUGUACAGUGAUGAGGUAUUUUUGUUGGGUUUGUUGGUUUUUGGAGUGAUGUGGAUACAAUGGUGGUGAUGGUGGCUCUACCGGUAUGCAGCGGCUCUGGUGGUGGGAGGUUCUUGACGGUGGCUCUGUGUGAAAUGCUGUGUUACAGUAUUUUUGUUGGGCUUGUUGGUUUUUGGAGCGGUGGUAGUGGUGGCAGCGGCGGCGCUGAUCGUGAUGGUGUUGUGGUAGGGAUAGUGUUAGUGACCAAGAAUUGUGGUGGAUUGGGAUCGGGUGUUUAGUGUCUGUGACCAACUAUUUGGUCCCCUAUGACUGACUAUUAAUCUGUGACCAUCAAAUUUGAAAAUAUGUGACCUAUGACCUAUAAUUUUUUGAAUUUGUGACCAAUGACAAAAACCAUGAUCUAUAAAAUCGAUAGAUAAAUUGUGAUCUAUAAUUUUUUGAUCUGUGAUCAAAUAUUUUAAUCCGUGACCUAUUAAAGUUUUGAUUUGAGACCGGUGAAUAAAUCUAUAAUCUAUAAUUGUGUACAUGUCAUUAAUUGUAUAAUUGUGACAUUAUUAUAUUUAAUUAAUAAAUAUUUUUAAUUAGAUGAAAACUUGAAUUUUGCAUUAGUUAAACUUAAAACUUGAUUUUUGAAUUGUGCAUAAUUAAUACAUUAUUUAUGAAUUUUUCCCCGCUGGGAUAACUAGGCUAGGCGGGUUGGGUCAUGGGUGAAAUUUCGAUCAAAUAUUCUCAUGUUAAAUUUUGGGAUAGCUAGGCGGGUCGGGUCAUAGGUAAUACUCUCAUAUUAUCCUUAUUAAAUUAAUUUAUUUAAAACACUAUUUAUAAUUGGUAAAAAAUUUUGUAUAUUUAUAAGUUGUGGAUCCUAUAAAAUAUAUGGAUAGAAAGCAAUUUGUAAAAUUAUUGUUCAUCGAUGCAUUCUUUUGUUACGUCUCAUAAUUCGUAGUAUUAGUAAUAUCCCAAAAAUACAUUAAUCGAUAUUAAUUUGAUAAAAGACUGAAAAAAGGAAAUUCUUUGAUUUAAGAAGGGAUGAGCUUCGUCUUUAUAAGAUAAUUUGACUAGUUUUGAUAAUGAUGUGAUCGAAAUUCUAGAUCCACUCAUCGGAUCCUCGUCGUCUAUUACCAUUAUCAUUAAGGGUUAUUUCAGUAGUUAGGAUGGGUGAUUUUUAAAGAUCCAUCAGUUGAGCACCAUUUCUAUAUUCCUUUGUGGCCGGGCUACUGUAUCUCAAAUUAUUAAGUAGGAGGUAUAUUGUUCAAUCUCUUACUUUUUACUACCCGGCCAAAUAGUUCAAAUUGCACAGAUGAACAAUUAGGCGAACAGCUUUACAAAUGUCAGUAGGGUAAUUACUAAUAAUCUUAGGUGAUACGUAGGAUACUCAAGCUUGGGAUGAUUUGUGAUGGCUGUGAUUGAAGAUCCAGAGAGAAACUUAAAAUUUUCUUCAACUUCUUCCCAAUAUUUAUCCUUCAAGGUAGAUGAUGGUGACAUUUUCCAAUAUCCCCGAUCAGUAUAUCCCGAGGACUAAUUUUGAUAAAGUUGUAAAUCCAUCUGCGGUGUCCUCGAGCAUUUCGUCCUCGAGACACCAGGCCCGACCACAUCUCCAUGAUGCUUCACAUAUUGCAAACAUGUGUCCUCGGGCAUAGUCCUUGGGAAUGUGCCCCUCCUCACUACUGACGAUUGUUAACCCUUUAGAAUUCCUACGCAAUUAGGAAUCUUAACUCCCACAAGAGUCCUAUCUCACGCAUAAUUCUGGAAUUCAACCAACUCCUUAACCAUUCAGGACUCCAACAGAUGAGGACAUCCAGCUAGUUGAGUCCAAUUAGGAGAAUGUCACUUACUACUAUAAAUACAGAACCUUGAACCAUUAUUCAGGUACGUUUUUUCAUUGUUCUUCAGCACAUAGCCUCACGCAUAUAUUUCCCUUUCUGACUUAAGCAUCAGAGGGGCAACGAGAACACACCUCGUUGCCUUUGUUUCAGGUAUCGAAAGAUCACAUUCGUGCCCUUCAUCCAUCAUCAAGCUCGGGAAAUCUACAGGUACGAUUUUUGGUAGCAUCAUUGGCGCCAUCUGUGGGAAGCGCUACCAAAAGCCAUGGUAAACACACGGUCAGGUCUUCCACCCGCAAGCUCAUCCGCUCCAAACCAACCCCCUCCUGAGGAUAUCCCUGUUCCUCAAGAGGAAUCAUCAGAAGUGCCAGAGCCCCGACCGGCAAUCGUCACUACUGGAGCCUUUGAAGAGCUCAGACAACAGGUCGCCACACUGACUCAGCUGCUAGGUCAAAGAAAUUCGCAUCCAUCACCCACACCGGCACCCUAGGGGGGUUUUAUGGCUGAUGCUCGAACUCAAGCUCAUGUCCCUGACAAUGGCGGAGCAGGGGCCUCGGGUAUACCACAUGUGACCUCGGCCUCGAGAUCAGUGACCAUGGAGUCCGGAGAACUCACUAGGAUUAUUCAAGAAGAAAUUGCGGCGGGCCUACUUCAGGGCAAUAAAGGGACGACAAGAUUCAGUCCCAACACUCCAUUUACUCCCGAGAUAUUAACAUUCCCCUUGCCGGACAGAUUUAAGUAUCCUAGGAUCAAAGAGUAUGAUGGGACCACCGAUCCAAUCAAUCAUCUGAACAUAUACACUGACGUCAUGAAUUUACAGGUCGCACUAGAUCAGGUGAUGUGCAAGGCAUUCCCGCAAACCUUGACGAAUGCUGCUAGGGAUUGGUUCUCAACCUUAGAGUCCAACUCCAUAGCCUCAUUCUCGGAUUUGGCGGACAAGUUCUCCGCUUUCUUCGCAAGCAGCAAACGCAUCAGGAAGACAGCGGCUUCCCUCAUGCAACUUAGGCAGGGGCAAAAUGAGACCCUACGUGACUUCAUGACCAGGUUCAACAAGGAAAGACUUCAGAUUCCCGACCUACACAUAACUGCAGCGGUUUCUGCCCUCACAUAUGCCAUAAAGUGUGAGGCCUUCAAGAUGUCUUUAUCCAAAACUCCGUCAAAGACAGUGACCGAGCUUCUUACCCGAGCCGAGAAGUACAUAAAUAUGGAAGAAACACUAAACUCGAGAAAGGUUGGACCAUCCCAUGACAGGGUCGAGCAUAAAAGACAGCAUGACCCGAACCCUCGUGAAGAACAGCAUCGAAAAAAAUAGAGACAGGAGGUUCCCCCGAUGCCGUUUACACGUCUAAACACGUCAAAGACCAAUAUAUUGAUGGAGAUCAAGGAUAUGAAGGAACUGAAAUGGCCUGUCAGAAUGAGGUCACCACCCGAAUCCAGGGACAUGAACAAGUACUGUGAGUUCCAUCGGGAUCACGGGCAUACCACGGAGAACUGUAAGGCCCUGCAACGGGAGAUUGAAGCCCUUAUCAAAAGAGGACUCCUGAGCUCCUACGUUGGUAACGAUAAACGCCCGAGGAAUGGUCGUGACAGGGAAAAAGACCCUGAGGCAAAAAGGGAUGGUCAACCUACUGCUGGAACCAUCAAUAUCAUCAUUGGAGGUAUUGCCUCGGGAGGAGACUCCAACAGUGGGAGAAAACAAUAUGCCCAACGAUAUGCCUUGGCCUCUGGGAUGCCUCAGGGAAAGCUGGAAGAUAUUAGUUUUGGGACCGGAGACUUAGAAGGCGUAUCACUUCCACAUGAUGAUGCCUUGGUAAUCUCAGCGAUUGUGGCCAAUUUUGAAGUAAAGAGGAUCUUGGUUGACAACGGGAGUGCGGCCAAUAUACUUUCACAAGAAGCUUUUGCCAAAAUGGGAAUCUCCUCUCACCAACUCAAAGCGGUUGAAACUCCUCUCCAGGGGUUUGGUGGAGGAGUCAUCACUCCAGANNNNNNNNNNNNNNNNNNNNNNNNNNNNNNNNNNNNNNNNNNNNNNNNNNNNNNNNNNNNNNNNNNNNNNNNNNNNNNNNNNNNNNNNNNNNNNNNNNNNNNNNNNNNNNNNNNNNNNNNNNGGUUGACAAUGGGAGUGCAGCCAAUAUACUUUCACAAGAAGCUUUUGCCAAAAUGGGAAUCUCAUCUCACCAGCUCAAAGCGGUUAAAACUCCUCUCCAGGGGUUCGGUGGAGGAGUCAUCACUCCAGAGGGUGUAGUUGAGCUUCCACUAACUUUGGGUUCUGGCCAGAAACAGGUUACGGAGCUGACAUCUUUUCAAGUGGUACGUGUCUCAAUGGCCUAUAAUGCAAUUCUGGGAAGACCACUCCUGAACAAGAUUAAAGCCAUUGUGUCCACCUUCCACCUAGCCAUGAAGUUUCCAACGGGUAAUGGCGUUGGGGUUGUCCGUGGAGACCAGACAGCUGCCAGACAAUGCUAUGUUGCCAGUGUUCGGGAAAUAAAUAACGACGUCAUGCAAAUCUCGAGGAUGGAUCCCGAGGAUGGGCAACAAGUCAGACUUGCUCCUGUCGAAGAAUUGAUGGAAAUUGAGCUCGAGCAUGAUAAGAAGGUGACGAUCGGUCGGGAUCUUGACGUCACCCUGAAGACAGAACUUGUCAGUUGUUUAUCUCGCAACAUUGACGUUUUUGCCUGGAAGGUUGAGGAUAUGUCAGGAAUAGACCCUAAAAUUGCAGUCCAUAGGCUUAAUAUUAGCCCAGGGGCCAGGCCAGUAAAACAGAGGAAAAGACAGUUUGCCCCAGAACGUCGGGAGGUCAUCCGCGAAGAAAUUAACAAACUCAUAAGUGCUCGGUUCAUUCGGGAGGUCCAAUAUCCCGAUUGGCUCGCCAAUGUCAUUUUAGUGAAGAAGGCCAAUGGUAAGUGGAGAGUCUGCAUUGACUUCACAGAUCUUAAUAAAGCAUGUCCAAAGGAUAGUUAUCCCCCACCGCGGAUUGACAACUUGGUGGAUAGCACGUCUGGACAUAAGCUAUACAGCUUCUUGGAUGCAUUUUCUGGUUAUCAUCAAAUCCUCAUGGCCGAGGAAGAUCAAGAAAAGACCUCAUUCAUGGUCGAUUCUGCCAUAUACUGUUAUAAGGUCAUGCCUUUCGGUUUGAAGAAUGCAGGGGCAACAUACCAAAGACUCAUCAACAAAGUCUUUGCUAACUUGAUUGGAAGGAAUGUGGAGGCGUACGUUGAUGACACGGUGGUCAAGAGCAAACAGGUGGACCAACAUAUUUCAGAUCUUGAAGAAGUGUUCAACACCUUGCGAAAGUACGGGACGAAGUUGAACCCCGCAAAAUGUGCAUUUGGCGUGGCCUCGGGCAAGUUCUUGGGCUUCAUGAUCACUCACCGGGGGAUAGAGGCCAACCCUGACAAAAUACAAGCAUUAGCAUCUAUGGAAUCACCAAGGAACAAGAAAGAGGUACACAGGUUGACUGGCAGGAUAGCAGCCUUGAACAGGUUCAUGUCCCGAGCAUCGGACAGGUGCUAUCCCUUCUUCAAAGUCCUCAGAGGAAACCAAGGCUUUGAUUGGAGUGAAGACUGUGAGAAAGCUUUUCAAGAGCUCAAACAGACAUUAGCAUCUCCUCCAAUUCUAACAAAGCCUGAGCCUGGUGACACUUUGUUUUUGUACCUGGCCGUAUCUCAAAAUGCGGUCAGCGGGGUCUUCGUGAAAGAGGUUAACAAAGUCCAACAACCGAUCUACUAUGUAAGCAAGGUCCUACAAGAUGCGGAAACAAGGUAUACUUUGGCGGAACAACUUGCCCUUGCCUUGGUUGUAGCAGCACGGAAACUUAGGCAGUAUUUCCAGUCUCACCCUAUUGUGGUGCUCACUAAUCAACCACUUAGGCACAUACUUCAGAAGCCGGACGUAUCGGGAAGACUGAUGAAGUGGGCAAUCGAGCUAGGAGAAUUUGCCAUCGAAUUCAAACCACGCCCAUCUAUCAAAGCCCAAGCACUAGCCGACUUCAUCGCAGAACUAACCCCUAGGCCUCGGGGGCCAGGUGACAGCUCGAGCAUGAGCACUAAUUUGGACACUUGGCAAUUUUUUGUGGAUGGAGCAUCGAACUCCUCGGGCUCGGGCGUAGGGGUCAUCAUCAUCAGCCCUGACAAACAAACAGAGAUCCAAUGCGCUCUCAGAUUCGAGUUUGAAGCAACCAACAACGAGGCCGAGUAUGAGGCCGUCGUUAUUGCUCUUGAGCUAGCCCUUUGCCUACAGCUCGAGUUCGUAAAGGUAUUCAGCGAUUCACAGCUAGUGGUCGGACAGAUUGGAGGAUCAUUUGAAAGAAAGGAGGAGAAAAUGAGUUUGCACUGUAUGAAGGUCCAGGAUCUUCAACGAAAAUUCAAGAGCUGUGAAAUUACAAAAAUUGCUCGAAAGGACAACGGAAAAGCCGACGCAUUAUCCAGGCUUGUGUUCAUGGGGGUAGACGGCCUUGAUAGAACGGUUCACAUUAAAAUCAUCACAGAACCCAGCAUCAGUCAAAUCCUCGACAUCAUGGACAUUGACAACGAACCUUCCUGGAUGGACCCGAUCUUAGAAUUCAUCAGAAGUGGAAAUCUACCAAGCGAUGCCAGGUUGGCUAGAAGCAUCAGAGCCCGAGCUCCUAGGUACUGCAUGAUCAGUGGUGUCCUCUUUCGCAGAAGUAUUACUCUUCCAUACCUAAGGUGCCUCGGGCCAUCAGAAUCAUCCCAGGCCUUUGCUGAAGUUCAUGAAGGUGUGUGCGGGAACCAUCAAGGGGCCAGGGCCUUGGCCUUUAAACUCGUACGAUAUGGAUACUACUGGCCAACUAUGAAAAAAGAUGCCUCAAAAUAUGUUAAAAAUUGUGAUAAGUGCCAAAGGUUUGGUAAUAUUAUCCACUCACCAGCCGAAGACCUCACCAACAUUAACUGUUCGGCCCCGUUUGAACAAUGGGGAGUUGACAUCCUCGGCCCCUUUCCCGUGGCAAGAGGUCAAUUAAAGUUUGUUGCUGUAGCAGUAGAAUACUUCACAAAAUGGGUAGAGGCAGAACCUCUUGCCACAAUAUCGGAGCCCAAGCUAAGAGCCUUCACUUGGAGGUCUAUCAUUUGCAGAUUUGGGAUACCGAAGGUCCUCAUCACCGACAAUGGCAGGCAAUUUGACAACCAACAGUUUAGAAACUUUUGCUCAAACCUUGGAAUUGAUCACCGUCUGACAUCAGUUUCGCAUCCUCAGAGCAACGGUCUGGCCGAGGUAACAAAUCGAAUCAUAUUGCAAGACCUCCGAACAAGAAUAAGCGAUGCUAGGGGUUCUUGGUCAGACGAGCUGCCUUCUAUACUUUGGACGUAUAGAACAACUCAUAGGACAACCACAGGAGAAACCCCUUUUAUGUUAGCCUAUGGCAUUGAAGCAAUGGUCCCAGUGGAAAUUAGACUGCCAAGCCAUAGGAGGCUCGUGCCAGAAACCUUGGAGCAUACAACUGAACAUCUUGAUCUCUUGGAAGAAGUACGGGAGCAAGCCGCUAUAAAAGCGGCCUCUUACCAAGCAAAGACAGCAAAACAUUUUAAUAGCAAAGUCAAGGCUCGGAGGUUCAGAGCUGGCGAUUUGGUCUUGAGGAGGGCCGAAGCAACAGGCCACCCCCCAGGGAAGCUCGGGCCCGUCUGGGAAGAGCCCUUUGAGGUCAUACGGCAGGUUCGCAAAGGAGCAUACAGCCUAAGAGACACUUCGGGUAGACCUCUUCCGAGGCCCUAGAAUGCCGACAAUCUGAAAAUAUAUUACAAGUAAAAUUCCCGACACCUUUGAGGAGAUUUUCUUUUUCUGUAUUUUAUUUCUAGUUUAGCGGGCCUGCGUGCCCAUGCAUGUUUUCCGUUCUCUUUUGUAAUGAACUACGUUCGGCUUGAUCCCGUUUGGGUACGUAGGCAGCUUGGAUGCAAUAUAAAUCCAAGUCCAGUCCAAACAAUUAAUAAAUCCAAACCUCGGGUAUAACAGCCCCUCUAAGCCUUGUCUUUGACAAGCCAAUAUAAGCCUUGCCCUCGAGCAAGCCAAUUUAAGCCUUGUCUUUGACAAGCCAAUAAGCCUUGCCCUCGAGCAAGCCAAUUUAAGCCUUGUCUUUGACAAGCCAAUAUAAGCCUUGCCCUCGAGCAAGCCAAUUUAAGCCUUGUCUUGGACAAGCCAAUAAGUCUUGCCCUCGAGCAAGCCAAUUUAAGCCUUGUCUUUGACAAGCCAAUAUAAGCCUUGCCCUCGAGCAAGCCAAUUUAUGCCUUGCCCUCGAGCAAGCCCCCUUUAAGCCUUGCCCUCGACCAAGCCCCUUUUAAGCCUUGUCCUCGACAAGCCAAUGCAAGCCUUGCCUCAGGCAAACACCAAAAUCUUGGAGUAUGAUCAGCACAUCAAAAUAGUGCAGCACAAGUAUAAAUACCGAGGACAUAUAUCCCGAUCACAUAUCCUUGUAUUUUUGCCCAGGCCUGAAAAUGAAAGCUUGGGAUAAAUUCAUGUACAGAGGUCGGUCACAAUUCCUCGGACUUAAUUCUCGAGUGUUAAGUGUGUAGAAAACUACACUGUCCUCGGAAUUAUCACUUGUUUAAAAAAUUCUGUUAUUCUAAAUCGUCGAGAUGAUUAAUUAAUCGUCGAAAAUAAUUAAUCUUCUUUAGUCCUCGAGGUAACUUGGUUAAUGCUCGGGUUCGAACACAUGUUCCCAGAUGGGUUUACAGUUUGAGUCCUCGGGAUGAAUUUGUGUACGUUAUAUUCAGAAAUAUUUUCACAAAUUAGUCCUCGAGGUGUUCAACUAUUUUAGGCGUCGAGUUAUUUAACCAUCUUACGUCGGGCUAUUUGAAUGAUCGAGAUACCAAUACACAGCAGAAGGAAAAUACUUGAUCGAGUAAAAUACAUGUUCAAAUUACAAAAUGAAAGGGCUAUCGUCAUACGAAAAAAAAAAAAUUAAUCUAAGUCCUCGGCCCUUUCCCCCGAGGCUGUGCUCCCCUGCUCCUCCACUACGUCCUCGCCGUCAACAUCGACCUCUUGGUCCUCGACGAUUUCCUCGGACUCGGACAGCUCGAGGGUAUCAGCAAUCUCGGGGAUGUGCUUUAUCUCCUCGGGGUUAGCAUCGGGCUUCGAUCUCAAAAAUGCCCGAGCUUCCUUGAAGGCAUGGAAGUACGAGCCCAUGGCAUACUCUCCCUUAAGACCGUUAAACUCCUCGGACAUUUUAAACUCCUCGAUCGCAACCCCUCGAGCUCCAGCCAGGCGAGUCUCAAAAUCAGCCUUUAAACGCUCGAUCUCGAGCUUUAAACCUUCAGCCUCAGCCCUAGCAGUUCCAGACUCUUCUCGAGCUCUCUGGGCAUCAUUUUUCGAAUCCUCGAGCUCCUUCUGCAGAAGAAAGCGUUCAGCCUCCAAGUCGGCUAUCCUCUUCUCCUGUGCUCGAGAAGAGUCCUCGAGUUCGGUGGUCUUUUGGGCCUCAUCUUUCCCCUUCAGAGAAAGGCCUCGGGCAAUGCUCAAAGCCUACACCAUACAAACCCGAGCUUAAGUAAUCACUGCGUUUAAACCUUUUUAAAUUAAAGUAAAUUAGGCGAGCUUACCUUCAGAGUAAGGGAUUCCAGAGCCUUCAUGCCCUCAUCAAAAUCGAGGUCCUUUCUAUACUUGUCCACGAUGCUUAACACCAGAGGACACCAGUCAGGCUCCUGAUUCUGGAAAGAGGGCAUAGGCCUAACCUCAUCAUCGAGGUCAACAACCUCGGGAGUACUCCUUGGUCGAGGAUGUGAUCGAGGUCCAGUAGGAGUCUCAGUGGCCUGUGUGGUCGGGGUAUGUCCCCGGGCAGAAGUUUCCCCAGGCCCACUUCUGAUAUUCUUGGGGCCUGGGUCCCGAGCUCUCUUCUUCCCUCUCUUCUGCCCUGGAGCCUGAGCUUGAGGGGCCUUUGACUUUUUGGUCACGGCCUGUCUGAGGGCUGAAGGAUCAAAAGUCAUCUCUGCAAAAAAGAGCAAGUCAUUAGAACGAGCACAAUUAUAAGUUCAAAGGACAGAUCAGUAAAGAGGAAGGCAAAAAAGUCCUACCCUCAGUGCCUUUCACAUCCGCGAGAUUGAGAACGUCAUCCCCGAGGAUGUCAUCUAUAUCAUAUACAAGAGGCUCGAGGUUCUCUAACAUUACCCUAUGCCUCUCUAAAGAUUCAAAAUAGGCCUGGCCUUCACAAAAUCGGGGAGUGUCGGGCAAAACCCACCUAGGGCUAAAAGGAAGGUCGCUAUCCUGAGGUAUGACAUAAAACUACUUUUCUUUCCAACCUUUUAAAGAACUGGGCAUCCUCGGUAAUCUAAAUCCUCCUCGGGAUGAAAGGUAAGCAAAACAAGUAUAUUGAGGAAGUUGUUUCAGGUCGAACACCAUCCUACAGAGAUCGACGUAUGGGUUAAUUCCUAGGUAUCUACAGGCUAUAAAGAAAUAGGUAAGCAUCCUCCACCCAUUUGGCACGAGCUGUCCAGGGCUCAUAUUAUGCUCGACCAAUAGGGCCACAAAAAAGGGAUGCAGAGGCCAUCGAAAUCCCCCCUUAAGUGAGUCCCUAAAAAACACGAACUCUCCAUCCCGAGCAAAGGCCAUCCUAUCCUCUACCCCUGGCGUCCUAACGUUGCAUUUGGGCAUGAGCCCAUGCUCCCUAGCCGUCGAUAUCGCUAGAUGUUCUUUAAAUUUACAAGGGACCUCGGGAUACCUAAAAGGGGUCGGGAUACUUUGUGCCCGAGGUUGGGCAUUAAUUAGGACAGCCAUAGGUAUAAUUGAACAACCUAUGUCCUCGGGAGUACUCCUCGAGGAUGAUGAGGAUGAAGUGUCGCUACUGCUACUACUAGACAUCCUGACCUAUGUAAAAAAUACCUAAAGAAUAACUUAAAAACUCGAGGUCUUACCUUAAAGUCGACGCCUAAAAACUCAAAGUCCGAUCCCGACGAUUAGCAAGAGAAGUUUACUGAGAGUAAAAAGUGAAAAAUGAAAUGAGGGGAGGGUAUUUAUAGGUAACAGGAGCAGGAAGCCCAAAGGUCACUACCCCGACCGUUAGAUCUGGACACGUGUCCUACAUCUAACCCUACCAGUUUUUACCGCCUUUUCCUAUUCUAGGGCUGACGUCAGUACGCGUCAGCCUUUUGAUCAAGCACAGGUGUUCAGAAAUCCCCGAGCUAAAACUCGAGCUUUUAAUUCUAAUCUCUUUGCAUCAUAUCCUCGAGCAUAUCUUCGAGCAUAUAUGCACGGGGGCCUAUGAUGGUGAAAUUUUCCAAUAUCCCCGAUCAGUAUAUCCCGAAGACUAAUUUUGAUAAAGUUGUAAAUCCAUCUGCGGUGUCCUCGAGCAUUUCGUCCUCGAGACACCAGGCCCGACCACAUCUCCAUGAUGCUUCACAUAUUGCAAACAUGUGUCCCCGGGCAUAGUCCUCGGGAAUGUGCCCCUCCUCACUACUGACGAUUGUUAACCCUUUAGAAUUCCUACGCAAUUAGGAAUCUUAACUCCCACAAGAGUCCUAUCUCACGCAUAAUUCUGGAAUUCAACCAACUCCUUAACCAUUCAGGACUCCAACCGAUGAGGACAUCCAGCUAGUUGAGUCCAAUUAGGAGAAUGUCACUUACUACUAUAAAUACAGAACCUUGAUCCAUUAUUCAGGUACGUUUUUUCAUUGUUCUUCAGCACAUAGCCUCACGCAUAUAUUUCCCUUUCUGACUUAAGCAUCGGAGGGGCGACGAGAACACACCUCGUUGCCUUUGUUUCAGGUAUCGGAAGAUCACAUUCGUGCCCUUCAUCCAUCAUCAAGCUCGGGAAAUCUACAGGUACGAUUUUUGGUAGCAUCAGUAGAUAAGCAAGCAAAAAUAGAGAUGGUUAUUGAUGGCUGUUUACGAUCCAAAGGAUAGGAAAUGUUAAAGAGGAAAAUCUAAAAAAACUUUGGAGAUCUGAUGGUAAGUCCAAAACAUGUUAUUGUUGCCUCCAUGAUCUCAUUAGGGACAUGUGUUUGAGAGAAGCCCAGAAAGAAAUCUUUCCUCAUGUUAUAGAAAGACCUGAUCAAAUCCCUUCGGUAGGGUUGAACAUAGUCUUGUUCGGUUCGGUUCUUACGAGGACCGAACUAGACUCAAAAUUUUAGGAUAUUUAGUAAGUGGAACCUUCGGGUCCAAAUUUAAUUAUGGAAUCAUUUGGGUUCGGUUCCAUCGGUUCCAUUCGGUUCGAUUCGGUUCCAUAUUAUAGUUAAAUUUUUUUAAUGUUUACAAAGCUACAAUAAUUCAACUAAUAAUAUGUUCAAUUUUAGCUCUUAGAAAAUAACGUAAUUCAAUCUUAUAUAUCUUUUACGUCUCCCUUUGCUGAGUUUUUCAUAGAUUUGAUUGUUAAAAUCACAUAAAUAGGAAGAUAGUGAGUUCACAAUAAUUAAGAGAGGCGUUGUUGAGUUUCAAUUCAAUUUCUCUGGAACGGUAGAAACGGCAUUAUGAUAGAGUAACGAAUUUGAAUAAAAAUUAGGUCAAUUUGAUUAAGUUGGCUUUGAACUGAAAAUUAAAAAUAGGAAAAUAAUAUUUUUGGGUUUGAGUUAAAUUAAUUAGUUAGCAAAUUUAUUUAAAAAAAUAAAUAGUUUUGCUUAUUUAAAAUAAAUUAAUUAAAAAAUUAGGAAAACUCAGUUCUUAUUCGGUUCUUUGGAUCUUGAUCUAGAGUCGAGAAUCGAACCGAACCUAUCGGUUCUUGAUUCAAAUACACGUUUGGGUAUUUAACUUAAGAGGAACGGUUUGGUUCAAUUCGGUUCAGUUCGGGAGUUUUGUCCAAUCCUACCCUCCGGUAAACUUCGUCAAAUCGUUUUCCACCAUAACAUCUCAUACUAUGUGGAUCUCAAGCGUGCACUACCAUUUAACUGUUCCUUACUGUGUUAGAAUAAGGAUUCCCAUGCGUUUGAAUGGAAUGAAUUUGAACCAAUUUCUCCUGUGCAGAGUUUAAGGCUGUUUGUAUUUUAGUUUUGAGGCUCUCCUUUAAGAUUAUUAAAGCGUGUCUGAUAUCUCAUUCUAAAUCUAUUUCUCAUAACAAAAAACUAGAAAAUAUGUUUGGUUUGAAAUUCCAACAAAUUAUAUUAGUGUAACAAAGUUUGGAGUUAAUUGUUGCAAUGGUCUCUGAACUUAGGUAUAUAUCUUCAAUUGCUCACCGAAAAAAUGUCAAAUUUUGGUCACUAAACUUAGAUCGGUUGAUCUCUAAAGUUUAAAAUGUCGAGUUCGGCCACUGAAUUUUGAAAAACAUUGUAAGUUACAAACUAGCAUAACUUCCGCCUCAAACCUCUAAUGGAAUUGGUGACGUGACUGACAGAAUGCACAUGUGACGCCUUGUCACAUCGUUAAACUUUGAGAUGGUCGAAUUUUAACUACCAAACUUUGAAAAAUGUUUUUCAUUGCUCACUAAACUUUGAGGUGGUCAAAUUUUGGCCAUUGAACUUUUAAAAAUAUCGAACUUUGGCCACUAAAUUUUUCAAAAGUCUUCUAUUGUUCACUAUAGAUUUGGACUUAACCACACAUUUAUACGGUAAAAUAUUAUACUCAUAAACUCAAAAUUUUUCCAACUUUUUAACCACUCAUUUUCCAAAAAAUCGCUGUUUUUAGAACAAAUACACACACUCACUCUUCCCCCCCCCCCCCUCCUUCUCCCUCUCUCUCUAAAUAAUGGGCAUCAAAUAGGGGUUAAAAUUUGUUGUUAAAAAAAUCGAAUUUAAUUUAAUUUUAUGAUAAAUAUAUUAUAUGUUUUACUGCUAUUAGUAGUCACUUCCUUUGCACAACUUUGCGAGCAAGAUCUAUACCAUUAGGAAUGAAUACUCAAUUAUACGGCAGUUAAAUUUAAAUUUUAUUUAUUUUUUUAGAAUUAAAAGCUAUUUUUGUCAUAAUAUUUGAAUUUUACAACAAAACACAUAAUAAACUUGUUGUUAAAUAAAAUUAAAUCCAAAUUUAUUGUCAGCCAUAGAAGACGUUUUUCAAAGUUUUGUCGCAAAAACUCACCCAUACUGACUGAAUUUUAAGAUGGUCGAUUUUUAGCUACUGAACUUUGAGAUAGUUGAAUUUUUGCCACUAAAAUUUGAGAUGGUCGAGUUUUUAAAUAGUGGUUUUUUGGAGAAUGUGAUUAAAACGUUAUGAAAAUUUUUGAAUUUACAUGUAAAAUAUUUUAUUAUAUAGAUGUGACGUUAAAUUUAUAGUGAGUAAUAAAAGACGUUUUUUAAAGUAUAGUGGCCGAAGUUUGAUGUUUUUCAAAGUUUUGUGGUCAAAAUUCAAUCACCUCAAAGUUCAAUGAGUAAUAGAAGGCAUUUUUCAAAGUUUAGUGGCUAAAAUUUGACCAUCUCAAAGUUUAACUAUGUGACGGGGUACCACGUAUGCAUUUUUUCAACCAUAUUACCAAUUCCGUUAGAGGUUUGAGACCAAAGUUAUGUUAGUGAGUAAUGUACGACAUUUUUCAAAGUGCAGUGAUCAAAACUCGACGUUUUAAACUUUGACGAACAAUCGAAGACAUAGAUCUAAGUUUAGUAAUCAAAACUAAACAUUUUAAAUUUCAGUGAGCAGUGGAAGACAUGAACCUAAGUUCAGCGACCAUUAGAAGAGUUGACUCCAAAGUUUAAGCUUCUUAAGGUGUUUGGCUUAAAUAAUGUGUUAUAACCAUAACUUAUUUAAUGUUGCACAUUUAUUAAACACCAAUUUGAGCCCAAUCAUCUAAAAAAAAAUUUCUAAAACUUAUUUUCAAUUACAAAUUCUCUCAAUAAAAUAAUUUUGUAUGUAAAUAAAAAAAAAAUCAUACUUUUUAACCACACAAUAUUCGAAAAAUCAUUAUUACAAUUUUUUCCCCCAAAAAAUGGAGCUCAAACAAGAGCUAAGUAUCAUUUCAUCAACUUAUAAUGGUAGAAUAGGAAGAAAUUAUCUUAAUUGAAACCAAAUCAAAUGGUACUGGUCGAUUAAUAUCAAACUAAAGUGUAGUUAUCCAAAUGAAUAAAAUUGAAAUAUUGAUGGAAAUGUAAGCAAUAUAUUAGCUCCUGUUUUAUCUCAAUAUAUUUCAAUAGAUCCAUGCGUAUAUACUGCUCACUUAUCCACCAACUCAUUUCUUUUUAUAUUAAAAUUUAUAGACACUAUCCCAACAUGAUUGGCAAUUCAAACUUGAUUAUGCUAACUCUCACCGUAUUUGAUUAGCAGAGUUUGAUUUAGGUGAUUUUUGAACUAUUUUCAAACCUACAUAAUUUGGAAAAAUUUUAAAUCACACAAACCAUCUCAUUUUUCAAAUUGAACCAUUUUUUAUGGUCUGAUUCGAUAUCAAACCACGUUUUUAAUAGCAUAGUCCAUACGUAUAUGCUACUCACUUAUCCACCAACUCAUUUCUUUUUAUAUUAAAAUUUAUAGACACUAUCCCAACAUGAUUGGCAAUUCAAACUUGAUUAUACUAACUCUCACCGUCUUUGAUUAGCACAGUUUGAUUUAGGUGAUUUUUGAACUAUUUUCAAACCUAUAUAAUUUGGAAAAAUUCUAAAUCAGACAAACCAUCUCAUUUUUCAAAUUGAACCAUUUUUUAUGGUCUGAUUCGAUAUCAAACCACUUUUUUAAUAGCAUAAAAAUAAUAACUUUCAAACAAAUAAAAAUAAAAAUAUAUUGAUCUCAAAUAUUAAUAAAACACUUAAAUUGAGACAUUCUAACAUAAACUUUAAUAAUAAUAAUAAUAAUAAUAAUAAUAAUAAUAAUUAUUAUUAUUAUUAUUUCAAUAUAAAAGUUUAAACUCUUGAACUGUAAAAAAGUCUCAGGCACUGUAUAUCGGCCUAAGACAUGAUCACAAGUGUUAUCCAGUCAAUAGAAUUGUGGCAACCCAAUUAUAUUAGCACAAGUGUUUUAUCAAUUUGGUUCAUUAUUCCCAGCACAGCAGCCCAAAUAGUUUGUCAGCCCAUUAUUACGAUAAUAAUCCAUCAGCCUUUGAGCUGGAUCAGCUGAUCAUCACUUGGAAGGAAGAGUACUUUGAUCGUCCUCAUUCACUUUGAUUUGCCCAAGUCUGUUAGACAGUUGAUAAAACUAAUUAUAUCAGAUAUCAAGCUGACUUGGACAUAAGCUUCUUGAGGUUGGUUAUGCUGAGAGUUGGACUUGAUCACAUGUUCCUUCAACUCUUGGAAACUUUAUGAGCUAUUUUACUAACUUCUAUAUACUUUGUCAUUAUGCAUUCCCCUUGACAACUAAUGUAAUGCUUCUUCUCCUAUGUAAUUGAUCAAUAUACCUCAUCUUUCAAACUCGUAAUGCUGUUAACAUAUACAGGAAGAUUGUGAGAAGAGAGGCAAGGUCGCAUCGGCAGGAAUGUAUUUCUUGCAUUUUCAAGUGUACAAAAUGGAUUCAACUGUAAAUGUUGUACAUCACUUCACCUUCUUCAUUUUUCCCCUGAAGAGGUUUAAUUGAUAUGUUUGCGGAACUACACACUUGUUGUGGGUAGUUGGCAAUGGCAAAGGACACAAAAGCCACUUUCUUCAAACGAUUGGAAGGCCUUCAACCUUGUGAGUUUUUGCAACUUUAAACUAGUGCUCACAUAUUCGCAGUUUAUGGUUUGGACUGCUUAUAAUACAUGUUUAUUAAUUUGAAUUACAUGAUGUAUUACAUCUUAGAACUAUUAAUUGCAUGAGGAGCAAAUAAUUUCUUAAAGGCUUGUCUUUGGUCUGGUACCUACAGGUGAUAACUUCUUCAAACCUGCUGUCUAUACAAUUGAGGCUCUCUGUGCAAAGUCAUAUGAGGAUACAACUAAUAAGCUUCAGGGUAUUGAGGCUCAGAUUUGAACGAAGAGAAAUGAGCUAUGCCAACUCGAGACAGAAUAUAGAACUGUAGUCUUCCCUUUCCAAUCAUAUUUGUUAUGGAUGUUCUGUUCAGAUUAUCUGUAUUACACUUAUUUGUGCCUGAAUUUUUUAGGCGUUGUCACGCUACCAAGAAGUAAUUCAUAGAUACGUCCAGGCAAAGCAGUUUGUAAGUUUGCUUCCUGAGAAUCCUUUAUACUUUUGAAUGUUUCCUGUCAACAUAAUAUCCUUGCAUUGAUGCUAAUCUCUAUCUUUCUCUCUCUGUAACUCAUUUACCCUGUAAUCAAUGCACAAAUACAGAUCCAGAGGGGUGAAAAGUCCUAUGUUAAAUAACCAGAAAAGCAAAUUUAAGUCCUAGCCUUUUGUAGUUUUAUUCAUUGUCCAGAAUAAGAUUUGCAUUUUCUGAUGUCUCUUCGAUUCAUUUUCUAUCUUAUUUGUAGGAUUAAAUUAGUGCAGUGUAUGAAACCGGAUUCACAUAUACCAUAUAUAUAAUUUAGACACCGGAUUUACGCAUAUUGGUUUUACCCAUUUCAUAUCAACAGUGAGGUUAGAUACCGUACAUGUAACUAAAAAAAUACCGAAAUUGCAUUUACGAAGCUGAAUGUUAGCAAAAAAAUUCAGAAUUUUUUCUUCUUUUCAAUCUGAUUUUAUUUAAAACAUAAAUCGAACGACAAAAUAAUAAAACUGCAAAUUAUAUGAAGCACACGAAUGAAUUGUAGAAAUAUACGAACAAUGGAGAUAAAAUCGCAUGAAAUAAAUAAAUAACGGAUAAACUUUCAACCCGAGACCUAUGCGAGCACAGUUUCCUUAAAACAGAUUCGCCCCUCACUGUAAGUGCUUGAAACAGUUUCCUUAAUCCUAGUAUUUGUUUCCUAGAAUACAACAAUAAAUCAAUAGAAUCUGAGCACUGGUGAAACUAUUUCGACGAACUGACUUAUUAUUCGAACAAUUUUAUCACCCAAACGUUUGACAGAAACUAUAUAUGCAGACAGAACAAUUUUGUACAAUAGACAGAUAAUGAUUUAUUCAUAUGGAGAAUUUUUGUGUAUUUCUUGGUAAAUGCAAUGAAAAGAAUUACCAAAUAAAUAGGUUGUAAUGGAGACUUAAGUGGCUAGGAGUUACGUCAUUAACUCGACAAUGAAUGUUAGAGUUUCAACUGUUUUAAAAAUUUAAACAGUCAGUUGAAGAAAGCCAAAAAAAAAAGGAAAAUGUGGACAUUCCAAAGGGGACAAUUUUUGCUCCGUUUGGUUCGACAUUCGUGCACGCGGGUCGCGCUUGUUCACAAGUUCAAGGCUCAAUGUACUAUUUCAAUCCUUGAUUUGCACCCCCACUGCGCAUGCAUGUGGAGAGAGCCUCUAUACUGAUUACACCCUUCCAAAGUAUAACCAUAUAUAAAUUGGUUCAUGCUUUCUUCAUUUUCCUAUGUGGGACAAAUUCUAUAUUUCCACAUAAACCAACUUCCAAUGGUCAACUUUGAGCUCUAAUUUCUCAUUCACCCAUUCAUCAAUUUUGGUAAGUAAAUAUAUGGUUUUGAUGCUCUCACAGAGAAGAACAUAGAUCAACUUUGCUCUUCCAAAUUAGACCAAUGGGUCUUACUCAAAUUUUAUGCCAAUGUCAACCACUAAACCCCUUUUUUCUAACAAUCUCCCACGUGAAUGAAAAUUGGGAGAGACGAGAUCGUGAACCACUAGACUUGGUGAUACAGUUCAACGGUUGAAUCCUACAUAGGAUAGGUAGGUAUUACCCUUUAAACAUUUUCUUGUGAAAGUAUAUUUACUGUACUAGCUAGCCAGUAGAUGCGUUGUUCUUGAAUUAUUGUACUGUUUGUGUAAACAAUGAUAUACUCCACAUAAGAUUCUUCCUAACACAAAUAAGUUCUCAUUAUUAUGCUCGUUUUGGCCAUGAACAUAUGCCUGGUUCUAUGAGAAUUUCUAAGAAUUGAGCCCCAAACAGUUUUCUUAAAAGCGACCCCACUUCUUUCUCAUAUGGGUGAUUUCUUAUUACAAGUAACGCACAUUACUUUGCUUGACUUACGAUGCAUAAGAAUCAUUAAAAGCCUAUUACUUAUCCGUCAUCCUUACGAGCAUCACUAUUACAUCAUAGGAAUGGACAAGAGGUAACACCCCUACAGUAAUUUUAUUAAGUCUUUACAAUUAGGUUGUCCCUUUGAACCUAAAUUUUAGGAUCUUCGGUCAACUAGGUUGGGUUUCCUUUGUAAUGACUUAUCCAUUCAAAGGCUUAAGUGACAUUUCUUUCAAUGAUUUCUCAACUAACUCUCUAUUUAGACCUUUAGUUAGCGGAUCUGCAAUGUUAUCUUUUGACCUUACAUACUCAACAGUGAUAACUCCAAUUUAGAGUAGUUGUCUUAUGGUAUUAUGUCUAUGAUGUAUAUGUUUAGACUUACCAUUGUACAUGUUACUCUAUGCCCUUCCAAUUGCUGAUUAACUGUCACAGUAUAUGCAAAUUGUCGACACAGGUUUCGACCAUCUUGGAAUAUCCUCUAAGAAGUUGCGUAACCAUUCGAUCUCUUCACCACAUUUAUCUAGAGAUAUAAACUCAUAUUCCAUCAUAGAUCUAGCUAUAAUUAUUUUCUUAGAGGAUUUCCAAGACUAGGGCAGCACCUCCCAACGUGAACACAAAUCCACUGGUGGACUUUGAGUCUUUUAUAUCAGAUAUCCAAUUAGCAUCACUUUAUCCUUCAAUGACUGUUGGAUAUCUGGUAUAGUGUAGUUCAUCGUUAUGAGUAUAUCUUAAGUACGUUAGUACUCUUACUAUUCAUUUCCACUUAUCAGUUCUUGGAUUACUCGUAUAUCUACUCAGUUUAUUGACUGUGUAGGCUAUGUUUGGUUUUGUACAACUCAUCAAGUACAUUAGACUUCCAAUAAAUCUCGAGUAUUCCACUUGAGAGACACUUUUACCCUUAUUUUUGGAUAGAUGUUGACUUGUAUCUAUCGCUGCUCUAGCCAAGCCAAAAUCAUCUUUAUUGAACUUUUCUAAAAUUUUGUCCACAAGAUGUGACUGACUUAGAAUAAGCUCAUCCAAUGUUCAUGAGAUUUUGACUUCAAGUAUAACAUCAGCUAAACCCAUAUCUUUCAUGUCAAAUCUCAAAUUUAACAUAUUUUUAGUGGAUUCAACCAUCUUAUUAUCACUACCAACAAUAAGCAUAUCGUCAACGUAAAGACAUAAAAUGACAUAAUCAUCUUUAGUGUCUUUGACGUAAACACAUUUAUCACACUCAUUAAUUUUAAACUCACUCUCUAUCAUGACAUUAUCAAAUUUUUCAUGCUAUUGUUUGGAUGCUUGUUUCAAGCCAUAUAGUGAUUUCACCAGUUUAUAGACUUUCUUUUCAUGUCAUGGUGACGAAAACCCCUCACGUUGUUAUAUAUAGAUUUUUUCUUCUAAAUCUCCAUUUAAAAAGGCAGUUUUAAUAUCCGUUUGAUGUAUUUCAAGAUUUGGCAAAGCGGCAAUCAUAAGUAUCACCCCAAUAGAUGUUAUUCUCGUCACUAGAGAAUGCGUAUCAAAAUAAUCAAGGCCUUCUCUUGUUUGUAACAUUUUAUUACUAAUUCGGCCUUAUAUUUUUCUAUAGUUCCAUCUGUUUUCAUUUUUCUUUAGAAAAUCCAUUUGUAGCCUGCUUCCUGGAGAAAGAUCCACUAGCUCCCAUGUAUAAUUUUGCAGUAUGGAAUCUAUUUCACUUUUAAUGUCUCUUUCCAUUGAGGUCCUUUCAAGGAAUUCAUAAUUUCUUGAUAACAUUGAGGUUCACUUUCUAGCAUAUAGGUCAGAAAAUCAGGACCAUAAUAAUUUUCUGUUUAUUCCCGUUUGUUACGUCUAACCUCAAUCUCCUCUUCUAGUUCUUCAUCUUGACUAUUUUCAAUCAUAGUCUCAUAUGUUCAUUUAGAGGAACUUGCUUCCUCUUUGGACCUAAAUGGAAAUACAUGUUCAAAGAAUGAAGCAUUUUUUUAUUCCAAUAUCAUGUUUUUGUGCAUGUUUGGGAUUUUAGAAUUAUACAUAAGAAAUCGAUAAGUACUACUAUUAUGUGCAUAUCCAAUGAAGAUGUUUGACCUUAUCCUACCUUCUUUGAUGUUGGAACGGCCACUUUAGUAAGACAUCCUCACACUCGUAAGUAUUUAUAAGAAGAGUUUCUUCAUUUCCAUAGCUCAAAAUGGGUCUGUUCCAUUUUCUUUCAGGGUACCUUAUUUAAAAGGUUAUUUGCUGAUAACAUAACUUCUCCCCAUAUGUUUAGAGGUAAUCCAAAACUUACUAGUACUGCAUUCACCAUUUCUUUUAAAGUAUGAUUUUUCCUUUCAAUAACAUCAUUUUGUUGCGGUGAAUCAGGUACAGUGGCUUCAUGUAUAAUUCCGUGUUGAGCACAGAAUUCAACAAAUGGUGCUUCAUACUCACCACCUCGAUCACUUCUUAACGCCUUAAUUUUCUUAUUCAGUAGGUUUCAACUUCAUUCUUAUAGAGAAUAAAUUUCUUUAUGGCUUUAUUCUUACUUUUUAGCAAAUACAAAUAACAGUAUUUUGUGCUAUCGUCAACAAAAGUAAUGAAAUACUUGUUGUCAACUCUUGUUUGAACAAAUUUUAGAUCACAUAUGUCACUGUGAAUUAAAUCAAAUGAUUUUUGUGUUCCAUUCAAUUGAUUUAAAGGAUGGCCUUGUCAAUUUUGUCUGAACAGAAGUUUCACACUUAUGUUUGGAGUCAAUGUGAAACUCGGGUAUACAAUUCAAGUUAAACUAGUCUACAUAAGGUAUCUUAGCUAACAUGCCCUAGUCUACCUUGCCACAAAUUGAAAGACUCCAGCAAAUAAACAGAAGAGUUUGUUUUAUUCAUUUUUGGUUUAACAACCAUUACAUUCAGUUUAAACAUAUCAUCAAAAACAUAACAUUUUCCAACAAACAUUCUACUUUUUGACAAAAUAACUUUAUCUGACUCAAAUAUAAUGCAAAAAUCAUGCUUAUUCAAAAGCAACUUGGACACUAGGUUCUUGCAAAUUUUCGACACAUGUAGUACAUUGUUAAGAGUCAGCUCCUUUCCCGAGGUCAUCUUCAGAACCACCUUUCGUUGACCCUUGAUUUCAAACGUUGCUGAAUUUCCCAUGAACAACUUCUCGUCAUUCUCAAUUGCUUCGAACGUAGCAAAUAGCUCUUUAUCAAAGCACACGUGCCUCGUAGCACCGAUGUCAAUCCACCACUCUUUUGGGUUUGAACCCACCAUAUUCACUUCAGAAAUUACGGCUACGAGGUUUAUUUCUGACACAUCAUCAACCAUAUUUGCCUUUUUCUUCUUCUUUGGCAAUCUACACUCCAAAGACUUGUGGCUUACUUUGUCACAAUUGAAGCAUUUUCCUUGAAAUUUCUUCUUAGAAAUUCCACCUUUCGAUCAUAGCUUAGUUCUUUGCCACCGGAUGACCCAGACUUAUUUUUGUAAAUCUGACUAUUUUGACCAUGCUCCACAACAUUAAAUUUAGCAGCACUAGGAUUGAAUCACUUCUUUUCAGAAAUCUUGUUGCCUUAUUCAAUUCGAAGUCUAACAAUUAGUUCUUCGACGUUCAUUUCCUUUCGUUUGUGCUUAAGAUAAUUCUUAAAAUCUUUCCACGUAGGGGGGCAAUUAUUCAAUGACUGCAGCUAUUUGAAAGGUUUCACUCAAAAUCAUCCCUUCGGCAUAAGUGUCGUGAAGAAUCACUUGGAGUUCUUCCACUUGAUUGAUAACUGUUUGGAGUCCAACAUCUUAUAAUCUAAGAAUCUGCCGAUAAUGAACUUUUUAGUUUCGACGUCCUCAGUUUUAUAUUUUCGGUCCAAAGACUCUCACAACUCCUUAGUAGUUUUCAUAGUACUAUACACAUUGUAUAGCAUGUCUACUAAGCUGUUCAUAAUAUAAUUUCGGCACAAAAAAUCUGAAUGCUUCCAAGCAUCAAGUGUACUGACUGCUUGAACAUCUUCUUCUUCUUCAUUGAGUUGUGGAGCCGUCUCAAUCAAGAAUCUCGCAAUAUUCAAGGUGGUCAGGUAAAAUAGCAUAUUCUGCUACCACCUUUUGAAAUUCAAGCCAUUGAAUUUCUUUGAUUUUUCUCCAUGAUUAAUCGGAACAGUAACGGUUUGGCCAGUGGUUGGAGCCACAGUUUGACUUACAACAUGACUUAGCAACUUAGCUAUAGUUUGAGCCACAACAGAGCUUCGCACUUGAGCCAAAGUAGAGCCCACAACUUGAUUUCCUGGAGAAACAGCUUGGGUCACAUCCAUGUUGGUUGGUUUGACAGCCAUUUCAUAAAUUGAAACAAAUAUAAAUUUCCAAUAAACCAAAAUAAAAAACUUGUUUACUACCAAUAUAUAUUAACAAUCUGGUUUAUGUUUGUAGGAUUAAAUUAGUGUAGUGGAUGAAAUCGAAUUCACACAUACCGUAUAUAUAAUUUAGAUACCGAAUUAACGCAUAUUUGUUUUACUCAUUUCAUAUCAACAGUGAGGUUAGAUACCGUACAUGUAACUAACAAAUACCAAAAUUGCGUUUACCAAAUUGAAAGAUAGAUUGAAUGACAAAAUAAUAAGACUGCAAAUUAUAUGAAGCACGCGAAUAAAUUGCAGAAAUAUACGAACAAUGAAGAUAAAAUCACAGAAAGUAAGUAAAUAACGGAUGAACUUUCAACUCUAUAAGUAAAUAACGGAUGAACUUUCAACUCUAGGCCUGUGGGAGCACAUUUUCCUUAUAACAGAUUCGCCCCAUUACCGUAAGUGUUUAAAAUAGUUUCCUUAAUCUGAGCGUCUGUUUUCCAAAAUACAACGGUAAACCACUAGUGAGCACUGCAAAAAUUACUCCCACGAAUUGACUUAGUAUUUGAAUAAUAUCACCACCCAAAGGUUUGACAGAAACUAUAUACACCGACGAAAAAAUUCUACGUAGUAGACAGAAAAUGAUUUAUACAGACAGAGAAUUCACGUGCAUUUUCCUGGUGAAUACGAUGGAAAAGGAUGCCAAAUAAAUAAGUUUUAAUGAAGACUUAAGAGGCCAGGAGUUACGUCAUUAACUCGACAAUAAAUAUUGGAGUUUCGACUGUUUUAAAAAUUUUUGCUCCACUCGGUCCGACAUUCGUGCACACAGGUCGCACUCGCUCACAAGUUCAAGGCUCAAUAUACUAUUUCAAUCCUUGAUUUGAGCCCCUUACUAGCGUAUAUGGAGAGCGCCUCUAUUCUACACAUGAUUAUACCCUUCCAAAGUGUAAUCAUAUAUAAAGUGGUUCAUGCUUUAUUCAUUUCCUUAUGUAGGACAAAUUCUAUUUUCCCACAUAAACCAUCUUCCAAUGGUCAACUUUGAGCUCCAAUUUCUCAUUCAUCCAUUCAUCAAUUUUGGUAAGUAAAUAUAUUGUUUUGAUGCUCUCACGGAGGAGAAUACGAAUCAACUUUGCUAUUCCAAAUUGGACCAAUCGGUCCCACUCAAAUUUUAUGCCAAAGUCAGCCACUAAACCCAUUUUUUCCAACAUUAUUAUGCUUAGCUAUUUCUGAUGUAAUGUUUGUAUCCAUUUUUAUCAAGCCAUUAUUCAUAGAUAACUUACUAACACGUUAACAGUUUGUAGGCAGCCUUUGCCUUUAGUAUUUACUCCUUUGUUAUCAUUUUGUGCUUUCCUCGAACAGGUCGAUGAGUUACUAAAAAGGCGAGAUAAUAUCCAUUCUUCUUUUACUAUUAUAAUGUUAGUUCCAAAUGCCAGUGGGAAUGAGCCUUUUGGUAAUGGAAGUAGCAUAUCUCCUGGUAAUGUAAGUAACAUAUCUCCCAUUUGGUGACUAGAGGUUCAACUACUUUUAUUAUAUUUCUUUGGUAUAACUAGCUUUAUACUUAUUAAAUCCUAAAGGUGUUGUAUAUUUGUUGCUAGUUAUGCUUUGGUUUGCUUGUCUGUUGAUGCUAAGUUGAAUGUUAGCUACUAAACUAUGAUACCAUAUGUGUGUCUGAUUAUCAUAUUCUUCUUGUUUGCAUUCGAAAGAAAAAAGUAUAUCUGAACCCAAAAAAAAAAAAAAUUGAGUGAUGGGAGGGAGAUACCAAUCCUUGAACCUUGACUACGGUUGUAAAAGCAAUAAUCUUUAACAUACUACGAUAAGGUGAAUUGGUAAAAAAAUUUAGUAUUUGACUAUCUAUUUUCCUAGAGCUUUUUUUUCCAUCUUACUUUAAGUCGGGGCUUGAGGGCAUCUUGAAAAGAAAGACACAUUUUCUGACCCGUUUUGUUUACUUACAUGGCUCCUCAAUUGACCAUUUUUCUCUGGUGGUUAUCACAGGCCAUAGCACAAAAUUUUAUAAUGAAAUUAGUUCAAAAUGAAUCAAAUCUUUCUAUUUAAAAGAACUGCCGAAAAUAAGGUUCUCUAGUUUACAACUUGUAGGAAAUCUGCAGCAUACUUUGACAUGAAUUUCGGAUCAAGAAAAAUACUUGAAAUGAUGAAUUUAAAGAUCUUUUUGUGUGGUUGAAUCACCUUUUAUUCCAAAGCUCCAAAAUCUACAUUUUCUUGUUCUUCAAUGGUCCCAAUCCUGAUCACAAUGGAAGGGGAUAGUUACCCACAAUCUAAUUGCCAUUUUUUAUUUUUUAUUUUUGAGAUUUUAUGCCAAAAAUAUGGUUCUAGGGACUUUCUAAUUUCCAUACAAAAUUUCACCAUUCUUUCAUGCCAUCUUUUUGUUCACUUUUUUCCAUAACUUCUUUAUGGAAGCUGCAAGGAGUUAUUUGGGCGUUAUAGAUUUGAAUUCUAAAUUCAAACCACUCUCUCCAACCUUUUUAAAAUCUUGCGGGUCGGGUCACCUCACAUUGGCGACCCAUUAUCCGUAUUUUCCAACAUCUCACACAUGAUGGGGUUAAUCCGAACCACGAGUGACAACGAAUGUCUCAUCUUAGAUCCUUCUCAAGAUUUAUCUCACAAAGAUUCAUACGGUAAAUAGAUCGUGCGACCAGCAAGUAAUAUUAGAGCUCAUGGUUCUAUAAACCUAUUAGGGAUAUAUAGUAGCUCUGUUAGAGGAAUAUCACAUCUCGGUAUACUCCAAACUCAUUUUCCAAAAUUAAUUCAAGUAUUUUCGAUCCCUCAAGUAUUUAUGGAACAUACUUGAACCCCAUAUCAUAUUAUUGUAUUCACAAUUGCGUUCUAUGCCCUAAAUGGUUAAACACAAUUGUUCGGCUCGUGAUGUUGGUAAAAAUAUUUUUCCUUUUCUACUUGAAUCCUUUAAUUUUAAAUCAACUGCUUUCCUAGAGAUGCCCCAUCAAACCGAAACAAUCAUAGUUAUUGGUAAAAUGUUAAAGUAGCAACACUGAAAUAAAAUCUCAAGAAACAGUCAAAAGUCAUAAGGGUAUAUAUGAGGUUAUAUAAACAUUAGGGUCUCACACAACCAGGAAGCAGGGAUCCAUUUACUCCUAAUAUUGGUCACAAAAGUAUACAUGGUAUGAAACACGUGCUACAAUGUUUUCUCCCUUUCAUAGGGUGUAUGUCAUAAUCUUUGUAAACAAACAACACAUUACAGAUUCUAGUUCAAGUAUUUUUUGAUAUCUAACUUGAGUUCUCCUUAUAUUCAUUCCUCCAGUUAAUGUUAAAUCGAGAACUCAAUCUAGCUACUAAACAAGUUUAAUGGAUAGCAAAAUCCAUUUCGAUUACUUAUUGUAAUAUCAUCUUGAUAUCUUAUCAAGGUGACUGGAUCAUGUACACAACAUGAUCAUUGUGUCUCAUCUCAGCACACUUCAAAUUGUCUGAGAUGAUUGCUUAUGUGAGUGAGCCAAUCUCAACCCAUUCGACAUAUUUUAUAGGUGCAUACAAAUCAUUUAUCUCAUAAUCCUAACAUUAGAUUACAUAUGAACUCAAAAUUGUUCAUUUAUGGGCACACAAAACUCAAUCAAGAGUUUUUUGAUACACUAAGUAUCAUAUUCUACAAAAUUCUAGAGAUUCAAUAUUACCAACAAAUAUAUCUCUAGACAUUUUCAAAGUAUGAUGAUUACAUAUCAUCAUUUACGUAGAUAUAUCGCAAAGACACUUUCUUUGAUAAUAUCUCUCACACAAAUACCAUCAGGUAUUUGGUUCUAUCUUGAUACUUGAGAUCUUAACAUAUAUGAUAGUUGCAUAACUAUCAUGGAUCUCAUAUUCUCAACCAGUAUCAUUAGAUGCUCAAUAUAUCUAUACCAGACAAUUUCGUUAGCUGCCAAGAUAUACAUUACGAUAUAUGCUUCUUACUAGUCUAUAUAGCAAGAGUGCACGAGUCUACUAACUCUCAUUCUUAGUCGACAAUUGUAUAUCUAUUCCAAUCACAAGUUAUUCCUUUAACAAUAAAAUAGAACUAGAUCCAUGGCAUGACCAAUGUUAUAGCAAUUAUACAUCAUAAUAUACUUCUAUCUCCUAGCUCUUAAUCAUACUAAAUAUAGUUCUCUGGAUAUUUCUUUGUGCACCUAUGAAAUCUUUGGACAUUUAUGAAGACUCAUAUAGUAACCUUUCGAUAUAGGAGUAUCAACAGGGUAGCAACUCCUCAUGAACUUUUAUAUAAAACUCUUGUGAUAGAGCAAGAAGACUCAAAUAAUCUUUUUAACACAAAUCAUACAAUUUGAUAAACCCACGUCAUUUGUCUCAAAGAUUGAGGAUAACCAUUCAAUAUGGUCUCUAUACACUCAUUUUCAUGCUUAGCAAAUCCAAUGUAAUAUCAAAAUUAGAAUUACACACCUUAGAAAAAAAGCCUUUAACAUGAAAUUUGCAAGAUAAUUCAUCUUGAUCUCUUUUAUAAUUUCUUAAUUGAGAAUAAAAAUACAGUCUUUAGGUCUAUGUGGUGUAACUCUAAAUUUAAACAUACUAUCACGGUUAGCAUAGACGUACAGAAGCAAAUCCCGUUGUAAUGAAAGAAUCUCUAUCUAACUCAAUAAAUUCAUAUUGAGUAUACCAUUUUUCAAAGAGAUAAGCUUUAUUUAUUAGAAACUCAUUCGUGUUCUACUUAGUUUUCAAGAACAUAAAUGUUCUAAAAAAAUAUAAUGUUGAAAGAGAAAUUUUAUCAUAUCCCAUAUUAGGUUUAAAUUCUAUACUCUAUAUAUAUACUUCGAUCACUUUUCUCAAAAUUUUCCACUAGUUUUCUGAACCAAAAAUCAUUGACAUUAAAUAGUUCUUAGGUUCCAAUCAGAACCAAGAAUUAUUGAUAUUAAACAGCUCUUAGCUCCCACUCGAUACCAAUAGUCAUUGAAAUUUGAUAGUUCUUAAAUGGCUCCCACUCGGAUAGAUAGGUCCAACUCUGAAAUUGAUUGCUCCCACUUGAAUUAGAAUUUUGAAUCAACUCUUAUAUAUUCAAAACUUAUUCAUAAAUACAUAUAAUAUCAAUUUCAACGACGUUCACCAAUCUUUUCUCCCUUCCUAGGAAAAAUAUCAAAUGUUACAUCUUGUGACUUGAUAUCCAUCAAAAAUUUCACUUAAGUACCUUUUUUUUGGACUACAUGUAUGUCAUCGAGACCAUCUCACUCUUAAUUGACUUUUAUUCCUGAACUCAUUAUCGAGAACAUGUGUAGUUCAUUAUGAGUCUAUGAUAACCCACAUUUAGUUUUCGACAUGUCCAUAACUUAUAUAUUCCGAAGGUGCCAACAUUGAGAGAACUCCAUUAACUAAUACAUUGUAGUUAGCCAACGUUCUUUCCAAAAGCAAAUACGUAAGUUGGACUGUGUAUCUCAACCCUCAUCAUAUUCAUCAAUAUUUCAUUCCUUCAAUCAAAUACACCAUAUAAUUAUUGAUGAUUAAGGAAUAGUCUAUCAAAUGAGAAUAUCUUUCAUCCCAUAGAUCAUUGAUCACGCCAUUAGAUAAUUCUCAAAGUCUUCACUUCCACAAUCUGAUUUUCUACUCGACUUCAGAAAAGUCUAAACCAAUACAAUAUGUUCAAUUUAAGAAAAUCAGAGUCAUAUUUGAAAUGUGUGAAUCCGUCUAUAAAUGUAAUGAAAAGUAAAGUUCCAUCUCUAUCUCUCUUAAACAUAGCCCAUAAGGAAAUUUAGAUGGAUUUAUUCCAUGGAAAUUUAGCUCUUACAGUUUUGAAUGGUUUUCUCAGCUCAAAACCUUAAUCCACUGCACAAAUAUCCAGAACCAUAAUAAGCAUCACUACUGUGAGCACGAACAGAUCUACCACGUAUAAGUUCAAGUAAGAGACCACUCUUCGAAGAACAAUAACUAAGAUCAAAUUUAGUAGAGUUUUUGAUACUAUCUUAAUAUCGAAUAGGAAGUCAGUUUCUCCACUUUGCAACACUAAGUUGCAGUAUUAGUCAUAUAAACAUUCACUUCAUGUUCAUUAUUUGUAUAUAUCUACUUUAUAUCAAGUCAAAGACUCGACAAUAGAAGAAUAUACCUUUUCAUCUCAUACAAAGUGUGUUUUUAACCCUUAAAUCUAUUAUCCACACAAGAUAAGUUCCAAUAUAUAUAGUGUUGACAUGUAAAAAAAACAUUGAGAGGAAUAUAUUCAAGUGCAAUAUCACUUAGUUUAUCCACUUUCGAGCUAAGAGAUUCAAAUUGUUUAAUUGAAGCACUUGAACCUUUGAAACAUUGAUCAUCUACCAAAACCACUUUCAUUUACUUACUAUCUGAUAUGUUCUUCCUAGUCCCUUUUUCAGUCUCCUUAUCUAUCCCGCAUUUGAUCUAGCUCAUAUAAUGCUUAUGAUUCAAAAUCUAAUGCAAGCCAGAACAUUGCUACACAAGCAUGUCCUCGAGACUUAGCAACAUCAGUUCACAUAUAUUUUAACUCACACAGCGGGUAGUGUCAAUAUAGAAAAUUGACACUUCAAUUGGUAAGUCACAAUAACCUUCAAAGUUCUUAUAUUGAGAAGAGACUAGUUUGAACUUACUAUUCAUCUAAAAAUAAUGUGACCAAUGAAAAUGUUAACACUAUGUUAACCAUCAACUAAGUCACAUUCGAGAAAAAAAGUUAUUUAUAUCAAAACUUAACAAUUCAAAUGUUCAAGCACUAGAAUCUAUCUUUUCUUGUACUUAACAAAGUUCUUAUCUUUAUUCUCUAGAGUAGUAUGACCUACAUAAGGUCUUUUAUUGUGUAAUUAAUGCUCUCUAAAGUAUCAUAUCCUUCUAGUGCACUCAAAAUCUUAUCAUGCCAAAUGUUAUCGCAUUUAGCUUAUCACCUUUAUUAAGGUCAAUUAUUAUAGAUUUUGAUGCCAUGAUCUAUCAAAUUUUUCGAGAGAUUUUAUUCUCAACCAAUGCCCAUUUAUGCACAUAUUCAAUUUUACAUUAACUCAAAUUAACGUUUAUGAUAGUUUAAUGUUAGGUAAAGAGUCCAAAGUUCACUAUAUUCCCAAUCAUCAUUUGUAAUCCUAUUGUUUCACUAUCAUAAACUUAAUUACAUAAUGCAAAAUCUCAUGUGUUCUAAGUGAGAAUUACAUUGAUUCUUCCAGCUUGAGAACUCCACGUAGUUGGUGAAUCAUAUAGUUUUAAGAGAGAUUUUCUCUUAAUCUUCCAAUCAUCAAACUAUCAAUGACAAUCAAUACAUCUAAAUAAGAAUCUCACUAAUACUACCGGCCUUAGCAUUUAUAACAAUACAUGAAUUAACGGAUAUCACGUUUUCAAUUAGAUAAUUUCAUAAUAUGUAAUAAAAACAUAAAUAUGCACAUUUAUCCAAUUAUGACAUGCAUCAUGAUAUAACAUAUUAACUCUUCCAGAAGAUAACUUCAAUUAUAAUUCAAAAUAAAAUAUCGUUUAAGUUUUAUUUUACGAAUUUUCAAUCCCUUUUAAAUCUCUAUUGUAACACAGUCUUAACAAAUGGGAAGAGACAUCACAAUUCUCAUAUUCGGCUUAUCAUUAAAAAUUUAUAUCCCAAAAUAUUCACGUGUUCCACAAUAGGUCAUGUUCCAAAUCCAUUUAUUUAUAUCAAUAAGCACGAAACAUUUCAACAAAUUUCAUAGCCUUUGAUUUUCUAGCAUUCCUUUUAAGGAUGCUAUAAAUGUGCAUAGAUUUAGCCAUAUCUGAUCAAGUACAAAAAAUUGAAAACAAAUCACAAUGGAUUACAUAACCUAAUCAAGACUCACACAACUCAUGAACGUAUAUAUAAUGUGGUAUUUUAAAUACUUUCGGAGUAUUUUUCAUUUAAAAAUGAAAAAUUUCAAAAAAAAAAAAAAACUCUCACUAAGCAAAUACCACUUAAUAAAUAUUCUUGAUUUUUAUAAAAAAAAAAUUCAGAAUUUAAUUGAGUCCAAAAAAUAUUUUUGAUUAUCUGAAUUUUAGUCGCACAUAAAAAUCAAAAAUAUUUGAGGGAUCAAUUUGCAAAUUUGUAAAUUUCAUUUGAAAAAGUAAAACGUUAAUUUUAUUUUACAUUCCAACUUUUUAAUUUUUAUAUAUGAAAAAUGGGCAUUGAACACCCACUACAUGCCCAUCUGCGGCGUUUAUUUAAUGAAAUUUUUUUCGUUAAUUCGUCCAUUUAAUCAGUUUUAUCGUUCUGAGUUUCUCUGUGUGGUCAGAUUUUACAAUAUCAACUAUUAAGAUUGUGUUCUAAACCCAAACAAAUCUGAGUGAGGCUAAAAAAUGGGGAAAAAAUUAUUGUUCAUCUAUAAAAAAAGAACAGAAUUUCCAAAUUUUUAUCAAUACUUCAGGAUGCCAUAACUUCUUCAUUCCAAGGCCAAAAUUUAUAUUCUUUAUAUCAUUGGAAAGUUCUCGAGAAGAUCUAUCCAACAUAUCAAAUGGGCAUCAUGAAACAUAGUGUGGAAGAAGUUAUCAUGUGAUGAAGUUUUUGAUGUUACAAAUUUUCAUACAAAAACAAAUUCUUAUCCAAAUUUCGGGAGGGCAUAACUUUCUCAUUUCAGGCCUAAAAUUACUGAUUUUUAGAUAGUUAGGAAGAUCACGAGAAGAUCUAUUCAACCAUAUCAAAUGGACAGCAAGACUUAAUGUAUAAAAAGUUAUCACAUGACGAACUUCAGUGUUUUAUCAAGUUUCAUGCCUAAAAUUUAAAUUAUCAUCCAAAUUUCAAAAACUCAUAACUUUUUCGUUUCAAGUCCAAAAUUUGAGUUCUUUAAUGGUUGGAAAACUUAUGAGAAGACGUUUCUAAUCAUACUAGCUGGAUGAAGAUGAACGACCAAAUGGCAGUAAAUUAUAAAUGAUGCCCCUAAAUACCACAUAAGGUUUCAAAACUUUGCAUACAAGAUUCAUAACCCAAAUUUUAUCAUGUAAUGGCAUAUUUAAGUAUGAAUUACAGCAAGGAAUUCAACCUUAUGACUCUGAUACCAAUGUAGGAAAUCUGCAACAUACUUUGAUGUGAAUUUUGGGUCAAGAAAGUUACUUGAAAUGAUGAAUUUCAAGAUCUUUUUGUGUGGUUAAAUCACCUUACAUUUCAAAACUCCAAAGUCUGCAUUUUCUUGUUCUCCAAUGGUCCCAAUUCCAAUCACAAUGGAAUGGGAUAAUCAUCUACAAUCUAAGUGCCAUUUUUUUUGUGAAAUUUUAUGCCAAAAAUAUGGUUCUAGGGACUUUCUAAUUUUGGUAUGAAUUUUCAUACGAAUUUUCACCAUCUUUUUGGCCACAUUUUUUAAUAACUUCUAUAUGAAAGUUGCAAGGAGUUAUUUGGGAGUUAUAGAUUUGAAUUCCAAAUUCAAACCACAUGGACAACCCAUUACCCGUAUUUUCCACCAAAACUUGAUCGCUACAUUGGUUCAUUUGUCUCUGUCUUUGUCUUUACCAUUUAUUGUCCACGGAAUAUGUAUGUCUUUUUUAUUAUUCUCUUGUUUAGGACAGGACUAAGCUAAAUUAUAAUAACCCAUAUUACAUAUUUCUAUAAUGUUUCAUUUUACGUAACUUGUCUGUAUCUUCCUACAUCUUGAGUUGCCCAAAUUUUGUAGCAUGUUCUCCAGACUAAAUACCUCGCAAUAAAAUAACAAUUAAACUACUUGUACAAAGUAGUUUGACAAAGUGUGUGUUGACAAGAUCAAUGCCCAUGUAUUUUGUUGCUUUCAAAAACUAUUUUUGAAUUGAAUGGUCUUGAUUUUGCCAACAACCAUUUUGUCAACCUUUUUUGUAAACCUAUUUUGUAAGCAUAGCAUCACUCAUAAAAUAAAGGGUAUACGCUAACUUGCACCUAUAGAUUAUACAAGUACCUACCAAGAAAAAAUCACCUCGCCUUAGAUUAUAUUGUUCCUAAGAUUUGUGUAAACAUAAAUAUAUUAGCUGAUAAUUUUAUAUGAAGAGAUACACUUAAGCAAUUCAUUUGAAACUACAAUUCCCUUUAUUGAAUUUGUGGUUUAUGUGGAGACAAAUUUCAUCAACUUGCAUUCAUUUAUGACACAAGUACUUACAAGACUUUUAAGGACUGUUUAUCUGAUCAUCUUUCAUCCCUUAGCAAUUUCCUUGUCUCGAUUUUACCUAAUGUAAUACUCUUUGUAGGUCAAUAAUAAGAACAUAACUAUAAAGUCUAUUUAGUUAUUUCUACUUAACUCUUGGCAAAAUUGAAAAAUCUUUUUAUCAUUAAAUUAAUUGUAGGAGAAGUAUUUUAUUUUACAGAUACAAAUAAUAUUCUAAUGAUAGACCAAGACUAAUAAGUAGUGACUUCAAACAAUUUGGAUUUGGUCCCGUGGGCACCUAAUGUUUGGGAGGUAAGAUUUAUAAUGGGAUAACUGCAAAAACUAUCCUUCAAAUUCUUUAACAAACUAAAAAAUAUUUCACUUUUCAUUAUUUUGAUUUUUAUUUGGUUACCUUAUUUUACAUUUUAGUAACAUACUUUUUAUUGUUUUAUUUUUUUUAACUUUGUUAACUUAUUUUACAUGUUAGAAACAUGUGUUAACAUUUUUAUUUUUUAUUUUUAAAGUAACACAUCAUGUUGUGUUACUCCAAUAUCAAUACAUGACACCACCGCAUCCAACACUGUUUCUCACUAUUGCCACUGCCUUCGUCAUCAAUGUUAGUAAAAUUAGGAUUGAACAUCAAGUGGUUCGAUCCAUGCAUCUUAAUAACUAGAUUGAACCAAUUCCCAUUGAGGAUUGUUAAAAUAGAAUCAUUGAUUUGAAAUCAAUGAGUUCUGGUUCAGCCAAUACGUAUUUUUUUCGCAGAACCACUGGUUCUAAUCCUUAUUUUUAUGCUUCGGUGUAAACCUUCAUAUAAAUUUUAGAGAAAAUUGCAAUAUCGGUCUCUAACCUUUUUGCAAGUUUAUCUUAACCUUCCGUUUGUGUCGGUAGUGAUCCCAAACCUUUGAGAAAUUAGCAAUUGUGGUCCAAAUGAAUGGAAUUUGACCAUUAAUAGACCAAGAAAAUUAGAUUUUGACCAAUUUUGACCAAAUCAAAACGGUAAAUUAAUAACUUUACAUUUUCCCAAUUUAAAUAAUUAAAUAAAAAAAUAAAAGAAAAUGGGGCUGCACCGUACCCUACCCCACCCCACCUAACCCAAACUUCAUCUUCUUACCUUGAUGCACCGGCAACCAUUAACACUACCGCAAACACACAAUUUGCCUUCAUCAAUAAAACGGCAUGGUCAUUGCUUUCAUCUAUAGAACCCCUCAAGUUCUCCACCAAUCACCAAUUUUCCUCCUCCUACAAACCCAGUUUCAAUAACUCCACUACUCAAUUUCCCCAUUAAUAUAAAUGUUUCUCCUUCCUCAACAUAGACAUAGUUGAACGAGAACGAGCACUGUAGAGUUUUUUAUUGCAUAUAGGGUAUGCUUAAGACAAGGUCAAUACAAGCAUACCUAUAAAACACAUACAUACAGUAAUAUAAGUAUGAAUCGAAGGUGUCAAAUUUAUUGCGAAAAUUGUGAGGAAGAUGACCCAAAGAUUUGGGUUCGAUUUUGAUUUUUCAUUUAUGUUACAUUUGAUAGUGGAGAAGAUUGUAGCAGAGGUGAUGAAUGGUGGCGGAGGCGACGAUGAUGAUGGCUGUGGCGACGAUGAUGAGUAGUGAUUUUGGUUUUGGUGGGGAUAGGUUUGGAUGGAUAAUGGGGAAAAGGAAGGGGUGGAAUAAGAUAAUGAUUUUUUAAUUUUUUUUUAAAAUUUAAUUAAUUUAAGUAUUUAUUGUGAGAAAAUGUAAAGUUACUAAUUUUAUCUUUUUAAUUUGGUCAAAAUUGAUCAAAGUUUAAUUUUCUUGGCCAACUAACGUCAAAUGUUUCAUCCAUUUGGACCUUAACUGCUAAUUUCUCAAAGGUUUGGAAUAACCGUUGGCACAAACCGAAAGUUAAGAUAAAGUCUGAAAAAAAAAAAAGCAAAAGGUUGUGGACUGCUAUUGCAAUUCAUCCUAAAUUUUAUUAUUUCGUUUCAUGCUAUAUAUUUUAAACGUAUAAAACUCUCAAUUAUACUCAAGAUGUAUGAAUAUAUAUAAAUUAAGAAUUUACUAAGCGAUUGUAAGAGUAAUAAUUUUGAAAUUGAAUCAAAAUUUGGUUUUAUCAAGACCAAGGACUAGACCAGAACCAUACAACUUUCUAUUCAAAGACCCAGAAUCAAUUUGAAAUGGAACCAGAGCGAACUGACUAAUUUGGCUUGGUUCUGGAUCCUGGUUCUUGAUGGGUGGUCUUGGGUAAUUUCUUGCCCUUAGGUAACAUGUAUUACUUGUCCGGUAAUUGCCUGGUUUAUAACUUAUUGGGAGUAAUUAUGUUUUCGACCCUAACUCCUUCCAUCAUCAAUAUCAACAUCGGACUACAGCCCCAAAAUGUUAGUACCACCAACCACCUUCUAAACAAUCAAUCAACACCACGAUAUCCUCCAACCAUCGCUACACCAAUAUAAAACCAUAACUAUCACGAUGGAAAGCUUUAGAAACACGAAAAUCAUUUCGAUACAAAAAUAUUUGAUGAAUGGUAGUGAUGACUGCUACACUUGAGAGUGGUGGCUGAGCGCGACCUUUGCGAUGAUACAAUUGGAGAAGCAAUAAAUGUUGAAAAUGGUGAGUUUGGCGACAAUUAGAUUGAGAUUCCAAUGACGGUGGCUGUAUAAGUCGAUGAUAGUAUGGGAUCCUUUUUGGUGGAAUGGUGGAGACGAUUGUUGUCUACCAAUACAAUCUGGUGAAAUGGUUGUUAUAUGAUGGAUAUAAAUCAAAGUUUAAUCCGCAGGAGCAUAAUUAAAUACAAAGAUAUAUGAAAAACCUUGGUAUAUAGGGAUGGCAAUCGGGCUCGAUGACUUAGACCACCCAUGGCUCGGCUCGCGAAAUGCCUAAGUAGGCACGGCUUGUGGCUUGGGAAACCCAAACCACAUUUUGGGACGUCGGAUCGAGCCUUGGCUGGCCCAUCUGGCUCAUUGAGCCACACGGGCCAACCCGAGCCAGAAUAUUAUUUUAAAAAAAAUAAAUAAAAACUGCCUAUUAAGGCAGCCAGAAAUAAAAAUAAAUAAAUUUCUUGCAUAGCUGCCUCUUAGCACCGGUGAUGUCUCAUUUAAUUCUAGUUCAUCAAUAUCUAGAAUGAUAGAUGUUAGUGGUACAAAUCUUGAAAUCCCCUUUAAGUUAGUUAGGUAUCUAUACGUAGAUGUUCGCAGUGCGUUACAACUAAAAGAAUUAUAGUAAUUUAAUAUUUAAUCAUGAUGGAGGUAUAACGAAAGGCUAUAUCCAAUUGUAUAAAAAAUUGCACAUAAUCUACUAACACAUCUGGUGUCCAUGGUGGCAUUAGAGACUGCAUUUAGUUUAGGUGGUCGAGUUUUAUCAAACGGAAGAUCAAAGCUCGAAAGUCGGCUUCGCUCGUUAAGGCUCGAGCCAAAAGCUCAGGCUGAGCCUAGGUUUCUUGACCGGGUAAAAGCUCGACUCAGGCUAGUAAAAAAGCUCAGACCAUUUUACUCGGGCCGAGCCUCGAGUUUUGGCUCGUGAGUCGGCUCAACUCGAUUCGACUCGUUGACACCACUAAUCGUAUACUACAAAACACAAAGAAAUAAGAAAUGAAAAAAAAAAUGAGAUGCAAAAUGAUCCGAGGUAAGUGAUUACACUUCCUCCUUAAAACAAAAUUGCCCCACAAAGGUGCUACCGGUUCACGGCACUUGUCUCUCAAGAUACGACAGAUUCAACUUGUAGUAGAAGUAAUUCAAACCACAAGCCACACCGAACUCGAACGGAAUUUAUCCUGUCUACAAAGAAAAUGAUAUGGAAUGAAUUUUGAAGAGUUUUUGCAAGAGAUUUGAUAUAAUGCUUAAUUCAAAAUCGAUAUGGAAUGAGUUAUGGACAUGCAAAGGUUCCUAUUUAUAAAGGAUGAGAAGUUGUGGGCAAAGUGUUGUGUGCCAAAUAUCGCAACCUUACGAACAGAAGCAUCACUUGCUGUCGCUAGCCUGACACUGUCCUUUAGCUCAAGCGUUAGUGUUAAAAUGUGAUAAGUGUAUUUUGUACACGUAUCCAUGCUAGUAGAUUGGAGUGUUUGUUAGUGAUUUGAAUGAGUUAUAACUUAAUUAUGUGUUAAUUGUGUUAGUUAGGUUGAAUUCAAUACAAAUUGGUGGAAUUGGAAGAAAUGAGCAAAAAUGAAAGAAAUCCAAAGUAUGGUGACCAAAGUGUAAAUAUCCAAUGGUUGAUUUGGACCACAAAAGAUAUUUUGAAAAUUGAUAGGAGUCAAUCGAAUGCAAAUUGAAGUUAAAAAAAAAAAUAAAAGAAUGGGAUAUGAUUAUAAUGUUAUCAUAAAUCAACUUUCAAUCACAUAAGACAUCUUCCAGAUUUUUGGUCAACUUGAAACCCAUUUUUCGGAUAGAAAACGUUUGAAUUGGAAAAUCUAUAUUCGAAAGAAUUAUAGCUCUUUGAAUUAGGUUUCCAACACACUCUGAAUCACCACAAUCAGACAUCGGAAGAGAAAGUUUUGACCGAAAUACUAAAAGUUGUGCAUAGACAAAAUCAUGCGUGCGCGAAGGCAACUUUCCUUAUUUGAUUAAAACUCUUCUUAAAGGCAAUUUGGACGUGAAUUUUAACCUAAUUUCAUCAUAUAAACACAAGACAUUGCAGCAAUGGGAAAAAAACCCUCUCUUGCCUCUAUGUACACAAUAAUUUCAUCAAAUUUAUGAAGAAUAAGAGGUCAAUUACUAUAUUUUGAGAGAGGGAAUCAAGCCAUAGCAAGGAAUUGAAAUUCAAUUGCAUCAAAAUUUUGAAGAAUUCAACUUUAGACUUGAAGAUCAAUAUCUUUUGUAUUUUUUCAUGAUCUGAGUGAUAUUUUUCUAUUAUUCUACUUGUAAUUUAUUUAUUAAUAUACUAGGCUAGAUCCGCUUUUGUAUUGGAUGAAGUUGAACUUUAUUGUUUAUUUAUUUUAAAUUAAAGACUAAUAUUUUAGUUUAAUUCUUGCAUUUCUUGAUUAAUUUUGCAUAGUCAUUGCAUUAUUUAAUUGAUUGGACAUCAAUUAGAUAACUAGUUACUCGUUGUAAUGUUGAGAGACUCACGGUAAGUUUAGAACGUGACAAAAUUAAGAUAUCUAUAAUAGAUGUUAGAAAAAACAUAUAUCACGUGUGCAAUUAUAUAGAUAAUCUAAACUUUAAUGUGUUCUAACCAUUCAAAUUCGGACUAGGAAUAGAUUUGAUCGUGGUUAGGAUAGACUUAAUUUGUCUUGGUAAAAAAAAUUAUAUAUUAUAGCUUUAUCAAUGGUCAUGAACGGAUCUAGAUUAUAAAUCAAUAAUUAAAAUAGAUAACAAUAGGCGGAGUCGAAAUCCAAUGCAAUCAUCCAUAAUUUAAUAAAAACUAAACUUUUAUUGCUUUCUUAGAUUAAAUUAAAAUCUCUCUUUGGUUUUAUAUAAUUCGAAUUCCAUAUAUGCAAACUUGAAUUAAAAUUUACUCCAUGUGGAACGAAACUCUUAACUCACUAAACAUAUUACUUGUUAACAGACUCGUACGCUUGCGGGUUUUGCACGAACAAAAUGAUUUACAGAAACUUUUCACUUACCUAUCGCUAGCCUGUCGCUUGAGCAACAGCCUUGCCGCUCGAGCUAUAUAUGAGCAAUGGAGUUGGGCAUUUUUUUCAAGCCAAUUUUUCCUUUAUUUUCCUUUUAACUUUGGACUGCAAUUUCUCAUUCAUCAAGAAUUGAUCUACUUGACGAAUAGAACAAAUUAGUCUUUUACAUUUAUAAUUUGACUAUCGAAUCAACUCCAAAUAUUUGGCCGAAGUUGACAAGAAAGUCACUUUUUCACAUUUUUCAUUUUAACAAUUAACCAAUUUUCCUUCAAUUCUAAACCAAUUUCCAACAAUCUCCCAUGUGAAAGAAAAUUUGAAUAUGUAUAUGCAAUGCAAAAAUUAUGAUGCAUCAUAGAAAGAGAGCAAAAAAACACUGCAUCUGGUAAAGUAGCUUCCAGCUUCGAACCUUUCUUAGUGAAAUACUAUCAGACUUACUUGGCUAAUUGGUGAACAUGAUAUCUUGAACCAUUCAGCCAUUUGUGUAAGUUAAAACAACAAUAAUCACAUAGAUGUCUUCCCUAAUCUGUUCAUGAUUUUCAUGACUUUUCAUUUUUUGUCCUGAAUCGUUCUUGGGUUUCAUAAUUGCUUAGAGAAUUUUAGCCUCGAAUAAUUCUCAUUGAAGCAACCUUACUUCACACUUACAUUGGUGACAUCUUAUUAAGAGUAUUCUAUCUUACUAUACUUGACUUUAAUCGAGAUAUAAGAAUCAUCAAAAGAGUAUCUUAACAUCUUAUCACUCUGCAAAAAGCACUUUAAUAUUAUAAGAAUAAGUUAGAAAAUAAUUUCUUAAGUGCUUCAUUGAAUCAUCAUAUCUUAGUUGUCCCCUUGAACCAAGAUCUUGGGAUCUCCAGUCAAAAAGGUUUUUCGUAGGACUUUCCUCAAACACAUUAUACUGUUUAAGUAUACUCUCAAUGUAGUGAGAUUGGAAAAGUAUAAGUUCCUAUAAUGUUUUAGAGAUCUUAAUCCCUAAUAUUGUAUCAGUCACACCCAUGUCUUUCAUAUCAAAAUGCUUUGUUAGCAUUUUUUUAGUGUUUAGCAUCAUUUCGUGUCUAUUGCCUAUUACUAACAUGUCGUCUAUAUAUAGACAUACAAUCACAUAUGCAUUUGAUGUAUAUUUAUGCAUACACACUUAUCACACUCCUUUAUCUUAAAUUUGUUUGACAACAUCGUUUGUCAAACUCGAUGUUGUCAAACUUCUGAUGCCAUUGUUUAGGAGUUUGUUUCAAUCCAUACAAAGACUUGAAAAGUUUACAAACCCGUGUUUUUUAUUUGGAGAGAUGAAUCCUUCAAGUUGUUCCAUGCAUAUCUCAUCUUCUAACUCACCAUUUAGAAAUGUCGUUUUCACAUACAUUUGAUGAAUCUCAAGAUUGUGUGCUGCGAUAAUUCCAAUUAAAGCUUCAUUGAAGUGAUUCUUGUCACGAGUGAGUAAAUAUCAAAAACGUUAAGUAAUUUAUUUUGCCUAUAUCCUUUGGCAACCGACAUAACUUUAUAUUUGUCAAUGGAUCCAUCUGAUUUAAGUUUCUUCUUAAAAAUCCAUUUACAACCUAAAUGCUUGUUUCCUAGAGGUAAAUCAACUAUUUCCCAAGUAUAAUUUUGCAUUAUAGAAUAUAUCUCGCUAUUGAUAGCUUAUUUCCAAUGCGAUGCUUUCAAUGUAGACAUUAUUUCGUCGAAAGUCUUUAGGUCAUUUUCCACCAUAUAGGUUAGAAAAUUUGGGCCAAAUGUCGUAAAUAUCUUAGCCCUUUUCUUACGCAUUGGUUCUUCAUCAUUUGAAGUACCACUUGUAGUAUCAUAAGCCCUUUUAUUUGAACUUUUAUUUUCCUUUUCUUUACAAGGAAUUUUUUUUUUUUUUAAAUGAUGCAUUUCUUGAUUCACUUAUGGUUCCCUCAUUUACAUCUUAAACUUCAGAUUCAUGUAUGAGGAAACGAUAUGUACUAUUGUUAUUGGCGUAUCCAAUAAAUAUACAAUCAAUCAUUUUGGGGUCAAUCUUUACUUUUUUAGGCUUAGGAAUUCAACUUUAGCCAAACACCCCCAUACUUAAAGUGUUGGUAGGAAAGAGAAUGACCUUUUUCAUAACUAAUAUGGUGUUUCUUCCAUUUUCUUCAGGGGUAUCUUAUUAAGAAUGAUAUUUGUCGCUAAAAUAGCUUCUUCCACAAGUUCUGAGGUAAACCUGAACUUAAAAACAUUACGUUCAUCAUUUUCUUAAGAGUUCGAUUUUUAUGUUCAGCAACACCAUUCGAUUGAGGUGAGUAAGGUUCUAUUGUUUGAUGAAUAAUUUCGUGUUAAGAACAGAAAUUUUCAAACGAUGCCUCAUAUUUACCUCCUUCAUCACGACGAAUAUUCUUUAUUCAUUUAGCAAGUUGAAUUUCAACUUCCACCCUCUAACUUUUAAAUGCAUCUAAGGUCUCGUCUUUACUUCAUAGUAAGAAGACAUAACAAUACUUUGUACAAUCAUCAAAGAAAUUUAUGAAGUAUUUCUUACCACCGCUAAUUUGAUCAAAUCUCAAAUAACAUAUAUCACUAUAAAUUAAUUUUAAAGGUGUAGUAUUUCUUUGAACCGAGUGGAACGAUGUUUUAGCCAACUUUGCUUCAACACACACUUCACAUUUAUGAUUAGGAUCAAUCUUAAGUGCCAGAAUUAAACUUUGAUUCACAAGUUUGCAAAAAACUUGUAAUUACAUGUUCUAAUCGACUAUUCUACAAACAAGACAACUCAAGCAUAUAAAUGAAAUUCAAAUCUUUAUUCAUAAUGCUUUGCCUUGGUACAAUUGUAAGAACAUUCGUUUUGAACAUUCCAUCACACAUGUAUCAUUUUCCUACAUACAUUUCGUAGUUAGUAAAUACAAAUCCAUCGAAUACAAAUACAAGUUUAAAAUCAUUUUUAAUAAGUAGAGACCCAAACGCAAGACUAUUGCGAAUGUCCGGAACAUGUAGGACAUUGUUAAGGACGAGUUCUUUCUCGAAGAUCAUCUUCAAUGUAACUUUCUCUUGUCCUUAAACUUUAGAACUUGCGGAGCUUUCCAUGAAGAGUUGUUCUCCAUUUAAUUCUUUAUAGUUAGAGAACACAGCUUUGUCUGCACACAUGUGACGAGUAGCACCAAUAUCAACCCACCACUCUCGAGAGUUACCAACAUUGUUGCAUUUCGGGAACAAAACCAAACAUAUUUAUUCCUUGCAUCCCAUCAGAGAAGGCGUCUCUUUCAAUCAUGUUGACUUUUGCGGUUUUCUUUGAUUUUUAACAUUCGCUUUAACAAUGUAUGGUUUUUUCACAAUUGUAAUAAUUGCCUUUAAACUUCGUUGUCUCUUUUUGGUGCAUCACCGAACAUCUUGUGCUUCUUGUUGAUAAUUUUCGAGUUUGUUUCAAUAAAGUUUGCUCCAAGUUUGACAAUAGACCUUUUCACAAUUUUCAUAUUGUCUUCUUCGAUCCUAAAUCGGAUAAUCAAUUAUUCCAAGUUCAUCUCCUUAGGUUUGUGCUUGAGAUAGUUUUUGAAGUCUUUCCACAUAAAAAUGAGCUUAUCAAUGAUGGCAAGGACUUAGAAGGAUUCGCUCAACACCUUCUUUUUGGCAUGUAUGUCGUGAAGAGAACUUGAAGUUCUUGUACUUAACUUAUCACGGUCUUGGAGUCUACCAUUUUGUAAUAAAAAAAACUUGCCGAUUAUGAACUUUUUUGUUACGACAUCCUUAAUCUUGUACUUCUUUUCCAAUGAAUCUCAUAGUUCCUUGGCAGAGUCCUUUGAACUAUACACUCCACAUAGUGUAUUGUCUAAUCCAUUUAGGAUAUAAUUUUUGCAUAAGAAGUUUGAGUGCUUCCAUGCAUCUAAGGCAAUAAUCUAUUCACGAUUAUUUUCUCCUUCUUCUACAGUUUAUAGAGUCUCCUUUAGAAACUUCACCAAGUUUAGAGCAAUUAGAUAUAACAAUAUCUUUUGUUACCAUCUUUUGAAGUCCAUGUCUCUAAACUUUUUCAGUUUUUCCACGUGGGAUCACACUAUUUUGAAGUGGUACGGCCAAAGGGGAACCACAUUAUUCGUACCAUUGAUAGUUUGACUUGAAGUAGUUUCCAUGGUGUUCAUUUCUGUUGCACAAAUAGAAGUUCAAUGCAGCAAUAAUAAAAAGGGAAUAGCAAGUAAAGCAUAUUACACAGAUGAAGAUCACGAGUUUGUUUACAACAUAACAAUCAAAAUUUUAUCUUAAUACUGCUGUCUACCAAUAUAAUCUGGUGAAAAGGUUGUUAUGUAAUGGAUGUAAAUCAAAGUAUAAUUCAUAGGAGUGUAAUUAAAUACAACGAUAUAUGAAAAACCUUUAUGGUAUACAAACCACAAGAAAUAAAAAAUGAAGAAAAAAGAGAUGGAAAAUGAUCAGAGGCGAGUGAUUACAAUUUCUCCUUAAGACAAAAAUUGUCCUGCAAUAGUACUAAUUGUUCAUGACACUUGUCUCCCAAGAUACAACGUAUUCAACUUGUAGUAGAAGCACUUCGAAUCACAAGCCACAACGAACUUGAAUGGAAUUUAUCCUCUCUACAAAGAAAAUUAUAUGGAACGAAUUAUGGAGAGUUAUUGCAAGAGAUUUGAUGUAAUGCUUAAUGCAAAAUGGAUAUAGAAUGAUUUAUGGAUGUUCAAAUGGUCCUCUUUAUAGAGGAUGAAGAGUUGUGGACGAAACGUUGUGUGUCAAACCUUGCAACCUUAUGAACAAAAGAAUUACUCGUUGUCACUAGCCUAUCAUUGACCUCUUGCUCGAGCGCCAGCAUCAAAAUGAUUUACGAAAAUUUUUAGCCUGCAUGUUGCUAACCUGUUGCUCGAGACAGGCCCCAUUGCUUAAGCAAUAGGUGAGCUACGGAGUUAGGCAAUUUUUCAAACCAGAUUUUCCUCUAUUUUUCUUUCAAUUUUGGACCGCAAUUUCUCAUUCAUUCACAAUUGGUUUUGAGAUUCCAAAUAUACCACGAUGAUCUAUUCGACAAGUAGAAUAAGUUAGUCUUUUUUACAUUUGUAAUUUGACAUCAGUUCAAGUCCGAAUAUUUGAUCGAAUUUGACACGAAAGUCACUCUUUCACAUUUUUUAUUUUAACACGUAACCAAUAUUCGUUCAAUUCUAAACCAAUUUUCGAACAAAGAUAAUAGAAAGAGGUUGUUGAUUUGAAAAUAUUGAGUUGGAUGUGCUACUUGGCAACAAUGAUCCAACAAUAGUGGUGUGCUAAUUUGGAAUAAUGCUAUUUAUCAUUAUGAUGAUAGAAUAUCAGCGAUGUGAUAGUCUAUGUGAAAUAAUGGAAUUAGGUAAUUCAAUUUUUAUGAGAGAAAGAUGGGAAGAGGCGUGAUCUCAAGAGAAAGAAAUGUGAUGGAUAAUGGAUUGCUAGAUCAUCGAUAUUACAUCAUCGUGAUGGUAAAUAGUAUUACUCGCUAGUGCAGUGUUUUGUUGGAUAGGAAUUUGACUAGAAUGAAGGCAUGCUUAAAACUCAUUAAAUUAGAACUCUUUAUUUCUUAUAUUCGUUUUAUUCACACAUUAAAAUAUUAUGUACUAAACCUAUAAUAUUUUCCUACUUUUUAACAACAUACUUUUCAAAAAAUCACUAUAUGAAACAUUAUUUUCCUCCAAUUUCAAUUUAUAAUUGUCAUCAAAUAGGGCUUAGAAUAAAUUUGUAAUAUUUUAAACACUAGAAAAAGAAGUAUAUUUCAAAAAAAAAAAUUAUUAUUAGUUACAGGUAAAUAUCUGGAAAACAUAAAAGGGAGGAAUUUUUUAGUUUUUGUAAGAAAAGAGAGUAUCCCACCUUAGAGCAAAUCCAAUGAAUUUAAAGAUUAUAUUUUACAAUUUAGAGAUCAUAUAUAAAUUUUGAGAUUAAAAAAUUGAAAAUACUUUAACAUGCUUUUUAUCUUUAAUACUUAAUUUACUUCUCUUAAUAUUUAUUUAUUAUUUUUUCAUAUAUUUUAUUUUCUCUAGCUUCCCUUCAAAGUAUUAUAUUAUUUUCCUCAAUUUUAUUUGUAUAUACUACUUAUUAGGUCAAUAUAUGUAGCAUUGAAAAGUGGAAUAUUUUGAUCACGUACAUUUAAUUAUAAAGUGUGAAGUUGACUCUUGAAGCAUAAUUCAAAAGUCGAUUAUUUAAAAUAGAAUGCAUGGAAAGGUCAAAUGAUUGGUUUUUUUCCACGAAAUAGUUGUUUUGACUUUUUAUGGCCCACUUUUACGUACUUAUUAUGGGAUGUCAAAUAAAGUCGAAACAUUGCAUUUUUAAUACCAUUUCCAAAUGCUCUUGGCCUUGUUUUUAUUUCGUUAAUGGCGUGCAAACGAUCAAUCGUAACAAAAGUUACAAUGCAUCAAAGUAGACUGUUCCGGAUAGAUAUUUUGAGAAUUUCGAUAAUAUGCUAACUUUUAAAAUUCAUCGAUAAUCGUAUAUUAUCCUAAUCCACAAAUCACCUACGUCAUCUAGAAGCUUGUUUAGUAAACUACGUCACGGCCAUAUUGAAUGAUCUAAACGAAUAAUGAAAAUAGUUAAAUAUGCAUCAAACGUACGUCUUAAAAGAGAUAUCUAACUCUUCAUUUCUUUAAAAAAAAAAAAAUCAAUUGUUUCAUUAAUUUUGAUUAUUUUUGCAUGAUAAUUUUUUGUAAAAUCCAUUGAAGUAACUAUCCUUUCAUUUUCCACAACAAUUGGGAACGACAUGAAGAGUCGGGGCCUUGAAGUUGUUUCUGAUUCGCAGCUUAAAAAUUAUAAAAAUAAAAAAAAUAAAAAUUCUUGGAUACGAAUUUCACUCAUCAGUGUUAUUUGUUUAGGCUGACUAGUGCUCAACUUAAUUCUUUUCGUUUUCACGAGUCUUCAUGGGGAGAAAAAAUCCAAGUCAACUGCCGUGUUCACUUUCACCCUGACUUUCGUUGCGAGUAAAUAAAUUAAUUGAAUUUAGACAACCGCACCAGAAUCUGAUUUCUCUAUUCUUCUUCUUUCUUCUGUUUGUUGUUGAGUUAGGCUGGCAUGGUUUUCUCACGUAGGGCUGCUUCCAGUUCAGUUGUUUAUGUCUCUUUGUUUCAUCUAUGUAUCCUUCACUUGGUUGAUUCUCAAUGCCCAAAGCAGUUCCAGUGUGGAAAUCUUGGCAAUUUGGAGUUUCCUCUGGCCAAUUCUUCGGGAUGUGGAUUGUUCACGGUUAACUGAAGUGCUCAGCCGAAUCCAAUAAUUCACCUGGUCCUCGAUAAUGAUUGGUUUUCACCAUCCUGUGAGAUUCUGAAAAAGUUAUCUCGCAAUGAAUUAUUUAUUCGAAAUCAAUUUCUUCAACGUGUUUUAUAUAGUAAAAAUUAUGAGGAAAUGUGCCGUUUGCUUUUUCAUCUCCCUAUGCCAAUCUCUCCUUAUAUUUUGGUUUCUUUCUUCCCCAAUAUCACUCUAUUCAAAUGCACCAAAGAAAGAAACUACGACAAUGAGAUACCUAAUUUCCAAGAAAUUUAUAGAAAUUACACUGGUUGCAAGCUCUUCGAUAUAUACUACCCCAAGUCAAAUGAAAGUCUUCCGCCCUCCAACGACUGUUCAGUUCUUCACUUGCCAGGCAAUUUACAAGAUAACUCAGAUUCAUUGGACUUGUUCCAACGGUUAGGCGCUGAUUGUCAUCUAAAAUGGAAUGUGUCUGGUGAUAAAGGUACCAUCGGCCCUUGAACGUGAUCUUUUCAUUAUGGAUUAUAUUAUUGAAUAUUGAGUUAAAAAAUUAUUAAAUUAAGAAACUUUUUGUAUGACAAUUUUAUUUUGUCAAUUCAGCUCUUUCCCAAUAUAGUUAUAUGCCUUUUUUUCUUUGUUUCAAAUUGAAUUCAACUCUGUCCUUAAUUUGUUUGUAAUGUAUACACCAAAUUUGGUAAUUUUUUUCCUCAUUUUGUGGAAAGUAAUUAUUCAAUAUUACGACUAUCUGAAAGACUCAAUCAAAAAAUAAAAUAAAUAAAAUCCAGUUCAUAGGACGCAACUACUAUUUGGAUCAUGAUAAUUGAAUGUCCCUUUACAUGAUUCCAUCACCUUAUUAUGAUAAUUUAUGGAUGUUUUCAUAUUCAUCAACUUGUGGUUCACGGACAAUAUCUUUAUUUGACCAAGUCUAGUUAUGCAAAAGUAAUUUGCAAUAGCUUCUUGUUUAUGAAUGUACGGACAUAUAAACUGUUGACAAGAUCCAUUAUUUUUUAACCUAUAAGUCAUAGAUAUAGCUUUGUAGUGUACAAGUAGCAAAAAUACAACGCACUUAUUAAAUUAAUAAAUUUCAUUUAUUGAUAAAUUAAUAUUAUUCAUUAAUUUAAAAAAAAUAAACAACUGUUCAAAUAAUAAUUUUUCUUAGUACCCAGAGUAUUACUUCAUAGGUUUUACUGUAGUGUGUUGCAUUACAAUCACUAUAGAGGUUAUCCCUUUGUGAAAGUUUGUCUUUUAGCAUUGUAAUUAUAGAGGUCAAGUGGUCUCAAAUUUAAUUAGAAUCUAAAUCAUUUACAGAGAACAAAUUUGUUGAAUUAGAUAGUAGUGGUUUUCUUUUGAUACAAGUACAAGAGGAAAUUUGACAGAAAAUCUUGACUCUACCUGUGAGAAAAACAAAAUCUAUAUCAUUUAUAAGUUCGCUCAAUCUAACAUGUGUUUUGACUUCAGCUGCUGCAAGGAUUAAAUUGAAACUGAUUUUCCUUGCAGGUAACUCUUCCAAAUUUCAGUGACAUUUCUUUUGUUUUUUGAUUUAUAAAAAUAGUUGUCUUUUUUCAUCUCAGGUGUUUCAGCUGCUGCGAAAGUCCUCAUCUCCAUAAUCUUGUUCACUUUCAAUGGGAGGAAGUACAUGCUGAAUUUGAAGGGAAAAACUCAAAACCACAAGGACAUUGAACUCUUCCUAAAAACAAUGAAAUCCUUACACCAAGAAGAUACAACUAUUCUGAUCUUAGGAAAAUGACUAAAUCAUUCAAUGACAACUUAGGGAAAGGCGUUUUUGCUAAUGUGUAUAGAGGAAAGUUACCCGAUGACCGUCUUGUAGCAGUAAAGAUUUUGAAAGAAUCGAAAGGCAAUAGAGAAAAAUUUAUCAAUGAGGUAGCAAGUAUCAGUAGAACUUCCCAUGUUACCGAUGUCACUCUCCUGGGAUUUUGCUUUGACGGUUCCAAAAGAGCUCUCGUUUACGAGUUCAUGCCCAAUGGAUCUCUUGAGAAAUUCAUAUGCAGCAAUACCUCCGUAGCAAAACAUCAGUUAGGAUGGGAAAAUUUGUUUCAAAUUGCUAUUGGUAUUGCUAAGGGAAUAGAAUACUUGCACCAUGGAUGUAAUACACGGAUUUUGCAUUUCGACAUCAAAGCCUCGUAACAUUCUUCUAGAUGAAGACUUGAACCCUAAGAUAUUGGAUUUCGGUUUUUCUAAACUUUGCCCCAAUAGGUCCAGUAUAGUGUCAAUGCUAGGGGCUAGAGGAACAAUACGAUAUAUUGCUCCAGAAAUAGUUUAUAGGAAUGUUGGAGUCAUUUCUUACAAGUCAGAUGUCUAUAGCUAUGAUACAAUGAUUUUGGAAAGUGUUGGAGAGGCGAAAAAUGCUGAUGUCAAAGUUGAUCAUUCAAGUGAAAAAUAUUUUUCAGAUUGGAUCUAUGAGCACCUCGAAUAGAAUUUUGAACUUGAUUUUAACCAAGUUGUAAAUGAAGAUGAAGUUUCGAAAAGGAAAAUGGUAAUAGUUGGCUUAUGGUGCUUACAAUUUGAUCCUACAACUAGACCAUCAAUGAGCAAGGUUAUAGAAAUGUUGGAAGGGAACAUGUAAUCUCUUCAAAUCCCACCAAAAUCGUACUUUUUACAGCCAAGAGCAGCAGAAAAUUUUUCAACUACUGAGUCGUCGGUCAUUCUCUCCCAGUUUCAUGAAGUUUAGCUUCCUGGAAUCCCAUGGUGUUUCGUGGCUCCUAGUUACCAUGCAAUAUAGGCAGUUAUCUCUGUUGUUUUGCUAUUGUAAUUUUUAAGUUGUUAACACCUCUCCUGGCCCAAUGUUUAUUAAAUUUCUUCUUGGAGAUCAAGCUUGACAUUCGUGAGCUUAAUGUUUGUUUCUUUGUCAUAUUGAGCUUGAUUGCAGAUAUCAUUCCAAUUCCCAGGCACUCCAUGACUUCCACCCUUGAGUCUGUAGAAAAUAAAGUUUCCCCCAUGGAAGAUCUUGUAGGUUUCUGGCUUUGAGAAUACUAUCCAUCAGGGGUGCAACAUUUGAUACUCUGUCUACUUGUGAAGGAGUCGAAGCUUUUCUCUAAAAAUUCAGCUUUUAGAUUUUUCUCCAUGUUUUAUGUAAAAACUAAAACGAUUAUACUUUUGAACAGGUGAAAAGUACGGUUCUCGUGCAGCCAAAAUCUGAUAACUUUUCCCUUUUAUUUCAGUUAUUAUUCUCCACUUUAAUGUAACAAAAUAUAGAACUUCCUCCUCCAAGAAGUUUCUUUUUGCCCUGUUUUUCAUUUUAUUGCUGAUUUUGAUUUGUUUCUUCUGGUUGCUGUAGUACAGAUUUUUCUGUGUUCUUUCAUAGGAAGAUUUUCAACUUGAUAGUCUGGCAAGAGGUACAAGUAAUCCUUCAGAAUGACAGGAAUAAUGUAAGAAUCAUGCAUCGCCAGUUGCUGCUCGUGUGUUUUGCGAGCUUUCCAAGUUCUAACCCUUGAACUGAAUAAGGGAGAACCUGUCCGCCUUGCUCGACUGUGUAAUUGACCUUUGCCUCAACUUCAUAUAUCACAUUUUAGCCAUCUUUUCAAGGGUGGUGAUGGGAAGGCUCCAUUUUCCGCUUUUUUGGUUCAGAUUAAAAUAUGAUUUUAAUUUAAGUCAAUGUCAAAUAAUCAAUAUUAAUCACAUCUUUUAUGGAACCCCACAACUUUUCAACCACACAUUUCAAAAAUUUCUAUCACAAUCUACUAAAAAAUUUAAUUUUAAUCUCCACCAAACAUCCUCAGCAUUUAUGUCUACAUGAAAUUCCAUUUAGAUUGAUUAUGUCAAGAUAGUACAAAGGAUCUCUUUUAAGAUUAUGCCCCGAUCGAGUCUCGAUCUCUGAAAAAUCAUUUUUUUUUUCUGAACUCAAUUUCAACCACAUAUUCUCCUAGUAAAAUAAUUCAAAAUAUUUUCCUACUUUUUCAUCCGACAAAAAAUAAAUAAAAAAAAAUCAUUUUUCCAAAAUGCUCAAACUAACAUCCCCAAAUCUAAAUAUCUAAAUUGAGAAGUAUUAUUAUUUAAUUUUCUCUUAAAAUCAUAAAUGCGAAAAAUGAUUAGAUUUUUCUUUAACAUAAUAAAUAUCAAUGACUUCAUUUAUGAAGAUAAUUUGUACCCCGUUUUGUACUUAUUUAAGGCCACGUUUGUUUCACAUUUUUUGGCCACAAAAAUGAAAAAAUGACCAUUAUUCAUCACAUCAAGUCACCAUAUUUGACUUUUUCUAUCUUGUGUGGGUCAUGUAAUAACUAUAUUUUUCAUUCUCAUUCAUAUAAGAAUGAGAAUCAAAUGAGGGCUAAAUUAGAUUUUAGUCUAAAUCAAAGUUGAACAAUCAAUUUUAACAAUAUAUUUUAUGGGUCCCACCAACUUUUCAAUCACACAUUUCAAAAUUUUUUUAUCAAAAUCUACUCUCUUUUUUUUUUAACUCCUAUCAAAGAAGGACUUAAUAAAAAUAUAAGAUAAUUAAAUUAAACACAAACUUUAUUUUCAAAACGAAUUCAAUAUCUAAAUGUGAUAGUAUUAAGUCUGUUGCACCACAAGUAUUCAUCUCGGCCUUCAUAAUUUGAAAAAUGAGAAGAGAUAAUAUGGAAUGAACUAACGCCUGGUAAACAAAUUUCAUGCAUAUGAUGCAUGCUUUUGAUAUGUAUAUGCUUAAUUUUAAAAUAAAUAACUUUUUUCAAUAUGCAUCCCAUUUUCUUUCAUUUAAUUUUUUUUAAAUAUUAAUAAUGUGAGCUUAUUUUUGUGUAUCGCGUAACCCAUCAAAAUGCAACGGACAAUUAUUAUUUGGAACUCAAUUCAUUCUACAGAUAGUAUCGCAAAGUGGUUAACAUUAACAUUAAACAUUUAACAUUGGUUAGAUGCAUACACUUCUUAAAAAAUACAUUCAGGAUACAUAUUUUUUUAAUAAUAUUUAUCAACUCAUUGACAUUUGAAAAAAUUUUAUUUCUUAAAACUUUAUGUAUAUUUACAGAUGUAUUGGCGUGUAUGAAUAUGUCAUGAGAAGCGCCAAUGACAUAAAACAUAAUAAUCAAAUAUCAUAUUCACGUAAUAACAAAUUUAGGUAACACAUUUGUACAUUUAACAAUGUAAUGUAUGCAUGAAAACAAAGGAAGGUUUACUAAAAAUUGAUUGAAAUUUAAAUUUGAACGGCAAGUAAAGACGCUCCUAGCCGUUUACGAAGUUAACGUAUCAAAAAUACUAGUCCAUUAUCAUUUAUUUAUAAACUUCAAGAAUAAAUUGGACAUCACUCCAAUCUAGACCAUUGUUCUAAUAAUUUAAAUUUAUUUAUUAUUGUUGUUAUUAAAUUCCUAAUUAUAAAUAAAACGGCAAAGAAUUAUAAGAACUAAAGGGGAACCUAUUAUUGAAACAAAGCAGUUUUGUUCCAUAUGGGUCUUGUUUGGCUAAAUUUCUAAUGAUGAAAUAAUGUCUUUAUCUACUUAAAUUAAUGCUCUUGUAAUACUAGAAUGGAGAGAAGAAGAAAAGUGAAGACCAUGAGUUGUGAAGGACUUCAUUCAAUUUAGACUAUGCCGAGAGAGAGAGAGAGAGAGAGAGAGAGAGAGAGAGAGAGAGAGAGAGAGAGAGAGAGAGAGAGAGAGAGAGAGAGAGAGAGAGGGAGGUGAUGGCAAUAGACAAUAUAUACGUGCAAAAUCAAUUAUGUUAGCAACAUUCAAUACAAAGCCAAAAUAUGAAAUAUGCAGGGUUUAGAAAAUAAAAUAAAAUCAAAUGAUCAUAUAUCAUUCUAGAAACUAAAAGGGUUAUCAAAAAUCAAAUGAAGAAACUAGGUUCUUAAUCUCAAAAGCCAAAUUAAAACUUAGCUGGUGCUUAUCUAUUUAUUUAUUAUUAUUUUUUAAACUUUAAAAAUACUGCCCAUUUCAACCCAUUUUUCACACCAAUUAUCUACAAUUAUAUUCUACAUUUUAUAGUUUAAAUUACUCGUUCUCAAUUCAAUUCCUUAUUUCAUUAUUCAAUUAUCAUUCUAUUCAAUUCAUCUAUUGUAUUUCUCAUUCCUCAUAUUUUCUCACUUCAUCUCAAUUUUAUAAUUCAUCUAUUAUAUUCUAUACUUUUAUUUAUAUUUAUACAUUUCAAUUUUAUUUUAUACAAACAGAACCCAAUAUUUAUGUUCAGUGUUUGUUUAGUGACAACUCACCAUUGACGCCACAAUUUCAAUUCCACAAUGAUUUGGACAUCAGCGAUGUACAUGGGGAAUAGCCAUCCAAUUGAUAUGUAUGAUAUUGAUGAAGAAGCGGAACUCGAAAUACUUGAAGCAAGAGGGAAUCGAAAAUUUAAACAAACUGCAAAGUAUUAGGAACACUUCAAAAAUUGGUUUCAACAGGUCAUACAAUCCACAGAGUCCAAGAAUUUAAAGCAGCUUGUAAACGUUGUAAAAUAUAAUUGACAUAGCAAAAGGGAAUCAAAACUAGUCACCUGAACUGUCACUACAAGAAAUGCUUGACCAAAUAUGUACUUAUUGGCCAAACACAAACACAACUUCAAUUUGGUACUCCUUCUCCCAAUACUAAUUCUGCUUCACUAACCACAUGAAUCUACUCGAAAGAAAAUUACUGUGAAGGAAUAAUCAAGUUCAUUGUUGGUGCUGAGUUACCUUUAAACAUGGUGGACAAUAAACAUUUCAAAAGUUCGUGCAAGAAUAUUUUCAACCAAGGAAAGUUGGGGUAGGUAAACAUACUCUUUUUUCUGAUUACAUUGAUUAGUUUGUAAGACACAUAUAAAAGUUAAUACAUGAUUUACAAAAAUAUGGUGAUGUUAUAUAUUUUACAUUGGAUUUAAGGGAAGGAAUAAAUAAAUAAAAGUUAUAUAGCUCCAAAUGCUCACUAUAUAGACCCACUUUGGAUAAUGCAUAAAAGAAUAAUAAUUUUUAAAAUAAUUGAGUCCCCUUACAAUGUUAAUAAUAUAUUUAAUGUUAUUAUGUAAUUAUAGAAGAAUAUCGUUAUGAAUAUAAAAUUCAUAGUUUUAAAUUUGAUUGUGCAGGUGUUAAUAAACCUAUAAUUGACAAACUAUAUAGGGUUCUUAAUCUAGAUUUCUUUGGUUUUUAUUUCAUAUUUGUUGUGUAUGUCAUAUAUAUGGUUUAACUGUAAAAGAUGGAAACAUAUUAACGAACAAAUUGAAAGAAUUAGAGAUGUAUUAACAUAUAUUACUAUAUCACAUAGUACAAAAUAAUCUUUUACAGAAUAUUGUGCUCAAUUUUCUAUGGAACGCAAAAAUUUUAUAACUGACGUACAUCACGUGGAACUCAACUUACCUAUUACUCAAAUCUUUUGAAGGCUGUGAAACAUUAAUUAUUGAAUUUUAUAACUUCAGACCUACAAAUGAGUCAAACUCAAUUUUAAUAUAUUCUGAUUGGGAAAUAACUUUUANNNNNNNNNNNNNNNNNNNNNNNNNNNNNNNNNNNNNNNNNNNNNNNNNNNNNNNNNNNNNNNNNNNNNNNNNNNNNNNNNNNNNNNNNNNNNNNNNNNNNNNNNNNNNNNNNNNNNNNNNNNNNNNNNNNNNNNNNNNNNNNNNNNNNNNNNNNNNNNNNNNNNNNNNNNNNNNNNNNNNNNNNNNNNNNNNNNNNNNNNNNNNNNNNNNNNNNNNNNNNNNNNNNNNNNNNNNNNNNNNNNNNNNNNNNNNNNNNNNNNNNNNNNNNNNNNNNNNNNNNNNNNNNNNNNNNNNNNNNNNNNNNNNNNNNNNNNNNNNNNNNNNNNNNNNNNNNNNNNNNNNNNNNNNNNNNNNNNNNNNNNNNNNNNNNNNNNNNNNNNNNNNNNNNNNNNNNNNNNNNNNNNNNNNNNNNNNNNNNNNNNNNNNNNNNNNNNNNNNNNNNNNNNNNNNNNNNNNNNNNNNNNNNNNNNNNNNNNNNNNNNNNNNNNNNNNNNNNNNNNNNNNNNNNNNNNNNNNNNNNNNNNNNNNNNNNNNNNNNNNNNNNNNNNNNNNNNNNNNNNNNNNNNNNNNNNNNNNNNNNNNNNNNNNNNNNNNNNNNNNNNNNNNNNNNNNNNNNNNNNNNNNNNNNNNNNNNNNNNNNNNNNNNNNNNNNNNNNNNNNNNNNNNNNNNNNNNNNNNNNNNNNNNNNNNNNNNNNNNNNNNNNNNNNNNNNNNNNNNNNNNNNNNNNNNNNNNNNNNNNNNNNNNNNNNNNNNNNNNNNNNNNNNNNNNNNNNNNNNNNNNNNNNNNNNNNNNNNNNNNNNNNNNNNNNNNNNNNNNNNNNNNNNNNNNNNNNNNNNNNNNNNNNNNNNNNNNNNNNNNNNNNNNNNNNNNNNNNNNNNNNNNNNNNNNNNNNNNNNNNNNNNNNNNNNNNNNNNNNNNNNNNNNNNNNNNNNNNNNNNNNNNNNNNNNNNNNNNNNNNNNNNNNNNNNNNNNNNNNNNNNNNNNNNNNNNNNNNNNNNNNNNNNNNNNNNNNNNNNNNNNNNNNNNNNNNNNNNNNNNNNNNNNNNNNNNNNNNNNNNNNNNNNNNNNNNNNNNNNNNNNNNNNNNNNNNNNNNNNNNNNNNNNNNNNNNNNNNNNNNNNNNNNNNNNNNNNNNNNNNNNNNNNNNNNNNNNNNNNNNNNNNNNNNNNNNNNNNNNNNNNNNNNNNNNNNNNNNNNNNNNNNNNNNNNNNNNNNNNNNNNNNNNNNNNNNNNNNNNNNNNNNNNNNNNNNNNNNNNNNNNNNNNNNNNNNNNNNNNNNNNNNNNNNNNNNNNNNNNNNNNNNNNNNNNNNNNNNNNNNNNNNNNNNNNNNNNNNNNNNNNNNNNNNNNNNNNNNNNNNNNNNNNNNNNNNNNNNNNNNNNNNNNNNNNNNNNNNNNNNNNNNNNNNNNNNNNNNNNNNNNNNNNNNNNNNNNNNNNNNNNNNNNNNNNNNNNNNNNNNNNNNNNNNNNNNNNNNNNNNNNNNNNNNNNNNNNNNNNNNNNNNNNNNNNNNNNNNNNNNNNNNNNNNNNNNNNNNNNNNNNNNNNNNNNNNNNNNNNNNNNNNNNNNNNNNNNNNNNNNNNNNNNNNNNNNNNNNNNNNNNNNNNNNNNNNNNNNNNNNNNNNNNNNNNNNNNNNNNNNNNNNNNNNNNNNNNNNNNNNNNNNNNNNNNNNNNNNNNNNNNNNNNNNNNNNNNNNNNNNNNNNNNNNNNNNNNNNNNNNNNNNNNNNNNNNNNNNNNNNNNNNNNNNNNNNNNNNNNNNNNNNNNNNNNNNNNNNNNNNNNNNNNNNNNNNNNNNNNNNNNNNNNNNNNNNNNNNNNNNNNNNNNNNNNNNNNNNNNNNNNNNNNNNNNNNNNNNNNNNNNNNNNNNNNNNNNNNNNNNNNNNNNNNNNNNNNNNNNNNNNNNNNNNNNNNNNNNNNNNNNNNNNNNNNNNNNNNNNNNNNNNNNNNNNNNNNNNNNNNNNNNNNNNNNNNNNNNNNNNNNNNNNNNNNNNNNNNNNNNNNNNNNNNNNNNNNNNNNNNNNNNNNNNNNNNNNNNNNNNNNNNNNNNNNNNNNNNNNNNNNNNNNNNNNNNNNNNNNNNNNNNNNNNNNNNNNNNNNNNNNNNNNNNNNNNNNNNNNNNNNNNNNNNNNNNNNNNNNNNNNNNNNNNNNNNNNNNNNNNNNNNNNNNCGCGGGGUUUGAGAAAGUUGUGAUUUGAGCAAGUGAAUUUUUCGAUUUAUUAGGAACAAUUCAAACCCUAUAAGUAAAUUAUACAUGAAAUAGAAUGCCCAAAAGUUUCUUUAUCUUGAUCUCUUGAAGUCUAGCACUAAUUUCAACUCUUACUAGGGCUUCCAAAUAGAAUUUCAACUAGAAUUUGUCAAAUAGACUUCAAAUAGUAUUUCAAAAGCAUUUCAAAUAGAAUUCUUCUUAAUGUGUACUUUAAUUAGAACUCUAAAUUGUCUUCAACAAAGAAUUCGAGUCACACCCAAAUUCUAAUAAUCUCUACAUUAACAGGAAUUCCAUUACAAUGAAUAAAUUUGAAUUCUUCAAUGAAAAACACAAACGAAUUUCUUCAUCAACAAUUUUAACUAAAAAUAUUUUCCACCUCUGCUACCCUAGCUAGGGCAAAAGUGAUCUAAUGACCACCAAACAGGGCUGACACAAACCAUGUAUAGAAUUACAAUUAAAUGCAUCAAAAGAAAGAUCUUAGCUAGAAUCAACACCCUUAACUACAUUCAAAAUAUCAACAAAAUCAGAAGAAUUGUACCUAUAUGGAGUCUUAUGGCUAAAAAAUGGGUCUAUUUCUAACAAGUGAAUACGAUGACACCGUCAAUAAUGGUGGCAAAACAGAUUUACCCAUAUCUUCAAAAUUCAAUUGAGAUAUAUUCUUAAACGAAGAUCCCAAAUUGGAUUCCAAUGGUAUAGAAGCCAAUUCUAAAUCCACCAGAAUUCUUAAAAUAUGCUAAUUAUUCUAAGAUUCUGUAUAACACUGAAAGACGUAUAACAAAACAUAGGCUCAUUUAUGAACCUUCAGGACUCCACCUUCAACAGUGUAUUUGUAUCCUUUUGAAUCAAGAACACUUAAGGAGAUAAGAUUUCGUUCCAUAUUUGGAACGCGUCUCAUUGCAUCAAGUACACUAAUUGUCCCAUCAAACAUCUUUAUUUUGACCUUACUAAUCCCGCUAUUCGACAAGGUAUAUAAUUGUUGAUCAUCACAACACCUUUUGUAACUUUUUCAUGUGGUGAAAACAAUUCCUGAUUGGGUAAUAUAUGAAAAGUGUAAGCCGUAUUCAAAAUCCAAACCUCGUUAGGUUUGGAGUUAUAAUCAAACAUAAGUAAAAGUUCUCCAUCACUGUGAAAAAUUUCAACAAUGGCUUCACUUGAAGUAUAUAAUUGACUUUCCUUCUAAAAAGUUGCAGCCAGAUUUCUCUAUUACGCAACUUAUAAAAAUCCUUAAUUAAGUGCCCCGAAUUAUUGAAAUAAAUUUUGAAGUUAGACCUUAAUUUACCCUUUGCACAACUACCAUCAAGAAUAAGGUCGUCUCCAUGAACCUCAACAAUAUGCUUCAUCUUCUCAUUUGAAAUAGAACAUUAUAGACUUCUUCAAUUGGGAGAUCAAAAAUAUAUAAGAUCGUAUCUUUAAACAACGAAUAUGAAGUGGCAAAAAACAAAACAAAAUCAAUCUCAUAUAAGUGAGCACUGCUCAUUUCCUAAUCUGCCACAACAAAAAUCUUUUACUACGAUCCAAUAGUGGAACAUCAAACUUCAUAAUUGUCAUCACGAAAAACCUCAAUCUUCCCAAGAAUUUCAAAACCAAAAGCUCUAAUACCACUUAUUAUGAAUUCGGACCAGAUUUGAAACCACUUUAUUGAAAGCAGAACAAUUUCGAUAUCAAUUUGUUAUGAAAAGAUAAGAGAUUAAGACAAUUAUGUGAAGUAAAGAUCACAAGAAGAAAACAAUUUACAGAAGAUGAAGAUUUUAUUAUAAUACGGAGAAUGAAUACAAUGAUUUUGUGUUUAUAAUUUACCUAACUUAUAAUGAGGUUAAACUACGUACCUAAAUUGUAGAGAAGAGUCAAAUAUAUAUAGGGAACAAUCCAAGUCCUAGAAGUAGAAUUAUAGAUGAAAUGGAAUGGAAUGCCCAAAAGUUUUCUUAUCUUGAUCUCUUUUAAGUCCAACAUAUAUUCCAACUCUCAAUUGGAUUUUUAAAUAGAACUUCAAUUAAAAUUUAUCAAAUAAACUUCGAAUAAAAUUUCAAAAGCAUUCUAAAUGGAAUUCUUCUUAAUGUGCAUUUUAGUUAGAACUCUCAAUUAUCUUCAACCAAAAAUUCAUGUCAUACCCAAAUUCUAACACUAGUCAUGGGCAGUGAUACCAAAAUAAGGAAAUAUGGAGAUUCAGGAUUUGGAUGGAAGCGGCUCAAAGCAUAGUUUUUGAUCCUUUUAUUAAAAGAUCAUUUUUACCAUCUGCAAUUGUCCUUGUACAGUUGUCAACUUACUAUUGGAGCAAGAGAUAACAAUAGUGAAAAUAAAAGCCCUCUUUGGCUAAAAUUAUAUUUUGGUAGAUUUUUUGAUAAAUGAGUGAUUGAAAAAUAAAAAAAAAAAAAAAAAAAAAGUUAUGUGUUCCACAAAAUGUAUGCUUGAAAAGAAGUUUGAGAAUUUUAAAAAAAAAAAAAAAAAAAAAAAAAAAGUUAUGUGUUCCACAAAAUGUAUGCUUGAAAAGAAGUUUGAGAAUUUUAAAAAAAAAAAUAAAUAAAUAAAUAAAAUAAUUGAAUUUUAAAAAUUGGGAACAAAGCGAAGCAAUGUUGCACAGUAAAUUAUAACUACAAAGAAGCUGUUGAAUUUAUACAAUUCUUAACUUCGAUUUUUUUUUUUUUUUAGUUGUUUUCAUCUAGAAAUUAUAUAUUAAUUGAAAAGUGGGAAAAACAAUAAAUGAUGGUAGCAAAAAAGUGUAAUUAGCACAAAACGUCGUUAUUAUUUGUACUUAUUUUGUAAAUCGUCUCUAUAGAUUUAAACUUGACAUUUGCAAUAUUUCUCUUGCGGUGUUGGUACUUUCCGUUCCAUUUCGUCAAUUCCUUUCUCAUAUAUGGAUAAUUGAUGUAAGAUAACCUUAUCGUUUCUCUUCAUUACGCAAAUCAUCCCUAUCAUUUCAAAUCUGUCAUUAGGACCGUUAGAUCGACAUUUCUUUGCACAAAAGAUUCUUAUUGUCUAUUUUCUUCAUUAAAAUAUUGGAGACUAUCUAACUUACCCUCAUUUUUAAAUAAAUAAAUAAAAAGAAAAAAAAUAUAAAAAAGAAAUAAAUGCAGCUAGAGUUUCAAAAUUUUUAAAAAGUACAAACGAAUUUCAUGUAAAAUAAUUUAAAGCACACUAACAAAGUACUAUUCAUCUUCCCAAUUAACUUCACCUACCUCGACCCCUAACCCCUCCUUCACCACCACCAAAGUAAUUAACAAGAAGUUAAAAAAAAAAAAAAUUAUAUACACACACACACACACACACAAAGAAAAGUUAAAAAAAGGAUUAAAAUAGAAAAACAAAAUAAUAUAUAAAAAUAAAAUGAUUUUUCUUCCCCAUCAAAUUCCGCGACCUGCCACCGACCACCACCACCACCACCACCACCAUCCAUUCUUCACAUCCCAUUGCGGUACCAUCAAGAGUUCACCUAUUAUCCUAUAAUCAAGUUAUGUGAUCUAAUUUAUUAUUAUUAUUAUUAUUAUUAUUAUUAUUAUUAUUAUUAUUAUUAUUAUUAUUAUUAUUAUUAUUAUUAUAUUUUUUUUUUCCAGCGAACNNNNNNNNNNNNNNNNNNNNNNNNNNNNNNNNNNNNNNNNNNNNNNNNNNNNNNNNNNNNNNNNNNNNNNNNNUAUUUUUUUUUUCCAAUGAACUUAUCAAAGUUUUUUUUUUCUUUUUUUUUUUUUGCAAUUUUCAGCAAACAUUUGUUUCAAUUUCCUUGUACAUGGUUACAUACACAUGUAUACGUAAGUACCCAAUGCGGUAUCUUUUAAAUUUUGCUCUGAUUUUAUUCAAAUUUCUUUUGCCUCACAAAAUGAUAUUUGAAGGUGGAAUUUCUUCUUCCAUCAGAGGUUUCAUUCAAGAUCUUAAUCCAAAUGUCGAUCCUUUUCUUUUUUUCUAAUUUAAACCCAGCUAAAAGGGGCGUGUUUGGUAAUCAUUUUUACGUAAAAAUACAUUUUAAAAUAAUAACUUGAUGGGAAGUGUGUGGUUGAAAGAUAAGAAAAUUUUUUUUGAUUUAUAUGUAAUAUUAUUUUAAUAAAGAAUGUGUGAUUGAAAAGAAAAUAGAGAAAAAUGUAUUUUGAGAAAAAUGUAUUUUGAGAAAAAUGAGUAUCAAAAAGGGAAAUAUAUAUAUAAGUUUUUUUUUUUUUUUUUUUUUUUUGGGGGAAGAUGAAUUUUUUAUUUAUAUGUUUUAAAUUAUUUAAGUGGGACUCGUUUGUAUUAUUUGAAAAUUUUAGGACUUUGAUGUUUUAAAUUAUUCUAAAUGGGGCUUGUUUGCACUAUUUGAAAAUUUUAGGAUUUUGACUACAAUUAUUUCUUUCUUUCUUUUUUUCCUAUUUAUUUAUGUGUAGAGAAGGGUAAAGUAGUUAUAUAACAAUGCUUUAAUAAAAAAAAUAGACGAUAGAGACUGUUUGCACAAAGAAAGGACGAUCUGAGGGUCCAAAUACUAAAAUUGAAAUGAUAGAGAUGAUUUGUGCAAUAUAGACAAAUGAUAGGGACUUUUUGCACAAAAUACCUAUAUUUGACAAGAAUUGACAGAAUGAGUUUAAAAUAAAUAAAUAAAUAAAUACUGCUAGAAAAGGAUAAAAUGAGUGUUUAAAUGUCAAGUUUGAUACGAUAAGGACGAUUUGUACAAUGAGUACAAAUGAUGAGAACAUUUUGUGCUAACUAAGGGGGAAAAAUCUUGCUCUUAAAGACAUUAAUUAAAACAAUCGCUUAGACCAUAUUUAACUCAAUUUCUUAAAACUCAUUUUCAAUUACAUAUUUUAUAAGAUACACAAUUUUUACCAACUUUUCAAUUAUACAUUUCACUAACUUUUAUCAAAAUUUAUUAAAAAAAUUAAUUUUUAUUCAAACUAAACGGAGGUAAUAAAAUUACAUUAAAGAUCACAAGGUGAACCAAGAUUUGGAUAUUUUAAGUUCGAGUUUUGUUUUAGCGUGGAAUUCAGGUCACCAAGUCAAGCCCUCGUCAAAUACCAGCAGCGGCCUCGUUCAAGAAGAGUUAGAUUCAACCACCAAGUCAAGCCGUCUCUAGAGGAAUGAAAUUAAUCAGCUUACUCUGCUGCUCACCAAGUUCUCUUUUCUCUGUUUCUGUUAAUGUCACUAGUUCAAGAUUUAUAAAAUGAAUAAAAGUAAUAUGUACACUUUCUUGACGUCUUCAGAUCUUUUUAUAUUCUGUCUUAUCCUCUUAUCAAGAAAAUCUUCUGCUGCUGAUUAUUGGCAUGAAGAAUGCCAGCCAAAGAAUUGUGGUAAUGGCUUAAACAUAACUUUCCCGUUCUAUAUUCAAGGUGUUCAAGAAUCUUACUGUGGUUACCCCGGAUUCGAGCUCAACUGCACUAAAGGACACGGCUACCCAACAAUUAGAUUACCGGGAAAUGACUAUAUAGUCGAAAACAUUUCCUAUUCUAGUCGUUCUUUUCGUGUUUAUAAUUCUGCUGUUUUGAACACUUCGAACCGUACAUGCCUUCCACAAAUCAGAAACACAACUCUUCCUACCGCGUUCAAUUAUGCUAAUGUAACAUUGCUGUAUUUGUUGUCCAAUUGUACUAAACCCCUACCUGACGAUCUUUCGAGGUACCAGGUUUCUUGUGGGAGUGAGAAUAGAGAUGAUUGGGAUCUAGCAAUACGGGAUAAGGAUGAGAAUUCGCAGAAUGGAUUGGAAAACUGCAAAAAACACGUGGUGGCACCUGUGGAUGCGCAUGGAGAUGAUCAUGAGAAUGGAAUGGGAAACUAUAUGAAGAUAAUUAGAAGGGGGUUUGUGCUGAAUUGGACGGCCAGUGACUGCAGUAAAUGUCAAGAAAGCGGUGGCGUCUGUGGCUUUAACACCAGUGUUUACCAGUUCAAGUGUUUCUGCCCCGACAGGCCCCAUAGCGUGAGUUGCAUGCCUGGUAAGUUAUGUUCACAUCUUCUUUCUGGAAAAGUGCUGAUUAAUCAAUUAAACUGUACGUGAUUAUCAAGAUAAAUUUUAUUCCAUAAAAUUAGCACACAAAACAUAUUUUAUGAUGUUAGCAACCUAUAUCUUGUCUAUUGUGCCAAUGAAGUCCCUUCCGGACUCUGGUAUAUUAAUGAACAUGCAGAAUUAGGCAGCGAUCUCUUCUUUUGUUUCUGUGAGCAAUUUUUAACACGUCUUCAUGAAUAAAUCCUAGUCAACUGUCAUGUUUAACCUUUAUGAUGCGUGUAAAUAACUAAUUUGUUAGGCUUUGACCUUGAUCCACUCCAAAGACAUGGGGAAGAUACCCAACGAAUCUCCCCUCCACCACAUGUCGUGGAAGGAGCCAUCAUCCCAGCAAUGGAAGGAAAAACAUUAAGGUUCUUCCCCAUUAGCACUACAAUAACAAGUUCCUCUUUGUGUUCAGCUUCUGCAACUUUUUAGAAAUCCCUUUAGAAAUCUUUGACUCCCCGUUAACCAAUAAUCCAUAUUCAUCGAAAGAAUAACACUUGGAAGGUUGUCCGUCUGUCAAAGACCCUUUUGGAGGAAUAGUUGUUACUUUCAAUCUUUCAAGCAUACAAUCUUUCAAACUAUGUGCAUGUGUUUCUUCACUUGGUUCAACACAAUAUCAUGUACGCAUCGCCCAAUAUAACAAUUCACUUGCCAGUGAAAUAACUCUCAUUCAACAUUUGUCUUAUUAUCGGGGUUUUCCGUGGCAAAUGGUACUUACUCGUUCUUCACAUAAAGAUCUCCAAUUUUUCCUAUCCAAAUAAUAUAAUCUGAACUGCUGAUGCUAAUUCCACCUACAAUUGAACAAAUCAAAAUGUGAGUUAUGGAAUUAACACAAAAAAGGGGAAAAAAAUAAAAACUAAAUUUGAAGAAUGAAAACAAUGAAUUUCCCCUUUUUUUAAUUCAGCUCAGAAAAUCAAUCGAACAUCACAAAGACAACACCAAUUGAAGACUUUUGCAAUCAUAGGGAGAAGCACACAAAGGCAGAAGCUAGGUUUUAGAAAUGUACAAAGCAGAGGCCAAUUUUGGUGUGUAGAAAGUGAGGCCAAGAGACUUCAAUUUAUAGGCAAAGGAAAACCAGAUUUCCCAGAAAGAGUCGAGUAGAUGGACUUCAAGAACACUGAAAUUGGUUACCAAACUCACGUGAUUUCAAAUUAUCUCCAAAGUUAGGUAUUGAACAUCUAGUUCAAUGGGCCGAUUUCCUCUAAAUACCCAACACAAUUGGAUUAUAUCAAUUGUGAUGUGGAUUUAUGAUAUUCUUCAAUCCUAGGCUUAUAGCCUAUGAAGACAAACGGGCCUAGAUUUUUCAUCAUUGCCUAAGGGUUAUUUGCGCAUCACUUACUAAAAUACCCAACAACAAUUCAAAGAAACUAUUCUACUUGUUUAAACCUCCAUCAUUCAUAAUAAGAGCAAUGAAAACCAAAGAUUUGAUACUUCUUGCUGGGGGAAAUUAAGUCAAUAUCUAAGAUGAUAUCUGGCAAAAAGGCAACAGAAAAAACAAUUUGCCCCUUUUGUACAAACUUAAAUAAUUAAAUGGCGCAAUAACCCAAUAAAUCACGCAUUAAAGAACCACAUAAUACAUAUUUGGUUAUUUCUCUUUGGAGUGUCUACUCUACUCCUUAAAUAAUUCAAAUUAUAUUCAAUAUUUAAACUGAAUUAGAGCCAAACCUAUUAUAUAUGAAUUCCUACAUGUUGAAUAUUCAAAAACUAGUCUAUAUAGAUAAAAGGUUAAUAUGCCCCUUCAUAUGAACCUUCAGGUGAUUUAUCCUCCGUCAAUCUAUGCCAAUAUUUUGAACAAGUUCAUUCCCAUCACAAAAGAAGCAAAACCAGAUUUUGCAAUAUAACUACAUUGCUUUAUUCAAUAUAAAACCAAGUCAAACACAAUCUAAUCACAAAUUUUCUGAUGAUACAAAAUACAAUGAAGAUAAUCUAUUCUUGUAUUAUAAAUUUGUUGACUCCACUUAAUGACAUUCUUCAUUUUCCUGUUCACUACACAAGUUUCUUAGAACAAAAUAUCUCUCGUAUAGAAUAUAAUAAAGAUAUGGCAACCACAGCUCCAGCUCCCAAGAACUUGGCUGUUGGUAGACGAAGUUUUUUUGAGGAUACAACGUUACAUAGAUAUGCCCAAGCCCAUCGGGACAGGAAAUGUAGCUUGCAAGUCGCCUGAAACUUUUGUAGGGAAAAUUCCUAUACAUGGCAAAGCAGAGGGGAGUUCGAGGUCAAGUGGACAGAGAUAAAGGAGAAUAGUUAAACUGAAACUUAACACAAGCAAUAAAAUAUAAAACCAUAGUUAGUAGUAAGCUGUGNCCUAUAUCUUGUCUAUUGUGCCAAUGAAGUCCCUUCCGGACUCUGGUAUUUUAAUGAACAUGCAGAAUUAGCUAGCGAUCUCUUCUUUUGUUUCUGUGAGCAAUUUUUAACACGUCUUCAUGAAUAAAUCCUAGUCAACUGUCAUGUUUAACCAUUAUGAUGCGUGUAAAUAACUAAUUUGUUAGGCUUUGACCCUUGAUCCACUCCAAAGACAUGGAGAGGAUACCCAACGAAUCUCCCCCUCCACCACAUGUCGUGGAAGGAGCCAUCAUCCCAGCAAUGGAACGAUAAACAUUAAGGUUCUUCCCCAUUAGCACUACAAUAACCAGUUCCUCUUUGUGUUCAGCUUCUGCAACUUUUUAGAAAUCCCUUUAGAAAUCUGACUCCCCGUUAACCAAUAAUCCAUAUUCAUCGAAAGAAUAACACUUGAAAGGUUGUUCGUCUGUCAAAGACCCUUUUGGAGGAAUAGUUGUUACUUUCAAUCUUUCAAGCAUACAAUCUUUCAAACUAUGUGCAUGUGUUUCUUCACUUGGUUCAAUCAACACAAUAUCCUGUACACAUCGCCCAAUAUAUCAAUUCACUUGCCGGUGAAAUAACUCUCAUUCAACAUUUGUCUUACUAUCGGGGUUUUCCGUGGCAAAUGGUACUUACUGGUUCUUCACAUAAAUAUCUCCGAUUUUUCCUAUCCAAAUGAGGUAAUCUGAACUGUUGAUGCUAAUUCCACCUACAAUUGAACAAAUCAAAAUGUGAGUUAUGGAAUUAACAUAAAAAGGGGGGACAAAUCAAAACUAAAUUUGAAGAAUGAAGAACAAUGAAUUUCCCCUUUUUAACUCGGCUCAGAAAAUCAAUCCAACACCUCAAAGGCAACACCAAUUGGAGACUUGCAAUCACAGGGAGAAGCACACAAAGGCAGAAACUAGGUUUCAGAAAUGUACAAAGCAAAGGCCGGUUUUGGUGUGUAGAAAGUGAGGCCAAGAGACUUCAAUUUAUAGGCAAAGGAAAACAAGAUUUCCCAGAAAGGGUUGGCUAGAUAGACUUCAAGAACACUGAAAUUGGUUACCCAGGAUAAGGGAAUUAUAACCAUUGCAACCAUCUCACGUAUUUUCAAAUUAUCUCUAAAGUUGGGUAUUGAGCACUUAGUCCAAUGGGCUGAUUUCCUCUAAAUAUCCAACACAAUUGGAUUACAUCAAUUGUGGUGUGGACUUAUAAUAUUCUUCAAUUCUAGGCUUAUAGCCUAAGAAGACAAAUGGACCUCGAUUUUUCAUCAUUGCCUAGGGGUUAUUUGCGCAUCACUACUAAAAUACCCAACAACAAUUCAAAGAAACUAUUCUACUUGUUUAAACCUCCAUCAUUCAUAAUAAGAGCUAUGAAAACCAAAGAUUUGUUACUUCUUGCUGGGGGAAAUUAAGUCAAUAUCUAAGAUGAUAUCUAGCAAAAAGGCAAUAGAAAAAACAAUUUGCCCCUUCUGUACAAACUUAAAUAAUUAAAUGGCGCAAUAACCCAAUAAAUCACGCGCUAAAGAACUACACAAUACACAUUUGGUUAUUUCUCUAUUUGGAGUGUCUACUCUACUUCUUAAAUAAUUCAAAUUAUAUUCAAUAUUUAAAUUGAAUUAGAGCCAAACCUAUUAUAUAUGAAUUCCUACAUGUUGAAUAUUCAAAAAUGCCCUUCAAAAACUUGCAAUAGCUGUUGUGUGUCGUUUCUGAAUUAGAAUCCUUUGCUUGAGUUAAGUGGUUUUAGCUGCAGCGGAAAUCAAGUCAGCUGAGUUGUCCUUCCAGUUCUUUUUUGCUCGAGCAAGCCAUUGGUUCGUUAGAGUGAACUUAGCAUGUUUUUUCUGCUGUUUUGCUUUUCUAUUCCGGUGUUGCUAGUCUGGCUUACUUCGUCUCAGAGCGCGAGUUUUUCUUCUUUUUAAUCUCUUUUAACAAUAAUGCCAUGAAAUGUCAGGACUUGUCUUAAAAGCCAAAAACAAUGCAAGAUCAAUACAAAUCCAACCUGAGCCACUAACAUUUGUAUAAUAGCCCAGAUAAGAGUGAUAUUUACACUCAUCGACUUCUGUCUGUUUUGUCACCGAAAAGGAGGCCCAUGUACAACAGAAGGAAUGAAUUUCCAUGGGAAAAAGGUAUAAUCAGUAAUUUCUAAUGGUAAUAUACACAGUUAGUCACGCCUUUUCAGUCUCGUAGCACCAUAAUCUAUAGUAGUUAUGCCAGGGUACANNNNNNNNNNNNNNNNNNNNNNNNNNNNNNNNNNNNNNNNNNNNNNNNNNNNNNNNNNNNNNNNNNNNNNNNNNNNNNNNNNNNNNNNNNNNNNNNNNNNNNNNNNNNNNNNNNNNNNNNNNNNNNNNNNNNNNNNNNNNNNNNNNNNNNNNNNNNNNNNNNNNNNNNNNNNNNNNNNNNNNNNNNNNNNNNNNNNNNNNNNNNNNNNNNNNNNNNNNNNNNNNNNNNNNNNNNNNNNNNNNNNNNNNNNNNNNNNNNNNNNNNNNNNNNNNNNNNNNNNNNNNNNNNNNNNNNNNNNNNNNNNNNNNNNNNNNNNNNNNNNNNNNNNNNNNNNNNNNNNNNNNNNNNNNNNNNNNNNNNNNNNNNNNNNNNNNNNNNNNNNNNNNNNNNNNNNNNNNNNNNNNNNNNNNNNNNNNNNNNNNNNNNNNNNNNNNNNNNNNNNNNNNNNNNNNNNNNNNNNNNNNNNNNNNNNNNNNNNNNNNNNNNNNNNNNNNNNNNNNNNNNNNNNNNNNNNNNNNNNNNNNNNNNNNNNNNNNNNNNNNNNNNNNNNNNNNNNNNNNNNNNNNNNNNNNNNNNNNNNNNNNNNNNNNNNNNNNNNNNNNNNNNNNNNNNNNNNNNNNNNNNNNNNNNNNNNNNNNNNNNNNNNNNNNNNNNNNNNNNNNNNNNNNNNNNNNNNNNNNNNNNNNNNNNNNNNNNNNNNNNNNNNNNNNNNNNNNNNNNNNNNNNNNNNNNNNNNNNNNNNNNNNNNNNNNNNNNNNNNNNNNNNNNNNNNNNNNNNNNNNNNNNNNNNNNNNNNNNNNNNNNNNNNNNNNNNNNNNNNNNNNNNNNNNNNNNNNNNNNNNNNNNNNNNNNNNNNNNNNNNNNNNNNNNNNNNNNNNNNNNNNNNNNNNNNNNNNNNNNNNNNNNNNNNNNNNNNNNNNNNNNNNNNNNNNNNNNNNNNNNNNNNNNNNNNNNNNNNNNNNNNNNNNNNNNNNNNNNNNNNNNNNNNNNNNNNNNNNNNNNNNNNNNNNNNNNNNNNNNNNNNNNNNNNNNNNNNNNNNNNNNNNNNNNNNNNNNNNNNNNNNNNNNNNNNNNNNNNNNNNNNNNNNNNNNNNNNNNNNNNNNNNNNNNNNNNNNNNNNNNNNNNNNNNNNNNNNNNNNNNNNNNNNNNNNNNNNNNNNNNNNNNNNNNNNNNNNNNNNNNNNNNNNNNNNNNNNNNNNNNNNNNNNNNNNNNNNNNNNNNNNNNNNNNNNNNNNNNNNNNNNNNNNNNNNNNNNNNNNNNNNNNNNNNNNNNNNNNNNNNNNNNNNNNNNNNNNNNNNNNNNNNNNNNNNNNNNNNNNNNNNNNNNNNNNNNNNNNNNNNNNNNNNNNNNNNNNNNNNNNNNNNNNNNNNNNNNNNNNNNNNNNNNNNNNNNNNNNNNNNNNNNNNNNNNNNNNNNNNNNNNNNNNNNNNNNNNNNNNNNNNNNNNNNNNNNNNNNNNNNNNNNNNNNNNNNNNNNNNNNNNNNNNNNNNNNNNNNNNNNNNNNNNNNNNNNNNNNNNNNNNNNNNNNNNNNNNNNNNNNNNNNNNNNNNNNNNNNNNNNNNNNNNNNNNNNNNNNNNNNNNNNNNNNNNNNNNNNNNNNNNNNNNNNNNNNNNNNNNNNNNNNNNNNNNNNNNNNNNNNNNNNNNNNNNNNNNNNNNNNNNNNNNNNNNNNNNNNNNNNNNNNNNNNNNNNNNNNNNNNNNNNNNNNNNNNNNNNNNNNNNNNNNNNNNNNNNNNNNNNNNNNNNNNNNNNNNNNNNNNNNNNNNNNNNNNNNNNNNNNNNNNNNNNNNNNNNNNNNNNNNNNNNNNNNNNNNNNNNNNNNNNNNNNNNNNNNNNNNNNNNNNNNNNNNNNNNNNNNNNNNNNNNNNNNNNNNNNNNNNNNNNNNNNNNNNNNNNNNNNNNNNNNNNNNNNNNNNNNNNNNNNNNNNNNNNNNNNNNNNNNNNNNNNNNNNNNNNNNNNNNNNNNNNNNNNNNNNNNNNNNNNNNNNNNNNNNNNNNNNNNNNNNNNNNNNNNNNNNNNNNNNNNNNNNNNNNNNNNNNNNNNNNNNNNNNNNNNNNNNNNNNNNNNNNNNNNNNNNNNNNNNNNNNNNNNNNNNNNNNNNNNNNNNNNNNNNNNNNNNNNNNNNNNNNNNNNNNNNNNNNNNNNNNNNNNNNNNNNNNNNNNNNNNNNNNNNNNNNNNNNNNNNNNNNNNNNNNNNNNNNNNNNNNNNNNNNNNNNNNNNNNNNNNNNNNNNNNNNNNNNNNNNNNNNNNNNNNNNNNNNNNNNNNNNNNNNNNNNNNNNNNNNNNNNNNNNNNNNNNNNNNNNNNNNNNNNNNNNNNNNNNNNNNNNNNNNNNNNNNNNNNNNNNNNNNNNNNNNNNNNNNNNNNNNNNNNNNNNNNNNNNNNNNNNNNNNNNNNNNNNNNNNNNNNNNNNNNNNNNNNNNNNNNNNNNNNNNNNNNNNNNNNNNNNNNNNNNNNNNNNNNNNNNNNNNNNNNNNNNNNNNNNNNNNNNNNNNNNNNNNNNNNNNNNNNNNNNNNNNNNNNNNNNNNNNNNNNNNNNNNNNNNNNNNNNNNNNNNNNNNNNNNNNNNNNNNNNNNNNNNNNNNNNNNNNNNNNNNNNNNNNNNNNNNNNNNNNNNNNNNNNNNNNNNNNNNNNNNNNNNNNNNNNNNNNNNNNNNNNNNNNNNNNNNNNNNNNNNNNNNNNNNNNNNNNNNNNNNNNNNNNNNNNNNNNNNNNNNNNNNNNNNNNNNNNNNNNNNNNNNNNNNNNNNNNNNNNNNNNNNNNNNNNNNNNNNNNNNNNNNNNNNNNNNNNNNNNNNNNNNNNNNNNNNNNNNNNNNNNNNNNNNNNNNNNNNNNNNNNNNNNNNNNNNNNNNNNNNNNNNNNNNNNNNNNNNNNNNNNNNNNNNNNNNNNNNNNNNNNNNNNNNNNNNNNNNNNNNNNNNNNNNNNNNNNNNNNNNNNNNNNNNNNNNNNNNNNNNNNNNNNNNNNNNNNNNNNNNNNNNNNNNNNNNNNNNNNNNNNNNNNNNNNNNNNNNNNNNNNNNNNNNNNNNNNNNNNNNNNNNNNNNNNNNNNNNNNNNNNNNNNNNNNNNNNNNNNNNNNNNNNNNNNNNNNNNNNNNNNNNNNNNNNNNNNNNNNNNNNNNNNNNNNNNNNNNNNNNNNNNNNNNNNNNNNNNNNNNNNNNNNNNNNNNNNNNNNNNNNNNNNNNNNNNNNNNNNNNNNNNNNNNNNNNNNNNNNNNNNNNNNNNNNNNNNNNNNNNNNNNNNNNNNNNNNNNNNNNNNNNNNNNNNNNNNNNNNNNNNNNNNNNNNNNNNNNNNNNNNNNNNNNNNNNNNNNNNNNNNNNNNNNNNNNNNNNNNNNNNNNNNNNNNNNNNNNNNNNNNNNNNNNNNNNNNNNNNNNNNNNNNNNNNNNNNNNNNNNNNNNNNNNNNNNNNNNNNNNNNNNNNNNNNNNNNNNNNNNNNNNNNNNNNAUCCACAAAGCAUGUGUUUCGGCCACAUGUUGACUCUACCAUGCAUGGGAAUCAGCACAUGUGGGGAAAGAUCCAUAAAUUUGCAAGUUGUGCGGAAAUAAUCCUGUAGAAGAAGUCAAAAUUUUAAAAUAAGAUCUCCAGUAAAGGAGAAUAAUAAUAAAAACGACCUUGCUCCUCUUAGGACAUUAAAAAAUAAAAUAGACAUGAAAGUCCAUGGCCCUACAGCUACUUGUGAGUGGGGGUUAUAUGAAAUUAAAAUGUGUAUUAUGUCCCCAAUCAUGUCUUGUUCUCCAUUGCAUUGAAAAUGUAAAAACCAGGUUCUUUGAAGAUGAAGAGAAAUUUGCGUUUCUAAUUUGCAUAACAGUAAAUGGAAGAAAAAAUAUUGCAAUAUACUUACACUCAUAUUUCCACCAGAUGUAAUAUCCAAGAGGGCACUUCCUUGGCUGAAAUAAAUCCAUAUAGUCAUCAGCUCAGCACUUAACCAAGAAAAGUGAGGUAUUUAAACUGAAAGAAACAUCUCCAGAAAGAGAUGCACAAACUACUUAGUCCAACAUGAUUAAAUUACAAAAGAAAUUUUAGCAAUCACUGAUAACUUUCUCCGGAAAAGAGUAAAAUACGAUAACUUUUUUUUGGGACUUAAAACUUUUCAUGGUUUUUGGCCCUUCUAACUUGGUCGAACGUGAUUGAAAUCUCUAAAGAAAUUCUACAGAGGACAAUAAUAUAUGGUCAUUACAGCACACAUGGUCAAAGUUCUUGAAACAUCAAUCACGUACAGAUAGGAAAGCCAAAUUAAUUAGAGUACCCUUCCCUUCAUACAAUGUGGAUAAUUAAAUCUGAUUAAAAUCUUCUUCUAUGGUAUCUUACCCCACACAAUGAUCACCCACUAUCAGUGAGUGAGUACUGACGUGAAGCAAUGACAUGUGACCAUCCGUAUGCCCCUGACAAGAUUUCCCAAAAGCACAAAUUGUUACAUAUUUCAACAGAAAGGGAAAAAAAAAACAGAACAUAUCAUAUAUCUCAAAUUUGCAGAUUUCAAAACAAGCACGAGAAAAGGAUUAAGUAGCUUGAACAAACAGCCAAAGCAAUAUGCAGGACAAGGACUUGAAAUGAUGUAGGGAGGCUCAUGCCCUAAGACCAAAGAUAUAAGCCAAGAUUGGCUGGUGCAAUAAAUACAUCCAGGAAGGAAUUAGAGCUCUGACAUAACUCUAGGAUUAUGUAGGGGUUCAACAUAAAGUUAGAGGAUGAUAUAACUUUGACUAAUGCAAAAAAGGAGUGAAAUACUAAAAACUGGUGGAACACAAAGCUAUUUCUUAUAGUCUAACGGACAAAAGCUCGAAUGAGUUCAAGAGUGGGAACACAAUGCUGCUGGCUGAAGCUCAAUUUAUUUAAACUGGUUGAGCUUCUAGUAGAUAUCAAAAGGCAGAAAUAUCUAGGAAGAGAAAUAAUUGAAAACUGAAAACUGAUUAGAGGAAAAAGGUUUGUCCAUAAAAAUUACAGGAGCUGAAAUGAUUCUCAACCGUUGACCACCGAUGCAAAUUUCUUCAGAUCCCAAAACUGGAACGUAGUCAAGAGACCAAUCAUCUGCAUUAAGAAAAAUAACUUCAGAAGUUUCAUUUAUCGGGUGACAAAAAUCUUGUACCGCCCCUCCCCCCACCCCCACACCAUCACACACACAGACAUUUCAUAUUGAAAGAUACCUUCCCUUUCAGGUCUCCAAAUGAUGGCCACUUACCAGAAAGGCAAAUGACGCUAGUAGUUUUUCCCAAUUUUCCCCUACUAUCAUCAAUAUUGGAUUCGCGAAAUUAUCUCUUCUGUUUAAAAUACCAGAAUCAAAAGAAAAAACAAUCUCUUCUGCUUUUACAUUUAUUGACAGACAGUAUUUUGAUGAUCCAGCCACUAUUAUUUGAAACCUUUUUAUUUUACUCAAUACAUAAUCUUACAUCAUUGGUUUGAGACAUUUUAAUCAGAAACUAUCUUCAAAACUCCAAAAGUUUUCAGCUGUUACACUAGAGCACUGCAAUGUACCAUAACCUUGCCUUCAAUUGAAAUUUAUUCAGCUUGGCAAUUUAAAUCAAUUGCUUUGAUGUCAGAAUUAAAAAAAAAGAUAAAUUUUGCAACUUCCAUAAGAGGAUCUAGCAAUUUCAUUUGUGAACCUAUCAAUAGGCACAUGGCAUAAAUUAGAUGGUUGGCAUCUUCACCUUUUUGAAUCCGGCGCAUGGUACUUUCAUGAGCCAAGAGAACAGCAUCAGGUUUGCACUUCUGAACUAUUGAGAGACCUGAGAGCAAUCAGUGCAAUUAAAUGACUGUACACAUAAAAGAUAUCUGAUCUCUGCUUUUCGGUAUACAAACAAAUGACGUGGUGACUAGAAAACUUAUCCCAGUUGUAAAAAGAUUUUGAAAAUAGACAAAGUACUUAUCUAAGAACAUUAAGCCCCUGUUUGGGCUCCAUUAAAAUGUUAAUGCGUUUAUCUCUUUCUUCUUUUCACUAGUUCAUCAGAGAAGAGAAUAACAGUAACUAGAACGACUACCAAAAAUGGAAAGAGAACUAAUUAACAGGUGCAAUAAUUAUGAUUGCAUCCUAUGUAAUUCUUUUAUAUCCAUUUUACAAUUAUUUAGGAAUGAGAACACCUCCAUCAUAAUUUUCUAAACAUUAAAAAAAUAAAUAAAUAAAUAAAUAAUGAAAAGUCCGUUAAAACAAAGUGAAAAUUCUAGAUGCAGAUUAUAUUUUCAAAUGCUUACCGUCAACAUGAUCAUGAUGAUGAUGGGUUACAAAAACGAUCAACUUUCGUGGAAGUGCAGCAAUGAUUUGUUCGAGCUGACAGUGCAAGAGAAAGCAGAACAAAUGGCAUGAUUAAUAGUAAUUGGGCAAACAUUCAUAGCAUCAAAUCAAAGAUUGAUUUAGUUACAAAGUUUUUAUGAAAUAGCAAUACUCGUUACUAACUAAAAGCAAUAUCUAUGGCCAUUCCGCAAAGUUCUCUUCCGAUGUCAGUUUAAGGUGAAUAGCAGAAUGCGAAUACAGUAACUAAUUCGGCCAAGGUAAUAUUUCCUUUGGUAACUCACUUGAAACACAAGCGAAUGCUAAAUUGAGAAAUAUAUUACUAUCAUUAUUGUGCAUUUUAUUUUAUAAAUUGAACCACUCUAAAACCAAAGAACAACAGCUGACUUAAAAACGAUGACUACGUAACUGAACUGAUCCUUGAAUUUCUCAAGCAGGCACCGAGUUCACAGUUCAAAAAUAAUCAUUUACACAAUUCCGUGGUGUGACAUUCACCAAAUCCAAAUUUCAUAGCAGGUCCUACACGGAACCGUUUGUCAAAAUUGUUUUAAAGAGUUUCAAUUAGGAAGGAUCACGCAUAAAGUGUCCAUUUUUUAAGGACUAUAAGUCUGUACAAUUCAAUUUUUAAAGUGAUACAUCAUUCACCUCUUUCCAUUUUUUUUUCUUUUUCUUACUGUACCUCUUUAUGCAUAAUAGACUUGCAUCCUGGAUCAACAAUCAAUGCCUCUCCACAAGUAACAAAACUAUCACCAUCGCAGCCAUCAUAACUAGUCCCAGGAAAAAAUACAACUAAGUUUGUAGUGUGGAAAGGCUUUGCUGUUCUGCUUCCCAUGGGAAUAAGUUUAACACCUGGAGGAUACUCCUGCAUAAUAAACAAACUGUGAUUUUAUUUAAGCAAUAUAAACAAAACAUCAACAUCAACAAAGUGAAACUGCAUGUACAUAUUUAAGUCUGACUAAAAAUUCAGUCAAUAAAGAAAAUUGAAUCGCUCCAGACACUUUAGAGUGUAUAGCUGAAUGUCAGAAAAUAUCAAGAGACAAGAUUUGGACUUAUCUCGAGCAAGAUUUUUACAAAUAUCUGAACAUUUCUAAGUUAAUGACAUGUAAUUUAGGAUAAGCAUAAUUGAGUGAAGCAUGAUGUACAUAACAUAGAACUCUGUAGAGUCCAUAUCCCACAUGGACACUAAGCCAGUGCAAAUGCUUCUACUAUUCUAGUUGUUCAUGUAACCCAUUAAAACCUUAAGCGACAGUUGAAAGUAAGGGCUUUGGUUCAGGCCUGCAUUAGUUUCUAAGAAAUAAAGUUCCAACACUAGGACUGGAAACAAUGAAAUUCUCCGGCUGCAACCAGUUUUCCAAUGCCUAUGCCACCAUCAAUAAUUGUGUCACAUAUAAGAUGAGUAUUGACUAUUUAUUCCAGACCAGGACCACUGCAUCAAAAAAGAUAAUUAAUAAGAAGAGAACGGGAAAAAAUUUUGAGGACCUGAUGUCAAAAUAUUCCAAUCUUGACAUUUUCCACACUGUUGAGAUUGGGGUGAUAACUGAAACUUGCUUUCCAUUAUUUCUUAUUUGUAAAGUCCAACUUCCCACAGCAAACAACAUGACAGGGUAUUUUAAUCCAAUAGUAGGAUGGUGGUUGAACUAUGAAAACAAAUAUUAUAGGACUUGAAUUAGUGAAAAAUCAGUUUUCUUAAAGAUCGGGUUGGUUGUCAAUCCAACAUUAUCAUUACCCACGCUCAGAAAGGUCCAUACAGGAAAUUGUGUUGGGGGGGGGUGUUAUUAUGAUACGGAGAUUGAUUUAGCUCACAAAACCCAAUCAAUACCGCAAAAAACAAAC